This 188869-nucleotide long non-coding RNA is filed under the name Brassica napus (rape). Its description in RNAcentral is "long non-coding RNA (BNAP_LNC013041)". The stretch from base 89740 to 89846 matches the Rfam family "Plant small nucleolar RNA R71". Lineage: Eukaryota; Viridiplantae; Streptophyta; Magnoliopsida; Brassicales; Brassicaceae. The record is from RNAcentral.
GAACUCGCAUGAGAUUGGCACGGUGGAGGUUGUUCAGUCGCCGACGUUUGAGAUCCUCGAGGUCGCGGCGGUGGAGGAGCUUGUCGCACCAGAUCUGAAGCUGCUGGAGGUUGGGCCGUCGACGUCUGAAACAGCUGCGCAGGAGGUGGGUAAUCACUCACAGACGGUCCAGAUCGGCGGUUGGGAAGAGGCGGAGGCGCUGUAGACCUCGGAAAGGGGUGAUGGUGUCUUCGCCGCUGACUCCCCGGUUUUCUUUCGUCGCUUCGUUCCAGCCAUCAUCGAUACUGGCGGUGGUUUCAGAGAGAUGAAAUUGAGAGGUCUAGGGUUUGAGAGGAACAAGAGGAGAGAGUCCCGGCACUUGAUGAUUUUUUUUUAUCCAGUCCCGACACUUGACGAUAUUUAGUAAAUAAGAGAAGAUUUUCGGCUUUUGCGGGUUAGUUUUGGUUGGGGGGUAAUAAUUGGGCUUAGGCGGGUGUUUUUGGUUUUAGUUUAGGGUUUAGGGUAAUGACUUAGAAUGGGUGGGUUUAGGGGUUUAUGAGAUUUAAUUUUACUUUGUUUAUGAGUUGAUUAUAUAUUAAUUUUAUAGAAAAAUAUAUUACAAUACACAUUAGAUUUACAAAACUAUUUUACAUUACACUAAAACAAAGUUUACAAAUUUAUAUUACAAUACAUUUUAAAACAAAGUUUAGACCAAAGUUUACAAAUUUAUAUUACAAUACAUUUUAAAACAAAAUUUAAAAAAUUAUACUACAUUUUAGUAGGGUAUUUCACCAUCUUCAUCAUCAUCAGAAGACGAUGAUAUAUUACACUGAAGUUCAUCUUCUGGUUCAACAUCUUCCACAUCGCUAUCAAGAUUUAUAGGUUGUACCCGAGCACGAACCAAAUGGUCGACUGCUAUAUCUUCAAUUGUAGUCAUUAAAACAACAUCAUCAUUUUCUUGUUGCAACAAUGUUGGUUCUUUAUCUUUAUAUUCUCCUGAAAUGAUUCUCUUUGGAUUCACCAUUGCUCCGCCUUGUGCCUCUACCAAUUAACGGAUCAAACCACUUACAUUUAAAAAGUGUGAUUUUCAAAUUGAUCGACCCCUCAUAUUGAAUUUGUAUGAUAUCAGUCAAGACACUGUAGUAAUCAGCUUCGUCAGAUGCAUUUAUGUAACUCUCUCCUUUAACACUCAGCACCAUAGUUACAUGCCUUUUUUCCCUCGCCAUGCUUCUGCGUAUGGAACAAAAAGCUUCUUGUGAAAUAGAUAGGCUAUAUUAUGGCCUUAUUCACGGAUCCAUUCGCAAUAUCUUUAACCCACAGAGGAAAAGGAUGUGUGUUGCUCCAAAAUCUAACAUGUAACAUAUGUAGAUAUUUACGUAAAUAUAUAAUCAAAAACACUUAGUUAGAUAAUAGUAUUAGGUACACCGAACAAAAAUGUAAACCACGUGUUUGUACCAGUUUUUAGCAACUGAUUCGCGACUGAGUUAUAAAAAACAAAUCAGUCGCAAUACAGUCGCAAAUUCGGCGACUGAUGUACGACCGCCUAACAAAAAAUUAGGCACAUCCACCAAAAAAUGUAAACCACGUGUUUGUACCGGUUUUUACCAACGAUUCGCGGCUGACUUAUGAAAACAUACAUCAGUCACCAAAAUAGUUGCAAAACUUGGCGACUGAAGUGCGACUAACCUAUACCGACUUGGUAUUAGUCACACUUCAGUCGUUAUAUUACGAUUGUUUGGCGACUAAACAUAGCGGUCUCAACGUAGCGACCGAUUUACGACGAAAUUCUCGAAGUCGCAGCGUAGUCGCUAACUAAUCGGUAUGUAGUCGUUAUAUUUUGCAACUAAACAAUUAGUCGCAACCUGCAGCCAUACACAGGUUUUCUUGUAGUGAACGACACUUAAUAUGAAACGGAAAGCAACUAAAAAUUAUAAUUAAUAUAUAUAUUAAAUACAGAUUAUUCUUUUUUUAAUGACUGCAUUGAUAAAAAAUCAACCACCAUAGAGGUUUCAGCUACAAUAUGAUAAACAAGAAACACUUAUACGCUCAAUCAAAAAGAAGAUCUAUGAACAAGUAAGAGCUGCCUCCUAAUGCCAGGUAGGAUUGAAAUCUACCUUCCCGAAGCACACUUUUUGCAAUUUCUCGAGUUACUUGAUUUGAGGUAGCAGAUUAUUUUUCGAAAGCUAUCGAACAGAAGGAUGAUCAUAACACAUUAAUCCUCUAUAGUAGAAUCCGGAAACUUGGCCAAUUCGAUGGUUUCAUUACAGACUCAGUUAACUCAUGGAGGUCAGACACCAUUACCACUUCUUGGUAUCCAAGGUCUUUCAUACUCUCUAACUCCCACUCCAAACAUCUUAAUUCAGCCGUCAACCUGUUAGGGGAGAAGGUGAGGGCAUCUAUCGCAUGAUGGAGCACAUUGCCUCUAUAGUCUUUGAAUAAUAAGCCCAGCACCACUAUGAAGUUUGGUAUUCCUCCAGUUAGCAUGGAUAUUACAUUUGGCAUAGCCUGAAAGCGGAGGUUCCCAUUUCUUGUUUUCUUCACAAAGCCCGCUUCUCAACUCAAGGUUCUGCUGAUUAUUCUUUUAAAUUUCAAAAACAUUAUAACGUUCUUUUCUACUUGAAAAACAUAUGUUGAUACUUAACAAACUUAAAUUCUAAACUAUUUUUUUCUAAGUUGGUUAAUUAUGUUAUCACAAAUUAUGAGAAAUAUGACAUAUACAAUAUUAUAGCCGAUAAUUUUACAUGUUUUUAUGAAAUUUCACAUCUGAUUUCACCACCGUAAGCCGCUUACGAGAUCUACACCUGACUGCAUUCAUGUUUCAUGUAGAUUUUUUUCAUUAAUCUGCAUAAUCACCUGUUUUGAGAUUUGAAAUUCAGAUUUUUUUAGUCUAAAAGUACUAACGAACGCGCAAUUAAACCAUGCACUAAAUGAGUUUCUCUGAAUGCACAAAACCCAAAACCCAAAACCAAACCCAGUUUAAAUGGAGUUGGGUAUAUAUCACUAUUCAGAUCCAACAGUCCUAGACCUGUAAAACAGAUUGUAUCAUAUUUCAAAACAGACUGUAUCAUGUUAAAAAUUAUGUGCUAAUUUUUUUUAAUUAAAACCAUUGGUACUUGUAUAUAAAUAAAUAUCACUUGAAUUAGGUAGCACAGAAGCAUCGUCAGACGUCCGCUUCCCGCUUCGAAACCAAAAUCGGAAUCGGAAGCUUGGAAAAGCUCUCGGAAUCUCGCUUUCAAUACGCUUCUAAAAAUACUUCUUUAAAAACACGUUGGAAGCUUACGGUUCCGUUUAGGAAUCACGCUUCCAUUUUAAAAAUUCAAUGUCAUGAUUAAGUAAAAAAUAUAAACUAUAUUUUUAUUUUAUAUAAAAUUCAAAAUUAAUAGUAUUAAAAUAGAGAGAAUACAAAAUGUACAAAUAUCAAAAUUAUACUAUAAAUUAUCUUUGUGCAUAAUAUUUUUUUGUAAUAGAUCUUGUAUAUAAAUUCAAAUAUAUUGUGACAGAUAUUUGUGAACUAUUAAAAAUAAUCAAUUUGAUAAUAUUUUUUAUAAGCUUAAUCGGUUAGUAAAAAUUAACAAGUGAUUUUUCAUUUUGAAUCAUAUACUUUUAGUCAUAAGUUUUAUUAAACCAUUUUUAUGUUUAUAUAUAUAUUGGAUAUAGGAUUCUAACACGUACUCGGUUCCUAAUUUUUUUGAAAAUUUUCAAUUUUACAUUUCCAUACGAUUCUGGUUCCAUAGAUUCAAGUCAACAAAGCUAAACAGGGGCAUAUAGGUAAAUUAACAAAGAUCAACUUGCCUUUUUGUUUUUCGUUAUCACCACUCACAUACUCACAUGAACUCUGCAUUAAAAACUGUCUCUCUCAAAUCGAAAGACACAACCCAACUUUUCUCGCAAGUCGCUGUAAAGUUGAUCUCCUUCCUCCUUUUUUAUAUACACACAUCUUCUUCUCCCUUUAACAUCUUUCGCUUCAAACCUCCACUUCCUCUUAACCCUAAAUAAAGAUAUCAAAAGACCGACCUAUAUCAAGAUUUUAUAAAACAAGAACGUCGUCAACGUAACUCACAUAAACAUGCUCGCCGUACACCGCCCUUCCUCCGCUGUGACCGACGGAGACUCCGUCCAGGUCCCGAUGAUGAUAGCUUCUUUUCAAAAACGUUUCCCUUCUCUCUCACGCGACACAACCGCAGCUAGUUUCCACACGCACGAGGUUGGUCCUAACCAGUGCUGCUCCGCCGUGAUCCAAGAGAUCUCCGCCCCUAUUUCUGCCGUAUGGUCCGUCGUCCGACGCUUCGACAACCCGCAAGCUUACAAACACUUCCUCAAAAGCUGCAACGUCAUAGGCGGAGACGGUGGAAACGUUGGUAGCCUCCGUCAAGUCCACGUCGUUUCUGGCCUCCCCGCCGCGAGCUCCACCGAACGUCUCGAUAUCCUAGACGACGAACGUCAUGUUAUUAGUUUCAGCGUCGUUGGUGGAGACCACCGGCUGUCUAACUACCGGUCCGUCACGACUCUUCACUCUUCUCCGAUCUGUGGAACCGUGGUUGUUGAGUCUUACGUCGUUGACGUGCCUCUCGGGAACACUAAAGAAGAGACUUGCGACUUCGUUGACGUUAUAGUACGGUGCAAUCUUCAGUCUCUUGCUAAAAUAGCUGAGAGUUCUGCGGUGGAAGGGAAGAAGAAGACGUCCAUGUAAUGAGUGUUUUGUUGUCUGAGUAGUAUCGUUUUGAUCCGGCGUCGUUUUCUUGUUUUUAAGCCGUCGUGUGAUCUAUGUUUUCCGGCUUAUUGUGUGAAAAAGAGGAGAAUGCCUUAGUAAAUUAAUUUCUUAUGAUAAUAAUCUUAUGUUAUUUUUGUAUUUUAUAUCCAUAAAUAACCGAUUCUUAUAACCCUAUUCCAGCUUUCUCCACCCAAGUUUUGUUCUUUAUGCUUAAAGUUCAAGGGUAAAAAAUUAAAAUGAGCAUAAUAAAUACAUGCACACAUUUUUAUAUUGAAGAUGAACAUGUUGAUGAAAUAAAAUAUGUUUUGAACAUGGUGAUGAAAUAAAAAAAUUUGCAAGUGGACAGUGAAUUGAAGGAGAUAGCCACACAAGCCAAGCUGUUCUUCUUUUCCACUUAAUAAAAAGGAAUGCAAGUUGCAGAUUGUUUAUUUCCACCUCCUUGCUUUCUGAUUCUUCCCAACUGAGCGAUACAAUAUUAUAUUUAUAAUAAUAGAAACAAUCUAGAAUAGAGAAGCGAGCAAGUUGCAUGUCCUGUUACAUCACGAGAGUCACGAUAUGUUUCGUUGGGGUUCCAAGUGAUCUCUACGUACGAUUAUAAAUAAUUAAAACUGAUUUCAUUUGUUUUAUAUAUGAAUUUUUAGAACUCCAAUGGGUAGAACCCCCAUUGGAGGUGCUCUUAGUUAUAUCAAAGUUAAAUCGAUAUUGUAAAUAACACAAACAAACAGCUAGCGAAACGAAUACGUCAUUGCAAAGCACCGAUAUAAUGGAUACGUUGCAGCAUAUGUGGUUUCAUACUUUCAUUUACUGUUUCUUGUGGUCGUCGAAUAUCGACAAAUAUAGCAUAGCUUACAAAUCAUAAGAUGUGUACUUAAUGUGGCCGCGAAAGGUGUAAAAGUAUAAUGAAUGGGAAAGAAUUGGCAGUGCAAGUGGGAGUGGGGUAGAUGAAUGUUUUGUUUUUUUCAAAUAUAUAAAUUGUGCUUUUGGGAUCCUUCGCGCUACCGUUUCCUCUACAUUGAUUGGACCUCUCCCCAAGUUUCCUAUCGGUCAAGAGAAGGAAAACACGUAACAAAAAAGGAAUCGAAUACGAAUAAAUGAAUAUAAUUCACAAGGGUUUACCAAAGGAAUAUAAUUAACAAGUUGCAAAAAGAUCGGUACUUUCCAGCAUUUUACUAUACGGGUGAUGUUCUUAAAGCGAGACACCAAUAUGGACGUACGGCAUUGACACUGUUUCUGGGUCGGGUUAGUAUCUUUAUCCCUAAACCCCAUUAAGGGUUUUUUAAUUUUUUAUUUAUUUUUCUUCUGAUUAGAAAAAAAAAAUUAAAAAGCACACCAAUCGCGGACCGCCAUGUGUCGGUGGAGCCCGCAAACAAUGCAAAAACCACACAACACACGUCUCUUAUUCUGCAACAUUAACCAACCAUUUUUCCAAAAUCGUGCCCCCCCUUAGAGACGCUCAAAAGUGAGCGAUAAAGAUGCUCUAAGGUUGGGGGCUCAUUCGCACUUAAUUCCCUUUUUAAUUUAGCUCUGGUACCAUUUUCAACCAGUAUUUUUUUUUGAGACAAAACAUAAAAAAAUGAGAGAAAUCAUUAACAAAUGGUGCAUCAUUUUCAGAGAAAAAAAUGAGUUUAUGAAUAAUAUUGGCACAAAUUUGAGGAAACAAUAUUCACAGCCUCAUUUUAAUGUUAUACAUUUUAUUUAAAAAUUGAUCCUUAAACUUUUAUAGUUUCGUUUUGUAACUUAAAAAAAUUGAUAUUUGUGUUUUAUGCUUUAAAAUUAUUAAAACUUUCAUAAUACAAUUAUAAUUUUAUAUAAAUCAUUUUAUAUUCUUUUAGAAACUAAAUUUGUGUCUAUAAUGAAUAUAUAGUUAAAAUAAAAAAAAUUCUGGAUAAAUUUGUAUUUUAAAGUGAAAAAUGAGAAGACCAUUGAAGUAAAACACAAACUAUUUUUAGUUGAUAUCAUUUGAGAGAGAAAAAUGAUGCAAACCAUUGGAGAUGUCCUAAACAUUAUGUAGAAAUCCUAAGGAAUUUUGAAGAUUUUAAACCAAAAUUUCAAGAUUAUUCGUGGCAGAAAAAAUAGAUUAUUUGCUUUGUUAGACUAUUUCCAAUGUAUUUUUUUUUGUUUUUAUUCUAAAAUAGAGUGCAUAACUCUAUGAUUGAAUUUAAGUUUACACUAAAUGUAAAAUAGUUUUUUUUCUAAAGUUAGAGUGAAAAUAAAAAAUGCUAUUUCUUUUUCUAUUUAUAGAAUAAACUAAUAAUGUAUAUUUUACAAGAUUAAAUAGAGAUGUAUUGGAGUAGAUUUACUUCUAAUAUUAUCUCUAACCUAUUUCAAUAUUAAAAAAGAAAAGAAAUUCUGUUAUAAUGUUUGCCUGUAUAAUAGAUUUAUUAUAAUUUUAGACGAAAAUAUUAAAAAAAUUAUUUUUGCUUCUAUACUUAAAGUUAAAAUUAACAUUCAUCUAUAUUUCUUUCUAAAAAUAGAAUAACUCUAUUAUAGAUGCAUAUAUUAGUACAAAUCAAUGACUAUAAUAAAAAUCUUCUAUUUUAGCUGAAAUAUAAAAAAUAUAAAAAAGGGUUGGAAAUGUUCUAAACCCCAUUGUCGAAAUAUAUAUAUAUAUAUAUAUAUAUAUAUAUAUAUGUAUGUAUGUAUAUGUAUGUAUGUAUGUAUUUUGAGUAUAUCAUGUUGAGAAUUCUCCAUUGGGAAUGUUUUUAGGCAGAUAUCCAUUAAAUGCCAACGUAUGUAUCUAAUUGUAUAAAAUAGGCUUUGAAUCCCUCUAAAGGGGUCCACAUCAGAUGCCAGCACAUCAAUUCAAAAGCUGGCGAGUCGACACAUGUCCCCCUGUGCUAGACGCUGCGUUUCAUUUAAAUGGAAAUCGUAGUGGGCUUUCGUUGGUUGCAUUAGAGCACGUCACAUGUCUGUCUAUAAAAGAUUGUUCCUUUCGCUUCUUAAUACACAUGAUUUUACGUAAUUAUUUUUGGGCUUUGCAGUUUGCUAUUUUAGGUUUAAAAACCUAUCUCGAUGUCCAAUACAUCCAUCUCCGAGAAGGAAAACCAUCGGGGUUCACCGUCUUCUUCGAUCUCUGCAUAUUUCAUCCGCCAAUGGAGGCCAGUAUGGUUCUGUGAGACGACCCUUCGUUAAGAAUCUCUAAAAUCGAGCUUGAUCCGGGUCGUGUCGUUUCGUUUGAGAUUCUUCCCCUCAGAACCCGUUACGGGAUGCAUUAAUUCAUUGCAAUUAACGACGUUCGUAGCUCCUUCAACCUACUCCAAGGACGAUUCCUCAUUCAAUGCAUCUUUCCUCUACAAGCUAUAAAAAGAUGAGCCUUAAUCCCGUUAACAGAUCACUCUGGCUCAACGUAAACAAUGAAUGGAAAAAGUCUUCGCUUUGCAUGUUUACAGUCCGAUUCCAUCUCACUACUUCUCCAAGAAGGCUCCAGUGAGAUCUCCGGUGACUAAUGAGAAUUCCAUGUCGAAGAGAUUCUUCAAACGGCUGUUUCCUCCUCCUCCGGCUCGACGCAUCAUCAUGAGGCGGCAUGGCUCCGUGAAGCGGAAGGGGGCGGCGUGGGUUUGGAUAAGAUUCGGCGAUUCUCCAAGAGUUUCUCUAGAAAGUACGAGCUUGGUUAUGAAGUUUGCCGUGGCCAUUAACCAGCUGCUAAUGUUAUUCACAAAGCAAAUGUUAAACUUGACGUUUUAGGGUUGUCGACGCGGAAAAGACACGCCUCGCGUGUUUCUCCUCAUUUCCUCUUCUAUGAGAUCUGUUAGAUUGUUUGUAAUUUGUUGUUUAGAUUACGACGGCAAUUGCCACUGAGGAUGUGAAGAGAGAAGUGAAGAUAUUGAAAACUUUGUCUGGUCAUGAUAAUCUACUCAUUUCUAUGAAGCAUAUGAGGAUCAUAAUGAUGUCUAUACUGCGAUGGAGUAAGCUCUCUUUUAGUUCAAACUUCCUUGGAGAGUCUUAUACAAGUGAUUUGUUGUUUUAAGCUAUGUCAAAAAGUAGAGAUUUUGGAUAGAAUACUUUCAAGUUUCAAGGUAAGGGGACACUAGACAGUACACUUCAGACGUAGGAUUGUUUGUUAUAUACUGAACUUGGUAGUGUGUUUUAUGUGCAGAGGCGAAAGGACACAGAGGAGGAUGCAAAGACUGUUAUCAUACAAAUAUUGAAUGUGGUUGCAUUUUGUUAUCUCCUCAGUGUUGUACAUCGAUAAGUCUAACCUCAGGUGAUUAUAAGAAUCUUUUAAGACAGUAAACACUUGGUAAAAAUGCAACCAAGUUUUUUUUUUUUAAAAAAAUAGAAGCUUAAAGCUUCAUAGAAAUGACGAUUCGAAUUUAUCCGUAGUGUGUUUUUCCGGUUUUGGUGGGAAAAAUCUGUUUCCGGUUUUGGCGGGAAAAUUCUGUUUUUCCGGUUUUGGCGGGAAAAUUGUGUUUUUAAGUUUUGGCGGGAAAAUUGUGUUUUCGGUUUUGGCGAAAAAAUUAUGUUUUCCGGUUUUGGCGGGAAAAUUGCGUUUUCCGGUUUUGGCGGAAAAAUUCUGUUUUCUGGUUUUGGCGGGAAAAUUCUGUUUUCCGGUUUUGGCGGGAAAAUUGCAUUUUCUGGUUUUGGCGGGAAAAUUGCGUUUUUCUGGUUUUGGCGGAAAAAUUGUGUUUUUCCGGUUUUGGCGAGAAAAUGCUUUUUGCGGUUUUGGCCGAAAAUAUUUUUUGGAGUUUUGGCGGGAAUAUGCAUUUUUUGGGUUUUGGCGGGAAAUGCGUUUUUUGGGGUUUGGCGGGAAAAUGUGUUUUUUCGGUUUUGACGAGAAAAUGCGUUUUUUUCGAUUUUGGUCGAAAAGUGCGAUUUUACUGGUUUGACCGAAAAAUGUGUUUUUAUAGAAAUGUGUGUUUUACAUUUUUUUUGCGGAAAAACGCAUAUUGCGGUUUUAGCGGGAAUGUGUUUUUCAGUUUUUGCGAGAAAAUGUAUUUUUUGGUUAUAACGGAAAAAUGUAUAUGCAAGAAAAUAGAAUUUACGGUUUGAAAAUAAUAUUUUGAUUUUAAAAAGUCAUUUUUGUCAUUAAUCAUUUUGGACUGAACUAGAUGCAUCUGCAUCCAGAUGCACCAUCAAGACUCACCUUCAUUUGGGUGACAAUUUGAGAUGAGUUUUUAAAAAUUCAGCUGGGUGAUCCAUCUGGAUGUAGCAUUAUAAUGCACAAAACGAACAUCGAUUUGCAUCUUCACCCAGAUGGAUCACCUGGGUGAGCAAACGAACAGGCCCUAUUUACUAAUUUACGUCAUUUACUUUACUAUAAGUUUCUCUUUCUAUUUGCUUCAGAUUCGGAGUUAACAUCUGGGACAAACAGCCAUAGAAAUCUGAAAAAGGCAGCGUUAAUAUUGACCUCUAUGUUACCAACUUAUGCUCUUUUAUUUUUGAACAACAAAGAGCUUGAAGCCUUAUAAAAAGGUAAAUAUCAAAGCCAUGUGAUGCAGGUUGGUAUUUCAACGAGGACAAGGUUUUGGACAGCUUAGUAUGGCUUGGAUGUGUAAUUUAGAUGUUGGCCAAUUAAGUAAACAGUAUGUUUAUAUCAAGGUCACUCUACACAAGUAUAUAUUUCUUUGCAUUUGAAAAUAUGGUUUUUGCAUAUUGUUAUUGCUAUAUAAGCAUUUUGGACAGCUUAGUAUAGCUUGUAUAUUAAAUUUAGCUGUUAGCCAAUUAAGUAAACGAUAUGUAUAUAUAUCAAGGUCACUAUACACAAGUAUAUAUUUUUGGCAUUUGAAAAUAUUCAUUACUAUAUAAGAAAUAUAUUGUUAACAAUAGUUAUAGUCUUUCAAUAAGUGCAAGUCAGAGCAUUGAAAGAACUUAGAAGCUCAAAUGUAGUAUUUGCAUUCAUUAUUUUUAUUCCAUCCUAAACAAAUGUUCUCAACGUCAAGGUAUAAAACAUGACCAGACUGUCUACUUGAAAGGUGUUAGCAACCUUCUUGAUACCAAGUUCAUAUUGUUCUUUUCUUUUGAUAUUUUCUGCUUGAUAACAUUUUAUUUGCUGCAAUAAAUAUGUCGCAUUUUUCAGUUUUGUUCGUUUACUAAUACUUUGUUUAAACUAUAUGCUAGCUUUGAGCGAAAGCUGCUUCCAAGAACUUGAGAGUGGUUGGAACAGAUAGAGGAAACAAGCUACUCUUGAAGAUUCAUCGACAAGUGUAAUUUUUUCAAAUUACAUUUCAUCGAGCCAUGAGAAAUGCAAAGAAGUCACAGAUUUCGUCAAAUUACAUUGGAUGUCUCCAAGUUAGCUAUAUAUAUACACGAACAGGAGAUGAAAAUAUAUUGAUGAUUGUAGUUAUUUCUCUAUCUUUUUCUAGCUUCAAAGAAUUUUUUUUUGUUGAAAACUCAAAGAAUUGUUUUUUUCUCAACAAAUAAUAGGAAUCCUAAAUAAUAUUUUAAAAAAUAAUAGUUAUUAUUAUUUACAAAAUGUAUAGUGGAGAAGAUAUACAUGCAUAUGUGAGACAAAUAUCAUAAUUAGAUCCCAUAAAUUUUCAACCAAAAAAAUGAAAAAUCUUAAAUAAAAUUUACAACACGCACAAAACACAAGACUAUACCGCAACUUAUAUUAAAAUUUACAAGUAUCUAACCAACAUGGCCAGGCUCAAACCCUCAAAAAGCUGCGAUCUCCACAAAAAGAAACAUAUGUGCAAGCAAUGUUUAUUAUACAUAUACUUUAGUUGUUGAAACUAUUUUAUAAUUCACAUUCCGCCCGUAGGGCGGACCGACCCUAGUAUGUAUAUAUAAUAUUUAUUUGUUUCAGUACCAUUACUUCAUUCAAUUAGUAAUUUUAAAACUGAAUAAGUAAUUGGAAUUCUUGGUUCCAAAAUAUGUUUAGACAACUAAACAAUCAAAUCCAAAGCACUGAAUGCCACAAAUUUGAUCAAGAAUAACAAAUCUAUACUAUUAAAACAGAAUCACUAAAAAUCUACCUACAAAAAUCAUAGUUUGACUAAUUUAAUUUCCUAUUAUUUUACCUACACUAACUUACUUAUUAUUAAAUAUAAAAUUUAGCCUAAUACUACAUUAUAUAAAUAUUUUCAAAGUAAAGAUAUCAAAAAGAUAUUCUUAAAUAUAUUUUCUAAGAUUUCAUCUUAAUACAUAUUAUAAUAUUUUUAUUUAAAAUGUAAGUAUAUAUAUAUAAUAUUAACUUUUAAAUAAUAAAAUUCGUAAUUAAUAUUAACUAGUAUUAACCCUGUUCGGAACUACGCUAGGCGCUAGUCUGACGGCGAUCCCGGGCCUAGCGAGUUAUAAAAAAAUCGGGGAUUAAUCGGGGUAUACGCGGGGCCUAGUUUUUAUAUAUUUUAAUUAUAAAUAUACAUAUAUAUAUAUAUAUAUUAAAACAUGUGAAAUCUUAACGUAGAACCGAGAUAGUCUAGCGGUUCGGGAAGCAUUUGCUGCUGUAACAGGUAGAGUGUUCGACGCUCAGGUGAAGCAUCAUUUCUUUUUUAUUAAAUAAGCGCGAAUUAGGAAAAAAAAAUAAAACUGACUUAUAUUUGUCCCAAAUCGACUACUUAUGUCAGUGAGGAGUCUUGGAGUCUCCUAUAUAUUCAUAGAGAAGGAUUCUUAUUUUUACAGACAAUUGGACCUAUUUUAUGGGCCACAUUAUGUCUUAAAAGUCCAAUAGUUGCUGGUUUAAAAUUGGGUUUUAAAUUAUUAAUCGGGUUCCCGAUUAGUUCAGCCGAUUUGACUAAAUCAUGGCGGUGAACAUCCGUCAAGCGCCUAACCAGGUGCCUAGUCGGCUAGGCGUCCGCGUUUUAGAACAUGGAGUACUACUAAAGAAUGUUAAUUUAUUUUCGAUUUAUAUAAUAUGAAAUAACAUUUCUAUAAUAUUUAUAUAUACAUAAUUUAAAUUCAUAAUUAAAUUACUACACUAAUUAAUAAAUAUAAAAUAACUUAAUUCAUUUAUUAAGUAUUUUUAUAAAUAUAAAAUUAAAAUAACUACAUAUACAGAAUAACUAAUAUUCAUAAAAUUUUACAACACACUCAUGCUUAUUAAAAAAAAUAUGAAAGUAAGAUAUUUAAAAUAAUCGAUAAUUUUAUAUUUUAAUACACUUUUUACUUUAGAAUAUUCAAAGAUAAUUUAAUAUAUUUGAAUGUGAUAAAAUACAAUAGUUAUUAAUAGUAUUUGAUUAUAUGGUACAUUGAACUAUAGGUUAUGUUUUACUCUUUUCAAAUUAUUUCUUAAACAUGUAAAAAGUUAUCAAGUAUGAGAGAAUGACAUAUAUUUCAUUUAUAUCAUAAUAAAAUAAAUUUUGACAAAUAUAAGAAGUUAAAAAUAAAUUCAUAUUAUAAUUUUAAAGAUUGAAAAUAUAAGCCAAAUUAAUACGAUUUAUAUAAAUUAAUUCUUUCAUUUUCUUAAAAUUAUAUUUAUAGAAAUUUUAAUUUAAUUAUAUAUACUUUAAAAAAUUGUUUUUAUAAAAACACAUGUCUAAAAUUUCUAGUUUGCAUUAAAUAAUUUUCCAAAUUUUUAAAUAACCCGCGUUUUCAAUUUUUUAUUAAUUCUGCGUUUUGAAAGCGCAUGUCAAAAUCUAGUAGUGUAUUAAAUAUGAUAAGAUAAUUCUAUGUAUAAUUCUACGUAAUUUUCAAGAACAUGCGAUAAUUCUAUGUAUAAUAUUGGUAUAUACUAAUGUAAUGGCCAAUUAACAGUUCUCGAUAAGGAGGAAGCUAAGGCUUUUAAAAAUUUGAGGCGAAAAACAGAAAUUCAAAAUAAUGCAGCAAUAUGUGUUGUAAACCUUGUUCUAAAACGCGGCGCGGAUGACCGAUUAUCCGGCGAGUAAACGUGAUGCGGCUUCAGUCCGUGGCGAUUUGCUAUCAAUCGGAUAGUUAAGCGGUAUAAUACAAAAAAAUCUUUGUUUUUUGCGAUUUUGAACCUCAAAAUCGAUUACUAUUGGCAAAUAUAUAGUCUUGAUGUGUAAACAACAACUAGAACGCACAAAAAAAAAAGAAUUGAUGAAGAAAAUCCAUGGCGGCCGUGAAAAAAAUGUUGCAGAAUUGUCAAAACUUUAAUAUGAAGACGAAGAGGUAAUUACGAAACUGCCACUCAUUAAAUAAUAUAUAAAAAAAGCAAAACUGACCACGGUGCUGGUCGAACCCGGAGCCAACGACCAACAAUCAAUGACUAUACCACCAGACCACUUGUAAUCUUUACAUAUGUUUUCAUAAACUCGUCUUUGUACAUACAUUUAUUUUAAAAAUAAAAUAAAGCUUCAAAAUUAAUCCCCGAUUACUCCCCGAUUAAAGUCCGAUUUUUUCGUUAGGUGCUAGGCUCAACCCGAGCGCACGCGUAACGCCUAGCGAGUUUCCGAACAAGGGUUGUAAAUGAGUUGAGUCGGUGGUUUAGAGAUAGAAAGAGAAAGACGAUUGAAAGUGCGAUUUCGAGAUCUGAAAAUACCGGCUUUGCAGAUUCGUGGAUAAGCGACGGUGUUGAAGAUCGAAUCUUGUAUCCCUGUGGAGGGCUUCAGCAUCUUCUUCUCCAAAAGUGGUAAGAGGUCUUUUAGGAGAAAGGCAAGGAUAAGUCACCUGGUCUGAUAAAGAGUUUAGUGUUGCGAAGAUGUCGUCAGCGAUGGACAAGGCCCUCAUGGCCAUGUCGCUUGAAGAUGAUGAAGAUACGCCUUUUGUUAUGCCGGAUCUGCCGGAGUUCAGAUCAGCGGAAAGAAACAGUAGAAGCGUAAUUGGUCGGCUACUCAAUCCAGAUUGUCAGAAGAUGGCAAGACUCAUCUUAGAGAUGCCUCGCAAAUGGCAAAAGUAUGGAAGAGUUAGAUGAAUAGCUCUGUCGAAGGAAAGAUUUCAAUUCAUCUUUGAUCAUGAACAUGAUCUAAUAGGUGUCUUAGAAAAAAGGGGUUCAUACUCACAAUGAAUGCCCCAUAGUGAUUGAGAGAUGGUCUGAAAACCCCUCUCCUGAUUCCCUACAAUAUGUUCCAAUUUGGGUUUGUAUCCGUAAUAUCCCGGUGAUCUACUACAACGAGCUUGCGAUUGAAGCCUUGGGGGAUUUUGGUGGGGCAUGUAGUAGAAGUUGCGUUUGAUUCUUCCAAAGCGCAGUGCCAGGAUUAUGUGAGGGUCAAGGUGAUGUUUGAUGUAUCAAGACCUCUUAGAAAAGAAAAAGUUCUUAACAUUCCAAAUGGUGAAAAGACAAAGAUAUUCUUCUACUAUGAAAGAAUUCAGAAGAGAUGUUAUACCUGUCAGAGAAUGACGCAUGAUCAAUAUGUGUGUCCCAUUAAUAUCCAGAGAAGACAAGCUGAAGCGGACCUAAGAAGAGCAUGGAUUGUGGUAACGAAAAAGAAGCCAUCUUUAGUCUUGACGGAAUCUGAUCCGUUAUAUGGAGUCCUGGAGGAAAGUCAAGUUGGAAUUAAUCCAAACACUGGAAGACCUAGGAUUGCUGCAGAAGUAAUAGAGGGUAUGAGGCAAUAUCUUAUGCUGGCUACAGAGGAAGAUAGACAUAUCAGGGAAGAAAGAGUGAAGAGGUCGGUUAAAGAAGCUGAGAAGGAUCCGAUUUUGAAAAAAACUGCCUUAAGCUUGGAACCAGUUCCUUUGAUUACUAAAUAUCUGUCUAGGGGCAAAGGAAUUAUGUUUGAUUACACAUCGAAUGAGCCUGCUCCUCAGAUGGAAACGAAAAGACCAAAAGAACAAAAGUUGAUGGCAGCUGCGAUUAAGGCUAACUCGGGUACAGUGUGGAGAGCUGAGUCCACAGCCUUGAUUGAGGGAUACUCUUCAGAAGAGAAGUCUACAAGCUCCUCUUCAUCCUUUAGUAGCUCUACGGGUUGUAGAUUGGACAAGCGUGAGUCCAAUCUUCCCGAGACUUCCUCUAAUAAAUUAAGGAUUAGGAAGAGACCGGGUAAAAAUAAAAGGAACUCGAAAGCAUCUUCUGCUGCUGGAGAUAACAUCCAAAUCUCUUUGAAGGAUGGAAUGCUUAUUGGAUGCCUGGAAAAACGGAAAGCGAAAGAUCAGAUGGGAGGAGUUUCCAAAGCUGCAAAGCAAACAACUCAAGUGGUUGUCCCGCGUGAGGGACGGCCCAAAGCGUAAUUAGUCUACUCUCUUGGAAUUGUCGAGGACUGGGACGGUCCCAGGACUUGACAAUGAAUAGACUCAUGGAAAUACGUAAAAAAUAUUUCCUUGAGUUGUUAUUUCUAAUGGAAACAAUGCAUACGAGGAAUGAUCUUGUAGAUAUUCAAGUUUGGUUAGGGUAUGAUCAUGUACAUAAUGUAAACUCAGUGGGUAGAAGCGGCAGUCUGGCAGUUUUUUGGAAGAACUCGGGGAUUGUAAAUAUUCUAUCUUCGAAUAAGAACUUAGUUGAUCUGAAUGUUCAGUUUGGGGAUAAGAAGUUUUUUUGUUUCUUGUAUAUAUGGUGAUCCCAAUGAAAGCAAAAGACAGUGGGUGUGGGAGAAGAUUUCUAGAAUUGGAGUUAGUAGGAAGCUUCCUUGGUGUUAACUAGGAGAUUUUAAUGCCAUCUGCGACAACGGUGAAAAGCUAGGAGGCCCUAUGAGGACUGAUGAUGUCUUUACAGACUCCAACAACAUGCUAAGUGUUUUUGGGAUGAAGGAGCUUACUGGUCAUGGAGAUCCAUUCACUUGGGCAGGUCGAAGAGGAAAUUUGUGGAUUCGCUCCAAAUUGGAUAGAUGCUUCGGUAACAAAGAAUGGUUGAAUCUAUUUCCUGCUGCGAAUCAAGUUUUUCUGGAAAAACGAGGCUCUGAUCAUAGACCCGUUUUAGUAAAUCUAUUGAGAGCUAAUGAAAAGAGGAAAGGAAGAUUCAGAUUUGAUAAAUUCUUGCUGAGAAUUUUUAAUAUCAAGAGGGUGGUUAUUAAUGCAUGGAAAGGCCAGAGGAGUAAUGAAAAUAAUAAAGUUGGGGUGAGAAUCAAAAGAUGUCGAACAUAUGUCUGAAGAUUCAAAAGGAGAAAUUGCUGCUUCCUAUUUCCAAGAUCUAUUCUCUUCCUCUAAUCCAAUGGAAUUUGGAAGUAUAUUUCAAGACUUCAUACCGAGAGUCACAGAUCAGAUGAACUGUGAUUUGCUAUCUCCAGUAACAGAUGGUGAAAUUAGAGAAGCGGUUUUCUCAAUAAAGAAAUCGAGUGCGCAAGGACCUGAUGGUAUGACCGCCCUAUUCUUCCAAAGAUUUUGGGGAGACAUCGGAGAGAAUGUAUCUUUGGAAGUAAAGGAAUUUUUCAGGGAGGGUCAUUUUGCAAAGGAAUGGAACCUAACUCAUCUGUGUCUCAUUCCCAAGAUUGUGAAGCCUCAGAAGAUGAUAGAUCUCCGUCCCAUCAGCCUUUGUUCUGUUUUCUACAAAAUAAUUUCGAAGAUAAUGGUCAGGAGGUUGCAACCAUUACUCCCUCAGAUUGUCUCGCCUACUCAAUCAGCCUUCGUCCCUGAGAGAAAUAUAGCUGACAACAUUUUGGUGGUCCAUGAAGUGGUUCAUGGUUUGAGAACCUUUGAACCGAUUGCUUCUCAGUUUAUGGCAUUGAAGUCUGAUAUGUCUAAGGCUUACGAUAGGGUGGAAUGGAAAUACUCAGGAAGUUUUCUGACGGCAUUGGGAUUUCAUCCAAAAUGGGUUGAUCUGACGAUGUUUUGUGUUUCAACUGUCUCCUACGCGGUUUUGAUUAACAAUCAAGAACAUGGUUUGAUUAGCCGUCACAGAGGUCUGAGAUAGGGUGAUCCGAUGUCACCAGCUCUCUUUGCUCUGUGCACUGAAGGAUUUUCUCACCUCUUAGCCAAAGCCGAAAUGGAAGGAAGCAUCAGUGGAGUCAGGUUUUCAACUCAAGGCCCUUCUAUAAGUCAUUUGCUCUUCGCAGAUGAUAGCUUGUUUAUGUGCAAACCGGAUAUCAGGCAAGUUAUUGCUCUUCAAGGUAUCCUUAAGACAUACGGUGAAGGUACAGGUCAGGUUAUCAACCUCCAAAAGCCAUCCCUAACUUUUGGUAAGGGUAUACCUGAGGAGAUUAGAACUAGUAUUAGAGAAAGCUUUGGAAUCUUCAAUGAAGGAGGAGCAGGAACCUACUUAGGAUUACCUGAAUGCUUCAGUGGUUCAAAGAUCGAAAUGUUUAACUACAUCAAGAUUAAGCUGAAGAAGAGGCUGCCAGGCUGGUUUGCGAGAUACCUAUCAUUAGGCGGAAAAGAAGUUCUUCUCAAAGCCGCCGCCUUAGCCUUUCAUGUGUACGCAAUGAGCUGCUUCAAGCUUCCAAAAACAACUAUAGUAAAUCUCACAAGUGCUAUGGCUACUUUUUGGUGGCACACAGUGGAUCAUAAGAGGAAGAUUCAUUGGGUGCGAUGGGAGAAGAUGUGCCUUCCAAAAGAUUUGGGCGGUUUGGGUUUCAAAAGUUUAGAAAGCUUCAACCAGGCACUCUUGGCGAAACAAGCUUGGAAACAACUACAAAACCCAAACUCUCUUAUCACCAGACUGUUGAAAAGUAGAUACUUUGAUUCAAAUGCUUUCUUAGAAGCUAAGAUGAGCAAGAGGCUUUCCUUCGGUUGGAGAAGUUUGAUGUAUGGAAGAGAUCUUUUAGUAAAAGGCCUUAGGAAAGAAAUUGGAAAUGGUAAAUCGCUCUAUGUUUGGACGGAUCCUUGGUGUGAUUUUGGUGGCAGAUGGAACCCAUGGAUGAUGAAUCCAAUCAUUAAUCUGGAUAUGAAGGUUAGUGAGCUUAUAAACCAAGAGACAUGUGAUUGGAGAAGAGAUGUUCUGGAGGCGAAUUUCUUCCCUGGAGACGUGGACAUAAUCCUUAAAAAGAAAACGGUGGUCUCGGUGGAGGACUUUGGUGUUGGAAACAUAAUCGUAGUGGGGAGUACACUGUCAGAUCAGGGAAUUGGCUGGCAUCUCAAUCUCUUUUGAAAGAAGAGUUUCAAGAAGCAAGAAUGCAACCUUCAAUCAAUUGUCUUAAAGAAGCAACCUGGCAUGCUGCAACUUCGCCAAAGAUUUAAAUGUUUUUGUGGAGAGCUUUAUCAGGUAUUAUCCCAGUGGCUAAGUUCACUGAGGAGUCGAGGAAUGAAGGUUGAUUCUGUAUGUCAGCACUGUGGAGUACAAACAGAAACUCCGAAUCAUGUGCUAUUCACCUGUGAUGUGGCCAGACAAGUGUGGGCUCUAUCCAACUUUCCAUCUCCUUUAAACGGGUUUCACUCUGAUUCUAUCUUUGUGAAUUUCCACUACCUAUUCCAAAUGAGCAAGAAUAUAAGGAUACCUCGAGAGAUCAGAAGUUGUUACCCUUGGAUUAUGUGGUUCCUUUGGAAGAAUAGAAACAAACUAUUGUUUGAAGGAUCUGAGUUUAAGGUUGUGGAGAUUGUCGACAAAGAUUAUGAUGAAGCCGCUGUUUGGUUUAAAGCGCAAAAAUUAGACAGAGAAGGAGAAAAAUGUGACAUGGAGCUAGAACUGUCUCUGAAAAGAACCUGGAGUAAACCCGCUAGGAACUGGAAGAAAUGUAACUAUGGAUUCUCGUGGUCUAAGCGGAAGAAGCUGUUGGGAGCGGCUUGGAUUGUUAGAGACUACAGGGGUGAGUCUCUUCUGCAUAGUAGAAGAUCUUUUGCGAAUGUGUUGGAUUUACAAGAGGCAAAGAUGAUUGUUCUAUGCUGGACCUUGGAAUCUAUGGCUGCUCAUCGACUAGAUAAUGUCAUAAUAGCUGGGGAGGAUGCUACACUACUCAAAGUGAUCGAAUGACCAAGAGCUUGGCCUUCCUUUACUUUUGAGUUUCAGACUCUUAAUAUACUUUUGAAUAGAUUCAGUGGCUCUAAUAGAUGUGCCUUUUCCAUGGCCGAAAGUGCCCAGCAAGUGCAGUGGGGUCAAUCCUAUGUAGCCAUAGGUGCUCCUAGGUGGUUAGCCGAUGUUCUUUUGGAUGACAAAGGUUAAAUCUGUUAUGAGCUUAUUCCCUGUUUCUUAGCAGGUUGUACUUUUUUGGUUAGUACUUGUUUGUGGUCCUUGUAUAUUUUUUAUUACUUCUGGUCCUUAGUACCAUGUUGUAGUGUGGUAAUACUUGUAUGUACUUAGUUCUCUUGGCUGGUAAGCCUUAAUGGAAUGAUCUUUUGAGGAAAAAAAAUAUAUGUGUUGUAAAUGAUGGAUAAUAACUAUUUAUGCCAUGUAAAAAUCAUGCAACGUGAAAUAUACUAACAUACGAAUGGUUGUGUGCAGAAAAAAAAUUAAGAAGCGAUAAAAAGUUUUAGAAGAAAAUACUCGAAUUGUGUUCACUCAGAACUCAUUUAAAAAAAACAAGGAGGUGAUGAUAAUAUAUCAAAUUCCAACGAGAGAUAACAAUAGUUUUUUUUUUUGAGAUAACAAUAGUUAUUACAUUAUCCUUCCUCUAUUUCUGGAUAAGUAUCACUUUAGCAUUUUUUUUUUGUUACAUAAAAAAUGCCAUUCUACAAUUCCAAUGCAAUUUAUAAUCAAUUUCAAUCAAAUAUUAAUUGUAAAAUACAUUGAUCUUAUAAAUAAAUAUGUUUAUCUCAAAUACUAAGGUUAACUAGUUGUAAUUAAUAAAAACAUAAAUACAUUUUAAUUAUUUUUAACGUGUAAAAAGUGUCUAAGUGAUAUUCUUUAUGAAACGGAGAGAGUAUAACCAAAAUCAGUCAAAAGAAACUACCAUAAAAAUUUCCUAGGGAGGUUUUCUCCAUCUCUAUUGCUUACUUUGUUUCAUAUUUUACCUCACGAUAAGUUUCUGAUCUAUUUUCAAAAAAGGAAAAGUUUCUGAUCUAAAAUCAACAUCUCGGAUAUUAAUAUAACUGGGCUAAAUUUCCUCAGCUAUUAUUUAAGACCCACUGUGGGCUAUAUAACAUAUUUCUUAUGAAACAAUGAGUUGGGUCGGUUGAUGCAUCAUACCAUCUGAGUGGCACUACUACAUCGCCAAAGAUAUUUGGAUAUUAUUGGAUUGGAUCCUACUACUGCUCCAGGCCUUUAACAAAUUACCCACGAAAAUUGGUGAAGUUCAUUGUUGAGGAUUCAUCCUAUAAUUUUGGCUCAAUUCAAUAAUCACCUUAAGCCUAACCGGAUCAAAUCAAUCACAGAAUCAAGCAAGAAAGAAAUAAGAACACACGAGAUUUUGUUUACCCGGUGUUCACCGCACUUUUCCGAUGUGGAGAAGCCGCUAUACAUCACCGGGGAGAGAAACGGUCUCUCAACCAAUCCACUAUAACCAAUGUGAUUACAUAUACGGACACACACGGAUGUCCUGUGUGUGCUGACAGACAACCACAAACAGCCACGGAUGUUCUGUGUGUGCUGGCGUGUCACGCCCCCAAUCCUGGAAAGGAUUGUCGGGACGGCCAUGGUUCGAGGAAACGUACAAGCCAGUCUUAGGACAUCAAGGCAAGCGUUCCAUGGUCGAGAAAGAAGGUUAAGGACAUAAGGAAACUUAGACUUAACCUUAUACAAGCUAAGAGACAACUAGGACGAGUAAGACGGUAACUUGACGAAGUGGAAGAGUAGCUCGGCCAGCUCAAUGAAGCUAGGUUUAGUUCACUCCAGCUCAGUCCCUACUAAGUCAGCUCCACUAGCUGGACUACUAUCUCACCCAGCUGAGGCAGCUGAGAGUCAGCUCACCUCAGCUAGACGGACUGUUCGGGAUUUAGGCCGAUGGUCCGGGUCCGGGUCAGUGACAGGCUGUGAGGUCCGGCCAUGAGGCCAUGGGUUGUUUCUUGUAUAUAUGGUGAUCCCAAUGAAAGCAAAAGACAGUGGGUGUGGGAGAAGAUUUCUAGAAUUGGAGUUAGUAGGAAGCUUCCUUGGUGUUAACUAGGAGAUUUUAAUGCCAUCUGCGACAACGGUGAAAAGCUAGGAGGCCCUAUGAGGACUGAUGAUGUCUUUACAGACUCCAACAACAUGCUAAGUGUUUUUGGGAUGAAGGAGCUUACUGGUCAUGGAGAUCCAUUCACUUGGGCAGGUCGAAGAGGAAAUUUGUGGAUUCGCUCCAAAUUGGAUAGAUGCUUCGGUAACAAAGAAUGGUUGAAUCUAUUUCCUGCUGCGAAUCAAGUUUUUCUGGAAAAACGAGGCUCUGAUCAUAGACCCGUUUUAGUAAAUCUAUUGAGAGCUAAUGAAAAGAGGAAAGGAAGAUUCAGAUUUGAUAAAUUCUUGCUGAGAAUUUUUAAUAUCAAGAGGGUGGUUAUUAAUGCAUGGAAAGGCCAGAGGAGUAAUGAAAAUAAUAAAGUUGGGGUGAGAAUCAAAAGAUGUCGAACAUAUGUCUGAAGAUUCAAAAGGAGAAAUUGCUGCUUCCUAUUUCCAAGAUCUAUUCUCUUCCUCUAAUCCAAUGGAAUUUGGAAGUAUAUUUCAAGACUUCAUACCGAGAGUCACAGAUCAGAUGAACUGUGAUUUGCUAUCUCCAGUAACAGAUGGUGAAAUUAGAGAAGCGGUUUUCUCAAUAAAGAAAUCGAGUGCGCAAGGACCUGAUGGUAUGACCGCCCUAUUCUUCCAAAGAUUUUGGGGAGACAUCGGAGAGAAUGUAUCUUUGGAAGUAAAGGAAUUUUUCAGGGAGGGUCAUUUUGCAAAGGAAUGGAACCUAACUCAUCUGUGUCUCAUUCCCAAGAUUGUGAAGCCUCAGAAGAUGAUAGAUCUCCGUCCCAUCAGCCUUUGUUCUGUUUUCUACAAAAUAAUUUCGAAGAUAAUGGUCAGGAGGUUGCAACCAUUACUCCCUCAGAUUGUCUCGCCUACUCAAUCAGCCUUCGUCCCUGAGAGAAAUAUAGCUGACAACAUUUUGGUGGUCCAUGAAGUGGUUCAUGGUUUGAGAACCUUUGAACCGAUUGCUUCUCAGUUUAUGGCAUUGAAGUCUGAUAUGUCUAAGGCUUACGAUAGGGUGGAAUGGAAAUACUCAGGAAGUUUUCUGACGGCAUUGGGAUUUCAUCCAAAAUGGGUUGAUCUGACGAUGUUUUGUGUUUCAACUGUCUCCUACGCGGUUUUGAUUAACAAUCAAGAACAUGGUUUGAUUAGCCGUCACAGAGGUCUGAGAUAGGGUGAUCCGAUGUCACCAGCUCUCUUUGCUCUGUGCACUGAAGGAUUUUCUCACCUCUUAGCCAAAGCCGAAAUGGAAGGAAGCAUCAGUGGAGUCAGGUUUUCAACUCAAGGCCCUUCUAUAAGUCAUUUGCUCUUCGCAGAUGAUAGCUUGUUUAUGUGCAAACCGGAUAUCAGGCAAGUUAUUGCUCUUCAAGGUAUCCUUAAGACAUACGGUGAAGGUACAGGUCAGGUUAUCAACCUCCAAAAGCCAUCCCUAACUUUUGGUAAGGGUAUACCUGAGGAGAUUAGAACUAGUAUUAGAGAAAGCUUUGGAAUCUUCAAUGAAGGAGGAGCAGGAACCUACUUAGGAUUACCUGAAUGCUUCAGUGGUUCAAAGAUCGAAAUGUUUAACUACAUCAAGAUUAAGCUGAAGAAGAGGCUGCCAGGCUGGUUUGCGAGAUACCUAUCAUUAGGCGGAAAAGAAGUUCUUCUCAAAGCCGCCGCCUUAGCCUUUCAUGUGUACGCAAUGAGCUGCUUCAAGCUUCCAAAAACAACUAUAGUAAAUCUCACAAGUGCUAUGGCUACUUUUUGGUGGCACACAGUGGAUCAUAAGAGGAAGAUUCAUUGGGUGCGAUGGGAGAAGAUGUGCCUUCCAAAAGAUUUGGGCGGUUUGGGUUUCAAAAGUUUAGAAAGCUUCAACCAGGCACUCUUGGCGAAACAAGCUUGGAAACAACUACAAAACCCAAACUCUCUUAUCACCAGACUGUUGAAAAGUAGAUACUUUGAUUCAAAUGCUUUCUUAGAAGCUAAGAUGAGCAAGAGGCUUUCCUUCGGUUGGAGAAGUUUGAUGUAUGGAAGAGAUCUUUUAGUAAAAGGCCUUAGGAAAGAAAUUGGAAAUGGUAAAUCGCUCUAUGUUUGGACGGAUCCUUGGUGUGAUUUUGGUGGCAGAUGGAACCCAUGGAUGAUGAAUCCAAUCAUUAAUCUGGAUAUGAAGGUUAGUGAGCUUAUAAACCAAGAGACAUGUGAUUGGAGAAGAGAUGUUCUGGAGGCGAAUUUCUUCCCUGGAGACGUGGACAUAAUCCUUAAAAAGAAAACGGUGGUCUCGGUGGAGGACUUUGGUGUUGGAAACAUAAUCGUAGUGGGGAGUACACUGUCAGAUCAGGGAAUUGGCUGGCAUCUCAAUCUCUUUUGAAAGAAGAGUUUCAAGAAGCAAGAAUGCAACCUUCAAUCAAUUGUCUUAAAGAAGCAACCUGGCAUGCUGCAACUUCGCCAAAGAUUUAAAUGUUUUUGUGGAGAGCUUUAUCAGGUAUUAUCCCAGUGGCUAAGUUCACUGAGGAGUCGAGGAAUGAAGGUUGAUUCUGUAUGUCAGCACUGUGGAGUACAAACAGAAACUCCGAAUCAUGUGCUAUUCACCUGUGAUGUGGCCAGACAAGUGUGGGCUCUAUCCAACUUUCCAUCUCCUUUAAACGGGUUUCACUCUGAUUCUAUCUUUGUGAAUUUCCACUACCUAUUCCAAAUGAGCAAGAAUAUAAGGAUACCUCGAGAGAUCAGAAGUUGUUACCCUUGGAUUAUGUGGUUCCUUUGGAAGAAUAGAAACAAACUAUUGUUUGAAGGAUCUGAGUUUAAGGUUGUGGAGAUUGUCGACAAAGAUUAUGAUGAAGCCGCUGUUUGGUUUAAAGCGCAAAAAUUAGACAGAGAAGGAGAAAAAUGUGACAUGGAGCUAGAACUGUCUCUGAAAAGAACCUGGAGUAAACCCGCUAGGAACUGGAAGAAAUGUAACUAUGGAUUCUCGUGGUCUAAGCGGAAGAAGCUGUUGGGAGCGGCUUGGAUUGUUAGAGACUACAGGGGUGAGUCUCUUCUGCAUAGUAGAAGAUCUUUUGCGAAUGUGUUGGAUUUACAAGAGGCAAAGAUGAUUGUUCUAUGCUGGACCUUGGAAUCUAUGGCUGCUCAUCGACUAGAUAAUGUCAUAAUAGCUGGGGAGGAUGCUACACUACUCAAAGUGAUCGAAUGACCAAGAGCUUGGCCUUCCUUUACUUUUGAGUUUCAGACUCUUAAUAUACUUUUGAAUAGAUUCAGUGGCUCUAAUAGAUGUGCCUUUUCCAUGGCCGAAAGUGCCCAGCAAGUGCAGUGGGGUCAAUCCUAUGUAGCCAUAGGUGCUCCUAGGUGGUUAGCCGAUGUUCUUUUGGAUGACAAAGGUUAAAUCUGUUAUGAGCUUAUUCCCUGUUUCUUAGCAGGUUGUACUUUUUUGGUUAGUACUUGUUUGUGGUCCUUGUAUAUUUUUUAUUACUUCUGGUCCUUAGUACCAUGUUGUAGUGUGGUAAUACUUGUAUGUACUUAGUUCUCUUGGCUGGUAAGCCUUAAUGGAAUGAUCUUUUGAGGAAAAAAAAUAUAUGUGUUGUAAAUGAUGGAUAAUAACUAUUUAUGCCAUGUAAAAAUCAUGCAACGUGAAAUAUACUAACAUACGAAUGGUUGUGUGCAGAAAAAAAAUUAAGAAGCGAUAAAAAGUUUUAGAAGAAAAUACUCGAAUUGUGUUCACUCAGAACUCAUUUAAAAAAAACAAGGAGGUGAUGAUAAUAUAUCAAAUUCCAACGAGAGAUAACAAUAGUUUUUUUUUUUGAGAUAACAAUAGUUAUUACAUUAUCCUUCCUCUAUUUCUGGAUAAGUAUCACUUUAGCAUUUUUUUUUUGUUACAUAAAAAAUGCCAUUCUACAAUUCCAAUGCAAUUUAUAAUCAAUUUCAAUCAAAUAUUAAUUGUAAAAUACAUUGAUCUUAUAAAUAAAUAUGUUUAUCUCAAAUACUAAGGUUAACUAGUUGUAAUUAAUAAAAACAUAAAUACAUUUUAAUUAUUUUUAACGUGUAAAAAGUGUCUAAGUGAUAUUCUUUAUGAAACGGAGAGAGUAUAACCAAAAUCAGUCAAAAGAAACUACCAUAAAAAUUUCCUAGGGAGGUUUUCUCCAUCUCUAUUGCUUACUUUGUUUCAUAUUUUACCUCACGAUAAGUUUCUGAUCUAUUUUCAAAAAAGGAAAAGUUUCUGAUCUAAAAUCAACAUCUCGGAUAUUAAUAUAACUGGGCUAAAUUUCCUCAGCUAUUAUUUAAGACCCACUGUGGGCUAUAUAACAUAUUUCUUAUGAAACAAUGAGUUGGGUCGGUUGAUGCAUCAUACCAUCUGAGUGGCACUACUACAUCGCCAAAGAUAUUUGGAUAUUAUUGGAUUGGAUCCUACUACUGCUCCAGGCCUUUAACAAAUUACCCACGAAAAUUGGUGAAGUUCAUUGUUGAGGAUUCAUCCUAUAAUUUUGGCUCAAUUCAAUAAUCACCUUAAGCCUAACCGGAUCAAAUCAAUCACAGAAUCAAGCAAGAAAGAAAUAAGAACACACGAGAUUUUGUUUACCCGGUGUUCACCGCACUUUUCCGAUGUGGAGAAGCCGCUAUACAUCACCGGGGAGAGAAACGGUCUCUCAACCAAUCCACUAUAACCAAUGUGAUUACAUAGUACGUCAUCAGAGGUUUCACUCGUCUUCUUCCUCUCUCGAUUACACCUAAUCCGAGUUACAAGAUUGAGGAAAAAGAACAAGACUAUGAGACUAGAUACACCUGAGAACCUCCUCUCUCUCUCUAGCUCUAUCUCUCACCAACUCAACCUCUCUCUCUCAUCUCGAGCUCUCGCAUCUUCCAUCUCGAGCUCUCGGUCUCUGUUUCUGUUACGAUGGUCACGAUGAAGAAGAUGAUCUUGAUACCCAGAAAAUAUCCAGCUGAGAUAAUAACAACUCACGUGCUCCUCAUGUGCAUAUCAUUAACUUUAGUAAAACCUUCUGCUGGACCAAGAGUCUUUCCUUCACUCAGCAUAUUCGAACCUUCUGUUUGGCUUAGAAGGUUAGGAGAUUGAUCACAUAAUCCCACAAUUCUCCACCUUGGCGUCAAUCUUCUAUAGCCCCAAACUCCUCUUGAGCUUUCCUCCGGUGAUUGAGUAGACUUGCUCAUCUUCUGUAUCUCCCUGCAUCUCCUUGCAGUCUCCUGAGAAAAUAUAUUCCUCAGCUUCAUACUUCUCUGAAUAAAACCCAUUCAGCUUCAUCUUACUUUGAGCUUCAGCGCUCAGCUUCAACGCUUCCUGAAACUUGUUUCCUCCAACAUCUAUCUUGAUAAACCUGAAGACUUCCUUGCCACUGCUCCAUGGAAACUUUAAACCCAGCUCCAGCCUUGAUAACUCCCAAUCUUCAAUCACUGAAUCAGCAUCAAUGAACCAGACAUGUAAUUUGUUGUGAUGUGAAUCACAAUCUCAUUCCUGUGUCAAUAACACACACACGCCUUCUUAAGUUUCUUUUCCCAGCACUCCACACACUUGUGUCACGCCAAACUUCUUCAUUGAUCUUCCUUUGGCUCUUUCCAUAACCUGGAAACUUGAGAAAACCACACACCAGUAACUCAACGUACACUCCAUAAGCUUUUCCUUUGACUAGUAUAGAUCAGCCUAUGAUGCUUGACUUGUUACUGCAACUUAGGUCUUCAAAUAGUCUGCCAAAACCUGAAACGAUACUUUCUUGAAACUCUCGUAGAAACUGAAUCACCACUGCCGCACACCAGAAGCACUUUGACUCAAGAAACCUUGUAGACAACCUCAACAGCUAGUAGAAACUCACUGCUUAUCCUGAAGUUUUCCUCUACACCAAUCUGUCUGAACUUUAAACCUGAACAUCACUCUGCACUGCUGCUUUGACCAGCAGAACACGCCACCUAACUCAACCCGGUUAAGAAGACUUUCGAUGUAGAGAUCUCUGCUCAAACCCUGCUCAAACAAAUCUGCCUCAACAGAACUUCAGACAACAAAUCUGACCACCUGCUGACUUCUUUAUCCCUGCCUCAUACUCACAAAACCUGUGAAAAUUCGUGAGACACCUUUGCGGUAGCAAAGAACCUGUGCUUCGCUGACCUGCGAACCUUACCAGAACUUGGUAUACAAACGUCCCUGCCUGUUUCAGACUUUACCGAGAACUCCAUUUUCCAGUAGCUCAAUCCUUCUUGUACUCUUUUGUGACAGUACCAGCAACACUUGCUCUUUGUCUCCUUGUAGCUACUCUUAGACAACUCCCUGAGCUUGUUCAGCUUGGCUAUUGACUCAAACAGCUCCACCUUGAACUGUUUUUCCGGUCCCUGUGAAUACCUGCAAAAAAUAAACCUCACAAGUAUUUUAUAUAUCGAUUAAUCAUACCAGUUUUGACUCUGCCUUGAUGUCCUUGAACUCCAUGCUUUCUGUGGAGAACCCAUACGGACACUGCCAACAUCCUCUUCACAUCUCGGACCACAAGCUGAACCCCUUUACUCCAUUUGCUUAUACCCUGUUGAGAUUUGAACCGGCUGACACUGACUUGGCUCUCUUUUACUCUUCUUACUGCACAAAACCCAACCUGAAUCUCUGUAGCUCUUGAAAGCUUAUCCGCAGAACCUUUGAAACCUUUUCAAACUGAAGUAGACCUAAGAACACUGUCUGAAACAUAACACUGCUCCACCUGAAACAAUAAACUUUCAAAACCACGAUGUGUUUCUUCACACAUAACUUCACUUCUCACACCUAUAACCAUCCUGCACUUUCUUCUUUGAUUCCUUUAACUGCUUUGUGUAGCUGACUGUAAACAUGGCUUCUUGCUUCUGAAAACUAUUCCAGACCUUAUCAAAAAAUAUCUUCAUUAUGCAGCCAUUCAACUUUAGUCACUAGUACCAGAACCACCAAGUGUCGCAACUUCUUCCAAGCUUCCCAAUCUGAUUUUAGUACCACCAAACUGACUGUGCUCCAACCUAUUAUAGUCUCUGCCAACAACACAUCUUCACAGAACACUUUAAACCCUGUGAAACUCUUCUGAAUUUAACCCAUCAGAACCUGUGGCCUCUGCACUUGUCUCAUAUUCUCCAACAAUCUUAUCACUGAAGAAACCUCAAUAUGUCUUUAAUAAAAAAUUUCUAAAACUUCCCUAAAACAGAACCUUAGCAAAAAACUGAGACGUUUUACACAGUCUUGAACUUGUAGCCUCCGUGUCCAGACCAUAACCAGCAUAACCAGGUGUUUAGAUUUAUUUUCCUUGAGCCAUGACCAGAAACUUGUUUCUUCUCUUUGGCUCCUUGUAACUGAUAUUCUAUCAGUCUCUCUCUUUAAGAAAUCAUUACUUCUAACCGUCUGCAGAAACGCCUUGAGAGAGACAAUUAAAAACCUCUACCACGAGUGUGAGAGACAAGGUUUCACUUCUUAGAUUUAGGUUAGGUCAAGAGAGAUGAAUGAGAAUCGUNNNNNNNNNNNNNNNNNNNNNNNNNNNNNNNNNNNNNNNNNNNNNNNNNNNNNNNNNNNNNNNNNNNNNNNNNNNNNNNNNNNNNNNNNNNNNNNNNNNNNNNNNNNNNNNNNNNNNNNNNNNNNNNNNNNNNNNNNNNNNNNNNNNNNNNNNNNNNNNNNNNNNNNNNNNNNNNNNNNNNNNNNNNNNNNNNNNNNNNNNNNNNNNNNNNNNNNNNNNNNNNNNNNNNNNNNNNNNNNNNNNNNNNNNNNNCCCACAUGCUAGCUCACGCUUAUCGGUACCUCACCUGAGAGUCAUAUUCGGGUCCAACAGUUGCCCCCAGCUUCCGAAUAAAAUCCUUUGUCUCGGAAGCUAGAAUCUAGCUAUCGAUCUUAUCUUUUCGUUGAGAUAAUGAUUAGUUCUUAUCCUAUUUAGAUUCGGCUUACCCGAUCUAACGGUCUUUAUUACGUUUGGCAGAAUCUACGGUUCAGAUGGAGAGGGUUUGAAAUGACUUUUCCAAUUCUCGAGAGGUGAUGGGAUAUAAAGCUGUGAACAUUAACUGCUAGCCUCCCACUUUCUCCACGCCUCCGUUCGGUUUCCAAGGUAACUUCUCUCCUCUCUCUUUAUUUUACUGCGAUUUCUAUUCUUUUUUUUUAUCUUCCUCGUUACUUUUCUCUGCAAAUUCUCUCCCAAACCUUGCAAUCGAUUUUCUCCUUAACCUUCCCGUACUAUGGAUCAUCCGAAAGAAGGUUCCGGGGAAUCCGGGAUGCCUCCCUCUGCUUCUGGAGCUAAACUACUGAAAGUUAAGCAAGAAGUCGGAGCCAAGAUGAGGAAGGGGAAAAAGACAGCCAGGGAGGCAAUCGCGACCAGAAUUUCUAAACGGAAGAAGAAAGACGAUUCUAGCGGGAGCAGUCCUCACUCGCCUUCGUUGCUGAAAAAUCAAGACGUGGUUAACCUCAUGGUUCAAGCUCUCGGCCAAAAGGAGCUUGGCCGUGCCUGUAAUUCCGACGAAACCCCCGAGACCGCUCCGGAGGGUUGGUUCUGUUGCCAUGAGAAGUACAUCUCCAAGUCUCACUUGAGAUUUCCUCUUCCGACCCUACUGCUUGAUCUACUAGAUCAUUAUCAGUUAGCCCUUUCCCACUCUGUCCCUCGGUUAUCCGGGUGAUAAACGGCUUUAUCACUAGGUCCAAAGAGGAGGGGGUUAGCGUCGGUCUUACCGAACUUAUGAGCCUCUUUUCCCUGAAGGAAAGCGCCUCUAAGGAGGGUGGUACCGGGACCUACUACCUCCCUAGUCGUCCCAAUCAUGUUAUCUUCAGAUUCUCUAGUAGUGAUGAUGACUGGAGGAAGAAGUACUUUUACGUUAAAGUUGAUCCUUCGACGGUUCCUGUGGGUCGGAACCUUAGGGUCACUUGGACUAAUCCAUCUGGUUAGGAAUUCUAGGGAUAUGCUUUUUCCGUUUUAUUCAUUUAUGGCCGAGUAACCUUUUUGCUCUGAUUUACUUGCAGAAAUCGAAGAUCCUCCGAAGCUCUCUACCAAGCUCACCAGAGCUCUAUACCGCAAGUUGCAGCAGAGUCCCUGUACCUGGGUAGCCUACACCACUUCUCGAAUAAGUGCAGCCAGAUUCCCAGAUACCUACAACGCCUCUUUCCAAGAUCCCAUUCCUACUGAGAACCUUGAGAGUAAGUUCUUGUUCGAACCUUUUUAAUGAUUUUAUCGCCUUGAAGUUUUCAAACUUAAGGAUUUCCAUUGUUCCAGUUUCGGCAGGCGAUUCAGUUGUAUCGAUCUCAACUGGUGCUAGUGCUUCGGGAACUGAAAAGUCUCAGCCAGGUGACAUGACUCUGCGACCAUCAUUCCGUUCUAGGGGUAACCCCUCUAAAGCUGCCAGUGCUUCUCGUGGAAGCGACAGGAACCAAGGAGGAUCGUUCCUUAUCUCAAUGAAGGAAGUUUUGGACGACGGAGGAUCCAAACCUGUUGUCGAGACUACUCCAACUGAGGUUAUAGCUCAGGAUGCUGCUCCUCUCCCUGAGGUCCAGGUGCCGGAGGCUGACUACCAGGCUCCGAAGGGUACCUCUGAGGUCGAGCCGUCGAGACACAAGAGGCCCAGGACCGAUCAGGGCGGAGCUCCCACCCGUUCUUCUUCCUCGUCCUCUAGAGGAGGGACUGUUGGGUGGAGCUUUACCCAUUCGAAGCCUGGGUCGAUCCUGGACGACUCUUGGGGCCUAGCUGCGAUAAUGAGGCACCUGAAGAGCGUGGGAUGUCCCCUUCCAGCGCUCAAUGACCUGACUAACCGAGAUGAGUAUCUCGAUAUUGCUCACUGUAUGGGUCAGGUACGUGAUCUCUAUCUGUUCUUUGUUUACAUUCUUUGGAGACGAUGAUAUAUAUUUUUUUUGGAUUUAUUGCAGUUGGCUGGGGCUGUUAACAGGGCCCAGCUCAGGUUUGAGAAUGCUCUGUAUGCUGCCCCCAAUGCUGGUGAACUUGCUGAGGUUACCGAGAUGGUUAAGGCAGCCAAAGCCGAUCUUGACCAAGCCCGGGUUCGAAUUUCUGAACUCGAAGCCGAAGUGACGAGGCUAGGCUCGAAGGCCGAUGCUCAGCAAGGAGAGAUCGAGAGUCAAAAGCUCGAUAUCCAGGUGAAGAGCAGGAGGAUCAAUGAUUUGGAGGCUGCUCGAAAGAUAGCUGAGCAUCAAGUACGUGAGCUCAUUGCCUCAUCCCAGGAUAGCCAGAAGAACAAGGAAGCUGAAGUCAAGCUGGCUGUCAGGGAAGGGAAGAAAGAAGUCGCCGAAGCUUACGGCAAGAUCCUGGUCUGUGUUAAGGAGAAGUUUGCUAGGAAGAAAGAUGAGGUCAACGCCUUGGUGUACGCUCAGGAGCUCCAAGCUAAUGCCGACCUCUUGAAGGAUAUGCUGAACAACAAGAUCCAAAGCGUUGAAGAGGAGUACAACCAAUUGGUGGCCUUAUUACCAGAAGCGACAACUGCGUAUGAGAAGGCUCAAGUUUCUGACUUCUCGGUCAGCAAGCUUCCUCUUCCCCAGAUCUCGGAGAGUUCAAGUACUUUCGAGAUUAACAUGUUUAAUCCAUCUUUUUCUGGGGAGUAUGGCUCUAAUUUGGGUUUGAUGGCUCCUGACUUAGCUCCAGUCGAGGCAGCUAUAGGAAGUGAUGGCAAUGUGGUCGAUGAGGGAGUUCCUGCCGGUGCUGGUGAUCCGAUUCAGGAAGAGAAGGAAGAUUGAGAGCUACGGCUCUUUUAGCUUUAUGUUUUGUGUUUUUAAGACUUCAGCCUAAGGGCUUUGUUUCGUUAUGCAUUAUGACUUAGUGCCUGAGGAGGCCUUUAAACCUUAACACUUGCUGGAUUUCAAUAGCCUGGGGAGGCUUUUAAACCCUUUCUUAUGUUUAAAUCGUGGCUAUUAUUUCUGUUUUAAGUUUUUGAACUUAACCUCGUUUCAUUUAAUCAUAGUGAUUGCGAGUCUCGGAUGAGUUGUGUGCUGUCAUCGUCGAGUCGGAUUAGGACCUUUAGUCUUAAUUUAUGAUAAGCAUUUAGCUUAAUGGAUAUUCGGUCGUGAUAACCUUAAAGAGAAGUUCUUGAUUUUAGCUCGGGGACCUGAGUCCGAUUCGAAAGGUUCUGGGACCUGGUUAUUCAGGUUCGUAGGAACCUGGAUUUAGAUUCAUAGGGACCUGAGUUAAUUCGAAGGACUUCGAGGCCUUUGGAGUUUAACGGAUGGAAUUGAGGAAUUUCGGGAUUUUCCUGAUUCUUUAGGAUUUUAAGACCUUUCGAUUUUGAUUAGGAUUUUAGGACCUGGUUGAUUGUUAAGGAUUUUGCGGCCUUAGCAGUUGUCAAGGAUUUUAGGACCUUGUUGAUUGUUAAGGAUUUUGAGACCUUAGUUUAUGUUAAGGAUUUUAGGACCUUGCUGAUUGUUAAGGAUUUUAAGACCUUAGUUUAUGUUAAGGAUUUUAAGACCUUUGGGUGUAUUAAGGAUUUUAAGACCUUUGGGUGUAUUAAGGAUUUUAAGACCUUAGGUUCAGGUUUUCAGGGACCUGAAUGUAUUCGAGAUUGUUGAGCUUAGGUCCCGAUUUAGGGGGACCUGAAUUUUCUUGGAGGGUUUUAAGACCUUUGAUGUUUAUGAAACUGAAUCAAUCGUUUUAUUAAUAUCAGAUAUCAGAGAAUACAUGAUUCAGAUUAUUUACACAGUAACUAUUUUUAGGCUAAGUGUUCUUGGUAACACCUGCCCCUUUGGCUUAGGUGAGGAGGUUGGUGAGAAGAGGUUGGGGCUGCACUCAUGACGGAGUUGCCUACGUACCCAGUCAAGGGAUCAAGCCAAACGUAGUUCAGGGGUUUUAGGUACCUAAUGAUAGUAUCUUUUGAGGUUCGUGGCAUUCCACGAUCGGAUUUCGGGUACCCCGGUUCGUACCUUCUGGAGUUUGUAAACUCCGGGUCGUACUAUGUGGAUAAUUCGGUAGGGUCCUUCCCAGUUGGUUCCUAACUUUCCAGCUCCCGGUUCCUUUGUUCCUUCGAACACUUUCCUAAGCACUAGGUCCCCUACGGCGAACUGUCGGGGCCUUACUUUGGAAUUGUAGUGUCGUGCCAUUGCUUGCUGAUAAUUUUGAAUGCGAAGCAAGGCUUGGUCUCGUCUUUCCUCGAUCAAGUCGAGGCUAUCCAUCAGGAGCAGGUUAUUAGCUGCGGGAUUUGAGGUGCAGAGCUCCCGUCUGAGGCUACCUGCGGUGGUUUCUGCUGGGACGACAGCUUCCAUCCCAUAAGCUAAGGAGAAGGGAGUUUCCUCUGUAGCUUUUCGUGGGGUGGUUCGGCAGGCCCAUAGUACUUCGGGUAGUUUUUCCGACCAAAGCUCCUUUUGGGCUCCUAGGCGUUUCUUGAGGUUUGCUAAAACUGAUUUGUUGGCAGCCUCCGCAUGUCCGUUCCCUUGAGGUCGCCGAGGUGAUGAGAAGGUGAGGCGGAUGUUCCAUUUAUCGCAGAAACUUUUGAAGUCGUGGGAUAUGAACUGUCCUCCAUUGUCGGUUACGAUUUCGUAUGGGACGCCAUGCCUGCAUACGAUGUUUUUCCAAACAAAUCCUUCGACCUCGAAUCUGUUUAUUUGUUGGAAAGCUUCAGCUUCAAUCCAUUUCGUGAAGUAGUCGGUUAGGACCAGGAGGUUUAGUAACUUCUUUCCUUUCCCUGAAGGUACUAAUGGACCUAUAAUGUCCAUAGACCACCUCAUGAACGGAUAGGGAGCUGAUAUGUUAGACAGCUUUUCCGCUGGUUGGUGUAUGAUCGGUGCAUGCCUUUGGCAUUUGUCGCACGAUGAGGAGUAGAUCUCACAAUCUGCGAUAAUGGUAGGCCAGAAGUAGCCUUGUCUUUUUAUUCGGAUGGCUAAGGCUCUGCCUCCGGAAUGGUUUCCACAGGAACCGUCGUGCAUUUCCUUCAUGAGUUUCAUACCUACUAGGCCGUGAACGCAUUUUAGGUAAGGUCCGGAGACACUUCGUUUGUGGAGGGCUGACUCGAUUAUACAGUAUCUUGCUGCUAAAGCUUUGAGUUUUCGAGCCUCCCACUUGUUGGGUGGAAUUUUUCCCUCUAGGAUGUAAUCCAUGAUCGGUAUUCUCCAGUCUUCUCUCCCUACAACUUUGUUGUGAAGAGGGGAGGGAGAUUCCUGUUCGGGACCUGGUGCCGUGGUGCCCCCGGAGAUAUUCGUUGGAGUAGGUUAUAGGUUCUGAGGAAUAUCUCCAAUUUCCUCGUUAUCCCCUGUGGUUUGUGUAGCGUUCCUAGAUGCGUUUUUAAGAGCGGUGUGGCUUCUUGUUUGGACUUUAUAGACAAGUGGCUCCGAGGUCUGGAUGGUGCCCCCGGAGGUACUCGUGGAGUUAGGCUCUAGGGAGUCUGAACUUUGGUGAGUACCUUCACUUUUGUCGUUGUUUUCCGGGUUCUGGGUUGCUUUCCUGGAGGUGUGCUUUCUAAAGCUGCGUGUUCUAGUUUUCGGGAACCAGUAUGUCGUGAAAACUUGGGUAGCUACCGUCGGGAGGCUGUUAUCCUCUAUUUUUUCCUUUGGUUUGCUAUCCAUCUCAGCCUUGGUAGCUAUGUCGAUACUUGGCUUCUCGAUUCCUUCCACGGGUAUAAUUCGUUUUACGAGAGGGUCGGAUGUGGAAGCUAACGCGGCGAGCGCGUCUGCUGAGGAGUUCUCCCCUCGUGGGAUCCUCGUUAGCUCGAACUUGUCAAACUGCUUUGUGAGGUUUAGGACGACCUCGAGGUAUGCCCCCAUUCUUUCGUCCCUUGUUUCGUAUUCCCCGUGAAACUGGCUAGCUACCAGCUGCGAGUCGCUAUAGGCGUUUAGCUCCCGAAUUCCGAGGCUCAGGGCGAGCUUUAAUCCAGCGAUUAGUGCUUCGUACUCGGCCUCGUUGUUGGAAGCGUUAAAUCCAAGUCUAUAGGAUUGUUCGAUGGUUUCUCCGGCUGAGGAGGUUAGUCUUAAACCGACACCGGAGCCUUGCCUUGACGAGGCUCCGUCCACGUAUAGGCUCCAUUUCGGAACCUCUGUUUCCUGGUCUAGAUGUUCGGAUGCUAGCUCAAUAACGAAAUCGGCGAGGACCUGAGCUUUUGCUGCUGCUCGGGGUCUGUACUCGAUGUCGUAUUCGCUGAGCUCUAUAGCCCAUUUGGCUAAUCGUCCGGAUUGGCUAGGGCUAUGCAGAAUCGUCCGUAAUGGUUGUGAGGUCAUUACGAUGAUCGAGUGCGAUUGGAAAUAAGGUCGCAGCUUCCUGGCAGCUGUCACGACUGCUAGGGCUAGUUUUUCCAUGGUGGGGUAUCUCGUCUCGGCGUCUAUUAAGCUUUUGCUAGUAUAAUAGACAGGUCUCUGUUCGUUUUGUUCCUCUCGUACUAGCACUCCGCUGACUGCAGCUGCCGACACGGCGAGGUACAGGUACAGUGGUUCUCCUACUACAGGUUUGGAUAGUAUCGGAGGUUCCGAGAGGUAAGCCUUCAGCUGUUUGAAGGCUUCUUCGCACUUUUCAUCCCAUAAGAACUUCUUAUUAUUUUUCAGAAGUUUAUAGAAUGGAAGGCAUUUAUCGGUGGAUCUAGAGAUGAAUCGAUUUAGUGCUGCGAUCCGUCCGGUCAAUCUUUGUACCUCUCUGGUCGUUUUAGGUGAUGGAAUUUCCAGGAAUGUCACUAUUUGUUUCGGGUUGGCUUCAAUGCCUCUUUCGGUUACGAGGUACCCUAGGAAUUCGCCGGAAGGUACUCCGAAGGUACACUUAGCUGGGUUUAGCUUCAUGUCGUAUUUGUUGAGGAUUUCGAAACAUUCUCUUAGAUGGGAGAUGUGGUCCUCCCCCUUUGAGGAUUUGACUAACAUGUCGUCGAUGUAGACUUCCAUGGUUUUUCCGAGUUGUCCAGCGAACAUUUUAUUUACUAACCUUUGAUAGGUAGCUCCCGCGUUUUUCAAACCAAACGGCAUGACCUUGUAACAAUAGGUUCCUCGUUCAGUUAUGAAUGCGGUUUUCUCUUGAUCCUCAGGAUCCAUCAUAAUCUGGUUAUAUCCUGAAAAGGCAUCCAUAAAGGACAAGAGCUGGUGUCCAGCCGUUGCUUCGACCAAACGAUCGAUAUGAGGUAACGGGAAGCUGUCUUUAGGACAGGCUUUGUUUAGAUCGGUGAAGUCUACGCAGAUUCUCCAUUUCCCAUUCUUCUUUUUUACUACCACUGGGUUAGCUAGCCAAUCGGGGUAUUGUACCUCUUGGAUGGACCCGGCCUUUGUUAGUCGAUCGACCUCGUCGUUGACAGCUUGGGCUUUUUCUAGACCUAGCUUACGACGUUUUUGUUUGAUCGGUUUAAAAGUAGGGUCUACAUUGAGCUUAUGAGUGGUGACAUUUGCAUCUAUGCCUUUCAUGUCGCUGGUGGUCCAUGCAAAGGUUUUGAUAUUCUGUUUUAGGAAUUCGACGAGCUCCUUUUUGGUUUCGAGAGGUAGCUCGGAUCCGAUGCUCACCUGUUUCUCAGGGUUUGAGUCGUCGAUGCUAACUUUUUCGGUGAGGUUCUUAGGGGGACCUUGGAUAUUUCGUUGCAUUUCGCGACUCAACUGGAUCUGUAAUUGCUAUUGGGGGGAUUCUUUUAUGAUCUCGAAUCCUCCCAGGUAACAGAUCCUUGAAAUCUUUUGGCUACCGUGUAUGGUAGCUAUUCCGUUGGUUGUUGGAAAUUUCACGCAUUGGUGAUAAGUUGAAGCUACUGCUUUCAUCUUAUGAAUCCAAGGCCUUCCGAGGAUUGCGUGGAAAGGGGAUGGUUUGUCGACAACUAUGAAGUUGGUCAUUUUCAUGACUCCGCCAGCUAUAAUUGGGAGCUUAAUCGUUCCCAAUGAGGUGGCUGUUUCACCUGAGAAACCUACGAGGUUGCAUUUGUGGUCGACAAUUUCGUAGUCGUCUAUUUCCAUUCCCUUUAGUGCGUUGUAGAAAAUAAGAUCGACGGAGCUUCCGGUGUCGAUCAUGAGCUUAGGUACCUCGUACCCUGCUAUAUUUAAUGUUAUGACAAGGGCAUCAUCAUGAGGUCUAUCGAGGUCUAAUGUCUCACUCUCCCAGAAAGAGAUCUUAGUGUUAGACUCAGGCUUGGUCGGUUUGGACUGAGUGUUUGACACAGCUUUCCGUACGUGACUUUUAAUAGAGUUAACAGAGUCUCGACACACAUCGGACCCUCCAAGGAUGUAAUCGACCCUUGAGCCAGGGCUCGAUUGGGGAGGUGGUUUACUCAAGAGGGCCUCGAUUUGUAGGCUUUUUCCUUGUGGAAACUUUCCAAGGAUCAUAUCGACUCUCUUUUUGGGAGCUGGGGGUGGUGAGUCUGUUUCUUUUUCAGGUGACCUCUCGCGUUUCGGAGAGCUAUCUCUGGGACCUCUCUUCUGAUAAGGUUGUGGCUUUUUGAGGUCCACAUCUUUUAUUUCUCCGGCUGCGAAUUUAGCAGCCAGUUGUCGUUGGAGGUCCCAACGUUCUUCGGUUGAAUGUCCCUUUCGAUCGUGGUAAGAGCAAUGUUUGCUCUCGUCAUAACCUUUGGACCAGGGGGCUUUAGCUGUCGCGGCGACAGGUUUUUCUUCCUUGUCUUCCUCGACUACGUAAGAAUGUUCUCCCUGGGUCUGAUUAUUUCGGGAGCUACCUCUUUUGUGAGGUCCCUUUCCAUCGGAGGCUUCGCCUUUCGGGUGACUCUGGGGUUUUCUGUGGAGCUUAUCUAAUGCUGCCAUUUCCUCCUCCAAGGUAAUGUAUCUAGAGGCCUUAUGGAGGGCGUCGUCGAUAGUUGGAGGGGGAUUUAGCGUUAGCUCCGAGAAGAAACCUGAUUUAUACCAGAGACCUCUCCUAAGAGCCUCAAUGGCUACCUGAUCGUUGGGAUUCGAGAGUUUAGUUCUUACUGCUCUGAACUUUUCGAUGUAGACUCGCAGUGAGUCUCCCAGUCCUUGUCUGAUCUUCCAGAGGUCAGCCUCAGACGCUUGUUUCAGGAUGUGAGUUGAAUAUUGCUUCAUAAAGGCGUUAGCCAAUUGAUCGAAACUGUCUAUAGAGUUCGGCUCGAGGCUGGAGAACCAUUCGAGAGCUGUUCCGAUCAGGUUUUCGGCAAAUGUUCUGCAAUAUCCUGCAUCACACUCUUCCUUUGUGAAGUGAGCUUUAACGAUAGCUAAUCGGAAGGCUCUUAAAUAGGCCUUUGGGUCUGCGUUCCCAUCAUACUCAGGAAUCUUAAUUUUUUGAGUAUCUCUUAUGUAAGAGUUGGCAAUUCUAUCGGUGAACGGAGUUCCACGAGUCUCCUCAAUUAAGCUCUCGAUUUCGGGAGCUGAGCUUGUUACCUUGUGAACUUGAGCUCCCAAUUUCUGGAGAGCUGUGUGGGUUCGCUCCAUGUACCUGCGAAUUGCGUCAGGUCCCUCGAAGGGAAGGACAUUUGGGUCAUUAUUAGAUACUCGGCGAGCAGGUUCCUGGUGAGACCGAACUCGGUCGUCUUCCCAGCUAGCUGGCGAAAUAGGUCGCUCAUUGGUCCUUAGGCUCCGAGCGAGGUUAGUGCGGAGAGCUGCAGGAUCAGCAUCCGUCCUUUGGUAUUCGUCUGUGCUUGGGGUUGAAACCCUAGCUUGAAACACCGAAGCUGAUGUUCUGCCCCCGGACGGUAUGUUGGUUCCUGCUCCAGACCCGGAAGGAGGUGGCGGUGGAGGCAAACGGGUGCUCCCACUGGUGUUUCGAUCAGGCAUGGAGCUAGUUGUAGCUACAUUGCUCCCCAUGGUGCUGGUGAUAGGAGGGGUAAACGCAGGAGCUGUCCUAGCGCGAGGCGUUUGGAAAGCAGGUUCCUGCCCUUCUGCACCUGGGCUAUCAGGGGAGAAGUUCAGGCGCUCUCUAGGGAAGGAAGGGUCAGCUAACCGUUCAUGGAAAGUGACUCCUCUUCCCUGGUGGACGGACGGUUGGGUCGUUGCGGANNNNNNNNNNNNNNNNNNNNNNNNNNNNNNNNNNNNNNNNNNNNNNNNNNNNNNNNNNNNNNNNNNNNNNNNNNNNUGAGAUCUGGUUAUCUCUUCGAACUGUUGCUGCCGUUCGGCUAACUGUUGCACCGUUCGCUCGGUCUCUUGAGCUUUGUCUACUAACUGGAGCAUCAUCCGACGGAUCUCAGAAAGCCGAUCUUCCGUUUGGUUCGGAGCGGAUUGAUGCGAUGGGUUAUUGAGGGCUGAGGACCCAGAGUUGGUCCCUCCGGAGGCUCUCGGGUUAUUUGCCCCCGGAGCAGUGCGAUUCGGUGAGCUAUUGCUCUGGUUCGAUUGAUCGGGGUUAGAUGGAUUCGUUCCGUCUAAUGGAUUCAUCCUUUAAGCUUUAGAGAAAGGGAUUCGAUUAUUUGUCCCCACAGACGGCGCCAAUUGUGAGAGACAAGGUUUCACUUCUUAGAUUUAGGUUAGGUCAAGAGAGAUGAAUGAGAAUCGUGGGCUGAAUCCCGUAAAUAAACUUGAAGAAUGAAUAUGAUUUUAUUGAUGAGUUGAAAGAUGAUGAAUACAAAGGAAUGUAUCUUGAGAUGAUUACUAAAGAAUACGUAAUGCUUUUAAUCUAGUACAAAAGUUGAUAUAUGGAAAAGGGAUGGAUUGUCUUUUAUCUUCUCCGUCUUUAUAUAGUCUAGGUUUCGUUGGCAGCUCUUCAACUGUUCUCCGAGAUAUUCGGCUUCAAUUACGGAACUCGCUUUAGGCUCCUCUUGACCGAGUCUCUGAAGGUGUUAGCUCACUUUCUGUCGUGACCUCUGCUAUGAUGUCUCCCAGGUCCAGUCGUCAGCUCGGCUUUCAGCUCCCUUUGUUAUGAUGGGCUUAUCGCAACCCACAUGCUAGCUCACGCUUAUCGGUACCUCACCUGAGAGUCAUAUUCGGGUCCAACAUUUAUAUCCACAUUCACGUCUACAACCACUUUUAUGUUCAUUUUUUUUAACAAUACUAUUUGUGUAGAUUUUCUUUCCCAAUAUAAAUGUCAUAUUCUCUUUAAGAGAAGGGAUCAUAAUCAACUAUACGUGAUUUAUAAUCUUACAUCAAUAGUUCAUUGGUUUUCUGAGUCUCAAGGACACAAGUAUAAACUUCUUUAAUCUAUUUUCUCAAUCAUGUGUCUGCUGGACAACAUUAUUUGUGUGAAAAAUAUAUAUUUUUCCAUAUCUAUGCAUCAUUAAAAAAAAUUCUGAAAUUUUAUUUUUUAAACUUAAAAACCAACAUAGUUGGGAUUUAUUUACAGACUUCAGGUCUUAUAAUCUUUAGAUUUACAGACUUCAGGUCUUAUAAUCUUUAGAUGCAAGAUACACAAUGAGCUUUAGAUAAUCACUUCCGGUGAUUAUACCUUUUUUUUGGAUUAUUUUCUAAAACUUAUAGAUCUUUUAAAAAGUAAAUAAGCUAUAUAUGUAUAUAUUUGCGUACAAAAUGUAAAAUACAAUAUCAAUAUUUUAUGUUCAAUGCAUAAACAUUUCUCACAAGUCAUAAUAUAAACCGACGAACAAUUGAAUUACUAAUCAUUCUUAUCAAAAUUUUCGAAGGUCAACCAUAUAAUCUUUAAGCAUUGAACAAUGCACAGCUGUAAAACUAAGUCUAUAUGCAGCCGUAAAUUAUAUGCUUUAAGAACAUCAAUUACUAUGCUUUUACAUUAAAUUAUAUGCAUCCGUAAAUAACAAUAUGCAACUGUAAACAAGAGCAACAUUAAUAGUAUCAACGCGUGUAGUAAUCUCAUGCCUAUAUGAUGCCUUUUCAAACAAAGAUAAUAUAUUCUUACUAAUUAUCAUAUAUCAACAACAGUUAUAUAUGUGCAGCCGUAAAACCAAUAUUAAUGAGAGUAAGGGAUGCAGCAGUAAAGUUAAAUACGAAUGCUAAACUUAUCAAUACAAUUAUGCAGCCGUAAUGAUAAUAUGCAGCCGUAGUGAUAAUAUGCAGCUGAAUACACAUCUAUAUGUAACAUGCGUAUAAAAGAUGCGACAGAUCUUAGCUAAACAUGCAUACAUAGCUAAGCAAGGAGAAAAUUUAACUAAAAUCUAAUCAGUUUCACUUGAGUUUAGAAGCGUAUUCAAUCAAUUGUGAUAUUAGUAAUAUAAAACAUGUUAAUAUGCUAAGUGACUACUGGAGCAGCUGCUCUACGGACUCUUGUUCUCCUUGUGAUAAAUCCAAUACCUCAAGACAGAAAACAAAAAAAAAAAGACGUGUAAACAGUAUAAUCCACGUACACAAUGCAAAGAAGAAAAUUAUAAGCGGCUGGUUAUCAAAGUGAUUCGACAAGCAGGGACAAAAUAAAGUAAGACCAUACAUGUUCAGUUGGGUCUUGUAUCUUCUUCUCUUAAACAAGGAUUAACAACAUGCAGAUGCUGUCUCCCUGUCAUGAAAUCACCAACUGUGUAACCUCCGUUUUUAGCCUGAAACAAAUCUCACACGAUCAAACAAGCAAAGUUUCAAACUUUAAAGAUAAAAAGGGUGAACAAGCGCACUAACCGGAACAGAGUUAUUAACAUCAGAAGGAGCUGCGAAGACUGCAGAGACAGUGAUGACCAAUGGUGAAAAAUUGGAGCGACGACGAGGAUUAGAGAGAGGAGGAGGAGGAAGUGAAAAUGAUGAAGAAGAAGUCGGGUUGAGUAGUGGAAGUCUCGUUAUGGGCAGAGUGAUGGAACCCAUAAUCACUAAUAUCCUCUGUUUCUCAUGGAUUCCAACUAUAAAAAAAACAAGUCUUUUUGAUGAUGAAAUCUGAGAGAAACAAAAGGUUGAAACUUGAGAGAAAGAGAAGAAGACGUACAUGCAUGGACCGCAGGAGAGCCCAUGAGCACCGUCGAUGAAGAAACCAUGGCCGGAGCUGGAUCUUUUUCUUCGAUGGAGAGUUACUUUGCAAACUUCUUGUUAUGUUUCCAAGAAGCUUCACUGGAGGAGAUAGAAGGCGAAGGGUAGACAGAAAGCAUCAUCGAUGAAGAAACCAUGGCCGGAGCUCCAUUUCUUGUGGCGGCGACUCCUCUUUCACUCUCGCUCUCUCUCUCUCACUUUCUCUCUCUCUUUUGUUUUUCAGGUGGCGGAUGAAAUGAAGAGAGAAGAAGCUGCAGGACAUUAGGGUUAACCGCGGUCUUCUUCGGCCCAUCCCGCACAAAGCCCACCCCGCACAGGUCUAUUCCCGCGAGGCCCGCGACAUUGCGGGAUAACAGAUCUUAGGCCCAAGCCCGCCCCGCCACAAGUUUAAACGGGCCUACCCCGCGGGUCAAGCCUUCCUUUGACAUUCCUAUAUGCAGCCGUACGAAACAUGUUAAUAUGCUAAGUGAAACAAAAAUGAACAAAUUUUCAAAACUCAAAUAAGCAUUAGCUUGUCGACAAGAUUUCAUUUCGAUCGAGUGAUUUUAUUUCCUUGAAACAAGGAUAAAUCAAUAUUGUCGACUAAAGCUCUUAAGCUCAUAGUAUGUAUGAGUCCAUUCUUACAAACCAUGAAUUGAUAAUAAACAUUAUUUGAAGAAGGAUUGAAUAUAGACCAAAAAUAUAACAUAAUAAAAAUCUAUACCUUCUCAAGGUCGCUAAAGAUUCGUGCUGAUAACGUGUUAUAAGUAAGAAGAGAAAAAUAAGAAUUAGUGUGUUUUAUUCCAUGAGUAAUGAGUUCUUUACAUAGGAUUACAAUAGCUUGUGGACAAAGCCACUUGGAAAACAAGUAAAGCUUGGAGAACAAGUAUAUUUAAGACUUGUCAUAAUGGCAUCACCAUAAUAUUCAUAACAGAUUUCACUGAGCUAAACAAAAUACAAAGCAAAACAUUCCAUAUUAAUUCUAUUUAUCUAUUACAUUCCAUUCAUUUGAUUAUAUUCCUAUUAAUUCCAUUUAUUUAUUUUUAAAGUGUACCAGUUACAAGUUAUACAGCUAUAACUUUGUAAUUUGAGUAAUGAAUUAUUUAUGUCAUAUGAUGUCUCUCUCUAGUCUCUACUGUCUUUAAAAUCUCCUCUUGCUAAUUUUGGUUCACAUUGUUAAUCCAACACAAGCAGUCCUAAACUGUAAUUAUGGAGAAGUAUAGGGUUAUUAUCAGUUGAUUUUAAAGCUAAAAGCCUAAAACCCUACACUUAAGUUUAGUUUCAGCUUCACUGUCUUUUUUAACGACUCUGUUCCUUCUCCGACCAAAAGCGAGAAAAAAAAUGGCGUCUCUUGGCCAAAUCACCCUCCCGCGAGCGCCAUCGUUGCAGAAAGGCCUCCUACGCCGUCCGAUCAGAACCCCAAUCAGAUUCAACGGCCGGAUCGCGAGUGUAUUGACUAACGCGGGUUCGGUGAAAGCAAGUGUGAGCCAGAAGGUGAUUGAAGAGGAGGCGAAAGUUCUGGUGGGUACCUACGCGCGUGCUCCAGUGGUGCUCUCGAGUGGGAAAGGUUGUAAAUUGAUGGACGCAGAAGGGUAAGAGUAUCUUGAUUGUGCAUCUGGAAUCGCUGUGAAUGCUCUGGGCCAUGGAGAUCCUGAUUGGCUUCAAGCUGUCACUGACCAAGCUUCUGUUCUUUCCCACGUCAGCAAUGUCUAUUACACCAUUCCUCAGGUCUGAAUUUGACUUAUCCUUUAUUGAGCACUAGUCACAUUGGUAUCGUUUAGUAACAUUAGUCCUAAGGUUGGAGGAUUCAACUUCGUAUACUGUUUACUUCUUUGCAGAUAGAACUAGCGAAACGCCUUGUGGCAAGUUCUUUCGCAGACCGUGUAUUCUUCUGUAACUCUGGAACAGAAGCCAACGAAGCAGCCAUCAAGUUUUCUAGAAAGUUCCAGAGAUUCACCCAUCCUGAAGACAAGGAAGUCGCCACAAGCUUCAUCGCCUUUACGAAUAGUUUCCAUGGUAGAACCUUAGGAGCUCUUGCAUUAACAAGCAAAGAACAGUACAGAACUCCUUUCGAACCUAUCAUGCCAGGCGUUACGUUCUUGGAAUAUGGUAACACUCAAGCAGCCACUGAUCUUAUCCGCUCCGGUAAAAUAGCUGCUGUGUUUGUGGAGCCUAUUCAAGGAGAAGGUGGGGUUUACUCUGCUACAAAAGAGUUUCUCCAGUCUCUUCGCUCAGCUUGUGAUGCUGCAGGAUCUCUUCUCGUCUUCGAUGAGGUACAUAUCAUAGUGUAAUAGCUUGAAAGUUCCUGACUAGUGCUGCGCAUUUGGAUUUUCGGUUCGUGCUAUUUGGGUUGGGGUGUUUAGGACCCGUUUAGGAACCAGACAUUUUUUUUGGAUCGGAUCAGGUAAUGUUAGGUUCCACUCGGGUUUCUAGUAUAAAACCCGAAGUGAACCGAAUUAGAAAUAGUUCGAGUUUGAUUUUGGUUUAAAGCUAAAAACCAAAAACUCCCGGCAAAAACGAAAACCCAAAAAAUAUACAGGUAAUUUAGGUAAUUCGGGGGGGGGGAGUGGUUGGAUAUUUUCAUUUAUAAAUUAUAAUAUAUAUAAAUUAAAAUAAUAAUUAUUUUUAUUAUUUAUAAAUUAUAUUAUAUAUAUAAUUAAAUAAUUAAUAUUUUUAUUAUAUUUCAAAUAUUAGGUACCCGUUUAGUUAUUUGUUUGAUUCCGGUUUGGUUUUGUUUUUUUUUCGGGUUUAGAGAAAUAAGAAUCGUUUGGGUUUUCGUAAAUUUUGGUCCAUUUCGGUUUCAGUUGUUUCAGUUAGGUUUUUGGGUUUCAGAGAAUAUGCCCAGGACUAUUCUUGACUUUGAUCUUGUUCUUUUGGUCUCCCUACGUCUCCAGGUUCAGUGUGGUUUGGGUCGAACCGGUAACCUAUGGGCAUAUGAAGCAUUUGGUGUAACACCUGACAUAAUGACAGUUGCAAAGCCUUUAGCAGGUGGUUUACCAAUUGGAGCGGUGCUUGUAACUGAAAAAGUUGCUGAGACCAUCAAAUAUGGAGAUCAUGGAAGCACAUUUGCAGGGAACCCUCUUGUGUGUAGUGCAGCCAUCGCUGUUUUUGAUAAAGUAUCUAAAUCCUCUUUCUUGGCCAGUGUCUCGAGCAAAGGUUUAUACUUUAAGGAUCUGUUGGUGAAGAAACUAGGAGGAAACUUGCACGUGAAGGAAGUGAGAGGAGAAGGGCUUAUUAUUGGAGUGGAGCUGGACGUGCCCGCAGGUCCGUUGGUCGAUGCUUGUCGUGAUUCUGGUCUUCUGAUCUUGACGGCAGGGAAAGGGAAUGUCGUCAGGAUUGUUCCGCCGUUGAUUAUAUCGGAGGAGGAAAUCGAACGUGCCGUUGAGAUUAUUUUCCAUGAUUUAACUGCGCUUGACUGAAUAUUGUUGUUGAACAUAAAUGUUCAUCGACUAUGAACUGUGUUUUUAAAAUUCUGUACUUUACUUAAAUAAGCUCAAGUAUAACAGUAAAUGUGCCUGUUACAGUUCAUAACUGCUGUUUCUUGGUUCUGUUUUUUUGAAACAUUUUUCUUGGUUCUGUUUUUUUGAAACACUUUUCUUGGUUCUUUCAUGAUAAAAUGUGUAUAAUUCUUUUUGAUAGGGUAUUAAUAAUAUUCAAACAAACAAAAAUUAUAGUGUUUUGGAAUACGCUAACAGCCAGUGAUAAGCUACUAGAGGUGAGCCAUCCCAUUUUUAGUCUUGAAGAUUUAAGAGAAGGGAUUUCGUGCAUGCCAAGUUUGUCUUAAAAUGAAGACAACAUGUGAGAUGUUGUUGACAUGAUUUGCAGACGAUAGAAUCAGAGCUGGAAGAAUAAAAAGAAUUGUUCUUUCUGUAUGCGGAGCUCGACAAAAGGGACUUGACUCAAAAACAACAGAGGGUAAUUCGUGUAAGUUAGUGAUCAGUUACUUUGUGUUGUGACUCAGAGAAGAUGCGGAGCCGGAGCCACUUGAGCUGUGAAAGAUAAAUUGUGCAGAACAGAGAAGAUGUGGAGCCGGAGAACGUAAAUUUCUUUAUCUGAGAAUGGACUUUGUUUCCCUUUUUGGAAUGUUUUUUUUUUGAGGAAAACCUUUUUUUGGAAUGUUUACUUCAUUUUUUUCAGUACUUUAAAAAAAAAAACUAAUCUUGACCCGCAUGGAUGUGCGGAUUUUGUUCUUUCUAUACUAAAUUACUAGAUAAUAAUUUGCGCCUUGCGCGGAAUAUAAUUAUUAGUUUUGUUAUUUUUAAUAAGGAGACAUUAAAUCUGUUUAAUCUGGAUAUCAGUUUGGUUUUAUAUUAUUUUUUUGGUUUUUAAUCUCCUAAAAUAUAGCUAUAAUUCUAAAUCAAUAUUUAUUUUGGUUUGUUCAAUGCAAAUUGUUGAUGUUUUUAGUUUUUCCGGUGAUAACCAAAAAUUAAUAUCAUUUGUUUGGUUUAAGGUUAUAUGAAUUUUAGAUAGUUCUAAUGUCGAACCAAUGGUUUCAUAUUAUAUUUUCUAAACAUAUAAUAGUUAAAGAAAAGGAAAAUAAAAUUAUUAAGACAAAUCAUUUCACUACAAUUUGGUCGAUAGUGAAAGAAACAUUAAAAAAAAAAUAUUUCAACUUCCAAGAGAAUUAGAUAUUUUAGUUGUGGUGAAUAUUUAGUUAUAUAAGUGUUUACGUCAAUGUCCAAAUGUAUGUGUAUGUAAAAUAUAUAAAAGUGGUUGGUAAAUAUAUAAAGAUACUGUUAAUCAAAAUUAAAUGACAUUUUAAUUCAAAAUAACACAUAGAAGAUAAAAUUCUUAAAAUAAAAUUAAUUAAAAAUAAAAUAAGCCUAAACAUUAGUAAAUUUUAUUUCAUAUAAAGAAAAUCAAAUUGUAUCCGUAAAUAGAGUUGAGAACGGAUCGAAUAUCCUGGUAUUUGGAGGUAUUAGUGUCGCUUCAAUCCGUAGCCACUCGGAUUUUCUGUGUUUCGGAUAUCUGAAAUUUUUUAGAAUUUUCACGGAUAUCCGAUUUGAUCCGUAAAUAAAAUUAAAAAUUAAAAAUAAAUGAAAAAUCAAAAAAUAAUAUAAAUAAUAAUAUUUCAUUACAAAAGUAAAUUAUUAUUUAACUUUUUAAAUUCUAAUACCUAAUAUAUUAAAUUUAAUACAUAAAAAUAUUGUAAAAAUUAUAUAAACUAUAUUAUACAUAUAACUUAUAUAUAUAAUUAUUUAAAUAUAUGUAUAUAUAUAUAUAUAUAUGCAUAUAACAGAUCGAAUCGGAUAUACGUUCCUAAAAAUAUUAGUAUUUUUGAUUUGGUUUUUUUUAUAGAUAUUAUAUUUUAGUAUUUGAUUUGCUUCGUAGUGUUACGAAUAUCCGAUUUUUUCGUUUCGAAUCAAAAUGGAUAACAAAUAGAAAAAAAAAAUUACGAAUAUUUUGUCCAACUUAUCCGUAAAUAAUAAAAAUAAUAUAUGUAUAAUUGGACUGUCGAUUCAUUAUCCGUUUUGAUUCGAAUCAAAAAAUAUGAAUAGUGUGAGUUUUAUUAGAACCUUACAUGAGAGUUUUAUAUUUAAAAACAAAACGUAAAGUACAUAGUGUGAACACAUUUAUGUAGAGUUUAGGUGAGAAGUUCUCUACAAGUGACACAUUAGUGUGCUCUCAAAUCGCUGUGAGGCUGCCACAUGUCUAUUAUAGUGUGAACGCAUUUAUUAUAAUGUUUCUCUUUUAAUAUAUAAGGGAUUCUAAUUUAUAUAACAUUAUUAUGUAACAGUACUAUUUUCAUAUUUUUUUUUGUAUUUUGUAAAAACAAAUAAUUUUGUAAACAUUAUUAUGUAAUAAUACUAUUUUACAUAAUUUUAGGUUUAAUUUCUAAAAUUUAGAAUUUAUAUGGAAAUUGAAUUAAAAUGAACCUAGAUAGUCAAGAAGAUUUUUUUGGGAUACUACUGAAAAUAACAAAACUUAUUUAAAAAAAAAAACUAUGAUAUUUUGUACUUGCAAAAUGAUUUUGUAGUAAAUAUCCUAUUUUAGAAAUUGCUUGAAAUACACCAACUUGGAUAGCAUUAAAAAAUUAAUUAAAGAUGUCCUAACAUUUAAGCUUAGCGUUUAACGAUUAUUGUUUAAGAUUUAUUAUUUAUGUGGUGAAAGUGAAUUUAUAAACUUCUAUAAAUAAUUCUUAUAUAGUUAUAAUUUUUUUGGAAUGGUUAAUUUUGUCUUUUAAUAAUAAAUUUAAGAUAUUUAUAAAAAUAAAAUAAUUUAAAGGUAAAUUUGAAAAAUAGUAUCAAAUUUGAAGUAAAGUUAAAAUUUGUUGGAAUUAUGUUAUAUAUUGUAACAUUAAACAAGUUUGAUAAAUGUGUGUUCUCUUCAUAUAGAAUAGUGUUGGAAUAUUAAUCUUUUUGACAUAUAUAUGUCAUUCAUGCUAUGACAUUAGUAUGCAUAUGGAUGAUAAAAGCGUGUUCAUUGUUUAAUGUAUUCGUUAACAUAUAUAUUCAUUUCGUAUAUAUAUUGUUCGUCUAUUUAUGGUUGGAGUAGGAGAUGUAAAACUUUAUAUAUAGUGAUUCAUAAACAAUUUUGGUAUAGUAUUUAAAUAUUAAAAUAGAAUAUUUUUUUAGCUCAAUGGAAUAUAUAAACAGUAAUAGUAGUUGACUAAAGUUUUAUAUGUACGAUAUGUAAAGAGGUUAAAUGUUUCAUCUACGAUGGGGUUGUAAAUUGAAAUUUAACCACUAAUAAGAAUUAGAUUUGUGCUAAAAAUUAUUGAUAUAAAUUGUAAUGUUACAUGAUAUAAGCAUUUAAAGUUGUGACCUCUAAGAGAUGGUGUAAAUUAAAAAAUCACACUUGUAAUAAAUCAUGAUUCAUCUGUUUAAUAAAUAAUAUAUUUUUAAUUUAAAAUUUUAAUAGAAAUGGAUAUUGCUUUCCAACAAAAUAUUUUUAAAAUCUUUGUAAAAUGUAUUUUUGAAAAGUAAUAAAUUUAAGUUGUUAUUAUCAUUAAAAUAUUUUUUUUAUAAUUUAUAAUUUUUGUUUAUAAAUCGAAACUAAAUUAAAUUUAAAUUUUUGAUUAUAUUUUAUGAUAACUAAAAUUAAAAUUAAUCAAUUUUUGGAAUUAAAAUUUAAUAUGAUUCUGAAAAGAGUUUUAAAAGAUAUUGUUAAAAUUUUCUUAAAUAAAUAUUAAUUUUAUUUAAAUAAAAGUAAAGAUAUCAUAAAUAAGUUAUGUACAUUUGAUAAACUUUCUAAAUAAUGGUCCAAUUUAAAAUAUCACACAUCAAAUAAAGUUGUGAAUUCUAUUUAAUAGAAUAGAUGUUUCUCGGGUUAAGAUUUUGAUGUCGUAGACUGUAUGACAUAAUUUGUGGUAAUGAUAUCUUGCAUAUUUCCAUUGUGUUAUCCAUUCACCCAUGUGCAUUUUGAUCAUAUAGACUAGGAUUUAGCCAUGUUUAGGUUGCAUUUUGCAUACAUGAGUCUUUAUUAGGUAUUGGAGUACCACAUGGAGUUCUUGGAGACAUUUGGGUGCAUUUGGAGCUCAAAAGAGGUGAUAAAGGUGAUCGUUGGACGAGCAGUGCAUGGGAGCGACCCUACCGGAGCGACGCCAUGAACUCGCUGUGCCUUACCUCUCAGAGCGACCUUACCAGAGCUGCCUCACGAGGUCGCUCGCCAUUUCAUCGUUUUGGAGUGCAAAAAUAGACCCGAAGCGACCUCCUAGAGCGACGACACGAAGUCGCUCCAGCUCCAGAGCGAGGUCAGCACAAUGACACCCCGAGGUCGCUCGGGUUUGUGUCAAUUUGAGACACGAAGAACAAGCUGGGAGCUACCUCCCGGAGCGACGUGCCGAGGUCGCUCCCAACACCCAGAGCGACCUCCCGGAGCGACGUGCCGAGGUCGCUGCGCUUCAAUUAUUUGGUCGAACUUAUGAUUAAUCAAGGGCCUUUUGGUCAUUUGUUAUGCACGUUUUACACUUUCUAAACCUAGGUUUAAGUACCCUUUGUAAGCCAUUGGAGACAUAUUAUCUUUUAUCCUAAGAAAACCACCAAAAACCUCUUGGAAAGUUCAUCUAUUUGAUUCAAUUGAUCAUUUUUGUUAUCGCAAACCUGUUGUUUUCAUAUUGAUUCUCUGUAUUUCUCUACAUGAUUAAUCUGAAAUCCAAUAUGGGUUUAAGAGGAAUCAUGGAGAUUAGUGAGUAAUCACGUUUUGAAUUCAUGGGUUAGGGAGAUUAAGAGUGAUUAGGUUAGAGCUAGGAUGUUUUAGUGUAGAUCAUUCUUAGUCCUUGCUAGUAGAGUAUUCAUAAUGCAUCUUCUGAGUUGACCUCUCAAAAGUUGAUCUUUAGGCAUUUUCCACCCAAAAGGUGUUUGAUGAAAUGCCUGAGACAACUCUUCUAAGCUUUUAGCAUACUUUGCCAAAGAUAUUUGUUGUUAGAAGUGCUAAGAUAGCCAUUAGACUUGUUAGUAAUGAUUGCUUUCGUAUUAUUCAACCAAAGACAUUUGAUGUUUGAAAUGUGUUAGUAAAUGAACAUUCAUCUAGACAUAGAGCUUGUUUAGAACUGUGUCUAAGCUUAAGGUUGAUAGUUUGAUUGAUCGUUUGCCAUCCUUAGUUCGAAACUUGAUCACCCAAGGUCUAAUCCCUAUGCCCAUGAGUUCUCUUUUCCCUUAGUCAAGAAAGUUAUUUCAUUUAUCACUUUUAUUAUUCUGCAACUGUAUUAGCAUUAAUCAUUAGUUUAGAAAUCUUUUAAAUCACCGCUUGCACUUAGAUUAAGUGAGUACUUGCAUUCUCAGUGCUUUGAAAUCCCUUAAAAUUGGUUCGACAAUCUUUUAUACUACAUCAUUUGUCUUAGGAGCUUUGAAAACUCUUAACAUUAGGUAAUUAAUAUAUAUGUGUAGUGAAUGUACAUUCUCUCUAAAUGUAUAAAAAUGUGUUAUAGUUAGCAAUAAUGUACUACUAUAUAUGUAUUUCAUAAUAGUCACUAAAUUUUAAUUGAGUAUUAAGCGCUAAAUCUUAUAAAUCGUGGUAAUUAUCUUCUAAAUCGCUGAAAUAAUUAUAAUAUUGUAUAAUAAAUAAUUUAUAGUUUAUUAUUCAUAAAUUAUAAUAAUUAAUAUUUUACAAUAAAAAUCUUACAAAACUAAAAUAAUAUAAACUUUAUCAUUUAUAAAUAAUGAUAUUUAAUAUAAAACAUUAUAUGUAUUUAGUAUAUUGUUAUUAUUUAUAAGCAUUUAAAUCGCCUAACUAAUAAUCUAAGUGUUCUUUUAGUCAUUCUAGAAAUUAGGCGUUGAGGUAUUGUCCGCUUAGCACCCAUCUGUCACGGCCCGUUUUAACCCAAAACGUCCAUGAAGACAACCAAAGAUCGGGUCGGGCCAAAGGUGAAUCAAGCCCACUCCACUAAGUAUUUUCUUAAGCUUUAAGUCUUUUGUAAAAUAUCUUAGUUAUGGAGAAGUGUAGAAAAGUGUAGAGAAGUGUAGAAACUUGUAGAACACUUGAGAAGAACCCUCACAACCGUUAGAUCAAUUUGAUCUGAACCGUCCGUUGAGGAGGAGAAAGUGUAUAUAAAGGGGAUCACCCCUCACUUGUAAAACCACCAAGUUUUAAUAAGAAAACUCUUCUACAAACUCUCUCUCUCUCUCUAAAUCGUCCACACACUCUCUCUAAGUACUGGGCGAGUUGUCCGAAAGGCUGACUUAGCAAACCAUAAGGAGGAAAGUUGCUAAGGCCGCACGUCCUGAUUGCUGUGAAGAAAUCAGUCCGUGACAGUUGGUAUCAGAGCCGAGUUACGAUCCAAACAAGAGGAGACUCUGGCCGAACGGAGAAAAUGGCUAAGGGAGAUAAACAAAAAGAAACGAGCUCACAGUCCGGCGUGGAGGAGCGUGGAAGGGAGUCCACGGCCACACGUGCUGGCACCCAGCGGGAAAAGAGUGUUUCUCGUGAGGCUUUGGGGGUGGCUGUGGGCGAGAUGGGUGAUAAGCUCGAGAGGGUCGAGCAUACCGUCACUGAGCUGGAGAGUGUUGUGUUCGGUGGGCUUGAGGAAGUCAAGCAAAAUGCUGCCGACUUGGACUCUCGGUUCAUUCGGCUCGAGGAGCUGGUGACGGGAUCCAUGCAGGCUUUGCGUGAUGACAUCGAGGGGAUGAAGGCACGCUUUACUGCGAUGGAGGAAGACAUCACGCUGGUCAAGAGGGCAAGCGCAAACGCUGGAGCCGUUAGCGGAACCAGUUUUGGUAAGGUUGAGCUUCCGAAACCAAACCGGUUCAACGGUGUGCGUGAUGCCAAGGAGGUCGAGAAUUUCCUUUGGCAGAUGGAGAUAUACUUCGACAAUCUCAGCGUGGUGGCUGAGAAUGCGAAGGUGAAGGCUGCGACCUCCUACCUGUCGGACACAGCCAUGUUAUGGUGGCGAAGGAAGCAUUCCGAGAUCGAGCAAGGAACCUGCCGGAUCGAUACUUGGGAUGACUUCAAGAAGGAACUGAAGCGGCAGUUCUACACAGAGAACGUCAUAUAUGAGGCCCGCAAGAAGUUGAGGGAACUUCGACAGCGCGGCUCGAUCCGGGUCUAUGUGAAGGAGUUCACAACGCUCAUGCUUCAGAUUCCGAAUAUGACCGCAGAGGAUCUGGUGUUCUACUUCACCGAUGGACUACAAUCUUGGGCCAAGCAAGAGUUGCAGCGUCGGGGAGUUAAGACGGUAGACGAAGCCAUCGCGGUGGCCGAGUCGCUAAUUGACUUCCGUACCUCUGGUCCGUCCGAGUCCUCGGAGAAGAAGGAGCAGGUCGUGGCCAAAGGUGGGGGAGCAAAACGGGACACUGGCCGACCAUCCAACUCAAGGAGUUUUGAGAAGGGUGUUCGUCGGGAAGACUUCGAGGCAAGAAAAAAGUCCUUUGUUCCUAAGGGAGGAUGCUUUGUGUGCAAGGGGCCACAUGCAAUGAAGGACUGCCCAAAGAUGGGGUCUUUAUCGGCUAUUAUGGAGAGUCGGGACCCCGAGACUCCAGAAGGGGAACCAAGAAAGAUGGGGUCGUUGCAACUUCUCAACGCCCUAAAGGCUAACCCGGUAGUGAAACCGACGAGCAAAGGGCUCAUGUACGUGGAAGCUUGGAUAAACGAUAAGCCGACCCGAGUGAUGGUGGACACGGGCGCCACUCACAACUUCAUGGCGACAGACGAAGCUGUGAGACUUGGCGUCAAGUGGUCCAAGAAGGAUGGUUGGAUGAAGACGGUGAACGCAAGGGCUCAGCCUGUCAAUGGUAUAGCUCGAGGCGUCGGGAUGAAGCUGGGAAGCUGGAGCGGCCCGGUGAACUUCUCAGUCAUUCCCAUGGACGAUUUCAAGGUAGUCUUGGGUAUGGACUUCAUAUGACAAGUCUCGGCCAUACCCAUGCCUGCAUUGAGCUCGGUCUGCAUCCUCGAGAAGGGUUCACCGUGCAUGAUUCCGACCUUGGAAGAGAAAAGUGAAGGGACGAGACAACUAUCGGCGAUGCAGCUCACCAAGGGGGUGAAGAAGGGUGAACCCACGUUUUUGGCCAUGAUGAAGGUGGAGGAUGAGCCCAAUAAAGUGGAGGACAUCCCUCAAAUCAUCAAAACGGUCCUUGAGGAGAACAAGGACGUUAUGCCGGCAAAGUUGCCAGAGAAGCUACCACCAAGGAGGGCGGUGGACCACCAGAUCGAGUUGGAGCCAGGAGCCAAACCACCAUCUAUGGCACCAUAUAGAAUGGCUCCAUCCGAACUAGAGGAGUUACGGAAACAACUCGAUGAGUUAUUAUCGAUGGGGAAGCUGAGACCGUCGAAGGCACCUUAUGGGGCCCCGGUUCUGUUCCAAAAGAAGCAUGAUGGCUCAUUGAGGAUGUGCGUGGACUACCGGGCCCUUAACAAGGUAACGAUCAAGAACCGUUAUCCCAUUCCGCUGAUUGCUGAUCUAUUCGAUAGACUUGGUGGGGCGAAAGUCUAUACGAAGAUGGACUUGCAGAAGGGUUACUACCAAGUCCGGAUAGCGGAAGGGGACGAGCCGAAGACUGCGUGCAUAACACGGUAUGGGUCGUUCGAGUGGAUGGUAAUGCCAUUCGGUCUUACGAACGCCCCCGCCACGUUUUGUACUCUAAUGAACCAGAUCCUACAGCCCUACUUGGAUCGGUUUGUGGUGGCAUACUUGGAUGAUAUCGUUAUCUACAGCAACUCGAUGGAGGAGCAUGUGGAACACUUGCGGACAGUAUUCCGGGUUCUCCGCGAGAAUGAGUUGUUUGUGAAGCGAGAGAAGUGUACUUUUGCCACCAAGGAAGUUCAGUUCCUUGGCCAUGUUAUCGGCCCUGGAAAGCUGAAGAUGGAUGAACCGAAGGUCAAAGCAAUUAUGGAGUGGGAGGCCCCGACCAAGGUAACGGAGUUGCGAUCUUUUCUUGGUCUGGUCAACUAUUAUCGUCGGUUCAUCGAGGGAUACUCAAAGAAAGCAGCACCACUGACGGAUCUUCUCAAGAAAGGGAAGACAUGGGACUGGUCCGGACCUUGUCAGGAGGCUUUCGAGGAACUGAAGACUGCGGUAAGCCAGGAACCCGUCCUUGCCUUACCCGACUUCAGUCUCCCUUUCGAGUUACACACGGAUACCUCCGACUUUGCUAUUGGGGGAGUGCUGAUGCAAAAUGGACAUCCAGUUGCCUUUGAAAGCCGUAAGCUCAAUGAGACUGAACGGCGGUACACGGUUCAAGAGAAAGAAAUGACCGCGAUAGUCCAUUGCUUGCGAGUUUGGAGACACUACCUUCUCGGGGCGCAUUUCUCGGUCAAGACGGACAAUGUGGCAACGAGUUACUUCCAAACACAGAAGAAGUUGUCCCCGAAACAAGCGAGAUGGCAAGACUUCCUGGCUGAGUUCGAUUACACUUUGGAGUACAAGCCAGGAAAGGUGAAUGUAGUUGCCGAUGCACUAAGUCGGAAGGCGGAGCUGGCAGCGAUGAGCCAAGUCAAGGGGACUAUUAUGGCUCGAAUUAGAGAGGGACUAGAACGUGAUCCAGUCGCUAAGGAGCUGGUGAAGCUAUCCAACGAGGGGAAGGUGCAUCGAUUUUGGGUAGAGGACGGGUUACUCUACACCAAAGGUCGAAGGCUUUAUGUGCCUAAGUGGGAGAGUCUUCGACGUGAUAUCAUCCGGGAGUGCCACGAUACGCGAUGGGCGGGCCAUCCGGGACAGAAAAGAACCAUGGCACUCGUCGAAGCUGGAUACUAUUGGCCACGGAUGAGGGAUACCGUGGAGCUUUAUGUGAAAACUUGUCUAGUCUGCCAACAAGACAAGUCGGAAAACAUGCAGCCCGCGGGAUUGUUACAACCACUACCCAUCCCGGAGCGACCAUGGGACUCGGUCUCGCUUGAUUUCAUCAGUGCGUUACCCAAGUCCGAAGGGUUUGGAUCCAUCCUUGUGAUUGUGGAUCGAUUCUCUAAAUAUGGGACGUUCGUGGCUUGUGAUCGGGACUGCACUGCGGAAGAGGCAGCAAAGGCGUUCUUCAAGAACGUGGUGAAGCUUUGGGGACUGCCUCGGAAUAUUGUAAGUGACCGGGAUCCCCGGUUCACUGGGCGUUUAUGGACAGAGCUGUUCAAAAUACUUGGGACGGAACUGAGCUUCUCAACCAGCUUUCACCCGCAAUCUGAUGGACAGACUGAAAGGGUGAAUGCCUUGCUUGAAAGUUAUCUCCGUCACUUUGUAAGCGCUAACCAACGGGACUGGGCGAAGUUGUUGGACAUAGCCCAGUUUUCAUACAACCUUCAACGCAGCGAGGCGACGGGACGGAGUCCGUUCGAGCUUGCAACGGGACAACAGCCAUUGACUCCGCACACCUUGGCCACACCAAGGACUGAAGGGAAGAGUCCUGGAGCGUUCAUAAUGGCUAAGCAGUGGGAAGAACAUGCUGACCUUGCCCGAGCAUGUUUGGAGAAAUCCCGAAAACGGAUGAAGAAAUGGGCAGAUGAGAAGAGACGGCCUUCGGAAUACUCAGUGGGCGACCUUGUACUUGUGAAAUUACUUCCACAACAGUUCAAGGCAUUCCGGAGCCUACACAAAGGAUUGAUCCGGAAGUACGAAGGACCGUUUGAGAUAGCUGGAAAGGUGGGAAAGGUUUCCUACCGGAUCGACCUACCGGAUACACUUAAGAUCCAUCCGGUCUUUCAUGUUAGCAUGCUGAAACCGUACCAUGCUGAUGAGGACGACCAAACCCGAAGGGUUUCGACUCGAGCACCACCUGUGGUGACUAAGUCGUAUGACAAAGAGGUCGAAGAGGUUCUGGCGUCCAAGGAAGUAAGGAAGCGAGGAGUCCCGAGACAGACCCAUUUCCUCAUUAAGUGGAAAGGACUGCCAGAGGCAGAAGCAACAUGGGAAUCGGAGGAAGACUUGUGGCAAUUCCGGGACAUACUGAAGGCAUACACGGCGACGAGGGCGUCACCGGCUUAGGUGGGGGAGGAUGUCACGGCCCGUUUUAACCCAAAACGUCCAUGAAGACAACCAAAGAUCGGGUCGGGCCAAAGGUGAAUCAAGCCCACUCCACUAAGUAUUUUCUUAAGCUUUAAGUCUUUUGUAAAAUAUCUUAGUUAUGGAGAAGUGUAGAAAAGUGUAGAGAAGUGUAGAAACUUGUAGAACACUUGAGAAGAACCCUCACAACCGUUAGAUCAAUUUGAUCUGAACCGUCCGUUGAGGAGGAGAAAGUGUAUAUAAAGGGGAUCACCCCUCACUUGUAAAACCACCAAGUUUUAAUAAGAAAACUCUUCUACAAACUCUCUCUCUCUCUCUCUAAAUCGUCCACACUCUCUCUCUAAGUACUGGGCGAGUUGUCCGAAAGGCUGACUUAGCAAACCAUAAGGAGGAAAGUUGCUAAGGCCGCACGUCCUGAUUGCUGUGAAGAAAUCAGCCCGUGACACAUCGCUUUCUUAAACACAGCUUAAUUCGAAGUUUAAAGCUGAUGACUAUGCGGUAGUAGUCCGAGCAAUUUACACGUCUCAAAUCUAAAACGUGCGGAUACAUGUAUCUAUUAUAAUAUACCAAUAGAAUCUACUAUUUUUCUAAGCAAAAGGAUAAAACAUAGUUUGAAAAAAGCAAAUAUAUACACAUACACCAAUAGAAUACCAUAUACCAUGGACCAUAUAUAAAGCUUGACUAACCGAUUGAAGUCGGUCAGUGUAAGUGUAAGCACGUGAGCCAGUUUUAUGUAAUAGAAGCCAGCAUGUUAGACUUUAAUACCGUCAAAAGUUUACGAAAGGAAUUUAAGGUUCUGUGGUUUUGUCUCGUUUAAUUAACUAGGGGUACAGCCGCGGAGCCGGAUAAGUUAUUGAUCGUUGUGUAGUUUUAUGUACGGAAUUUUGUCGUUUAUUUUUUUCCACUUUUGUUUUUCCGUGUUGUAUAUAAUGGUGAUGAAUAUAACAUUUGGAAGUCACACAGUUUGAUUAAGUUGAUAUAAGAAUGACCGGCGAAUUCAUAUGCAUUAUUUUCGUAAUGAUUUGAUCGACCAUUACCGUUAUUAGUGCUUUCAUGUUCAAAAGAUAAAGUUUAUGAAGUUGUUUAGUUACUUAGUAGUUGUUAGUAUAUAAAACAAAUAGUGUAAGGAACAAAAUAUAAAAUUUGAAUUCAAAAAAUUAAACAAUUUAUCGAACAAUAAAUUAAAUUAUUUUUUAUUUUACCUAUAUUAAUUUUAAAAUAUAGAAUUGUAACAAACUAUUUUUUUAAAAAAAAAAUUAAUAACUCUAGAAAAAUUUAUAAAAUUAUACGGUUGCAAAAUUAUUUAUUUUUAGAGUUUUACUCGACUUUGUUAAAAAUAGUUUAUGGUGGACAAAAAAAAUGUCAGAAAUAGGUAAACAAAAAAAAAUACACCACUGAUAAAUCUUGUAUGAGUUAGAACUCGUUGACGUUUCAUUAAUAAUCCAAAAUAGAAAUAAAAUCUCCGAACAGAGAAAACAUGCAAGGGAAAAAAUAUCCAAAGUUUAUGAUGGAAAACAAAGAUAAUAGCAGUUUUUAAAAUGCAUUGAAAAGACGUUGACGGGCUGAUAGGAAUAUAAUAUAUAUUUCCAAUCACUCACGGCAGCGCUUGCAGUUGUUCUGAGCGUCUGAAAUCUCUGGAGGAUCUACUGCAGCACAUUCCUCAUCGACCUUGUCUCCCAAAACAGACGGGCCCGAUGAUGCUGCCAAUCCUACGUCACUUUCACUGCUUGGAAGAAUGUUCUUACUGUGCUCCUGAAAUACAUGAACGUGAUGACAAGUAAAACUAGACAACCUUGCCAUGGUUCUCUAUGAUGGUAUCUUCAGUGAUGGUGGAGAUAGUGAAGGUACGGUGAUUGCUAUUAAUGGCUUCAAUCAAUUUGAGAGCUCUCCAUGUUUUGGGCUGGAUCUUGGCAAGUAGCUAUGAAUACAUCAAACACUAUGUUGUUGGCAUGAGAUUUGAAUCGGCCUAGAGAGCCUGCAACAACAUAGACGGUGAGGUUCUUGAGUAUAUUGAGCUCCACCAAGCCAGACACACUCUUUUUCAACACCUUGUUCCCUAUCUCUCUUCUAAUUAGUGCCAUGUCCCUCGAUGCAGUUCACCGCAGCAGGUUUGUUAAUGUCGGAGAAGAAGUUAUCUGACCAAUAAAUUUCAAGUUUUUAAGUCUCAAGAUGACACUAAGCUAAAAGACAUUGUUUUAAAAUCAAACCAAUAACAUACAAAAGGAACUCACCAGAGAUUUCGAUCACAUCCAUGUAAGGGUAAUCAUCGCUGAGGAACUCAAUAACAUUAUGCACACCUUUGGUUACCAUGUCCAUCCCCAUUGCACCACACCGGUGUUACAACUGAACCAUAUAUAGCCAUUUUUUCCCUGCCAAUGUACAGUAAACAGUUUGUAGCCUCGUAAAUCUAAUUGAUAUGCAUCCACAAAAUCAUUAUUUCAUCAGCAAAAGUUUCAAUCUUGAGUCGAACCACACCACAAACAUAAAAAAAAUUACAUCGUGGUGGUACCUAUUGAAAAUGACAGCCGACGUUUCGAAGUGAUCUGGAUUCUCCUAGGAAGGCUUAAGUUCCAUAGCACGUUGGCACGACAAAAACCGGACACUCUAGUUGUACCGUCCUUCAGCUCCGCCUGAGACGUACCCAGCCUUGCAGCCUCUGUUAGUCCUAGCAACCAAAUAACUUUCCGUUAUAGCCCAUCAGAACAGAGUUUACAUCAUAUUAGUUAAUCGGACAACUUCAAAGCGAUCAAUCAACUUUCACGAUCGACCCCCUAUCGUAGCGAUGGAUGGUAGUGAUUCACACGAACUGGGAUAUAACCGUGGAUCUCGAAAUUCUGCCCAGAGAAAAAUACGCUUAAAGUAUUAAAACUGAUAGCUUGAAUAUUGAUUAAACAAAUAUGGUAUAUAGUAUUCCAUAGAAAGUCAAAUUGUCAAUACCUUUUCCUGGGUACUAUGUUCUAGGCGGAGAAAGGUGGCGUGGACAACGACCGAUUAAACAACAACAACACUGGAGGCUGGCAUCUUCGAAGGUUGGCUAAAAGCUGCGACAGUUCAAUUUAGGAGUAAUUUAACAAGAGAUAUGGGUCUCAAGGUUUGUUUGAGGAAUUAUAUAUACUGAGACGGAUCGUUUCAGUGGUGAAACAGUACCAUAACUAAUCGUUGGAGAUAUAGAGAGUUGGAGAUAUAGAGAGGUGAAGAUGAAAAGUUUCAGAAUUUUUUUUGAUAAGCUAAAAGGGUAACGCUUCGGUUUAUCGGUGGAGACAGAGUACUAUAAAAAUCCUAGAUACAUACAAAAGAGAUUUAACCCACUUAUAAGUUUUAUUGGACCAGAAUGCGGAUUUUACUAAAUAGGUUUCGAUGAUCAAAGUUACACGUGAGUAUUGAAACAUUACAGUUAUGUGUGGGAUCCACUAUAAGAAAUCCUUCAUAAAUAUAUAUUAGUUUCGGUAAUCAAUGUACAAAGUAUCCUUUAGUUUAGUGGUAUAAAUGUUGGUGUUUACAUCACAGUAAGCCGGGUUCAAGCCACAUAUUUGACAUUUUUUCACAUUUUUUAAAAGUGGGACCCACUUACCUGCUGACGUGUUGCAUCAGGAAUGAUGAAACUGACUCAUUAUAAUGUAGAUUUUUCUUUUACAAGUCGGUAUUUAGGUUGAGGAUAUCAUAAUAUAAGGGAAAUUGGAAGGUAUAUAAAAUGUAGGGCAGAGGUCCGCGUGUAAAUAAAGAAACAUUCAAAAAUAGUUUAAUUUUAUAGCACUAAUGAAACGCAACCCGAGUCUUGUAAAAUCUAUAAAUAACGUACCCAACAUUCGAAAAGGCAUAGCUACAACUUUAGAAACAUACCUCUUCUUGCUCUCUGUGUCCUAAACUCUCAUCCACAACUCUAAACGAACAUGUUUCAUGGCGCUGACAAGGCAGUUGAGGCGCUGCUUCGUGGCCAAGAAAGCGCCAAUCUCUUGAAGAUGGUGCUCGAACACCAGAGGGCUAGCUCAGUUUCAAUCGAGGCCAAUGCAUUAACUUUGACAAAUCUUCCUUAUUCUUUGGUAAGAGGAUUAAUGCAGCUACUAGGAAAGAGAUUAAAGAUGCACUUGGAAUACAUAAUGAUGGAGGGAUAGUAAAGUACUUGGGAAUCCCAAAGGAUAUUAGUGGUUCUAAAUGCAAACUCUUUGCAUUUCUAAAGGACAACCUAAUGCAUAGAGUAAAUGGAUGGACUGGUAGAUGGCUCUCAAAAGGGGGGAAGGAGGUAAUGAUCAAAUCCAUUUUACUCGCUCUUCUCUCUUCCGACAUACGUUAUGUCGACGUUUCUGCUCCCAUUGGAGAUUUGUGAAAACCUCGCUAGUGCCAUUGCACAAUUUUGGUGGAGCUCGAAUCCACCAAAAAGAGGAAUACACUGGGCGAAAUGGGAAAAGGUUUGUCUACCAAAAGAAGAGGGCGGGAUUGGUUUCCGUUUAAUUCAUGAGUUCAAUCUAGCACUACUGGCAAAGCAAUUAUGGAGAUUGGUUCAGUACCCCGAUUCACUGGUUGCCCGGGUCUUGAGGAGAAGAUAUUUUAGGAUGACCUCGCCAUUAAGAGCAAUCUCUGCAAGUAGCCCAUCAUAUGUGUGGACAAGCAUCUCCGCCGCAAGGAAGCUCUUAAUUCUGGGGAUCAGACAGAAGAUUCAUUCUGGUUAUGAAGUCAAGGUGUGGGAGGAUCUGUGGAUUCCAACGACACCUGCUAGACCGCCUACACCUGUAGCGCCUGUGAUGCACCCAAAUAUGAGAGUUAGUGACCUCAUUAAUCAGGAAUCGAAUGAAUGGGACGUAGGACUACUAGAGGAUUAUGUUCAUCCUGAUGACAUACCACUCAUUCGCAGUAUGACCAUAAGCUCUACUCAUCGCCGUGAUACUUUCUGCUGGAACUAACACGAGGACUGGCCAAUACACAGUUAAAUCUGGAUACUGGGUUGCUCAAAAUCUGUUGAACCCAGAAGAGGAAAAGGAAAUACUGGAACCAAGUAUCACUAAACUUCAAGCCUUUGCUUGGAAGUUGAAAGCGCCAAGGAAGAUGUGCCAUCUUAUAUGGCAAUUGAUAACGGGUCAGGUGGCAGUAACGAGGAAUCUAGUAAGGCGGAAUAUGAGGUGCGAUAAUUAUUGCCCAAGGUGUGGGGAAACAGAGGAAUCUGUAACUCAUGCAAUAUUUGAAUGCCCUCCAGCUCUGCAAGUAUGGUCCUUAUCGGCAACUCCUACAAGCUCAGGUACAUUUCCAGUGGCAAGCGUCUACACAAACAUGGACUAUCUAUUCUGGAGGAAGAAUAAUAUCCUAGAACCAGACCAAGACAGGGAUCCUUAUCCCUGGAUAAUAUGGUAUAUUUGGAAGGCUCGCAAUGAUAAACUUUUCAGGGGAAUAGACAGAGACCCUUUGGAGCUAGGUCGAUACGCAGAAAGUGAAUGUCAAGCCUGGUUUAAUGCAAAUGAGAUGAUACCACCAGUAGUACAGACCAGCAAUAAUGAUGAAAACCAAGUCUUAAGCUUGGUAAUAUUUGCCUAUUAGAUGGAUCUUGGACAGCUUCUGAUUGUUUUAGUGGAUGUGGAUGGGUCUGGAUGAAUAGUGGGGAGAACAUACAACUUAUGGGAACACGGAACUUCACUCGAUGUGAAUCAGUAUUACAUUCGGAGGUAGAAGCACUGCGAUGGGCGAUGGAGAAUAUGCUUCAACACUGGCCAUGCCAGAGCUUUGGAACAGACUGCAAGGAGCUGAUUGCAAUGAUAAAGGAACCUCAGGAGUGGCCAAGAGUCGCGACAAAAUUGGAGAAGAUAGAGACGCUGCAGAUUUGUUUCCCGGACUUCAAAAUCACCCAUGUGCCACGAGUGCGCAAUCAAUUUUCUGAUUUUUUAGCUAAGACUGCUAGGACCUUUCGUAGGGAGUUACUUUUCAUUGGUUGUUCUAUUCCGGUCUGGUUACCCAGACCACCUCAAGCUUGAGUAAUAGAAUGGCCGUUUGACGUAAAAAAAAAGUAACAAAAACAUAUAUAUAUAUAUAUAUAUCUAUAUAUAUAUAUAUAUAUUUGUUAUUAUUAACUGCGGUGAGGUGUGGUGCGGUUUGUAAUAUUCGUACUCUUGGUCUAAAAAAUAACAUAAUUAAGAAAAAGAGUUUUGAAGAGGAUAAAUAAAAUGAAACUUAAUUCACUUAAAAUGAUUCAGUUUGAUAUCCAUAAAAAGAUACGUCCAAAACGUUAUUACAUUUAUACUGUAAUUCUCAGCAAAUGCCACAGCCUAUAUAAGCUCUUAGAUAGACCAUUGUAAUAUUCACCCUCAGUCAUAAAGUAAUAUAUAGAAUUUUGUUUAUGUUUCUCAAAGAACUUAUCUUUCAAAACCGAUUGUCUUUAGGAUUCAAGUGUGCAAAGUGCUUCAGUCCUACUGAUUCGUGGAUCCUGCUUGUUUGUGUGAUUCAAACACUCCUGGUUCACAGAUUGAGAGAGUCAAUCAUCUAUCCAUCACCAUCCAUUACCAAUCAUCUAUCUUCAUUCCAUUAACUAUCCUAUCUUAUCUCUUUUAUUUUCUCUGUUCUUAUUUGUUUGGGUCACUUAUCAUACCGUUCUUCCUUUGUUUUCAGGUUAUCUUGGACCUAAAGGAGUAACAAGUAGGCCACCUUCACCAUCCUCCCAUCCUAUUAGAUUCAGAAACGGAGCUCGAUAAGUAGAGAUAAAAGGAGAAAUACGGUUUGAUGUUUACACUAAACUAGGUGUUUUCCUGCACCAUGUGCAGAGAUAAAAUUUUAAAUUUAAAUUGUAUUUAAAAAUAAAAAUUUGUUAAUAUUUUAGAUUUUAUUAAGCCAAUAUUUUAAUAAAAUACUAAAUACUAAUUUAAUUAAACAUAAACUAAGAUAAAAUAAAUAAUUUGAUUUAUUUAAAAUUACAUUUAAGUUAUAUUUAAAAUUAUAAUUUAGAUAGACUUUCAUUUAUUUAUUUUGUUUAAGAUAUAUUAAAUUAACUUGUGUAAAGUAAAAUUGAUAUAAUUUUUUUUAUAAUUAUUAAAAUAUAAAACUAAAAAGAAUUUCUAAAAUUUGUAGAUAUCAAAAAUAAACAAAUGAUACUGCAUUAAAAAAAUUCAUUUUUUUAGAAAAAAGAUUGUAUAAAAUUUUGAAAAUAUUGUUUAAUAAAAAAAAAUUAUGAUUAUAAAAAUAUAUUUAAAUAAUAUUUCUAAAUUUAAAAAUAUUUUAUAUUUCCUUUAUCGUAUUAUUUAAUGAUAUAUUUGAAUUGAUUUAUUUUAAUGAUGAUUUAUGAGUUAUUACCAUAUUAUCAAAAAUUACAAAAAAUUGAAAUUAACAUUAAAUGUAGUUGUCCAUGUCACUUUUAACCAUAUGCCGUGUCAUCAAUUUUAGUAUGUCAUAUCAUAUUUUUUUGAUGAAAAUAAUUGUGGAGAUGACAUGUGUGAAAUCGCUUCACAAAUAAUGUCUAGGGGAAGUCUCGGUUUAACUAACAAUGUUAACAGGAUGGUUUGUAUAGUCUAAUGCUUCUGAUCACCAUUUCCAUCAAUAAGAUCGACCCAUCAACCAUCCAUCUCAUCUGCCCAUAAUCUGUGCCCCUAACAGGAUCGAGGUAAAGGAGAUAAAAUCAAAAGAGGCAGAAAUCGCAGUAAUAUCUGAAAGAGUCCCAUGUAUCUCAGCAUUGGUUCCUUAUCAUUAAUAUCUUUGAUUAGUUGAGCUGAAUCCGAUUCACAUCGAAGAGUUGCAAUUUCCAAAGAUUUGCAGCAGAGGAGAGCUUCCCGAACGGCUAGACUCUCUGCCAAGAGGGUGGAUCGCACAGCUUGAGUAAAUACCUUAGAGGAGGUGUUAUGCUUUGAACCCGCUAUAGUCCAUCCAAGGCUCACGGCAGCCUUGUCGUAGCUUCUCCAUGCCGCAUCAGAACGGACGCAGACAGUACACGAGAAGAUCGUAGAAUAGGAGACCAUAUUUUUGAAGAAAAAUCCUUCUCACUGAAGUGAUUGAUUGACCACUCUCUCGUGCUGUGAUGGCUAACAAGGUUUCCACCGAUGGAACAUAGUGUCCAGAGAAAUAUAGCUUGUUUCGGUCUUUCCACAAUGACCACAAGAUUUAGGGAAAUAGGUGACUUGUCACAAUUCCAGUUGGGGAGCGCUUUGCAUAGACCAUAAGGACGACCAGCUGUUCCCUAAAUCUACCAUUCCUCUAGGAUCCAAUUCUGCAACGAAGGGAGCUAGAUCCCAUACUUGUUGUGCGUGAAGAAAAUGAAAGAGAAGAUGAGUGAUAGACUCAGGGUUCCUGCAGGGUUUGCACAAAGGGUCUACAGUAAGGUGUUGCCACACCAGACGUACUCCCACCGGUAAUGCCCUCUUCAAUACUUUCCACGCAAACAUUUAACUUUUGGAGCAACAAUUAAGUUCCAGACAUUUUUAUACCAUUGUGUUGAAUCUGAGUUCGGUCGGGACUCGGUAUAGACACAGACUGAACUCGACGGUGGGCUUAGUUCAAAGGUGUCUGUAUUGAUUGGGAAAAUGUAACGGCUUACAAUAAGAAGAUAAACGGAAGAGUAAGCCGGUGCUCGGUGAGCUAGCUGGAAAAGUACGAAUCGGCAAAAAAUACAACAAGUAAAAUCCUAAUUUAUAGCCGCCAAGUGUGUGUAAAAUGUUCUCUUCCUUUUUCCGUGGUGUUGUCCUUCUUUUAUAGAUUAACCUUCCUCCCAUUUUUCUAGGUCAUCUUUGACCUACUGGGCUGAAUUCCGUCUUUUGGGCCGAGCAACUAGAAAUCAAACUUUCAAGCCAAGCUGGUGCAAAUAGCGAGCAAUCGCCAAGUAAAGCCGGUUUUCAACCGAGCGUGAGCAUGGAGUCGUAGACCGUUGAGCUAAGCUUAUCUGAGCCGACCGAGUGGUCCAAAUAUUUUAUCUGAUAGGCUUUUUGUAGGGAUAUCAUCCAUCUCCUACACAUUGAGGGCUCGCCUCACUCUCGAGACUUUGCUGAUCACUCAGCAGCUUAUAGAGAAAUCUUUGGCGUUAAAAAAUACAGGGUACAAGCAUGGUGAUGAGCUGGUCAGAUUAUUGUCCUUCCAUUAAUGUCUCUCCACUUCUCCCGUGUUUAAAUUCCUGUUUGUUUCCUUUUUCUUAUCUUCCCCUGUUUUCGUUAUAAUUCAGGUGGCUAUUCCCCUAUUCUGUGUUUUUGUUACUCUUGUAUGUUUUAGUGUUUUAUUAAUAAGAAAGCCUUUAAAAAAUAAAAAGUAUUACUAUUUUUAGGAAUAAAUUGAAGUGAAAUUAUAAGCUCUAUUAAGUUCAUAAUUUUUUUACCGUUUUAAUUUGAACUGGAAAAGUAUUUAUCUCAUCAAUUCUGUACACAAAAUCAUAAAAUAUGAAAAUCAUUAUGUAAUGAAUUUAAUAAUCUAUACUAACAAAAGAGACUUUUUGAAACUUCGUAGAACGUCCGCCUCAACGAAAAAAACUUCUCCCAGAAAAUACCCCAUGACAUUACAAUAUAAGAAAAAAAUAAAUAAUAAGUCUCUAUACAAUAAAAAAUAGAUAAUAAGUACAUAUACAAUAUAAGAAAUAUAAAUAUUAUAUUUAACAGCUAUCAUAAUAUUACCAUUUAAUAUAAAAACAAAAAAUUAGAAUAAAUAAAUAUAUAAAAUAAAAAUAAAUAAAUACUAAGUAAAUAUAUCAAGAUACUAAAAAUGAAACAACAAACCCCGAGCAUGCCUACUCCGACUGUUCCACUUCGUCUUCACGGUUUUGGUUCUCAUGAAUAAUCGAUGUUAACGCAACCAUUCAAUGAUGUCUUUACUCCAUCUUUGAUGGUUGAUUCUCCUCUUAUAUAAAUUGUUUAGUUAAAACCUAAAAUCCCACCAAAUUCGAAAACCCCGCUGAAGAAGCUAAAGCUAUGGCAAGUCACAACAGAGAAUCUAAGAUGUCCUGAACAAAAAAAACGAAACAACAAAGAGAGUGCCUUUCCUUAAGCUUAUGGCGGGAUGGUGAAUCGUUAUAAGGUUCUAAAUUCACUCUAGGAAGUAACUGGUGACAUUGAUUUUAGGCUCUUGGUCGGGUAAAUAUUAUCUUCAAAUCAGAACACAAGGUUCAUUCUUCCCCAAUCCUUAAAUUAUUUUUAUCAGAAAAAGCAUGUUGAGGAUCGACAACAAAAAGAUCACGAGUUUGCAGUUCCCAAGGUGAGUCUUUUCUUGAUGCAUCUUCAAUUUUUUGCGAGAAUAUUGAUGUUCUUUGCUGCGUUUGUGAGAAGAAGAAACAUAUAUAACUGUAGUGAAAUAUAAUCUCAUGACCCCAUCGCUAUUAGAUUAUUCUUUCGAUCAUUUUGGUGUUGACUUUUCAAUACGGUGGCUUUCUAAAAGGUUGCUGAAUCCACGCUAAUCUCAAGGAUACGUCAACUUAGACUUCAUAUUCAUACGAUUUAUGAUCAUUUGUAUCUUGUUAUUACCAAAAAAAAAGUUAAACUAUUGAUCACAAAAUUUUAGUAUGAGACAUUUAACGUUUUUAGUAAUUUAAAGUCGUUUUAAAAAUUCAAAAUAUAACAUAUAAGAAAAAAAUUAAUUUUGUUUAUUAUAUGGUUAAUGUGGUUGUUUAAUAUCUUUUAAUAAUAUAAAAUUAAACAAAAAAGAGCUAAGAUACAACAAUUAUUUUCAAAUAUUUAUUAUUCAUAAUCAUUAAUUGUCAUAUAUAUGUUAACUAUAUUAGGCAAUUCCGUAUCUUUUAUUUAAAGAAAAUGCGAUAGUAUUUUUUUGUAGACUAUUUAUUAAUUUAAUAGUUAUUUUAAUAAAAAGUAUAAUAUAAGUAAAGAAGAACCAACCUAUUUCUCUAAGAAUUCAUAAUUUCAUUCUCAUGGUGACACGUGGCUACAAAACAAACUUGUAAUAUUUUUUAAUUAAUAUAUAAGAGAUAUUAUGAACAGUUUAAAUACUUCACUAGAUCUCGAUCCGCGCAACCGCGCGGAUUUUUGUUUUCAUUUAUUUUUAUAUAAAUAUUUUGUUUAUAAUUCUAAAUUGGUAUAUAUGAUAAUAAUAUGUCUAUCAAUUUUUAAAACAUAAUAAGUUUACGGUAUAUUUUUUCAUUGAAUAGAUUGUUUCAAACUUUAACAUGUAUUUGUAUCUUCUUCUAUAUAUAUAUUUCUGGAUUAUUAUUUUAUUAUUAAAAUCGUAACUAUAUAUAUAAAGAUUAAUAAAAUAUUGUUUUAUUGUCAUAUUCAUAGAUAUUGUAACAUUUCACAAAUUUAGAAUGUUUUUUAAAAAAUAAACUUUUCGCUUCAUAGAUUUAUAUUAUCGAGAAAUAAUUAAACAUUUAGUUUCUGUUUAAUUUUUAAAAUAAACUAUAUAGUUUAAAAUUUUCUUUCAUUGUGUAAUAAAGAUUAAUCAUUGUUAGAUAAUAUAAUUUUUGUUAUUUAAAAAAAAAAUCUUUAUAAUUUUAAAAGUUAACAUCGACAAAUAUUUAAAUAUUUAACAUAUGGAGAUAUAGUAUUACAACAUUAAAUUAUAUCUAUUUAAUUUAUACUAUCUAUAAAUUCAAUGGAUCAUCUAUUGUUUAAAUCCAAUUAUUGUAGCCCAAUAAAAAUUUCUGGUAUGUCUAAAAUUUAAAUGAUAAGAUUAGAGAUUAAAUGUAACAUGACUUUUUAGAAAUAUGUUCAUUAGAUUCAUUUUUAAAAAAAUCACACAUGAAUUAAAGCUGUCACUUCUGUUUUAUUAUAUAAGAUUUAUUUAUUCUUCCUAGCUUUAUAUAAAAGAAAAAGACAAGUUGAAAAGUCUGCUUAUGGGUAAAGUAAUUUAAUGGUAUUCGCUUUUUUGAACAAACUUACUGGUGUUCACUUAAUUAUAUUUAUCCUGCUUUAUACUAAUGUUAUCGUAAACUUAUACCAUGUACAACAAGCAUAUGGAUACAUCAACCAGGAGCAAUGAUGAGUACUUUUAAGUGAUUUUCGAAUUUCUCUUUAUCAAUUUAUUUGUUAAUUAGAUGAAAUUAUUGUCUGGGAGAAAUUGACUAAAUAUUCUGUAGACUCUUUUUUUGGUAGUGAUAUAUUAUUGUUAAAUUAUAACGGCGUAUACUAAUACUAGUUCUUCUGACCGCCCAACGGCAAAGGCAUAAGAGUUUUGUUUUUUUUAUAGAUACCAACUUAACACGAAAGUAACGCCAACAAAAAACCUAUCCCACCCAAUAGAAAUAUAGGCAGGUAGAUUCCUCGCAAUGGUUCGCCCUCCACAUUUUCCCCCGUCUAUAAAAAUGCAACGAACCUUCAAAAUAACAGAAAAAUUGAAACAAAACUCUUCUUGCUCUUCAAGUCUGGGGACUUCUCCACAGCUCUAAACUAAAAAAUGUCUCACGGUAUUGACAAGGCGGUUGAGGCGCUGCUUCGUGGCCAAGAAAGCGCUUACCGCUUGAAGACCGUGCUCGAGCACGCAAGCUCAGUUCCAACCGAGCCUCUCUUCGAUACCGUUCUUGAUUCCUUCUCCUUUGCUCUCUCUCUUUUUGCAUCUUCUAACCCUCAACCACACCGUGAGUCUUCUCAGAACAAGGCAACCCCCGUGGUGGCUCAAAAAUCGCCCAAGAAGUAAUUGACUAAACAAAAAUCAAUACGUGUUUUCGAUUAAGGGAUGUUUGAUUUGAUCGGUUCGUAUAUUCCAUGUUGCAGAAAUAGCCACGGAGAAGAAUGUUUAGAGCAAUACAUCCAAGAUUCACCAACUCCUUUCUGCAAUGACGGUUUUUCUUGGAGGAAGUACGGCCAAAAGAAAAUCAAAACGUCUUCCCACCAAAGGUUAGAGAGUAUAAAAAAAAGAGUAUUUCUCUGUUUUUGCUCUGUUUUAUUAACGGAGUUUAUCUUUACAGGUGUUACUAUCGUUGCGCCUAUGCCAAAGACAGAAACUGCAACGCUACAAAGAGGGUGCAACAGAUCCAAAACAGUCCUUCUGUGUACAGAACAACUUAUGUCGGAAAACACAUCUGUGAGGUUAAUGCUUUUUUGCAGCCUAAUGAAGAUAUUAUUAACGGUUCCAAGAUGAUUCGGUUCGACAAGAUCGACCAAGUCAUGCCUGACUCGGUUAUGCCUCAACUCGUUCCAGUAGAACAACAAGAAGCAAUUAUCAUCGAAGGCACGGACCAAAUCAUGAACCUAGAAUGUGGUAGUAACGAGUUUUUGGUGGAUGAUGAACAGUUAUGGGAGUAUCAGUUUCCUCCAUGUUCACCUGGAAAUUUUAUGUUCCUGGACGAUCUUUCUGAGUUCGAUUACAAUCCUUUCCACGUUUGAACAAGCAAUUUUUCAAGCUUCUUCUUAUGUUCACAUAGAGGGUAGACUAUGUCAUACUAUGGUACUUGCUAUAUUUUGUAAUAGUUUAUAUUUUGGUGUGUUAGAUUCAUAAUUCGUGACAUCGUUUUUGUGUCAUUAGUUUACGUCAUCGUUCAUGACGUAUAUGUGUAAGUUCGAUUCAAAUAUUGAGGACAACUACUGUUUAUCUUUUGAAUGAUAUAACGGGUGUUUAUAUAGCACUUCAAACGCGUCAUUUGACUCUAUUUUAGUAGAGUAUUUUCGUCGAAAAUUGGUCUAUAAAAUAAUAUAAUUAAGAAAAAGAGUUUUCAGGAUGAUAAAUGAAAAUACUAAAAAUUGAUUGUUUAUGUAUUUUAAUUGAUAUAAAUAUAUAAAAGAUUUAUAAAUAAAAAUAAGUUAUUAGUUUCUAAAUCUAACAUGUUAAUUUUAAUUAGUAUUUACAAAUCUGGAAUUUUUCUAUCGGGUUUAACUAUUUAUAUUUCUUAAAAAAGAAAUCCUUCAAAACCCAUUCAAAAUCCAUUCUGAAAUCAAGUAUAACAGUAAAAAUAUAUUGUGAAUAUAUUGUGAAAUAACGUUUGAUUUGAAUUAAGAUUUAUAAAUCAUAUAACCAAUAACACAUGAUUUAAAUUAUGAUUUAUAAAUUACAGAACCAAUAACACAUAACUUUAACAUGAAAAAAUUAUAUAUUGAAUAACACUAGAUUUUUUUGAUUUCCAAAUCCAUUAAAAUGCAUAAAUCAAUAACUCCUAAACUAUUCUAAUUUUAGCUUUAUACCAUAAAAAUGAUAAAAAGAUCACUCCACAAGAUGAUUACAUUUAAAUUUAAUCAGAAAUGAAAAGCUCCCAAGUCUUUCCGUAGGUGCUUGCUUACUUCUGUCAUAAGGUCAAAUAAACUAAUGGAUGAUAACUAAUAUGGACUAGUUGGAAUUUUGACAACGAGUAAAGAGUCAACAUGCAGACUACCGUACUCAUAAUACUAUGGAGCUGCCUGUUCCUGUGCGAGUCAUGACUUUGCGAAUGACCUUCUCGCUAGAUCUCGAAGACAAUUAUAAAAGAGACACUUGAAUUAGAUUAUUGAAUUCUUCCCAGUUUUGUCAAGUUUCGACAGCUUAGGAAAUUAACAAAUUAGUUUUAUUUGCUUGAUCAUGGACCCGUCACCUAAUCUAUCUGAGUAAACAAGAAAAAAAAAACAUAGCAUUAUCUUUCUUUUUUCGCCAAUACUUUUCCUACCAAGUUUAUGUUUUUAUACAUGAUAUUAUGAAUAUCAAAAUACAUCAUACAUGUAUAUAGGAUAUCUCAUAGAUUUUAAGCAUCAUCAUGUCAAUUAACGCAUACUUUGCAUACUAUACAAACACAAUAUAUAUAUAUAUAUAUAUAUAUNNNNNNNNNNNNNNNNNNNNNNNNNNNNNNNNNNNNNNNNNNNNNNNNNNNNNNNNNNNNNNNNNNNNNNNNNNNNNNNNNNNUAUUUUUCAUUGUUUUAAUAGUUUCACCUCAUUUUGAUAUAUAAAUGGCAGUAAAUCUUAUAUACAUAUGAAUACUGAAAAACUUUUAAAGAUAAAUUAAGGAUACUUUUCAAAAUAACUUUCCUAUUUCACCCAGGUUUCAUGGAGACUGGAGAGGACUUUCUUAUUAUCCAAUACAAAUGCAGAACUAAACAAAAUUUUCAAUGGGUUGACGAAACAAAAUGUUCAAUGGUUCACACACUAUGCACACGUAUAUAACCGUAUACAGGUAGAGAGAAGUUCACUACUAGUCUUUACUUGCUCAGCUUUUGUGGAUUUUAGUCUCAGCUAGGCUAAAAGCAUCUGAAAUGGGAGUUUUUAAAUGGGAGUUUUUAAGAAAAAAAUAAUUAAAUAAUCAGUGGAUUCCAUUAAAGUUAAAGAUUCAAUCAUUAAAAUUCUUAAAUAAAAAUUCUUUCUUAGUGAAUCCUUGCACUAUUUACAGGUCUCCACGACAUGUGACGAUCCGCGAUUGGUUGGUAUAUUUUUUUUUAUAUCUGAAAAAAAAAUAAUACUUAAAAAAUCAAAAUACAUUUUUUUUUUUAAGAAUUCCUCUUUUGGGUAACACUAUCGCGGGUGCUUUGUACCCAAAGUUCCCCCCAGUUCCUCUGCAGAAGAAACAAGAUCUAUAUUCAACUAUUCACAAAAAAAGCUACACUGAUCCCAUGAUUUAUGCGCCCAGCAUCUAUAUCCUAUGUUAAUUACUACCUCUAUCUGACCCAACAAUUCAUAUUUUAUAUUGUCACUGGAACUGUAGUGCCAGUUUCAUUUAAUUCUUCACUAAUGUAUAGUCAUAUCCCCAAAAGUAAAACAAACGGAUAAUGUAUUAAGACAACUACAUGUUAAAAGAAUUAUGUCCAACCGACCUUUCACAAACAAUCAAAAGAAAAUAGUUCAUUCAUAUUCAUGCACACAAAAUAACCCAACAAAAGAAGACAUUAAAGAACGUAACUAUUAAGCAAUAAGUGAUUAACAGUUUCUAAAUAAACCUAAACCCAACUUCAAAUCAACCUCUAAGCCCAUUUUCUCAAGAUUGUUAAAGGGAUUAAUCACGUUUCCAUCAUUACUAGAAGAAGUUAAGUUCCUAGUGGUAUCACUGAACAAUUGUUCAACCGAUGUGACUUUAACACACUUCCUCACGUUCACCCUCUUCUUCUUCCUCCUCCUAUCCUCCUCCGUCGUUGACGACUGAGUCUCAGCUAUCUCCUCCGGAAAGACCGGAUGAACCACGAAAUUGGUCUUGGCUUUGGUCCCUCUAAGCCUCAUCGCCGCCGCGUCAUACGCACGUGCCGCCUCUUCCGCCGUGUCGAACGUUCCUAACCAGUGUCUGCAACGCCCUAUCUUGUCUCUUAUCUCCGCCGACCACCUCCCCCACGGACGUUUUCUCACACCUCUGAACCCUCCGUUCUUCUGCGGCGUCUUCCUCCACCGCUUCACGCCGUCUCCGGUCUCAGUCGCCGUGAAGUGCUCGGAGACUUUUAUGUUGUUAUUCCCGAACAGUACGUUUUCACCAACUAUUGCCGCGAUGGAAUCAUCCAUAACCCGACGCUGACUUACGGGUACGGGUUUUGGGUCAGGAGAGAAUAGAGAUGAGAUAUCAAACGUGUCAGGUCCGUUAAAGGGCUCCGUCACCGUGAGAUCAGAAAACGGAGUUUUAGCUCCUGAAAGGGGCAUGCAGACUAACGGCGUCUCUUUGUGUAGCCCAUACAUUUCUAAGCUUUGAUGAGUUUCGACGCCGAAGCUUUGCGGAUAUGGAAGUUGGAGACGGUGACCAUCAACGGUGUUUUCCAUUUUAAGGCGAAAGAUAAAAUAUAAAUAUAUUGAGUUUUGUAUAGAAAUUGUGUGUUUGGAAGCAUUUUAUAGGCACAACAACAACUACUACUACAUGAUUAGUGGAGUAAUAAAGUUCCUCGAAUAAAGAUUUUACUAUUUUCCUAUUUUGUUUCUUCUGAUGUUUACAUAUAUACACUAAUUAAUGGUCGGGAGGUAAGUAAAAUCAUGAAAAAUUUAUUGUAAAAGUAUAUUUGUAAAGUGAGAUAAUCAAAAGAUACUGCUGUCAAUUUUGAUAGAUAAGACCGUAAAAUCUUUCACAUUUAUGCUCCUGUCUUUCACAGUUCAAUAGUUCCAUAGAAGAAGUUUUGUACCUUUUGUUUCUUUAAAUUCAAUCUUUUUUUUCCCGUGAUUAAUAUCAUCAAACAAACUUAAGGGUGGGAAAAAUAAACCGAACACAAAAAUUUGAAUUGAAUUCGAUCCGAUUAAAUACCGAAUGAGUUUUGUUCUACGAUAUAUCAGAUUGUGGAUUUUAUCGGAACCGAAUUUGAAACCAUAUGGAUAUCCAAAAAUUCAAAAAAUUCAAAAUUGCAAAAACUCAUAACAAAACCAAGUACCAGUAGUACUAUAACAUGACUAAUUAAUUUAAAUACUUAACUUAAUAUAUAUUUUUAGUAUUUGGCCAAAUAUUAAAGCUUUUAUGACAAUUGCAGAUGAAGUUCAAUUACGAAUAUGUUUGCCUUUGAAGUUGAGAAGAUGUUAUUUCAGUUCUAAGUUUAAAUAAUAUUUUAUGUGUAUGGAGUUGUUAGUCAGUAAUUUUAAUUUGUUUUUAUUUUUUUGUCUCUUAAACACCAUUUCUACAUCAUUUCACCAAACUUUUGUUAGUGAAAAUUGUUUAAAUUUUCCAAGUUUGCGGACUAACAUGUGUAUUUUUGAAUUCCAAACAAGUAUUUGGUUAACCGAAAGCCAAUGUAGGAAAAAACCCAAAAUUAAAACGGUUUCAACUGAAUUUACGAUGUGUUACUAUGUCUGAACCGAAUCUGAAGAAACUAGAAUUGAAUAUCCGAAGAUUUGAUCUUAUGGUAAACUGGUCACCAUACAACUUAGACUCAUGCAUAUAAACUGAAACUCGAAAAUUGAACUGAAAAAACGAAUUCAAAACCAAGCUGAUGUUCACAAAUAUCUAAACGGUUUUAUAUUUUUUGGAACCGAAAAACAAAACCAAACUCGAACCAAAAACCAAAUAUCCAAAGUACGGUUUAUAUAUGUAUAAAUAUUAAUUACAUUUACUUUUAAAAUUAUCAAAUAUUCUAAUAAUAGUAGUUAUAAACAUAACUACCAAAGAAAAAUUAGAUUACCCAGAUAUUUCAAACUUAUAUAUUUGAAAUAAUCUGAAUUAUCUAAAAGAACAUAAUUACUCUAAUAGUUUUAUCCAUAAUAUUUAAAUCUAUCUCUAAUAUUUAAUCCAGAAAAUAAAAAUAUAAAUUGAAUUUUAAAUUCAAAAUUUUUAUCAGAUAUUUGACGGAUUCCAACAUCGUUAUCUAAAUUAAACCAAAACCAAACCAAAAUACAUAAUAACCAAAGGGUUUCUAUAUCUCAGACAAUAAAAAGAAAACUGAACACCCAAACCUAAUACAACGGUUGAUUAAUAAUUAAUACUUUUGACAAUUUGCAUCAAAACUAUAGGGGUGGCGUCCAGAUAUCCAAAAAAUAAGGUAUCUGGAUCCAGAAUUGGAUCUGUUGAUUUAAUACUCGGAUUUGUGUCUUCCUAAUAUCUAGAUUUCAUAUAUCUUUUUAGAUAUUAUACUACUGCGGAUAUUUAGAUCCGUAAAAAAAAAUUCUAGACUUUUUAAAAUAAUACAUAAAUUAAUUAUUUAUACAAGAUUUAUAAAUAUAUUUAUAUAUGUAUAUAAUAUUAUAAAAUAUAAUAUUAUACAACUAAUUAUAUAUUUAAAUAUUAAUAUAUCAAAUAUAGUUAUUAAUAAAAUCAAAUAUUUAAUAUAUUUUAAAAAUACAUAUUCGGAUCCAAAUAUCAUAUUUGGAUCUGAAUUCGAUUUUAAUGGAUCUGAGAUUUUAUUAUCCGGAUCCUAGAGACAUUCUAAAUAUCUUAUUUUUGAAGCGGAUAAUAUCCUGAUCUCUGAUAAUAAUUCCCGACUCUAAUAAUAGAGACUAUUAACUAAAGGAAAAGUUGGCCUUGUAAAUGUUUUAUAAGGCCAGUAAAUCAGAAGGAAACCAUCAACGGCAAAGCAAUACGAUUUGUAGAUUUGACUUGUUGAAAAUGACACCCGUUUCAUUACGUAAGGCUGGUCUCUUAAGUCUUAAUCACUCAUGCUGGCGUCAACAGACACGCUUGUUUGAUUGCAUCUCACUUUUUUUUAACAAUAUUAUUAGAUCAUAUCAAGAGAUAUUUUACUCAGUAAACAACAUGAUGUUUCGAGAAGAGUUUUUAAAGUUCGAAGCUUAGGCGAACAUUAUUGAUAGGACAAUUUUAAGUCCUUAAAAUAAAAGAAGCAAAGGACGCAAGAGAUAUCAAAGGACGAAGGACGAGCUGGAACGUUGCUUAUAUAACGACUUUCCCCCUCGAUCUUAAUGUUUUUGUGGGUCCCCUGCCCUUAAAGACCGGCUGGGACGUUGCGAUAAUGUUGCCCUUACAAGUUUUUUCCCAAAGAUGUUUAAGCUACUUAAUAUGUUUAGAUAGGAUGUCAAAUUGAGCUCUAGAUAAGUGUUCUUACAAGGUUUUUCCCAAUACAUGAAUGCAAUCUAAAUGCUUUUAGACACAAUCCUAAAGAUGCAAAUGGAUCAAGUGAAACUACACGAAGAUUUUCAAAAAAAAAUCAAAAUUUUAUGGAUUUUCUAUGCAAAUAAGUAUUCACAAUGCAAUGCAUGAGACUCAUGGAAAGUAAACAAAACAGAAAAUAAUGUGAGAUAGUAGAUUCUCCCCCAAACUUUCUUCACACUGUCCCUUGUGUGUGAGUAAGCUCAAAGAAGAGAUAUAAGGGGAAUAAAUAAACAUGAAAACUAAAUAUUUACAAGGUUGGGGUGACACUUACUUAGAGUUAUUGGCUGAAUUGGGUGGUAGAGGACCCUUGGCCUCAGAUUUAUUUCACUUGUAGACAUGGGCUGAAGCGGAGAAGUGAAAGAAGGUGUCUAGAUUCAACUUGAAAAGCCUGAACCAUACUAAUUAAAUAACCUAAAAAGGAAAGAUAAAGAAAUAUUUACAAUUGAUAACAUGCGAUUUCCUCCCAAGUGAGCUUGUUUUAAGUCUCUAGCUUGACUUUGUGUGCUUGCUAAUCAUAAGUAUCAAAAGGUUGAGCCAAUGCACCUUUGGUCCUUCUCCUACAAAAACAAGGAACCAAGUAUGCAAAGGAGCACACUACUGUCCAUAGAAAAUAGACAAAUUUUUCCUCGAAGAGCUUCACUAAAGAUGUGACAUGAAUUAUGAAAUGCUCAUUGAGGUUCAGAUGAUCAUAAGAAUCAAAAGCAUUUGGUGCAGACACAAAUUCAACUACAGGCUCAAACGAAGUUUUAACAAAGUAGUCAACUUUAUCUCCAUUAAUCAAAUAAAACACAAUGUUCUCAUUCUCAUGAAAGUUUUUGACAAUGGGGUUUUCUAUCUCAAACAAGAGCCUAUCAACAUCAAGUUCAUCCCCUAAAUCAGCUAGUUCAAGAAGAGGUCUAGGUUCAUCAAGCAUCAAAAACUCAGAUUCAAGAUCAAUUGAAGCACAAAGAUAGUUCUUGUCAAAACAAACUUCAAUAUGAUCUCUAACAAGCUUUUCCACUCUCAAGUCAUCUAGUUUUCUAGUUUCAAAUAUUAGAUCAAGACAUUCAUUGAUGAGCACAUGAGAAUUCAAAUCAGAGGCAAUCUCUUCAAUACAUGGCAAGCAAAUAUCCUCAAAAUGAAGUUCUAAAGUCGAAUUGCAUAUACCUUCCAGCUGGGUUGGUGGAACCCAAUAAAAUACCUCUUUGAGCUAUUGAGCCAUUCUUAUCUCAAUGCCGGUGAGCUCUCUUCCUUCUAGUGUUGCCCGAUGUGACAUAAUAUUUAACCUGAGCAUCACUGCCAUGUCCUCCCUUGUCAACAUUGGAUUCUCUUUGCAAAGCUCAUCCACCUUUACACUAUGUUCUGGUGUGAGUAUACUUUCAUCAAAUGGCUCCUCCAUAUAUGGCUCAUCAUCAUCAUUAAUGUGAUCUUCAAGUGUAUCUUCCUAUUCUUGUGGCCAAGCAAAGUGGCUUGCUGCCAUCACUGAAAAUAACAAAAGUUAGAAUAAAAGGUUGGUAGCUAUACAAAAGCAAAACAAAGCAUAAGAAAAUAAAGCUUAAUCUCAAGAAAGUUUGAAACCAUAAUGACAAAUCUACUUAGUUCCCCGGAAACGACGCCAAAUUGAUUAAGCGUUUAAGCACACACCAAUUAACCUACUGUGCCAAUAAUACCACAAUCGAAUGGUAUGUCAUUGUAGCAUUUUAGGAUCCAAUCCACAAGGAACUAAUGAUCUAUAACACCAAGAAUACACAAGCUUGCUUAAUCUAAGCAAAAAAGAAGAUGGAUGAUUUGUAACAAGCUAAUAUCCUAGAAAUAUAAACAAGGUGAUCUCAAAUCCAAUCAAGAAAUAAGUGCAAGAAUUAAAUCAAAUGCUAAGGAUAGAUCCAUGGGCAAUGAUAAUUGAUAUAAGGUGAUCAAGGUUCAAUCUAGGAUGUUCAAACAAAACAAUCAACAAGUCUAUAGGUCUAGAUCUCAUUCAAUAUAGAUUAAUCCACUGUCGUGGUAAUAAUCCAUAUGCUAGUCAUGCAUCAAACAUCAACUCCCAUUGGCUAACACAUUCAAGCAUGCAUAAAUCACAAGUUUACUAACCACUUAAACAUCUCGGACAUCAACUGCCGUUGGCCAAAUAUGUAAAAGACAAUGCUAAGUUCAUUCAAGCAUUUUAACAAACACUUUCCAGGCGUAAAAUAGCUUAAGGUCUAGAUAAAAGUGAUCAAGUCUAAUCUAGCAUUAAGAACACUUAGCAAGCAUAAAACAUUGUUAAUCAAGCAAUAAACAUCCUAAAUAUCCACUUAAUCACCCUAAUCUAUCUAACCCAUGAAUCACAAGGUCACUACUCAUUAAUCUCCAUGAGAAACCUUAAACACAUGUAAUGAUCAAGGCUAAUCAUUUUAAUGAGCAAGAAAACCACAAAUAUAAGAUGAAGUACUUCCUUAGAUUAUCAAAAGAUUCAAGCUUUUACAAGUUUAGACAAAGUCUUGAGAGAAAAUGAGAUAAAAAUAAAGUUUCUAGGUCUAAAUAUAUUUAUAGGAAGGCAAAACUCGAACCGGUUUAAUCCCACAAACCAGGAUUAAACCAGACUAAACCGGAAUUAAAUCAAAAAUCUCGGCUUGUCUCCUCCAGCUCGAGUGAACCGUGGACUGCUCACCUCCGCGACGUCUGGCCGCGGCGAAUCUCCAAGCUCCCUGCCUCGUUUCCGCGGCCUUGUCCAAGCCGCGUCGUGAAUCCGCGGUAUUCUCUGUUAAUUUUCCGUGUCUCUGCCGUGAAAACGCGGCCUCACUUACUCCGCUAUGGCCACCCGCGGUCUUCCUCUUUGUCGCAAUCCACCACAAUCAAUCUCCAAGCCACUGUGAACCACCUUCCAAAUCUUUGUCCGUGUUCUGGUCCUCCGCCGUGCUCGGUCUUCACUGUGGCCUCAAGCUUCGCCGUCGUAGCUUCCAAUCCGGUCAUGGACUUCUUCCCCGAAACCUCCAUUGGCGUGAGUCUUCUGUCUCGUCUCUGUCUUCCUCGUCGAGCUCUCCUCCGUGACGGUCUGAAAUCACAAGUCAUAGUCAGCCCAGCCUUAGCCGUCGUCGGGUCGAAGCUCGUGUUUGAACCGAAAUCGGUGCUGUGCAGGAGAUAGACAGAUUUUGAGUAGUGACCUUGUGAUUCAUGGGAUCGGCUUGGAGGAGAAAGCUCGUGAGCUCCAAUGGUGAGUUCUUGCUUAUUUGCAAAACAGGUCCUCAGAGUCUUGAUUAUUCACACAUUCGCCCCAAACUUCUCAAGUGUGCACUUUAGACCCUAAUGCACAUAAAUAGACAAAUAUAUGCAAUGUAGACACCUAAAUGCAACUCAAAACACUAAUAUGAAUAAUAAAUACACCCUCCAUUUCAUAUUAAGUGUCGUUUUAGAGAAUUUUUUUCGUUACAAAAUAAGUGUUGUUUUCGAUUUUCAAUGCAAAAUUUAUUAAUUUUAUGCAAAAUUUAUUUUUCUAUUGGUUGAAAUAUGGUUAGGUGUAUAUGUAAUAGUGUUUUUUAUAGGAAACUAGGGCCGGCCCGCCCUACGGGCGGGAUGCUAUUUUAAAAAUUAUGUAAAUAAUUAGAGUAAAUAUUCAAUAUAAAUUGUUAUAUUUUAAAAUAUACAUAUUAGUUAAAUUCUGUAUAUGUUAUUGUAUUUGAUGACUAAAUAUACCAUGGCGUAUUGAUAAGUAUUUUUUUUCAUGGUGCCAUCACAUCAUUUUUAGAAAUUUUCUGGAGUUGGAUGAAUCUAAAGAGUAUUAAUAGUGAGGAAAUAGACAAACUUGUAAUUAUAUAUUAAGUAAGCAUUUAUGAGUAAAAUUUAUUAUUAGGUCGGUUAAUUAUUAGUUGUGUAAACCGGAAAUACUAAUAUUAAAGUACCGUAUCUUAACAUGUUGGGCAACUUAAAUUUGAUAUAAACCAGUCAACGAUGCACUGGUGGUGAAAGAUAUGGUUGCAAGGCAAUUCGUUGAAUUCUCUUUGCUUACAAUAUUGUUAAUGCAUACAGUGCAGAGUUCAUCUUCUUCUUAGGUGUGAGUGUGCUAAUAUAUACAUCUGAAUCAAUAAUUACACAAUAUUUCUGGAUAUUAUAUGCAACUCAUAAGUUAUUAUAUAAUAACAACUUCCAUAACCACAUCAUAAGUACCCAAUUAAGAGUAAAAUAUAAGCUAAAAUAAAUAAUAUAUAUAAAAUUAUAUUUUAAACCCAAUAAAGCAUUUGGAUGAAAUAAAUAAUAUAUAAUGAUCAAAUCUUAGUGGUUUUUAUGUUUUUUUUCGUACUCAGUAUAUUAUGUGUUGAACUUGAAAAAUGACUAUAAAUUAAUAAGCUAUUAAAUUCUCACCGAAAUUUUGUGAUUGAUGUUUAGAUAUUUAUAACAUAAUACAAAAUAAUACAAAAGCAUACGGAAUAUAGUUAACAAUAAAAUAUUAUUAUAUUAAACUAAAUAACUAUUCAAAAUUUGAUCUAAAUAGCUGCAUUGUAUUUUUAAUAUGAAUUGUUAAUUAGUAAAACAAACACCCUUUUAAAAAUUAUAUAUAUAUAUAUAUAUAUAUAGAUAUUGUUUCCCAUCGAAAUAUAUGAAUGACUAUUUCUUCUUAACAAUAAAUAUUCAUAAAAAAAAUAUGCAAUCUAUUUUUUUAAUAUUACUAUUAUUUUUGUUAUAAGUAUGCUUGAUUAGUUUUUGUUGUAUGGAUUAUAUUUUAUGAGGUUAUGUUAUGCACCAGUUGUGUCGAUUUAUUUGAAAUAUAAUUAUUUUAUUUGCUGUGUAAAUAAGGUAGUAAAUACAUAUUAGGGACUCUGUAUUUGAAGCCAUUUAUUUAACUAAUAGGGUCAGUUUAAUAGGAUGUUUUUCAUCAUAAUGGAAAAUGUAGAACUGUAAAUAAGUUAGAGUCAUAUGUCGACGGAAAUUUAAAAUAAAAACGGAGUCAAGAGUUUCAAACUAUUAUUAUUUGUAUUUCCGAAAACAAUGGCUUCGUAUAAGCUCAAAAGGGUUGAAUUUCAGAUUGGUUGUUGUUCCUGUGAUGAAAGUGGUUUAGUAAAUAUUUUUUUUUAAAAAAAUCAGAUCAGAGAUCGUCUUGCUACGGCCGGGGUAUUUCCAUAAUAUUUAUUUUUAAUUCUAUCAUUUUAAUUUAUUUCAAUAUUAUGUAUAUAUUAACAUUUAUUAUUAAAAUAUAAAUCAUUAGACAAUUUUUUUUAAAAAAGAUUUUUUUUAUGAAAUUAAAUAUUUUUGGUCUAUUAGAUUUGAAUCUUUUAAUACUCAAAAUAAGUUAUUUUUAUUAAUGUAAAUUAUAUAUCACGUGAUGAAAAACAUAUAAAAUGAUAUAAGCUUAGUUUAAUCUGAAUAUUUUUAUCGUACUUAUUUAAUUUUAAUUAAAAUAAAUUUUAUGCACAAUCCAUUUAAAUUUUAUUUUAGCUUUAAAACCGUUAAAUUUAUAAUGUUUAAGGAUAUUAGAACAUUUAUCUUUUGAUUUUUUCUUCCUCUUCAUCAUCCAUCUCCGUUGAUGUAUUUGCUAUCUAUAUACAAUUUGUUUGAAUAAUGUUCAUAAUCGUAUUUACAUAAUACUGUUAUUAUCUCAGAAUGGGUUGGUGAUCAAAAUAAUUAUUAACAAAGUAUAACAAAUAUUGUAUUGCGGUUAGAAAUCUAUAUUAUAGUUUUCUUUGGAUUUCACAUGCUAAUACAUGAUAUGUAACUAAAUUUUUUUCGAAAUAGGCUUGCAUGAUCAUUGUACAUCAUCCAUCGAUUACAAAUGCUUCUUGUUUUUAUAUUUUACGUGUAUUGUCCUCAACCUAGAAGAGAAAAGCUUUAUCAUACUUUUGAUUUUAUGCUUACUCAAGUGUGCUCAAGUAUGUUAAUUAAGUAUUACCUAGCUAAUAGCUUAUAGUCGCACCUUUUGCCUUUUGUUUUUUUCAUAAACCCUCUACUCACAUCUCGGUUAUCCAACCUCCUACUUUCCAUGAAAUAGGUAUAUAACAUUAACUGUUUACUAUAGUGGGAAUUCAUUCAUGCUAAAAUGGUUUUGAUACGAAGGUCACUUAGUUCGUCUUGUUUCAGUAUAAUUGUUCUUUCUUUCUUCUACCAGUUUAAGACAUGUAAAGAGACGAACUCAUAAAGAUUAUAUUACCAGAAUCUAAAAAAUCCAUGUAUGAAACAAAAAGCAGAAAUAAUAAUAAUAAUAAUAUAAUUUCUAAUACUAUAUUAAGAACUUGAUUUUCAUUAACAAAAGGACAUUUAAUCAUCAUAUAAUAACAAAGUUCAAUAUUCAGAUGUACCGCAUGAAAUCUAUUGCCAUACACCGAUUGGAAAUUUAAAACAGAUGCAUGCAAUCACAUAUCAAGAUCAAACACACAUGUGUCUUUGUUAUUUGCAACAAAAACCAUCUAAUUAAGAAGCCUUAACAGAAUUCAACUUGGAAAGGAACUUACUGGUUUAAAUUUUCAGAGCACUUACUGAUAGUGCUGAUGGCAGUAUCUACUUUGAGAUCCUAAAAAUGUCUCCGGCAACUCCUCCUAUCUCGAUAUCUGCUGUGAUGGCUAUUAUUCAAAUAAAUUUGAAAAUCAUGUUCACAUGACUCAAGCUGGAAAAUUGACGGAUUGUACUCAGCAGAUGGACAAUGCUUUCCUGCAGAGUCCAAUACCAAUCAAAAUGGGGAUUAUAGCAAUGACAUGAUCAGAACUAACGUUUGCUAAAAUGAGAAACUUCAAGGCCUUGUUAAAUUAUGACACUUAGCCAUAGUGCCUUUGAAGAUUCUUCCUCCAAUAGUUUAAUGAUGGAAAGAUUACUUUCGAAGCGUGAGAAACUGCAUCUUUCUUCGUAUUCGUGAAUCUAGACAGUCUAAUUCCAAUUUAAAAAGCAGCUUAGAUUUACACAAACAAACAAAAAUAAUAAAAGGUAUAAACAAUCUGAUGUACAUAUAUUUUCUUACAGACCUUGUAAGGAGAUCAGUGAUUGAAGUACAUGAAACCACUCGAACAAUUCUAGAACUUUCUGGAUUCUGCUUUGAAACAAAUAGAAAAGUCAGAAUAACUGAAACAAAUAGAAAAGUCAGAAUAACUGAAACAAAUACUCAAUCUCACCACAGAGUAAAAGCCAUACACACAUACCUUAAUAUGCGAUAGUAAGCUGUUGAACCAAACAAAGUAUAAACUAAAGAAACGAUCUGAGCUGCACUCUUGGCAAGUUACUCCCAUCAAAUCGAGACCCACCCAGCAUUUAUCUGGGUACAUCAAUAUACCAAAAUCAAAACUCGUUUUAACAACAAAGUCCACACCUUUCUCUUUUAAAUCACUAUUUAAGACAGUGUUUGUACCAUGUCUGAAGAAACCAGAGCCAACAACCUCCCAACCCAAUCAUCAACGGCUGAUUUCAAAGGCUUAGCUUGAAGCUUCUUCUGGUCAACUGAAGACGACGGAGACUCGGAGUCGCAAUUUUGUGGAUUGGUGAGGAUAACGUUUAUAGGAAGAAGACAUACUUUUUAGGUGAAGUUUAACCGCCUGUAAAGGAGAAGAGAAGUAUUGAAUGAUAAAUCAUGAGUGGAGUGGGUCCAAUGAGUAAAGAACGAUGUUAAUAGCGAUGAACACUUAAUUACAUAACGUAACAGAGGCCAUGAAUCGGGAACGAUACGUCAUGAAGGAGACCAAUCUUUAUUUGAGACGUACAAUCUCGUACAACCUCCAUUGGAGUUUGACCUAAUCUUAGUUUUAGGGUACAAAGAAUCCUAGAUCAAGCGGAGAAGACAAUGUUGAGAACGUCAUAUCUAUUAUUUUUGUUUUAUGAGCCCACUUCCAAAGCUAAAGCCCGUAUCAAUUGCAUAUGCAUUUAAAUGAAACGGUAAGUUUCAUCUUCAUAGACACGUGUCACGAUUAUGAAACUCGAAUUUGUGACAUGGCAUCCGAGCUGGACACUCUAGGAGGGAUACAAAGCUUACUUUAUAUAUAAAGAUGUACAAAAUUAAUUGUUUUCUUAAUCCGUGUGCUGAAACCUAAAACAACACUUAUAAUGAAACAGAGGGAGUAUAUGUAAAAACUAUAAAAAUCAUGAGAUAUCAACUCCCCCACACUAGUCAUUUACUUGUCUAUAAGUAAACUUUAAAAAUAAUCAAGAGGGAGAUAUUUAAAAUUGGGAGCUUAUAACCAAAAGAACACUUUCUAACCUUCAACUUAACAUCCCAAAGAAAAACAUAGCAAAUAGCAUGAGCAAAUACUUUUAUUACACUCUAGCUUCUCAAGGCGUAUCAAGUCUCUUUUAUCUCUUCACAAGUUGUAAUGCUAAUCAACCAACAAGUUCUUUCAACCGACUCUCACAUUGAUUCACACACACACAAAAGGUGAAUUCUCACAAAUGGGCACAUGAUCUCAAUCAUUUGGCUUGGUGAGCAAAAUGGUCUAAUGUGAGGCAAGGGUUUUCAAAUGCAUCUUUUAUGGUGACUCACACUCAAGAAUAGGAGCAAGAACAUUAUGCAAAAUUUAUCUAAGAAAAAGAGCAAUUCAUGCAUACAAUGACUUGUUCUCAUCAUUUUACCUAUUUCCUAAAUUAUUUCAAGCUCUACCCUUAUUCUUUUCAUCAUCCCAAAACCCAAAGAUACACUCACUUUCAUCUCUCACCCAUUGAACACAUUCCCAUUUCUUAUUUUAGCCAACUAGGGAUUUUUUUUAUUCACUCAGCUCUUUAAUUUUUCUUUUUCCCACUCGUUUCAUGUUUUUUUUCUUUUAUUCUAAAGGAGAUUCUACUUAUAAACACAAGAGUCCUCUUUUUUUUUUUACUCAAAUCUCAAUCCCAAGAUCAAAAUCAAGCAUACGAACCCAACAAACAUCCUAGAGGCUAGCUCAAAUGAGGUCCUAAUGCUUGCCAAAGAUGAGAACAACUCAUUGUCGCUCCUAAUACUCUCAAGAUUUUGCACAUGACAUGCUGAUGCAGGACUUUUCAAGGGUCCAAGAUCAAAUCAAUGUAGUAUAAAAGAUUGUCGAACCAAUCCUAGGUGAUUCUAAAGCAAAGGGAAUGCAAGUUCAUGCUUAAGCUAAAUGCAAUCCGGUUUUAAAGAUGGUAUGAACUAAGAACUAAUAAGCUAAUGCAAUAAAAUAAUGAUCUUUCUUUCUCAAUAUAAAGCAAGAGGACUCAUGGGGCUAGGCAUUUGAUCUUGGGUGAUGUAGAUCCAAUCUAAGGGUGGCAAGGUAUCAAUCAAACACUUUCCUUAUGCCUAGACACUAAGCUAAACAAGCUCUAUCUCUAGAUGAAUGUUUUGGUAAAGCAACUCAAGCAUCUAAUCUCUUAGGUUGAAUGUUACUAAAGCAAACAUGGAGAACAAGUCCAAUAGCAAUCUUAACUCCUUUACCAACUAAUCUCUUAGGUAAAGCAAGCUAAAAGCAUUGAAGAGUUGCUUCAGGCAUUUCAUCAUACACCUUGUGGACAGGAAAUGCCUAGAGAUCUAUUUUAGUAUGAUCAAGACUAAAAUAGCAUUGAGAAUCCUCAACAACCAAGGAAACAAGUAAAUCUAACACUAAACACCCUAAAUCUUCUCUAAUCACCCUUAAUCACCCUAGCCCAUGAAUCCAAUAUUAGUCUACUCACUAAUAGACAUGAAUAACCCCAAAACCAUGGAUGAUUCAAGGUUAAACAUGAUUAGAGAGCAAGAUAAUCAAGCAAAGAUAAGAAAUUAUGAUCAAGAUUAGAUAUUUUUCCCAAAAGUGACUUUUGAUUAGAUAGAAAACUAGAUAAUCCCAAAUUUUGGUCCAAAAAGUAUUUAUAGAAGACUAAAACUCGAGCUGGGGCAACCCAACAAACCUGGUUUGACCCACAAAAACAUAGAUAUUUUUCUCCGUAGUGACUAGAAAAGGUCGCUACCGGAGGUUGCUACGCCUGUAGCGACUUGUCUUGCUCGCUACGUGUGGCCGCUAGGAUACUUGAAAGCAUAUCGACCUCGUGAAGUCGCUAUGGCUAUGGCUGGCCGCUGUAGAAGGCGCUUCAAUUCUAGCGGUCUAUCCAGCCCGCUACGUGUGGCCGCUAGGAUACUUGGCAGAUUUUAGAAGUCUUGAACGCAUAGCGACCUCGUGAAGUCGCUAUGGCUGGCCGCUGUAGAAAGCACUUCAAUACUAGCGGUCUCUCUAGCCCGCUACACACUCCCGCUACGGUACUUGGGUGCCUCAGGUUUUCAGCUAUACCUUCUGUAGCGACCAGCAUUUGCCGCUACGCCUGGCCGCUAGGAUCCUUCAACGACUCAUCUACAUUAUUUGGGCAUCAAAACACUCCUUGGGGCACAUAGUUCAUCAUGAAACUCUCUCCAACACCUGAUAAGGACUAAUGCAUGGAAAUGCAACCUAAACAUGUGUAAAUGCUAUUCCAAAAGACCAAUGUGCACAAGAAAGGAUAAUUAAAACAAUGUAAAUAUGCAAGAUAUCAACUCCCUCAAACUUGUUCUUUACUUGUCCUCAAGUGACUUUGCAAGAACUCAUAAGGAAAAGAGGUUUGAAGGUGGGAACUCAUAGCCAAAAGUAACACUUCCUAGCACUCAACUUAACAUCCUAAAGAAACAUAGCAAAUAGCAUGAGCAUCUUCCUUAUUAUACUCUAGCUUCUCUAGGCCUAUCCAUACUCUUUUGCCUCUACUCAAGUUGCAAUACUCAUCACCAACAAGUUCCUUCAACCAGCUCUCACAUUGAUUCACACACACACACAAGGUGAAUUUUCACAAAUGGACACAUGAUCUCAAUCAUUUGGCUAUGUAAACAUGGUCUAAUAUGAAUGAAGAGAGGGGUUCAAAUGUUUUCAUUUAAAGGUGGUUAUCACUCAAAACAAGGAGCUUGAUCAUUAUGCAAAAUUUAUUUAAGAUUAGAAGCAACUCAUGCAUACAUAAAUUUAUUCUCAUCAUUAUAUCCUUUUAUAAGUGACAACAAGUUCCACCCUUUUAUCAUCAUCUCAAAAGCAAAGUAAACCCCUCACAUCACUUAUCCAAUGGACAACUCUCUUUUUCUUUGGACUCAACUAACUAGAGACUUUUAUUCACUUUUUACAAGCUCUAACUCUUUUUCAUUUCUUUCCCCAACUUUUCUUUGAUUCUUUUCCUUUUCUUUCUCUUUUUUUUUUAUAAGGGGGAAAGUUCUUUGUUGCAUAAUCUAGAGCUUCAUACUUUCUUUUUGUCCCUAGAGUUUCCUUUACUAUUGAUACCCUUUUGCUCAUCUCUCUCAUCUUUCUCACUCCCCAAACCCAAAAUAUUGACAUUCAGAACACAUAAACCCCUCUCACCAUCCUCAAAUGCUAGUUCAUUAUGCUAGCAAGAGAUGAGAAUAAAUCUAUGUCGCCUCCAAUACUCUCAAUAUUUUGCACAUGACAAGCUAUCAAAAGAGGCCUCAUUCAUGCAAUUCAAUGUUUGGUCUCAAAGAAAUGGCUAGGGUUGUAGGGUAUGGAGUGUCAUUUGGGUUAACAAAGAUUGGUAUAUAAAAGAAUAAGAUAACCCAAAUGUGUAUGAGAUCCAUGAUCAAGUAUGCAAAUGCCCAUAUGCAAGGGAGAUUAAGUUCAUUUAGGCCAAGUUCAGAUUGAAGCUGAUCUUAAGAACAAUGCCAAUAUCAAGCAAGCAAAUAAGUUUCAAGAAAAGUUUUCAAGGCUCGAAGCGUGCAAGGCUUUCAAGAGAUGCUUAAGCUACUUGACAAGAGUUAUUUACAAGGCAUUUUAAAUCAUUGUUCCCAAUGCAAGUGAAUGCAACCUAUAUGCUUUAGACUCAAUCCUAAAAGUGCAAGUGAUGCAACUACAUGUUUCUUUUUGUGUUUUUCAAAUUUUUUUAAUUUUUUUUUUUGGUUUUUCUAUGGGUAUAUGUAUUCACAAUGCAUGAGACUCAAAUUCAUCAAAGCAAACAUGAUCAAAUACUUGAUACCUCCCCCAUACUUAAAUCACGCAGUCUCUGUGUGAGUAAGAGAGAGAUAUCCAAAGGAAAGCAAUAUGCAAAGAUAAACUGGUAUAUACAAUGGAAAAGUUUGAGUGGUACCUCAAGCGGAGAGUGGAGGAGGAGGAUCCUUCCCGCUUUCAAGACUGAUGGUGAGGAUAUGAGAGAGAAGCUCUUGAAGCUUGAUUGGAUCAUUCUGGAGCUGAGGAGUGAUGAUGACCCUUGCACACGAAAAUGGCUUAGACCUUCCCUUGCACUUGAUUUUGUACUCAAUGGCCCCAUCCUUAAGCUUCAUUGGGUGGAGAGUGAGAGUGUGAGGAGUCUUAUCAAGAGGUGGAGGAUGAGGUUCUUUCAUAAUCUUCUUCUUGUCAUGAGCAGCCUUUGUCGCUCUACUCACCUCCUCCCUUUUAGCACUUUCCAAGUGCUCAUCACACAGCUCUUUAGAGGACUUUCCAGCAAGACCUUCUUUCUCAAUACCAAUCCCUUCAGCCUUGGUCUUCUCAAUGGAGGAUGCUCCACAAGUGAUUGUUCCACAAUACUCAGCUUUCAUCUUUGGGGAUUGUAGUGGAUAGGAGACAACUUUGUUCACAUUUAGGAGUGUGACCUUCUUGUUGGCAAAGUCUAUGCAAGCUCCCACUGUUGUGAGGAAUGGAGUGCCAAGGAUCAAUGAGACUCUCUUCUCAGUAGCCAUCUUCAGAACAGUGAGGUCUAUAGGAAUGGUGCAUGCUCCAAUCUUCAAAGGGAAGUCCUUGAUGAGACCAAUAGGGGUUGUAGAAGAGGAAUCUCCAAACUGUAGGGAAGAUGUGUUUAGCUCCAUGCUCUCAAUCCCUAGACUCUUCAUCAUCUCCAUUGAGAUCACAUUCACACUUGCACCAGAAUCAACAAGAGCAUCAUCAAAAGUGAGCUUACCAAGGUAGCAAGGCAAUGUGAACAUCCCUUGAAACUCAAGCUUAGGGAGGGAUUUUGGAGAGAUUGGUGGAUCAAUCUUCAGAAUGGAGAUGUCCAAAAGCUCGACCACUUCAGCUUGGUGGUCUAGAAUGUCCUUGAUGAGCAUCAUCUGGACAUGAGCUUCACGCAUACCCGAGAUUUCUGGAAGCCUGACCCCAACAUCACUAAGAUCUUUCCUGAACUUGGAGAGCACCUUCUUCUGAGCUUUGGUGAAAACUCUUUGGGGGAAAGGGAGCUUAUCAUAGGGGAUAGGUCAACCUCAGUGGCUUCCUCUAGCUUAACCUCUUUCAGCUUGUUGUCAGCUCUCUUCUCAACUUGAUUCUCAGCCUUGUGCUCAGGUCUGUGCAGAUUCGUUGCUUCAACCUUCCUGGCAGCGUCCUUCACAAUUUGUGCUUCAGCUGUGGCCACAACAAAUCUCUCAACUUCCCCAAACUCAGUUCCAAAUACCAAUCUUUCAAUCUCAUCCUCCUCUUUCUCAUGAUCACUCAGCUCAAUCUCUGGAGAAGUAGUGGAGAAGACAACAAUGCAAGACUCCUUGGGGUUCUUUUCUGGUUUCCCUGGUAGAGACCUCAUUGGCUGCUUGGAGGAUGAAGGAAUAUAAUCAACUUGACUCUCCAAAGCCUUGAGAUGAGAGGUAAGUUGCAUGUACUUGUUGUUGAGGUCAGAAUAGUUCUCAUCAAUCUUUGCAUGGAUGUUCUUGAACUCAUAAAUCAUGGUCUUCUCAUUUCUGGCCUGAAAUUCUAAGAGUUGCUUGAACAUAGAAUCCACACUUGAAUCUGGAGCUUGAGCUUUAGAAGAGCUUCCUUGAGUCUGAGGAGACUGGUUGGCUUGAGGAUAGUUCUGCUUUGCUUGGUAACCUCUUUGCUGAUUGUUGUAGUAAGGCCUUUGCUGAUAGUUGUUUUGGUACUGAAAAUUGGGCUCUUUCCUGUACCAUGUGCCAUUAGCAUUGAUGAAACACAACUCCUCUUGGCCUUCUAAACCAUCAACCUCAUUAACCUUAGGAGGAACCUCUUGACUAGGAUCACCCACAAAGUUCAUAUGCUCAUGUUUAGCUUGGUUGGAAAGAAGCAAAUCCAUCUUGUCUUGUAAGGACUUGAUCUCUUUCUUUGUCUGCUGAUCAUCACUUCUGUUGACCCUAUCAUGCUCCUCACUGUAUACUGAGUCACUCUUGGCCAUGUUCUCUACCAGUUCUUCUGCCUUUUCCUCAGUUCUUCCUAAAAAGAAACCAUUGCUGGCAGUAUCAAGCCUGUUUCUGCACUGUGGUAGAGCUCCUCUAUAGAAGGUGCUAAGCAAACUCUCAUUGGUGAAGCCAUGAUGUGGGCAUUGAGACCAAUAGCCCUUGAACCUCUCCCAUGCUUCACUAAAUCCCUCUAGAUUCUUCUGCUGAAAGCUAGAGAUCUCAUUCCUGAUCUUGGCUGUCCUUGAGGUUGAGAAGAACUUCUCUAGGAAUGCCCUCUUGCACUCAUUCCAAAUUGUGAUAGAGUCACUUUGAAGAGCCUUCUCCCAUUGAUGUGCUUUGUCUCCAAAAAAAAAGGGAACAAUUUCAACUUGAAUGCAUCUUCAGAAACACCAUUGGUCUUGGACAAGCCACAAUAUUUAUCAAAUUUGUUCAAGUGAUCAAAAGGAUCUUCAGGAGCAAGGCCAUGAUACUUGUUGUUCUCUAUGGUGUUAAGCAGCCCUGACUUGAUCUCAAAGUUGUUGUUCUCCACAGUUGGUGCUCUGAUUCCUAACCUAUGACCAUUAAUGUGAGGUUGAUCAUAGGCUCCAAUGGCACGAGCUUGGCGCGGUGGAUGUUGUGGCUGGCGCUGUGGUCUAAGAUGAUCAUCUCUUGGAUCAAUGCCCCCUAGGGCAUCACCAUCUUGAGGCAGAUUCUCCAUAUCAAACUCCAACCUUUGCAAGUGAGCCUGAUGCUCUACUUCUCUUCUCCGUCUUGCAAUCUCCCUCUCAAGUGCUCUAAUGUCUUCAACUCUUGGAACUAGGCUUGAUGAACCUCUGCUCCUCAAGUUCAUACACCUGAAAUGCAAAGGGAGAGGAAGAAGGAGAACCAGUAACAAAAUAAAAGAAAAAGUGACUUAGUCUCAAGCAAGUGACUAAAUCCCAAUGUCACAAUCAACCUAGAACUUGGCAACGGCGCCAAUUUGAUGCAGGACUUUUCAAGGGUCCAAGAUCAAAUCAAUGUAGUAUAAAAGAUUGUCGAACCAAUCCUAGGUGAUUCUAAAGCAAGGGGAAUGCAAGUUCAUGCUUAAGCUAAGUGCAAUCCGGUUUUAAAGAUGGUAUGAACUAAGAACUAAUAAGCUAAUGCAAUAAAGUAAUGAUCUUUCUUUCUCAAUAUGAAGCAAGAUGACUCAUGGGGCUAGGCAUUUGAUCUCGGGUGAUGUAGAUCCAAUCUAAGGGUGGCAAUGCAUCAAUCAAACACUUUCCUUAUGCCUAGACACUAAGCUAAACAAGCUCUAACUCUAGAUGAAUGUUCUUUUGGUAAAGCAACUCAAGCAUCUAAUCUCUUAGGUUGAAUGUUACUAAAGCAAACAUGGAGAACAAGUCCAAUAGCAAUCUUAACUUCUUUAGCAACUAAUCUCUUAGGUAAAGCAAGCUAAAAGCAUUGAAGAGUUGGUUCAGGCAUUUCAUCAUACACCUUGUGGGUAGGAAAUGCAUAGAGAUCUAUUUUAGUAUGAUCAAGACUAAAAUAGCAUUGAGAACCCUCAACAAGCAAGGAAACAAGUAAAUCUAACACUAAACACCCUAGAUCUUCUCUAAUCACCCUUAAUCACCCUAGCCCAUGAAUCCAACAUUAGUCUACUCACUAAUAGACAUGAAUAACCUCAAAACCAUGGAUAAUUCAAGGUUAAACAUGAUUAGAUAGCAAGAUAAUCAAGCAAAGAUAAGAAAUUAUGAUCAAGAUUAGAUCUUUUUCCCAAAAGUGGCUUUUGAUUAGAUAGAAAACAAGAUAAUCCCAAAUUUUGGUCUAAAAAGUAUUUAUAGAAGACUAAAACUCGAGCUGGGGCAACCCAACAAACCUGGUUUGACCCACAAAAACAUAGAUAUUUUUCUCCGUAGUGACUAGAAAAGGUCGCUACCGGAGGUUGCUACGCCUGUAGCGACUUGUCUUGCUCGCUACGUGUGGCCGCUAGGAUACUUGAAAGCAUAUCGACCUCGUGAAGUCGCUAUGGCUAUGGCUGGCCGCUGUAGAAGGCGCUUCAAUUCUAGCGGUCUAUCCAGCCCGCUACGUGUGGCCGCUAGGAUACUUGGCAGAUUUUAGAAGUCUUGAACGCAUAGCGACCUCGUGAAGUCGCUAUGGCUGGCCGCUGUAGAAAGCGCUUCAAUACUAGCGGUCUCUCUAGCCCGCUACACACUCCCGCUACGGUACUUGGGUGCCUCAAGUUUUCAGCUAUACCUUCUGUAGCGACCAGCAUUUGCCGCUACGCCUGGCCGCUAGGAUCCUUCAACGACUCAUCUACAUUCUUUGAGCAUCAAAACACUCCUUGGGGCACAGAUUUAUUUCACUUGUAGACAUGGGCUGAAGCGGAAAAGUGAAAGAAGGUGUCUAGCUUCAACCUGAAAAGCCUCAACCAUACUUAUUAAAUAACCUAAAAAGGAAAGAUAAAGAAAUAUAUACAAUGGAUAACAUGGGAUUUCCUCCCAAGUGAGCUUGUUUUAAGUCUCUAGCUUGACAUUGUGUGCUUGCUAAUCAUAAGUAUCAAAAGGUUGAGCCAAUGCACCUUUGGUCCUUCUCCUACAAGAACAAGGAACCAAAUAUGCAAAGGAGCACACUGCUGUCCAUAGAAAAUAGACAGAUUUUUCCUCAAAGAGCUUCACUAAAGAUGUGACAUGAAUUAUGAAAUGCUCCUUGAGGUUCAGAUGAUCAUAAGAAUCAAAAGCAUUUGGUGGAGACACAAAUUCAACUACAGGCUCAAACGAAGUUUUAACAAAGUAGUCAACUCUAUCUCCAUUAAUCAAAUAAAACACAAUGUUCUCAUUCUCAUGAAAGUUUUUGACAGGAAAAUGCUACAAUGACAUACCAUUCGAUUGUGGUAUGCCUAUCAACAUCAAGUUCAUCCCCUAAAUCAGCUAGUUCAAGAAGAGGUCUAGGUUCAUCAAACAUCAAAAACUCAGAUUCAAGAUCAAUUGAAGCACAAAGAUAGUUCUUGUCAAAACAAACUUCAAUAUGAUCUUCUAACAAGAUUUUUUACUCUCAAGUCAUCUAGUUUUCUAGUUUCAAAUAUUAGAUCAAGACAUUCAUUGAUGAGCACAUGAGAUUUCAAAUCAGAGGCAAUCUCUUCAACACAUGGCAAGCAAAUAUCCUCAAAAUGAAGUACUAAAGUCGAAUUGCAUAUACCUUCCAGCUGGGUUGGUGGAACCCAAUAAAAUACCUCUUUGAGCUGUUGAGCCAUUCUUAUCUCAAUGCCGGUGAGCUCUCUUCCUUCUAGUGUUGCCUGAUGUGACAUAAGAUUUAACCUAAGCAUCACUGCCAUGUCCUCCCUUGUCAACAUUGGAUUCUCUUUGCAAAGCUCAUCCACCUUUAUACUAUGUUCUGGUGUGAGUAUACUUUCAUCAAAUGGCUCCUCCAUAUAUGGCUCAUCAUCAUCAUUAAUGUGAUCUUUAAGUGUAUCUUCCUAUUCUUGUGGCCAAGCAAAGUGGCUUGCUGCCAUCACUGAAAAUAGCAAAAGUUAGAAUAAAAGGUUAGUAGCUAUACAAAAGCAAAACAAAGCAUAAGAAAAUAAAGCUUAAUCUCAAGAAAGUUUGAAACCUUAAUGACAAAUCUACUUAGUUCUCCGGAAACGACGCCAAAUUGAUUAAGCGUUUAAGCACACACCAAUUAACCUACUGUGCCAAUAAUACCACAAUCGAAUGGUAUGUCAUUGUAGCAUUUUGGGAUCCAAUCCACAAGGAACUAAUGAUCUAUAACACCAAGAAUACACAAGCUUCCUUAAUCUAAGCAAAAAAGAAGAUGAAUGAUUUGUAACAAGCUAAAAUCCUAGAAAUAUAAACAAGGUGAUCUCAAAUCCAAUCAAGAAAUAAGUGCAAGAAUUCAAUCAAAUGCUAAGGAUAGAUCCAUGGGCAAUGAUAAUUGAUAUAAGGUGAUCAAGGUUCAAUCUAGGAUGUUCAAACAAAACAAUCAACAAGUCUAUAGGUCUAGAUCUCAUUCAAUAUAGAUUAAUCCACUGUCGUGGUAAUAAUCCCUAUGCUAGUCAUGCAUCAAACAUCAACUCCCGUUGGCUAACACAUUCAAGCAUGCAUAAAUCACAAGUCUACUAACCACUUAAACAUCUCGGACAUCAACUGCCGUUGGCCAAAUAUGUAAAAGACAAUGCUAAGUUCAUUCAAGCAUUUCAACAAACACCUUACGGGCGUAAAAUAGUUUAAGGUCUAGAUGAGAGUGAUCAAGUAUAAUCUAACAUUAAGAACACUUAGCAAGCAUAGAACAUUGUUAAUCAAGCAAUAAACAUCCUAAAUAUCCACUUAAUCACCCUAAUCUAUCUAACCCAUGAAUCACAAGGUCACUACUCACUAAUCUCCAUGAGAAACCUUAAACUCAUGUAAGGAUCAAGGCUGAUCAUGUUAAUGAGCAAGAGAAACACAAAUAUAAGAUGAAGUACUUCCUUAGAUUAUCAAAAGAUUCAAGCUUUUACAAGUUUAGACAAAGUCUUGAGAGAAAAUGAGAUAAAAAUAAAGUUUCUAGGUCUAAAUAUAUUUAUAGGAAGGCAAAACUCGAACCGGUUUAAUCCCACAAACCAGGAUUAAACCGGACUUAAAUCAAAAAUCUCGGCUUGUCUCCUCUAGCUCGAGUGAACCGCGGACUGCUCACCUCCGCGACGUCUGGCCGCGGCGAAUCUCCAAGCUCCCGGCCUCGUUUCCGCGGCCUUGUCCAAGCUGCGUCGUGAACCCGCGGUAUUCUCUGUUUAUUUUCCGAGUCUCUGCCGUGAAAACGCGGCCUCUCUUACUCCGCUAUGGCCACCCGCGGUCUUCCUCUUUGUCGCAAUCCACCACAAUCAAUCUCCAAGCCACCGUGAACCACCUUCCAAGUCUCCAUCCGUGUUCUGGUCCUCCGCCGUGCUCGGUCUUCACCGUGGCCUCAAGCUUCGCCGUCGUACCUUCCAAUCCGGUCAUGGUCUUCUUCCCCAAAACCUCCAUUGGCGUGAGUCUUCAGUCUCGUCUUUGUCUUCCUUGUCGAGCUCUCCUCCGUGACGGUCUGAAACCACACGUCAUUGUCAGCCCAGCCUUAGCCGUCGUCGGGUCGAAGUUCACCGUGUCGUCAAGCUCCGGAUCGGCUUGGAGGAGAAAGCUCGUGAGCUCCAAUGGUGAGUUCUUGCUUAUUUGCAAAACAUGUCUUCGAAGUCUUGAUUAUUCACGCAUUCACCCCAAACUUCUCAAGUGUGCACUUUAGAUCCUAAUGCACAUAAAUGGACAAAUAUAUGCAAUGUAGACACCUAAAUGCAAUUCAAAACACUAAUAUGAAUAAUAAAUAUAUGUUAAAAAACUAUUAAAAUCAUGAGAUAUCAACAUUAUAUCAUAGCUACUCAAUGUUUAUCCCUGCGAUUUUCCAUGCUUGAGCGUGAAGGAAGGUGUGAGAAUAUAUGCUCUUACAUCGAAAGAGUUAUGACCAAUCCAAUUAUCACCAUUUAGUUUUAUGUUGAAAACUCAUCUAGCUUAUAUAGUAUCACAGCCAGUCCAAACACUAUAUGAUCUAAUGUUGGUCCAUCGGUCUUUACCUGAACAUUUCAAAAUUGGCAUUCAAAGAACCAUCAUCUAAAAAACGUAUUAAAAACAAAAUCUUUUAUAUCGGAUGUUGAAAGAGAUCCUAAAUAAAAUAUACAAUAGAUGGAUCAAUUCACUUAUUACUAAUUGUUUUUACGUUGGAACUCCGUCUAAUUUAACACAAGCCACUGUAUAGAUCUUAAAAAUCUGUUUGACAAUGCAGAUUUCACACACAGACAAAAAAGACAGUGUUUUAGUAGACAUUCACAAAUGUUACCAAAUUUUUCAAAAAAAUACAACUAUCUAAACAUCCGCUACCCUCUAAUGUUCUAUCAUGUUUUCAUUUUUAUAUCCCAGCUGUAAUAUCGAACAAAUUACAGCAAGACUAUGUUCUAGCAUCUUCAUAUUAGAAAAUGAGUAUCUUUGGGUGUGUAGAAGUGAACAGUUCAGAACUGAGAUGGUGAAUGUUAUUACCGACAUAAGAUCUUUAACAUGUCAGGUGAAGUCAGGCCAGUUGAACAAAGGAUCAAACCAGUUACGUGCGCUCACUACAAGAAAACAACGGCAUACUGAGGGAAAAAAUCGUCGGUAUGUCGUCGGAAUAACGCUAUUCCGACGACAUACCGACGAAAAAAUUCCUCGGAAAUAACUCCUCGGAAAUUCAUAUUUCCUCGGAAAUCCCUCGGAAAUUUCCGACGGAAUUCCGAGGAAACCCUAUUUCCUCGGAAAAUUCCGAGGACCACAAGUUCGUCGGAAAUUCCUCGGAAUAUUCCGAGGAAGAUGUCGUCGGAAUAUUCCGAGGGAUAAACUUCCUCGGAAUAUUUCCAAAAUUAAAAAAAAAAAUUAUAAAUUUAUUUUUUUAAAUUGAAAUUCGAAAAUAUAAAAUUAAAAUUGAAAUAGAAAACAUAUUUAAAAUACAAAAAAUAAUAAAAUAGUUUUUAUAAAUAAAAAAAUGUUUUAUAAAUACAAAAUUAGUUUUAAUAAAUAUGAAAUCAUCUUUUUAUAAAUACAAAAUAGUUUUUAUAAAUACAAAAAAUAAUAAAAGAGUGUUUAUAAAUCAAAAAAUGUUUUAUAAAUACAAAAUUAGUUUUAUAAAUAUAAAUAUUUUUUUAGAUAUGAAAUCAUCUUUUUAUAAAUAAAAAAUAGUUUUAUAAAUACAAAAAAUAAUAAAAUAGUGUUUUUAAAUCAAAAAAAAUAUUUUAUAAAUACAAAAUUAAUUUUAAAAUAUGAAAUCAUCUUUUAUAAAUCCAAAAAUCGAAUUUAUAUACAAAGAACGGUUUGUAUAUUUAAAAAUAGUUUUUAUAAAUACAAAAAUAAAAAAAUAGUGUUUAUAAAUCAAAAAAAUGUUUUAUAAAUACAAAAUUAGUUUUAAUAAAUAUAAAUAUUUUAAUAAAUAUGAAAUCAUCUUUUAUAAAUCCAAAAAUCGAAUUUAUAUACAAAAAACGUUUUGUAAAAUCGAAUUUAUAUAGAAAAAACGUUUUUUAAAUACAAAAAUAAUGAACAAUUUAUAAAAAAAGUUCUAAAUCAAUUCAACACAACCAAAUCACAAUUCUAAACCUAUUACACAACAAAUCACAAUCCUACCCAAUCACCCUAACAAAAAUCUAUCAAAAACCUUCUAAAAUCAUCAAAUCUACUUAAAAACCUAACAAAUAGGACCUAAGAGAGUGGGAUAUGGUCCUUACAUGAUUUGCAAGGGAAUGGAAAGGAUUCGCCGGAGAGAUCGUCGCGAGAGAAGGUGGAGAACGCCGGAAGGAGAGAGAGAUCGCCGGAGAAGAAGAAGAGAGAAAUGGGGAAGAAGAGAGAAAUGGGGAAGAAGAUGCGUUUCAAGUUUAUAAAACCUUGGGUCCAACGGAUAUUUUCCGUCGGAAUUCCCUCAGUAUUUCAAUUUCAAUUUUCGCGAAAUAUUUGGCGGCUUGUUUGCCCGGUUAAAUGAAAAUAUUUCGAGGAAAUUCCGACGGCCACUUAAAUAUCCGUCGGAAUUUCCUCGGAAUAUUUUCAUUAAUUCGAGGAAAAAGAAUAUCCUGUGCAUGUAUUUCUAUUAAUUUAUAUUGUUCCUCGGAAUUUCCUCGGAAUAUUCCGAGGAAAUACCGAGGAACUAGUGUUUGGGGUUUCAAAACAUCAAUUUUUUUGUCGUAUUUCAUUUCUUAUACAAUUGUAAUGCAUACCAUUGAGGAUUCUUUGUAUAGAUGAGCAUAAACCAUGAAAUAACAAAUUUCAAAACGAAUUGUAAGUAUUCCCUUUACCGUUCAUUAAAGUGUAUAAGUGUUUCUCUUAUGUUGUGGGGAUUUCGUUCAUACAAUCGGAAAAGUGUUUAUUAUAGGGUAAGGAACAAAUUUUUGACUUCAUAAUGAACGUAAGACACUUAAUAAUGGUUAUGUAGGUGUUAUUCAAACCGCAAAACGUUGUUUUCGGUUUAAAAACCCUAUUUCCUCGGAAUUUCCUCGGAAUAUUCCGAGGGAAUUCCGAGGAAACCCUCUUCUUCCUCGGAAUUUCCUCGGAAUAUUCCGAGGAAAUUCUGAGGAACUAGUGUUUGGGGUUUCAAAACGUCAAUUUUUUUUUAUAAACGCAUCGAUCGAUGUAUAUAUAUUCAAAAACGCAUCGAUCGAUCACGUAGAUGCACCGGGCCGUAAGAAUGUGAUCGAUCGAUGAGAUUAUCCCAUCGAUCGAUUGAGGAUAUCAAGUGUUCCUCGGAAUUUCCUCGGAAUAUUCCGAGGAAAUUCCGAGGAACUAGUGUUUGGGGUUUCAAAAUCUCGAAUGUUUUUUUAUAAACGGAUCGAUCGAUGGAUUUAUGUCCAAAAACGCAUCGAUCGAUCACUAAGAUGGACCAAAGCGUAACAAUGUGAUCGAUCGAUGGGUAUAUGUCCAAAAACGGAUCGGAAGUUCGUCGGAAUUUCCUCGGAAUAUUCCGACGGAUUGAUGUUUCCUCGGAAUUCCGUCGGUUUUUUCCGAGGAACACAUUUUUCCUCGGAAUUUCCUCGGAAUAUUCCGACGGAUUGAUGUUUCCUCGGAAUUCCGUCGGUUUUUUCCGAGGAACACAUUUUUCCUCGGAAUUUCCUCGGAAUAUUCCGACGGAUUGAUGUUUCCUCGGAAUUCCGUCGGUAUAUUCCGAGGAAAUUCCGAGGAUUUCAUUUUCCGUCAGAAUGUCCGUCAGAAUACCGAUGUUUUCUUGUAGUGGCUGUGACGUUGUAAUAAAAAUGCGUACGAUAGAAUAAAAUCUAUAAAAAAACUUAAAAAUCUUCAGAAUAACUGGAUAUUAGCUCAUGUAUUAAACCAAUACAGUUAGAAUUAUUUACCUUUAAUUACGAAGCUAUAUUUAGAUAACCCAUCAGCUAUUAAGCAAUCGUGUAGUGAAUGAAGAUCUAAAGAGAAAAUGUUUAUGAUGAUAAUUAUUAUUUUAUUUUUUUCCUCAAAAGGAAUUAUAUUGAUUUAAGCAAUUUGAAACUAUGAGAUUAGAGUGCAUAUAAUACCAAAAUACAACCAUUAGGGGUCAAACACAUACCACAUCUUUGCUCUAUACAAACAGCCAAAAAUCAACCAAUAAAACCCCAGUAAUCAUCCAUAAAGAGACAUACAUAGAUGACUAGCUUUUCUCAAGAGAUACAUAAACUCCUAAAUCUGAACUAAACUGAGAUUAGAUAUAUGUACAAUUGACCAUCUGACCACAAUUAAACCGAUUACCCAUAAGUCAUUUUACUAAAGACUAAUAGGAAGAGCCAAUUAGGUCAUGCAUGAAGCCUACAGCUUACGUACACCUGCAUUAGUAAUUUUCUGACCACCAAGAGCGAAUAUUUCACACUUCACAAGAGUAAUAUGUAUAUGCAUGUAUAUGUGAUAUAAAGCGAAUGAUGUGAUCUCAAUACAUCCACGACAAGCUAACCUAAAAGAUAGAGACGUUUUUUCUUUGACUAAUUAAAAGAUACCAUUAACACCUCUUAUUGAAACCUGAGGGCAACCUUCAACCGCAAGCAAUUCCAGCUUGUGAGUCUUAGCAAGUGGUCUUACCCCGUCGUCUGUAACUCCCAAACACUUUGAUAGUUUCUUUUUUUAUAACACUUUGAUAGUUUCAACACAGUGAGGGAAGGAAACUGGCUCACUAGAACCAACCCCUCGUCCCUUAUUUCCUGACACUGGACAAGCUCCAAGAUCUCUAGAUUCUGAGCUGAACACAGAGCCUCUAUGCCCCGUUGCUGAAAGAACACACGUGGUCAAGAAAAUGUACAUUUAGACAUACAUAAGUCUGGACAAUUUAUCUGGAAUCGAAAAACCGAAUUGUACCAACCAAUAUAACCGAAACCAAUCUGAAUUUCAUAAAUAUCUAGACAUGUCAUAUAUUUUUUGGAAUUAACCAAAUAUUCUUUUACCAAAAUAUUUAAAAUUAUUUGAAUUUUAUCCGACAUUUUUAUCUGAACAAGCUGAAUUACUCUAUAUUUAAUUUGAAAAACCCAAAUUAUUUGAUGUUUAUACCCAUAUUAUCUGAAGUUAUCAGGAAAAAAUUGGAAUUGAACUGAAACCAAAUUAGACCCAAAUUUUUGGAUAUUAACUGUUUAUCAACUUUGCUAUCAAACCAUACCGAAAAUCAAAAUAAUUGAACCAAAGCUGUACUGAAUUUUGUAAAUAACCAAACGGUUUCUAAAUCUCUAGAACUGAAAAACAGAAAACCAAAUCCCAAACCGCAACCUAUUUAAUACUUUUAGUUUAGUAAUAGGAUUUUUUGGCAGCUUAAUUAGUUAUGAUUCUGUUUUAAUUUUUGCCAUAGCAUAAGUUUACUUAGGUUAAACAUUAGUGUCUAGAAAAAAUUAUUUGGACAUUCCAUUUGAUAUCCUACCUACAGUAAUCUGAUGGAAGGGACUUCAGUGACUUCAAUCGAACACUAAAAUUUUUUAAUUGUAUUUUCGGGCAGUUUAAUUGGUUAUGAUUCUGUUUAAGUUUGGUCAUAGCAUAAGUUUAAUUAGGUUAAACAUCAGUGUCUAGAAAAGAGUAUUUGGACAUUCCAUUUGAUACCAUACCUACAGUUACCACAAAUCUGAUGGCAGGGACUUCAGUGUCUUCAAUCUAACACUAAUUUUUUUUUUUUUGUAGUUUUUGUAUAGUGCUGGGAAACAGGUCAAAUCCGCCAUGUUUGACCCUCACACCACAUGUUAAGAUUAUUUUUUAUUCAAAAAUCCAAUCUAUAUAAUCCACAAAGAAAAUAGUCGACUUUCCACCUGUCUCGCUGAAAUUUACAAGUAACCUGCAUGAUCCGCAAGUAAUUUUAGUUUUAAAUAUAAUAAUUAUUAUUAAUAUUCAAAAGUAAUAUAAAUUAUAUAUUUAUAUGUUAAAAUAAUAUAAAAUUGUAUUUUUAUUUUUUAAGAUUUUUUGUUUUGAAAAAACAAAUCUGUAUUUACAAUUUUUUUUCGGAUUGGCUGAUAUCCAUAACUCAAAUUAGACCGCCCCGCAAAAAAUAAAUUUAACCGGCAUUUACAAUUCAAUUUUUUUUAUCAGUCAAUCUGCAUCCUCCCUACGACGGGCCAAACGAGGCGAGACUGGCGGAUAUUGACUCAAAUUCCCAACUCUUAUCUUUGUAUUAAAAUAGGUCAUGAGCAUUUCACAGUUCACAACAAGAGUAUAUAUGUAUGAUAUUUUUCAAGCGAAUGAUGUAUGUAAUCUCAAUACAUCCAUGACAAGUCUUGCCUAAAAGAUACAGACGUUGCAGCACCAUUAACACCUUUUCUUGAAACCUGAGGACAAUCUUCAACCACAAGCAACUCCAGCUUGUGAGUCUUAGCAAGGGGUAUCAGUCCAUCGUCCGUGACUCCCAAACACUUAGAUAGUUUCAACACAGUGAGGGAAGGAAACUGGCUCACCAAAACCAACCCCUCGUCGCUCACUUCCUGACAGUGUACAAGCUCCAAGAUCUCUAGAUUCUGAGCUGAACACAGAGCCUCCAUGCCCACGUCGUUGAAAGAGCACACAUGGUCAAGAGAAAGCUCUCGAAUGGGGCAUUUCUUGAUCAGAGUGAUUAUCCCCUGAAGGGUGAAAGAUAAGAGGGAAGGAAACUCACCGUCUGAGAACGAGACCUUGAAUGAUUCGAGCUUUGAGCAGUGUUGAGCUAUGGCACUGAGACUUUCAUCGGUUAAUCUCAUGGUCGCGUUGUUUAAGAGAGGCAGAGUGAAAUCAGAAGGAACACGUAGCGAGAUGCUUCUGAGUUGUUUAGCUUCCUGGACCAAUGCUAUGAUGUCCGAGUCGCUUACACCGAUACACAUAUCCAGAUGAAGUUUCUCCAGGCUAAUGCAUUUUCUCAGCACACAAGCGAGCCCUCUACCUGGAGCUAUGACGCAGUUCACAAGGCUGACCUCCAAAAGAUUCUCGCAGGGAACCAACUGUUUCCGCUGUCGCUCCACCGCUAACUGAUCAUAAACCUUCAUGUUUCUGUAGUUUGCAUCUACCUCAAACUUCAGAACUCGAAGCUUUCUCCAGCUAGUUCCCAGCUUCACUAAAUCACCUUCCCCAACCCCUCUGCAGUUCUUGAUACAGAGCUCUUCAAGAACCUCAAGCUUUCCGAAAUACUCCAACCACUCAACGCUCGCCACGUUUAAGCAUCGAAUGAGAUGCAAUAUCUUGAGUUUCUUGCACCCUACAGCUACCGACAACACGCCACAACCAGUGAUUCUUGGAGCGAAGUUCAACUUCAAGGAAGAAAGCUUUGUACAGGAAGACAAAUGACGAAUGCCAACGUCGGUGAUGAAAGUGCAGUAGCUAAGAGUGAGAUCAGAGAGCGAAUGGCAGUUGGUGGAGAGGAGAAGAAGGCCUUGAUCGUCAAGUUGUUUGCCAAGUUUUGACAUCCAACCAGAGUAUACGAUCUCUACUUUGGAGAGAUUUGGAAACCUCUUGCAGAGAGAAAGCAAGGCAUCGGGUGCAGGAACUAAACCGCAGCCAAUCCGGAGAGACUGUCUUUGCUCGUUGUCUAGAGAGUAGAAACGCUUGCAAGAGACUGAAAGAGAGUUUCUGUCAUCGGUUUUGUGAAGGUUCUUGAAGAUGUCCCAAACUAAAUGGUCUGGCAACUCUUCCAUUGUCUCUUUUUGAUCUAUCUGUGAGAAGAAAAAAAGCAUAGAGAAACUUGUGAAGUGAAACAUUUCAGCAGAAUUAUAUUCUUAUAACAGAUAGAUAUUGCACAAAUGAAGUUAUCAUUUGAACAAUAAUAAGAAGACAGCGCCUCAAGGGAACACAGAGACUAAUAUGCUAACCUCGCCUCGCCCACAUAAGAAUAUACUCAAAAGUUACUGAUUAACACAGAUGAAACUUUCCAAGAAACAAAAAUAAGCGUUGACCUCUAUCUAAGCGUGAUCUCAAAGGGAAAUAUCUUAUAAGAUGGAAGUUGAAAAUACUAGCAAAACGCAUAAAAAAAAUAAUCCAUAGAAUCUAAAAGAUAGAUAGAUCCCCAAGGAUACCCGCUAGAUAUGAGUCCAGGCCUGAAACUAGACUUGCUAUUGAAAACAAACAAAGAAAGGAAAAAAUGAUCUAACCAGAAACAACGUUGAAGAAGGCAAGUGCGAACCUGAAAGAGACGGUUUAUCCACCAACGGAACUCCUUUUUUAUAUUCCCACUACAGGUCGGUCGGUUGGAUAAGGACUACCUCCUAUUAUUUUAAAGAUUAUAAAAAAAUAGUUUGCCUUUUAGUAAAAUAUAUUUUCAGAUGCUCAUGUUUUCAACCUCUGAUUUACUUUGUCACUAUUGUUAACGUUUGUAUUAUUUAUAAGGAUACAGUAGUUUCAACUUCCAACAAUAUAGUAGAGGCUGACACAAGAAUAAUGCCACCGUUCCUCUCAGAUCUUUUCAUUAGCACACAUAACACGAAUAGCUAGAUUGCUUCAACAUCUAAGUCUCUACUACUAGCAGCUUUAGGCAGGUCUUCAACCCUUUCUUCUGUUACUCUUGUUUUUACUCGCAUUUUUAACUUUCUCAGACCCAGAGGAAGUGGUAGUACUAUCGGCUGAUAUGGGCAACACAGUACCGUCCUUGACCUCCUCCUUUAACUCUGAUCCUUCACUCUCACCACCAUCCAUUUGGGCCAUUAGCUUUCCAAGCUGUUAGUCUCAAUUAAACACGUUUAGUAACUGUCUUUUAAUGACACAGUAGGUUGUAUUGUCUAUACUAUACAUGUUUCUUUACCUGUUCCUCCAAGCGCUCAAUCUUUUCAUCCUUCACCUGAACCGCCUUCUUCUCCCUAAAAGUCCAAGCUUAGUUUCAACUAUGACGAAUAAACAAUUAAAAUCCUUAGUUCCUAAUGCACACUACAUGAAACAUACCUUUCUUCCAUUUCUGUAAUCUUGGUGCUCCAUACGUCCUUAUUUUUCAUCAGGUUUUCGUUCAACUACAUAUGAACGAGAACAAAAAUAAGUCACUCCUCUACUGAAAAAAAAACAAUAUGCAAGAAAAACCUAUAUAUGUAUACUCACAUCUUCAAGAAAUUGCUUCUCUUUGAAACAUCUGUCACGCCUGGCUUGCAGCUUCUGCAGUCUCUGGCUUAUUGCCUUGUUCGCAGCUUCUGAGACUUUCUGUUCCGUUUCCUCUUUGACGUUUUGUAGCAAUUUUUCAAAAUACUAACGGGAGACAAACAAGGAAACAAACAAAAAAAGAAGUCUUAAUAUCUUUGCUAGACAUUAUUAAACACUUCAAAUUGUAAGUCAGAUAAUUAAAAAUUAGUAGUAACGGCGACAUGAAAUGUAUGCGUGCUUACUUGCUUUUGGUUCUCUAGUUGUGCCUGGAGGAGUUCGUUGUACUCACUGAUGAUCUGCGGUUUGGAGAUGAAAAAAACGAGUCAGCAAUAAAUUAACUUGAGAGUUCUAAAGGUGAACACGAGCAUUGUGAAAACAUGAAACAAAAACAAUACCAUAUCCACUUUGCUGUUCAAGAGAGCAUCAGUCAUUCCACUGUCAGAAUAUUCACAGCUUCCACAACCAUCCUUGCUCAAACUACCGUGAGAAUUCAAUUCUACUAGCUUGCCAUCAGUUUUGGAUUGAAUAAGCCGGUGAACAUAAUUGUCACCAGCAUAAUCCCAAACACGCUGUGUUUCAAGCUCAAGUGAAUAGCAAUGAUCCGUCUCCUCCCAGUGCGUUCUGGCAUGUGCUCCCUUGUACCUACAAUAAGUAUUUAACAACGAGAAAUGGUUCUCAAGAACAAGAAUAUAAUUAAUUGACACUGGGCUCCAUGCUAAUUGCAGAAAAUGCAAUCCAUACCUUCCGCAGCCAACAACCCCACAGAUAACACACAUCCAGAGAUUCUCCGUUGUUUGGCAAACACAACAUACUGAAUUUUCAGGCUGCUGCUGGCAAUAUCGACAAACCUGAAAACAAAAAACAACACCACAUCAGGAUACAUACGGAAAAUUGACAGAGGAUCCGAAAAUUGGCAUGAAAAUGAAAAAAGAACCGUACUGGGCAAGAAGAAUCUGGCCAAUUAGAAAUACAUGAACAAUGGAAGGAAUGAUUGCACAUAGUUGUUAGAAUACCACCAGUGUCUUGGUCCAAUCUCUCUGAAACAUGAACAUAGAUCACAAAAGGUUCAGAAUAUAACGAAACCAAAUGUAUUCAACAUAUGACACUGACUACACUGUCAAUAUUUAUACCAUCACCGAAGUUUGCACUUCGUAGGGCUAGAUUAAGCCAUAUCAAACUUAAUAACUCCGGUUAAAACCUUACCAAGACAAACUGGGCAAGUAGGUUGCUCAACUGGGCCAGCAGAAGAAGGCUGAGUAUGGUCAAUAGAUCCACUAUAACCAGUAAACUGAACAUCUAGAGUAAAAAGCAGGCGACACACCUCUUCCUGCAAAAAAUUUGGCAACAGUAAAUCAAUCACAAAGACAAGAUGUAAUUAUAGAUCAGCCUUAGGGCGUCUCAAAACAAAACCAUACCUCAAGAGAAUUGAAUCGUUUCCCUCUAAAAUGCUGGUAGUAUGUAUCGGCAGACUCUUGACUAUCAAACCUUAUCAAAAUGUUGUAUCUAUUUUCAAUCCCAUCAUUCCUGUAAACAAACUAACUUUUUUUAUCUCCUCAUCCAAAGCAAACAUUUCAGAACCAAAUACAGUACUUGGUGAUAAGAUUGAAAAUCACAAUCUAGCAAAAGAAGAGAUUGAUCUUCUUACCUCACAGUUCGCAUUUCAAGUAUGUGCUGGAUGAAGGAGCCGCAGAACUGGCAAAAAUCUGCGUACGUCAUAUGGUUCGGCACACCAAGAACGCAAACAAGAGGGUUCCUCCCAAUCUAAACGACAAUAACAUCAUUCCAGAUUCAAAUCGGAGAUAAAUCGAUGCAAUCAUACGAAAGAAUGAAGAAAUCUUACAGGGAGAAUCGAAGAGGAAGAAGAAGACGACGGCGAAACGGCAUCGUCGGGAAAUAGAUGCAUGACGCCGCGAGUCUCUCCGAUCCUAGGGUUUCCAGAGGAAAAAUGAACUGUCUGAGUCAUAUCGGAGAGCGACGAUUCGCCGGAAACACUUGCCAGCGGUGGAACGACCGAAUCCUCCCCGGCGAUUAAGGUUGAAGUUGAGGGCAUCAUCACGCGAGACUACUACAACACUUGCCGCCUAAGAAAAGAGACGAGUUUCGUUUAUUUACUACGGCGAUCUCUCGCUCGCAAGCCUUAGUAUAUUUAUUUUCCCUCUGACACGUCAUCAUCAACUCCAACCAGGAUAUAUUUUGUUUUUCGUCUCAACUCCACCAGGAUGUUUAUUUUACAGAAAAGCACGUCGAAAGUUUCAAUGUGAUCAAAUACGUCCAAUAACAUUAACAUCACACACAUUGUGGCUGAUGAAACUGAGACUCUCACUUAUUGUUGGAAAAUGAUAAAAAAAAAGGUUCUCUUCAAAGUUAUACAGAUGAUUAAACAGAAGCUUGAACGUGGGAAUCCACUGACUUCAGAACUUCCUCUCCCAUCUCCUUGCAGCCCACAAGUUUCUGAUUCCAAAAAGACGAAAAACAUAAGUAUUGAUUACUAUUGCCUGCUUGUAAGCUUUACAAACACCAACUCUGAUGAAUGUUCAAAACAAAAGGAAACAUUGUGAUAAAGAUUAGUUCGAGAAAAUUACAGUUCCUGCGGAGUAGAUGUCUCCUGUUCUGAAUCCUUUGUUCAGAGCACCCAACACAGCGUCUUCGAUUCUCUUAGCUGCCUUCUCCUCUCCGAGUCCGUAUUUCAGAAGCAUUGCAGCGCUGAGGAUGGUUGCCAACGGGUUUGCUUUAUCCUGAAAAAUUCAAAGAAUCUGCAUAAGUUUAGCUCUUCAUUUUUGGCAUAUAUAGUAGUAGUUCUGAUACUGGGGAAGAACAGAAAUAGAGUUAGGAGGACCUGUCCAGCAAUAUCAGGUGCAGAACCAUGUAUAGGUUCAAAGAGUCCAGGUCCCUGUAAUAAGUAGAGCAGAGUUUUUUUGUUCAGAAGUGAUCAUACUGAUGCACGCUCAAAGAUGAGAUCAGUUCAUUUCAUACCGAAUCACUGAGACUAGCAGAGGGAAGCAUGCCGAUGCUUCCUGUGAUCAUCGACGCUUCAUCGGAUAAUAUAUCACCAAAAAUGUUGUUUGUAACAAUGGUGUCAAACUGCAAUUAAGAAAAGACCAAACCAUUGUAAGAAUUUAUAAAGUUCCCACAUCAAGACGCUGACUAAUAUAAGUACCUGUUUAGGGUCACGAACAAGCUGCAUGGCAGCAUUGUCAACAUACAUAUGUGACAGUUCAACAUCCGGAUAUUCAGCAGCUAGUGCUGUUACUCGUCUCCUCCAUAAAAUCGAGGCCUGCAUAACAGAAAAUUGCAUUAAACUAUGUGUUACAUAGGAAACGAGAGGAAUUUCGAGAAAAAAAAAAGUUACUAUAAACCAUACAUCUAAGACAUUAGCUUUGUCAACAGAACACAGCUUGCCACGCCGUUUCCGAGCAGUCUCGAAGGCAACACGAGCAAUUCUAUCAAUCUGAGGAACAUAAAAAGAAAUGCUUUAUUACAUCUGUUCAUACUACUUAGCAAAGAGAUAAGGAGGAUUUUCAAUCGAGUACCUCGUGAGCAGCAUAGACCUCAGUAUUAUACCCAACUUCCUCACCAUUUUCAUUAGUCUUAAUGCCCCUUGGCACUCCAAAGUAAAUACCUGUUCAUCACACACUGUAAAGAUAUUGCACCACUAGUGAACGAGAAAGACAAGAAAUUUAAUAUCAGUCUCAAUCAAGUUACCUCCUGUAAGCUCCCUAACAACCAUCAGAUCAACACCUUCUGCAACCUCUCUCUUCAAGGUCGAAGCAUCCACUAACUGAAAGAUAACUUGAGUUUCACAUAGGAAACGAAACUACAAGCUACCGAGAACUCCUGAGACUAAGAAGAAGAAGAAGGUUACCUGUGGAAGAACAGUAGCAGGUCUCAGAUUAGCAAAGACUUUAAGACCAGCCCGAAGUUGAAGUAACCCAGUCUCAGGCUUCAAAUGUUUUUCAUUCUUAUCCCAUUUGUACCUGAAACCACGCCAACACUGUAAGCACAGAACCAACAAAAGAGUAGAGAGCCAACGUGCAUACCCUCCAAUGGCUCCAAGAAGCACAGCAUCUGAUUCUUUAGCAGCCGAGACGGUCUCCUCAGGCAAAGGCACUCCGACCAAAUCCAAAGCCGCUCCUCCUACAGGCAUUUCCUGGAAGCUAAACUCCAGACCUGAUAAACAUCACAGACUCAAUCGUCUAAAACAUUAUCCAAAUAAACCCGACCCACGAUUCUAUAUCUAAUCCCCAUGAAACCCCCAAUGAGAGAAACCUUCCAAGGAACCAGCUUGCUGAAGCACAUUUUUAGCGAUGGAGAUGACCUCCGGACCGAUUCCAUCGCCGGGAAGGAGAGUGAUAUUGUAUCUCUUUUUCCCGGGGGAAGCAGCGGCGCAUCUCACUCUAAAUGGUGCUGGAGAAGAUUGUUUGGUGAGAGCUCUCAACUUAGCCGGAAACUUAACCGGUCGGAUGUUAGUCUGUAGAGCCGCCGCCAUUUCAGGAUUGCCUUUGUUUCGGAUGUUGAGACUUGAGACUUUUGUAGGUCUUUGCAUUUAUGGGUCCUUUUUGUAUUAUUUAAUUUUCAUUAUCGGUCCCCCAACUUCUUAACUAUUGAUGGAACUGCUUACAUUGUUAAUUAAUAACAUUUACAUCCACCAACUCUUGAGUUUAUACUCAUUCCCNNNNNNNNNNNNNNNNNNNNNNNNNNNNNNNNNNNNNNNNNNNNNNNNNNNNNNNNNNNNNNNNNNCCCCCCCCCCCCCCCCACAAAAAAACACAGACCCUAUCUAUUCCCCCCCCCCCAAACUACUAAGUUCUUUACUAACCCACCCAAACAUAUACUUUCUCUUCAUAAUUCUCCCCAAACUUUUUUAAUCCCCCUCUCUAAUUGACUUUCCAAAUCGUGAUUAAUAGAACACAAAUCGCGUUUAAGAAAUAUAGAUUGCCCAAUUAUAGAACACCCAACCCGAAAUUAAAACAACCCGACCCAGAUUUUAAAAUUGAAUUGGGGCUUUUUUUAGGAUUUCUUCUGUGUUCUUCACUUAGACACACAUACAACAAAGAACAGAGAGAGAGAAAAAGAAAGAGAAAGAGAAAGAGAGAGAGAAGAGAGACGAGAGACGACAACGACCAGGAACCAGAGAGAGAGACGACGACGACCUGAAACAGAGAGAGACAACGACGGAAGACAGAGAAGAAAGAGAGACGAAGAAAAGAGUGAUGAAAAACAGAGAAGAGAGUGAGACGAAGAACAGAGGAGAGAAAUAGCAGAGAGAGACGAAAACCAGAGAGAGAAAUAGCAGAGAGAGUGACAAAGACUUCUCCUUUGACUUGAGCAGCUCAACUUCAUCUUCUACGUGACAGAGAACAAUGGAUGCAAAACAUGAUGAACUUGUGAAUUAUGUUCAUGACGACAGAGUGUGAUGAAGGGCUUUGAGUUUCAAGAAACAAGGCUUGCGAAGAUGGAAGAAAAAGUUAUGAGAACUAAGAUGAAUGAAGAGAUGGUUGAAAGCUAUGAUAGGAUAAGGUCUUUUGGAAAGGAGUCUGCUAACUAAGAUGAUCAUGUUCUCUUAUGUGUUUAAACUUAUGUAAGACUCUUAUAUUAUGUAUCGAAAAAUGUCAUGUUUUUAAUGUGGAUUUGUGCUGUUAAUACAGUGUGUGCUUAUAAUUCUAAAGAAUACAGUGUUUGUUUUUCUUUUCUGUUAUGAGUCUGAAAACUAGCAGUAGACACCAUUAAACAUUGCUUAAAUGAGUCUGCAACAGAAACAAAUCAGACAUAACCAUCCUACUGCUGAUGAACAAACAGAACCAAGUCUUAUAUAAACAGAAACAGAAAACACAGACUCGAUUGAAACCCAGACCGAAACAGAAAACGCCACGAACAGAGUAGCUUUGACUAUGUGUAGGCUGAGUAAGUCUUACUUCAUCCUGCUGCCCAUGAGAAGAAUUUCCCUGACGUUAUCACCAUGCAUUAGCAUUAUAAAUCACUCAUCCAUCAAACACAGAGAAAAUAAACACCUAACAACCACAGCCUCUUCAUCGUUCCUCCAUCUCUCUCUCUCUCCUCUGCGUCUUCGUGUUCCUCACUGUCUCUCUCUUUCUCAGUCAUCUUCUUCCUUUCUCUCUCUCUCUUUCUCUUCUCUGUUCCCCGUCGUUUCUCUCUCUAUCUCUUUUUUUUUACUCUCUCUAGUUGUUUCUGUGUCGGGAAGAAAAUAGAAGAAACCCUAAACUCCAAUUCGAUUUGGGAUAGAUAAUGGUAUAAAAUCUGGGUCGGGUUUUAUUUUAAAUGUCGGGUCGGGUUAUUUUGGAUUGGGCAAUCACAAUUUCUUAAACGUGAUUUUGUUUCAUUAGUCACGAUUUGGGAAUUUAAUUAGAGAGGGGGAUUAAAAAAGUUAAGGGGGAAAUUUAAAGAGAAAGUAUAUGAUCAGGUGGGAUUAUGAAGAGCUUGAUAGUUUGGAGGGGAAUAAGUAGGGUAAGUGUGUUUAGAGGGGGGGAAUAGGCAGCCAACCCAAUUUUAUUUGAAGCUAAACCAAACUUCCGUUUGAAACAGAGACUCUUGCAUCAAGGGAUCUCAGUAUCUCCUCUCCCAUUCUCUUGCAACCUACCAAUGUCUGUCCAAGAAACCAAGUUGCCUUAUUAUCUUCAAUUUUGGUUAGAAAAAGAAAGAAAAAAGAAAGGAUAACUUACAGCUCCAGGAGUGUGAAUGUCACGAGUUCUGAAUCCGCGGUCCAAGACAUCUGAAACUGCCUUCUCGAUCCUCUGUGCAGCGUUUUCCUCUUUCAGUCCGUACCUGAAAAGCAUUGCAGCUGAUAGCACAGCUGCCAAGGGGUUCACUGUGUCCUGCAAUCCGCAAUGUGUUGAAAAUGUUUAUAUACACAGGAGUGGUUUUCACAUUCAGCAUCAUAUAUAUUAUAUAUAGAUAUAUGAAGAUUGUGAGGCAACCUUUCCGUAGUGUUUAGGCGCAGAUCCAUGCACGGGUUCGAAGAUUCCAGGUCCCUGUAACCGAUCAGCUUAUGAGAAAUCCAAUAUUCUUUUAUCAAGAAAAAAACAGGAUUUGAAUCAUACUGAAUCACCAAGGGCAGUGUUUGAACCGAAAUCGGUGCUGUGCAGGAGAUAGACAGAUUUCGAUGGUGGGGUUAGGAGAGGUCUUCAUGCUGAGCUUGAACUGGAUGGAUGGAGAGUAAGAGAAGAUAAAAAGGGGUUAAAUGAUUAUGGCUGGACCCGGUGAAGCGAUGCCUACGUACCCCAAAUGGGGAUCAAGCCAAUCGUAGUUCUACAACGAUGGGAUCACAAGUGCUUAGAUGAAAGCAUGUGGAGAAAUGUUUCUCUCUCUAGAAAUAGAGAAAGGAUGGAAAAGUGGCCAAAGGAAGAGUGAGUCCUUAUUUAUAGAAGGAAGAGGUCUAGGGUUUCCUAGUCACCUCAUUUUAAAUGGACCCAUUAUUUUAUAGGCCUUGUUGGGGGCAAAGCCCAUGUCCAACAGUAAGCCCCCCAGUUCGUUGAGAGAGAUGAAAUUGAUCUCUAUGAAUUCUACGAAGAAGGUUUAUAAGAAAAUGGACUCAGUGCUUUUACAUUUGAUGACCCAAGCGAGUAGUUCAUUUACUAGGCGAGUUGACUGGGAAACUCAUGCCUAGGGCGCGAGUUGUACUCUCGCUAGGGAAGUUUACUAUGAACUCGUCCCUAGAAGCAGUAACUCGUGCUUGAGCGAGGGAGAGUAGAUGUACUCUUACUAGGCGAGUUGAGUGUGAACUCGUGCCUAAAGAAAGGCAAGUUUACUAAACUCGUGCCUAGAUAGAGGCGAGUAGUACUUUUACUAGGCGAGUCGGCUAGUGAACUCAUGCCUACGCGAGUUGUACUCUCGCUAGGGGAGUUUACUAUGAACUCGUCCCUAAAAGCAGUAACUCGGCCAGUAACUCAUGCCCGAAAAGAGAGUUUUCCGACCUAAUGCCUAGGAGCCGUAUCUCGGCGAGUAACUCUUGCCUAGUGAAAGGCGAGUUGAAUGUAAACUUGUGCCCGAUACAAAGCGAAUUAAACAUAAACUCAUGUCUACUAAGAGGUGAGUUGAGUGUAAACCCAUGUCUAGUAAAUGACUGGUUUACUAAACUUAUUCUUAGUGAUAGAUGAGUUUAUGUCGAAUUCAUGCCUAGUAAAAGGCAAGUUUAUUGUAAACUCACGCCGAAAAUAGGACAAUUUGUACUCGUGCCUCGAUGUACAUACCCAGGCAAAAGCGGAGAUGCAAUAAAUAUAUUUUUUUGACGAGUAAAAAUGACAAGCAAAGGACGUACCUUGUCGUUUACUCGCGACGAGUAAAAGUGACAAGCAACGGAUGCAAGUGUCAUUUUUGACGAGCUAUUGAAUUGGAGACGUCGCUUGACGGGUUUGACUUUGAGACGUGAUGUUCUUGGUAUUGGGCUUAUUGGGCUUCAGCUUUUUGUUUCUUCUGCUGUGAGGCCCAAGCUUCAUUUCAUUUCUUUUAUGCCAAGUAAGAAUCUUCUUUUUCUUUGGCACUUAUGAGCAAGAAUCUAACUUGUCGUUUUCUUGAAACAGAAUUUGAACGUGCGUACGUCAUCCCUCUGCUCGAGCUUGUGACUGACAAAGAGUUGCGAGGGGACGCGAGAUGAAUCUUCUUCUCCACGUCCGAGUAACCGCAUGAGCUCUCAACUUUGUGGUCGUGUAAACGCGUGAGCUGGAGCCGAGUAACCACAAGAGCUCGAGCAAAGUAACCGAAUGAGCUAGGGCCGGGUAGCAGCUUAAGCUUAAGCCGAGUAACCGCAUGAGCUCGAGCCGACUAACCGCAUGAGCUCGAGCUUAAAUAGUCGUUCAGCACAUGUUGGGGCAGAGUUCAUACUCGCUUGGUGGAGAACUUGAUCGAGGUGUAUCGAUCAUGAGUUGACCCCGAGGAGACUCUAGAUGACGAGGUGUCUUUGUAGCCCCUUGGAAGCGUGUGCUCGUGACGUGUUGCGAGAGCCAUGAAAAAUCACGGAUUCGCGACCUCAAAUCAAACCUCUGAGUCGUCGGAGCGAGAGUUGUGACGACGAGUGACGGAGCUGGGAGUUAGCGGCAGUUUCGUAUGAGCUGUGACAAGUGAUGAAGCUAGAGGUCAAGCUUGUUGCUGAGCAUCGACUGUUCCAAGUAAAAGCACAUGAUGGAGGUGACGUUGUCUUGUGCCGAGUAAAGCGUAUGACUGUUGCUCGGCGAUGAACCGCUGCAUUUCGGUUCCGUGAAUCAAGAACCCGUUGGAGAGCUUUAAGUUGGAAAGACCAUGGCGAGUAACAGAGCUUGAAGUCGGCACGAAGCUUCCGUUCAUGGAGCUUUUGAAGACAUCGUCGUUGAGCUUCUGCGUUUAGUCGGUGAGAGCUUUUAGUCGUCGAGAGCUUUUAGUCGUUGACAAAUGUUCUGAGUAAAACAACCCGGACUGGUCAAAAAUGAGGUGCCGAGUAACCGCACGGGCUCGGGCUUAAACUGUUGUUCGGAGUAGCCAUUGAUGGAGCUGUUUGAAGAUGGCGAUUGUCUUCUUUAGCCAAUGACGUAUAUGACGAAGUGAUACAAUCCCUAUGAGAAUUAGCCGAUGAGCUGUUAGUCUGAAAUUGCAUCACGGGCUGCGACGCAAAGUGAUUUUCCUCGCUAUAGUGAACUCGCUGCCGAGGAAAAGCGAUGAAGUGUAACCACGGCCUAGCAAGAAAGUGUGCAUAGGAAGUGCUCGUGGUACAUAUUUUGAGCUGAUCACGUUCUUGUUGGUGAUGACAAGUCAUUACAAAUUUUUGGAGCUUUGAUCGUCAACUGAAACGGGUAAAAGCAUCGCUUGGAAGAUUCUUUUACUCGGUGUGAUAAAAAGAAAGCUUCUUUUACUCGUCACAUUCAUGCAACGGGUUGCUGAGACAUCGCAAACUCUGUUUCAAACUCUUCGCUUCAGUACGACGAGAAAUGCUUGAGUUUACAGCUUUCACCUUUGACUUUUGGGUUUAGUCGCAACCUAGCCGUCUUCUUUGACCGAGUUGAAUUGUAAUUGGGCGAGCGGAUAAAAUAUGGUAGGUCCCAGCAUUUUCAUUUUUUUUUUCUUGAAAGGCAAAAUGCAAUUCGUCAUCUACUCUUUUUUCAAAGAGUAAAAGUGACGAGUAAAGGAUUCAGCUUGUCGUUUACUCGUAGCCCUCUUUUUGUGAUGAGUAAAAGUGACAUAAAAGUGCAUUUACUCGUUGUUUUUUUUUUGACGACUAAACGGUCGAACUACGACCAAACAGUUGAACGAUGACAGAAUGGUCAAAAGACGACAGAACGGUCUAGCGACGACAUAAAUGUCAAAGUGACGAGCAAACGGUCGAGUGAUGACCAAACGGUCGAGUGACGACCAAACGGUCGAGUGACGACCAAACGGACUCGGAGUUCAAUCAUUUUUCAAAGAUACUUCUCCAUGCCCCACGGUGGGCGCCAAUUGUUUGAACCGAAAUCGGUGCUGUGCAGGAGAUAGACAGAUUUCGAUGGUGGGGUUAGGAGAGGUCUUCAUGCUGAGCUUGAACUGGAUGGAUGGAGAGUAAGAGAGGAUAAAAAGGGGUUAAAUGAUUAUGGCUGGACCCGGUGAAGGGAUGCCUACGUACCCCAAAUGGGGAUCAAGCCAAUCGUAGUUCUACAACGAUGGGAUCACAAGUGCUUAGAUGAAAGCAUGUGGAGAAAUGUUUCUCUCUCUAGAAAUAGAGAAAGGAUGGAAAAGUGGCCAAAAGGAUCCUUCUCAAAGGAAUAGUGAGUCCUUAUUUAUAGAAGGAAGAGGUCUAGGGUUUCCUAGUCACCUCAUUUUAAAUGGACUGAGCCCAUUAUCUUAUAGGCCUUGUUGGGGGCAAAGCCCAUGUCCAACAGGCAGCAGAUGGAAGCAAUCCUACACUUCCAGGGAUCAUGGCGGCGAGAUCAGAGAGGAUAUCACCAAACAUGACUCCAGUCAAAAUGGUAUCGAACUGAAAACAUCACAAGAUUGAACGCAAUUUUUUAAGAAUCAUUGUAGUCAAGAGACGAUAUCUCCAAACAUAAAAACUGUUGCUAAAAGAACACCUGUCUUGGGUACCGAACAAGAUCCAUCGCAGCGGUGUCAAUAAGUAAAUGACUCACUUCAACCUCGGGAUACUCUAAGGCCAUUGCUGUGACUCUUUUCCUCCACAGCAUUGAUCCCUGCCUUAGAGAAGGUUUAAGAGAAAGCAUGAAUUAUGAAUCUAUCUCAUUGUUUUUAUUAUUCAGCUAGUAGAAGCUUUAUGCAAAUAACAAGAGUUUUACCUCAAGGAUAGUAGCCUUGUCAACAGAGCAAAGUUUACUGCGCCGUUGCUUGGCAAUAUCAAACGCAACACGAGCAAUGUGAUUAACCUUAAGCAGAACCAGAAUGAUAUUUAUUGACCAGCUCCUCAGUUAACAAGACAACAUGUAAACUUUUUGCAACAAGACAAAAAAAAUCAACAAAAACAGUAUACCUCACUUGCAGAGUAGGACUCAGUGCAAAAGCCAACUUCGUCACCUUGUUCAUUAGUGGUAAACCCCCGAGGGUGCGCAUUGUAAAUACCUAUUUUCAGCAAAAGAAGACACCAUCUUUCAUAAGGAAAAGCAAAUCUCUGUCUCUAUGAGAAGAACAAUGGUGACUGACCUCCAGUAAGCUCCCGGAUGAUCAUAAUGUCAACCCCUUCAGCCGUGUCUUUUCUCAGAUACGUCGAAUCAACCAGCUGAGACACGUCCCAAAGUUCAAAGAAGAUCAAAUUACCGACAGUGAUGAACAAUGAUGUGUCUGUGAGAUACCUGAGGGAACACAGUGAUGGGCCUUAAAUUGGAAAACACUUCAAGACCCGCACGAAGCUGCAACAGCGCCGUUAUAGGCUUCAAAUGCUUCGGACUGUUAUCCCAUUUCGGCCUUCAAUCCCAAUAAAAAAAAACAUAACUAUUACUGUUUAUCAAAAAAAAAAAAAAAAAAUCAACUAUGAUGAGCACGUGCCAUCCAACAGCCCCGAGAAGAACAGCAUCCGACUGCUUUGCCUUUCUCAAUGUUUCCUCCGGUAGUGGAACUCCGACGAGUUCCAAAGCAACACCUCCUAUGAGCAACUCCUCGAACCUCAAAUCUAGCCCUGAUACAUGUAUUGAUGAUGCAAAGAGACAUCAAAGUUUGAAUCUUUCCUCUUUGCAGUUCGAAAGUCAAGCAAUUUUGGCGUCAUGAGAGAGAGAAGGAACCUUCGAGCGAUCCAGCUAGACGAAGAGCGUCCAGCGUCCACGGCGACGGGGAUGACUUCGUUGCCGACGCCAUCGCCGGGAAGCACCGCUAUGGUGUACCGUUUAUUCGGUGUGUUGGCGGCGCAUCUGAUCACAGAAGCUCUCCUAAAGGUCUGUUUGGUAGCGGAGAUAAACGCAACCGGAAGCUGUGUAGUGAUGACGUGUAAUCCUAGAGCUCCCGCCAUUUAGUUCGGACUAGAGAAAGCUUUUAGAUUAUGAAUGAAUGGGAGAGUCAAAGAAAGGCAGAUCAUCUGCUUAUGCAGGAGAAUUGCAUUUGAAAUGCCAUUCAGCCUUCAGUUCAGAUUUUUCUUGUUUUUUUCUUUCUACAAAAGAAAAAGCAGAUUUGCCACAUGCAGUAAUAUCCGUUUACACAUUGGUGAUUGAUAUUCACCCAUUUUUUCUUUUAUGACUAAUAAAUAAUUUUGCUACAAAUUAUUAAUAUAUUUAAUAUCCUAUAAAUAACACCAUUUUCAUUAUAUUUCCUUACAACUUUUACACUAUUUUACCAAAAAAAAUUUACAAUACAAAAAAAUCUCAUUUUCUUUUUAUCUCUCUAUUUUAUUUUUGUCAUAUAAAUUACAUUUAUCUAAAUUAUUUAUAUGAUGUCUGUGUUUUUAACUAUUUAUGUAAAUAAAUAGUAUUGUAGUUUAUAGGGUAAUUCUAUCAAAUAGUCAUUUUUAUAUUUUUGUCAUAAAAUAGUCCUAAAAAAAUGACCAAAAUAGUUUUUUUUUAUUUUGAAAUUUUUAAUAUUUUAUUUUAUCUUUUAAAAUUUGAAACUCUAUCCCCAAAACUCCACCCCUUAACUCUAAACUCUAAGUCUAGAUUAAUUAACCCUAAGGUAAAAAUGUACUUUACCUUUUAAUAAAAAAAUUUUUGGUCAUUCUUCUCAUUGAAUAUUAUUUUUGUGACAAAAACUUAAAAAAAAUUAUCCUAGAAAAUUUCUCUAGUUUAUAUAUAUAUAUAUAUAUUAAUGGAAGAUAGAUGUAUUUGGUUAAUUACUAAUGUUUUCAUAUUUUGAUUUUAAAAUUACCGUAAUAUGAUUUCAGUGCAAUAUUUAUUGUUAUUUGUGAAAAGUAUUUAUAUUUAUAUACAUUAUAUUUUGGUUUUUGUUGUAAUUUUUAUUAUUUGAAUAUAUUCCUUUAUAUAUUAAACUAGUUUUCGGCCCCGUACUGUGUACGAGAAAAAAAUCUUUAUUUUUAUAAAUUUAACAUAUAAUAUGAACACAUAUUAAUAUUACACUUUGGGUUUAAAGUAUACUAACAGUACAUAUGUUGUCUCUACUAUUCUUGGGUGUUAAGAGUACAGAAGUGUUAAUGUGUAUAUGCAUAAUAAAACCAUAAAAUAUGUAUAAUAUAUAUCGAGAAAAUCAUAACAAUUUACAGGGGUAAUAAACUAAAAUACUUUUAUUUACAAUAUUACCUCAAUAUCGUCCCAACAACAACACCAAUAUGUCAUCUUCACGUUCUUUGAUUGCAACAUGAGCUGUCUUUCUUUUGCCUUGUAUAAAUCUAUGAUAAACAAAAAAACUUAAUAACAAUAAAACAACUGAAAGAAAAGUGGUAAAUAUUUACAUUAGUAUGCAUGGUCUGAUUUCUUAAAUCUAUUUGUCCAACCUUGUUGUCCCUUCGUAUUCCUAUGAUUAACCCAUAAAACAAUUUCAAGCUGGAUCAUACAAAAAGAAUAAGAUAGUAUUAAUUUUAGAAGAAGAGAAAAAGGAAUUUGAUACAUUUUCCAGUAGUUAAGAAUUAAGUAGAUGAUAUACGUACCAUAUAGUGGGACCUGAUUGCAUCAAAAUCAGAUGAGUGAACAUGAUCAGUGGAAAUAACAAAUUGAGUCUGAUCAUUCGGGUAAAAACAGUAACCUCUUCGUUUGAUCCAAGCUACGUUACUGCCACUAUAUUCCACAAGAGGUAUGCUAUCAACCCUGCAAAGUUCAAUAGUUUAUUCUGUUAACAUUUGACUGGUCUCUUCACAGAUCCAAUAUUUGUUGCAGAGGUAUAAAUAAACCUAAAUUACUUAUUUCUCAUACUUGUCUACAGCAAACUGAAUUAAUUUUAAGACUGAACAAUACAAAUGUUUAUUUUAUAUUUCUUACUCUGCUUUUGCCAAAAAAAAAAUCUCAUAUGAACUCAUUACACACCACCACCAUUAAUACCUGCAAAUUAUGCAUACCUGUAACAAAUUUUUAAAGUUCUCUGAAUCUCUUCAAAAUCACCUUACCAGUAUCAAUCUCUUCUCGACUUGAUUUUAAAUUCGACCGCCACAAUCCAUAUCAUUCUAAGAACUUGUUUGCGAUGAACUUAGGAGGGAUAAAAUUUUACAUUUGGUGCAGAAAAAAGAAAGUAGAUAUGAAGGCACUGGUCGAGAUCAAACUGAAAUUUAGGAGAUAUGAAAGGAUCCGUUGUCUUGCUCAUUUGAUAAUGGAGAAGAUAGAGAAAACUGAAAAACUAAAGGAAAAAAGAGAGAGUAAAUUUGUAGAUGAAAAACUAAUAUAAGAAAGAAAACUGUUUAAGAUCAUGGUCAGUUAACCAACUCGAGUUGGCCUAGUGGUACUUGAGGGAGCUUCGGCCCCGAUACGGUCCCGGGUUCGAUUCGCGUUGGCCACGAGGGGAUUUACAUGGGCUCCUCUCGCCCUCCAGACCACUUCGCGUAACCAGGGGCCCUUAAGUGGACGCUUAAAAAUCCUGUAAUGGCAUGGGCUUAGGCCCGGUGGGCUAGUCGAUCACGCAAAAAGUGGUCGGAUACUGGAUUAUCAAAAAAAAAAAAAAAGAUCAUGGUCAGUUAACCUAGAAAGUGGAUGAAAUAUUAUGAGAAUAAUAAAUGAAGUUGUUUAAAAAAAAUAAAAAGAUGUCGCUGAAAUAUUGGGAUAGAUUUUUUUUGAAUAAUUUUUUUUAAACUUAUUUUCCAUGUGUCAUAAUCUGAUUGGUGAAGUGACUUGUGCUUUAAUAUAUAAAAGAUUGUAAGUUAUUUGGCCAACAAAAUUCUAACACAUGGCACUGGUUUUUAAAAAUUAAAAUAAAAAGUAAUCGAUUGUUUUUUUUUUUCAUCCCCUAUUUUUCAGCAACUAAAACUACCUAAAUUCCUAUUUUUUCUCAGAAUUUUGAUCCCACUUUUCGAUCUGUUUUUCCAUUAUCAAACUGCUUUCUUCUCCAUAUAAUGCUAUCGUCUUCGAGCUCACCAUAUUACUCUUCAUUUUCUCUAUAUCAUCAUUGUUUCAAAUUUUAGAUUAUCAAUAUAGUAAAGAACUCAAAAAAAUUAAUGCAUUUCCUUUGUGUCCUUAUUCUUACAGUUUCAAACUGAAAAUAGCACUUGAGUAUACUCUAGUAGUCUGGUGUCCAAGUUUAUAAAAGAACUGGAAACAAAUUUUAUCGGCAAAGAAUGCAACAAAAUAUAUGUACUUCUUUUCUCUAUAUACUGUUUUUUCAUAUCUGUUUUGUGAUUUAUUUUAAGAAAAUUAUGUUACCUAUUUGUAACAGAUGUAGAAAACGUAGUUGAAACAAAAUAUUGUCUAUUAAUAAGAAACAAAAAAGAAAGGAAAGAUGAAGAAAAAUAUGUACCCAUUAAGAGUGUUUUGAAUUUAGAAGAUAAUGAACAUGUUUGGAAAAAUUGUGAAGAAAAAGAUCAAAUGUGUUUUUCUGAACCAAAAUAUGUGGAUAUUGAUUGGUAAUGGUUGUAACUUUAAAAAUUUUGUUGUAAAAAAAAAUCUGUAGACUUUUUGAUGUGACUUUAGAUUUUAUUGUUUUAAAAUUUUAUGGAAAGCUCCAAAAAAUUGCUCUGGAUUGUUGGCUCUACAGAGCACUUGUACAGCUGUAGGUUAUUUCAAAAGUUGUAAUUUUGAAAUUUUUAUUAAAACUUGAUUGCUAUGAAUUUAGUGCUGUAAAAAUAAAUGGGGCCGUCAAUCACAUCAUUUCUAUUGGGUUUCUACUAGGUCUCAAAAUAUCAAAAUAGGUAUAAAUUUUUAAUAAUAUUAUAAUUUAUAAUUAUUUUAUUUUUUGUAAUCAUAAAUACAAAUUUAUGUUUAUUUACAAUAGAAAUACAAAGAAACUGAAUGAAUCGAAUACAAUACUUUAAACUAUAUUUAUAUGUGUUGGUAAUAUAUCUUAAUUUAUAAACAUAAAAUGCUUGCAAACAUAUAUCUUUUUUAAAAAAAAUAUAAGAAAUAUUGUUUUACCAUUUCCAAAUUUUUAGUUUGAAUGCAACCACAUAUCUGUAUUUAUAUAUUAUUAAAUUAAAAUAAAAAUUUCUUCUAAUUAUAAUUAUAAAUAAAGAUGUAUUAGUAAAUCAUUUAAAAUAUAAUUAUUUUACCCAGCUAUGCAUGAGAAUAUCACUAGUUUAUAUACUAAAGCACAAGUCACUUCACCAAUCAAAUUAUGCGACAUGUUUAUUGCUAAAAAAAAUUUAGACAAAUAUUAAAAUAAAAAAGUUCUAAAACAAACACUUUAUUCUACAGCUAAAUUAAAAAAGUGAAGAUAAAAACGAAAAAAAAUCGUUAUAGUAGUCUCAACCGUUCCAGCCAAGAUCUCCACCUUCUUCUCAUAUACAUUACAUCAACUCCAUACAUCAACUUCUACAAACAAUUAAAAAAGUGAAGAUAAAAACGAAAAAAAAAUCGUUAUAGUAGUCUCAACCGUUCCAGCCAUGAUCUCCACCUUCUUCUCAUAUACAUUACAUCAACUCCAUACAUCAACUUCUACAAACAAUUUAAUUUAUUCCACAAAAAUAAAAUAGAUGCUUUCAUAUUUUUUUCUCUGAAGAAAGAUGAACUUCAAUCUGAUGGGCUGUAAAGGUUUUGAAGUCGAACAGAGUUCAUGAAGAAUAGAAGAGAAGAUGGACUCCAAAUUUACCAAGAUAUCCUCAACCCACGUGCUUAGCUAAUUCGCCCUUUAGUUAAUAGGUCCGAUGCAAAACUUUGACUAAUAUUUUUUUUGUUUUCUUUUUUUCCCUUUAACCAUCAAAUAAUGCUGAACAAAUUUUAAGAUUGACAACUUUUCAGUAGUAUUUUAUAUGAUAAUAAAUAUCAUGGGUAGUAUAUCGAUAUGUUUGAGGCCAUUUUUAAUCUGCUAAAACAAAAUGAAAGUAAAAUAAGUAAUUUGUUAAAUAUGUUUACACUGUAAUAUUAUCAUACAGAUUGGUCAACCAAUUAUAAUACCUAAAUUAUGCAACAUUUCUCUUAGUAUUUGUUUUAAAGUAUAAAUAUACUAAAAUGACAUAACUUUUUGAGAUAUUUCCAUCAAAACAAUCCUUCUCAUUGUUUAAAUUUAAUUUCAUGUAAAAUAAACAUUGGUUUUUAUGGUUACACAGUUAAGUUGAACUAGAAAAAAUGUUUGUUAUUAAGUUAUAGAUAAACAAAAAAUAGCAUUUAUAUUUUAUUGAAAAGUAAUUAAUACCCAUACGUAGCAUGGAUGAAACACACUAGUAUAAUCUAUUUUGUUUGAAUUGUUUUUAUCAUUAUAAACUGUUUGAUCUGUCUUUCUCUCACAUGAUCUGCACUUUAUCCACUUAAUCAACAUAAUUUUUUUGAUAUGCACCGCUUGAACUGUUUUUACCAUUCGAAGCUUACUUUCUUCUUAAAAGGCUAAAACGAAUACUAUGUAGUAUUUGAAUUUUGUCUUCUUCUUUUUCCAUCUAAGGCUUUUUUAUUCAAUAUUGUAUAUCAAAAACAAUAGCGUAACAGUUGAUAUGGUACAUCGCAUCAAGAGAGCCAAAACAAGCUCUUGAGAAAAUAAUGUAACCAACAGAAAUAUGAUCUGACAAUUACGAUUACAAUAAAAGUCAAUGGUGUAAUUCGAUUGUUUGGAUGAUGACAAUACAUUGAUAUCAAGCUGAUCUUGUUUCGCGCUUGCUAACAAUCGAAGUGUUUUCCACAUCACAACUGUAUAUUUCAAUUUUGUCUUCAAACUGUAUAUUUUACUUUAUUUGUCUAAUUAAUAUAUUCUCUUGUAAAUUAAAUAAAUUAUUUUAACACUAGUCAAAUCUCAAAUGCAUCAUCAUAUAAUAUGUAAUAUAUUAUAUAUGAUGAUUAACUACAUGCAACAUAUGCGAUAUAAUUAACAACUUCUCGAACAACGCUUCCACGAUGCAGCUCUCCUCGUAAAACACGGAUCACAGACGGUUCUGCAUGUAUGACAUCUUCGAUGGACAUGCUCUCUUCAUAGCACACGACCACAACGGCUCUGCAUGCAGCACUAUGGAAGGUCCGAUUAGCUUUGCAUCCUAAAUCUGCAAUAAAUUGCAUCUUUUGAGAAUAAUUAGUAUAUUAUUUUGUGCAAAUAAUUACUUGUGUCUUGUGAGCAUAUAUGUUAUGUACACAAAUUUUUGCUUCACAAAUUAUAUCAUGUUAUUAUAUUAUAUAUUUGCCUUGCCGAUUUCAAUUAUAUGAGUUAUUAUCAUUUUUUUGUCAACGAGCUAUUAUCAUAUUUGUUUUCAUAAAACCUUACCUCAGAAUCUUUUAUUUUUUCUCUAGCAGCCGUCAACUUUUCAUCUCAGUUUCCAUCUCUCCGGUUGUCAGUGUUCCUUGCCGUCACCGGAGAUGGCAUCUCAUCUCUCUUUUUCUUCUUUGGGCUUAACUGCGUGUUUCUGGCAGAUUUUGUGGUUGUUCGGUAUGUGGAGUGGUUUCUCGAGUCUCCUCCGUCCUUUUCAUUGCAAGCCUCGUCACUACAAGAAACAGACCCCAACACCGACACUCUAAUUUAUUGGAACGUUGUCGGAAUAAGUCAUUACCGAGGGUUUUCCGGGAAAUGCCAAUUCCUCGGAGUUUGACGGUCGGAAACAAUACGAGGUCGGUACAUUGUCGGGAAAUACCGAGUAAACCCAUUCUCGAAAAAUUUGUAGGUAAUGGUUAUCGGUAAUUAGCGAGGCCGUUCCGACGAAGUUUAAAAAAAUUAAUAAAAAAAAUAAAUGCAAAAUAACAAAAGAUAUUAAUAAAAUAGAAAUAAUAUGAAUUAAUAUUGAAAUCAUUAAAGAUUUACAACUGAAAAAUGAAAAAUAAACAUAAAAAUUAUAAAACUAUGGAAAGAUCUAUGGUUGAGGUGGUGAUGGAAGAAACUGCGACGGCGGUGGUCCUGAAAGAAACUGCAACGGCGGUGGUCAUGAAAGAAACUGCAACGGCGGUGGUCGUGGAAGAAACUGCGACGGCGGUGGUCCUGAAAGAAACUGCGACGACGACGGUGGUUGUGAGAGAAACUGCAAGGGCGGGGAUGGUCGAGAAUAAACGGUGAUGUUAAUGGAAGUGGAGGAUUGUCACCAAAGAUGGUCGUGUAAAAGAGUUGUCUUUUCCAGAAAAAAAAACAGAUCUGAAAGAAAGAUUUAAAUAAAGAGACAGAGCGAGACGAAGGGGAAAAAGAAAAGAGAGAGAAAAUUAGAAUAAAUUGAGGAGAAAAGAGAAAUUAAGGAAGAAGAGAAGAAAGGUAAACAUAAACAAUGGAAAUGAAUGGCUAGAAAUAGUUUUAAUAAUCGAUUAAUUGGUAAAGUUAUAAAAAUUGAUAGAAGUUAAUAAGAAAUAAAAUUACUGGUUCCGACAAAUUUUCAUCUACUUUUGCGACGUGUUACCGAGAAAACAAUGCUUUUGUCGGUAAAUACAAUUUUCCGAGAAAAUUCCAAAAAUACUUUUCCGAUGAAAUUCUCAUAAAAUCCGUAUAUCGGAACUUUCCGAUAAUUUUUCAACAAAUUACAUAACUUCUCGGUAAAUUAUCAGAAACUCAUCGUGAUUUUGCCGAUGACAAAGUUUCUCGGGAAGUUUUGUCGGAGGUAACAUACUUUUCUUGUAGUGCGUGCCUUGGAUCUUUGUCUACUUCGUUGCAGUGAUCGUAGAUCUGCAAUUAUGGUGUUGUUCGCAAGUUAUGAGGUGAAUUUUUCCGGCUCAAGUCCAACGGUUUGGAAUUUUGGGUCUUGUUUUCUUAAAUUUAGGAAGUCGUAAGGUGGACUUCGAAAGCUUCGUACUCUUAUAAAAAUGGAAGCGAUAGGUUCUUAGUGUUGUUUCUUGGUAUAUAGAUGAUUUCAACUUUGGUUAUGACAAUAAAUGCAAGUCUUCUCAGGUUUCCAUGCUACUUUCUGAGCUCAAAAAGAAAACUCUUCAAACUCAAGCUUAUCAGUGCUAUUUUUUUACAUUUCGCUGGAUCUUGGUUGGGAGCAGUCUUUGUUGUCUUGCUCUUUAUUGUGAAGCUAUCGUAUGGUAUCUACUAGUGUUACUGUUUAGCAUUCAUUCGUUAUGGUUUUCAAUUAUCUUUCAUUGUAUUGGUUUUUUUUUGUUAGAUUUCUCCAUGUGUAUAGAUGACAUCCUUCAUCAUUAACUCUUUCAUUUUGAUAUACAAACCCAUCGUUAUAAAUAAAAACCUUAUGUUGUACAAGUUCUCCUAAAGGAGAGAUGGGGUUAGUGUUAUAUACAUUAACAAUGUAUUUAAAAAAAAGCUGACACACUAGCCAAAAAAGUGCUCACAUUCAAUUCAUAAUGAAUGAUGGACGCAAACUCAAAUUAGAACAGAGUUUCACAAAAUCAAAUCUUGGUUGUAAUGUGUUAUCAUUGGCGUGAGUUCCAGAUGUUGCUUUCAAUUUAAAUCUAGACAGAAUUUGAUUUCUCACUGGACUACUAGUCCCUGAAGUGGAGAAGAAAACACCAUCUUCUAGAGGCAAAAACCUUAACUUCUUUGGAUUUCUUGAAUACAAAACGAAUCUUAGAGAAUUACAUGUUAUAGACGUAACAACAACUUGAUUAAAUGACUGAUUUUCAGAACAUUGCGAAAAUGAAAUUCAUCUAGUUCUAAGAAGAAAAACACAAAAACCCAACAUGAGACAAGACUUGAUUUGAAAUGAGGACUAUGGAGGCGAAGAAUAAGACGUUUUUUCCUACCGAGAUAAACGCAUCACCGGAAUCAGUUGCAGCUCCUUUUGGCACACCAGAUUUCUCAUAGUUUCCAAGAGAUUUCAAAAACCCAACGGCAUCUUUGAGCUCUGAUUCAAGAGAGGGAUUACAAAACCUAAAUAAUCAAAAUUAGUAUUUCAAAACCAAAUCAAAACCCUAACCAGCUCUUUCUCUUGGUCGCCGCCAUGAGAAGCGAGACCAUGAGCCAGUGGUCGAUGUCUUGAUCCUGGAAGUCUGGGGCCAGAAUGGGAGAAUGUUGGCGGUGAUAGGCUCGACAUCUAAGCUUUGAAGAUCCAUCAUCGCGAGAUUUAAUUUUCGUAGGAGAUUGUACGUGAAAAAACAGAUAGGUGAUCUGGUGGUGGAGGUACAAAGAGAACGAUGCUUUUUCGGGAAGCAAUACAAGAAAUUUAUAUUAAAUUGAUUAGUAUAUAGUUAUGAUUUAACUAGAAAAAAUAAAGAGUAGAAUAGAAAAGAGAAGAGCAAAGGACAUGUUGGUAUUUUGAUGCAUUAAAGUGUAUGAAAAAGUUUUCAUGCGUUGUGUAUGAAAAAGGUGAGUGUGUGAAAAAGUGUGCUAAGAGCAAGAAGUGACCUAGAAUGUAAUAAGAAAUUUGAAAUAUGUCUUAGGCUGUAAAUAUCUCAGAGAGUUUUUUACAGUGCAUGUCACUGUUUGAGUUUUUAUUGCAUUGAGAGUCACUUUGUGCUCUUGAGGUAGUUUAUAGAGGCAAAAUGACAAUGUUGUACUCAACUAACAAUUAUGUCUAUAACUAUUUCUAUUUUUUCUUCCUCUCGUGAGAAGAUUAAAAUAGUUUUCAAAUUUCAAAAAAGCAUAAAAUUAUUUUAAUUCAUAUAAUCACAGCCACACAAAAACAUAUAAUGUAUUCUAUAGAAUGUUUUGAUGUAGAUGUAAGUCUGUAACAAAUGUAGCUGUAUAAAUUAAAUGAGAAAAAAUAAAAAAGGAAAUAGAUUCGUACAACAUUUUUUUUUGCUUUAGAAAAUAAGGCUCAUACAGUCUUUUAAUUUUAUUUUGGCUUUAGCUUUAACAACUACAUAAAACACGAUUGGUAAUUUUUAUGGUUGUAGAUAGAAAAUAAAGCUAAAGUCAAUUGAUAUAGCCCAACCAAUCACCCCCGUUAUCUCAAUACUCUUUUCUUUACAUCAUCUCUUUACCUUCCUUAUCUCAACUUCCAAAGUUUAAGUUGACGGCUACGGCGACUUCGACAACCUGCAACCACAAAAUCUUUAUCUCAUUCAUCUUUGCAUGCCUAGUUUGAGAUUUCGACGAACUGACCACAACCCGGUUCGCAGAAUUUCAACCCGAGAGAUACUCAUCCAUGGUCAAUAUCACAAGUUUUUCUUUCUUCUGGUCCCAGUAAGCUCCUCCUUUUCUUCAGUCGUCGUUGUCUCCGCCAGUUUAUGUAUGUAUCAAAACCACAAUUUAAUUUGGAGGGGACACCUGCUGUGGUUAACCACACUGAAAUGAGUUGUGCAUGAUACCCAUUGCAGGAUCUAGUGAUUAUUGCCUUGGAAGAGGGUGUGAAAUAUAAGGGAAGAUUUGGUAGCGUAUUUGAAUGGGAACCGGCUUGUUAUGACAAUAAGAAUGAAGUUUAAAAAUAUGGACAGUUCGUAGAAGAACCGCAGCAGUGUACACGGAUAGUUCUUGAGGAAGCGUAGCAAUGUACACAUGGACAUGGCUAGAUGGUGUAGACAUGGCUAGACGCUGUACAUGUGGACAUGGCCAGAUGGUGUACACAUGGACAUAAUGGUUUAGAUUUUUUGUGGAUUGUUGUAUUGAGCCGUAACCUAACUGAGCAACAUUAUUUGGAAAGGACCCAAUUGUCUAAGACACGGUAUGAUUAUUUCCACAUGAAACAAUUAUAAGGCCAUGAUUAACCCGGGCUAUUAGGGUGGGGUUCUUAGCUUCGGCUAAGAACCAUUUCUUAACUAAGAAAAUCUAAGAUCUGUCUCUUAAAUAAGAGAUAUAAGAGCCGACUCUUAGCUGAAAAGUGUAAAAAAAAGUAUCAAAUCAUAAGUUAAGAACCUCAAAUUAAGAGCCCAGGUUAAUCUUACUCUAAGUGGAUUGCUUUGUUGAAAGCUUCAAGAAAUACUUUUUCUUGCCAAAACCACAUGUACAAUAUAAUAUAAGUGUACAUAUGUGUAUAAAAUAGUCAUGUUUGAAAAAAGUAUGCGAAAGGUGGUUCACAUUGCAUCUUAUAGAUAAAUUGUUUACAUAACAUCUCAUAUAUCUCAUAUAAAGUGUACACAUGGAUAUAACAUAAGGGUAAUAUCACAUUACCAAACCGUCAAUAACUUAUAAUAGAGUUUCACAAAAUCAAAUCAUGGUUUUACUGUGUUAUCAUUGGCGUGAGUUCCAGACGUUUCUUUCAAUUUAAAUCUAGACAGAAUUUAAUUUCUCACUGGACUACUAGUCCCUGAAGUGGAGAAGAAAACACCAUCCUUAGAGGCAAAAACCUUAACUUAUUUGGAUUUCUUGAAUACAAAACGAAUCUUAGAGAAUUACAUGUUAUAAAUGUAACUGCAACUUAAUUAAAUGACUGAUUUUCUAAACAUCGCAAAAAUGAAAUUCAUCUAGUUCUAAGAAGAAAACACACAAAAAUCCAACAUGAGACAAGCCUUGAUUUGAAAUGAGGAUUAUGGAGGCGAAGAAUGAGACAUUUUUCCUACCGAGAUAAACACAUCACCGGAAUCAGUUGCAGCUCCUUUCAGCACACCAGAUUUCUCAUAGUUUCCGAGAGAUUUCAAAAACCCAACGACAUCUCUGAGCUCUGAUUCAAGAGAGGGAUUACAAAACCUAAAUAAUCAAAAUCAGUAUUUCAAACCAAAUCAAAACCCUAACCGCCUCUUUCUCUUAGUCGCCGCCGUGAGAAGCAAGACCAUGAGCUAGUGGUCGACGAUUUCUUGAUCCCGAAAGUCUGGGGCCAGAAUGGGAAAAUCUUGGUGGUGAUAGGCUCGACAUCUAAGCGUUGAAGAUCCAUCAUCGCGAGAUUUAAUUUUCGUGGGAGAUCGUACGUGAAGAAACAUAUAGGUGAUCUCGUGGUGGAGGUACAAAGAGAACUAUGCUUUUCGGGGAGCAAUACAAAUAAUAUAUAUUAAAUUGUUUAUUUAACUAAAAAAAAUAAAGAGUAGAAUAAAUAAGAGAAGAGCAAAAGACAUGUUGGUAUUUUCAUGUGUGAAAAUGUAAGAAAUAAGUGUUAAAGUGUAUGAAAAAGAGUGUUGAGAGCAAGAAGUAACCUAGAAUGUAAUAAGAAACUUGUGUCCAAGGCUGUAAAUGUUUCCUCGGAUUAUUGGUACGUGAAUGUGUUAUGUCACAUUCAUAAUUUAUGUGUGACAAUACGUCCUGUGGACCUAGUCUCAUAGUCCUGCAUGACACCGAUCCUAAUCUCUCACAUGUGAGAUCUCCCUGACUCCUCCUAUGUAGGUUAUUUGUGUGUGACGUUCGUGGAACCCAAAACUUCACCCUUUAACAACAUUUUCACAAGAUAAAUUGUGACCAAUUGAUUUGGAAGACUUUGAGCCUGGAUCCGCAGGACAGGACGGAUUCUCAUAGUAUAUCACAUUUAUAACUUUUUCUUGUCUUUAUCGAUUCUCAUAGUAUAUCACAUUUAUAACCUUUUCUUGUCUUUAUCGUACUCGUUAAUUAUAAAAGAUCAUAUCGUCCUUUUUCUUGUCUUCAUACUCAUUCUUUGGUCCCAGCUCCCAAGCAAUAGACGCCAGUCUACUUGAGAAUCGCACACGUCUCCUUCAGAUUUUAUCCACGUGAUUAAUUAUAAAAAAAAUAUCAUCGUCCUUUUCUUUAGUUUAGCCCUAACAACAGUGAACAGUGUCGCUUUCCUGCAAUUAUUUAUCGUACCCUUUAUUCGCAAACGUCCCAUACUAAAUACAUAUGCAUAUAUAUAACAAAUAAUUUUUGCUUCUAUUUUAAAAAAAUAUAUUUAUAUCAUCAUAUAUAUAAAAAGACAUUCUUACAUUUUUUUAGUUAUGCAACAAUGUAAUCAAUCACAAAAAAAAAACAAUGUAAUCAUAACUAAAAAAAAUGUAGAAACUCAAUAGAAUUCACAAUAUAAAAUUUAAUAAUAAAAAAAUCAAUUCUAUUAGUGUGACAAAUGGCAGAGAGUAUUUCGAAAAUGGGAUUGAAUCUCUUGUUUGAGAAAUGAUAAUGUUAUAUUUCCUCUAUUUUUUUACUUAAAAUAUAUAUAUUUAUCUAUAAAAACUCAUCUAGAAACAACUACCAUUGUGGAUGAUCUAAUGCUAUGUUUCAAUAAAUUUAAUCAGUUCGUAACUUUGGUAACACUCUGAAGAUGUAAAUUUUUGCAAAGCAUUCGAAAGCAUCUAAAAACUGGUGUCGGUCUAAAAAGUGUUUUCUAUUUCGGUCAUGUUUCUAUUUCGGUCAUGUUGCUCCAUGUGAAAUUACUCCAAAAAUGAUUUGUUGUGUUUUUAAGGAGGGGGGGGGAGCACAAACAUACAAUAGUAUUUUGUCCUGUCUCCUGUGUAUCAUAGGAAAAGAGUACCCGACCAAACAAUCAUUAAUCAAUGUGGGGAAAUAAAACUAAACCACGCCAAUAAUAUAUUGAAUGCAUAGUAACAGAUAUUUUUACAAGGACCAAGCAAGUCUCAACAUUGAUACGUGUCGUUUUAUUUCAUGCAACAACACAAUAAUACUAACGACAUUAAAAUUGAAAUCAGUUCAUGGAUAAUUGUCGGCAGGCUAUGAGAUGUUGGUUUUGUGAUGCUAGUUCAAUUGAUACGGCGGAACUCUGACGUAAAGUGACUUCAAUAUUUCUUCACCCAUCUUCUUGCAUCCCACAAUUUUCUGUCACAUUAAUCGUCAAUGAUCGUUAAAAAUCAUAUAAAACGGCGAAAUUUAACCUAAUUAAUCAAUUAAGCAAAAAAGCUUACGGCUCCGGGAGUGGGAAUAUCACGCGUUCUGAAACCUUCGUUUAAGGUAUCAAAAAUAGCAUUUUCUAUGCGUUUUGCGACCGCUUCUUCCUUCAAACCAUACCUCAGAAGCAUCACGGCCGUGAGAACCGCAGCCAGUGGAUUUGCUACGUCCUAUAAUUUACAAAUCAUUUUAAUUUCAAUUUUUACGUACCCUCCACAAAAGUCAUAUAUAACCAUCGAAGUUUAGUGAUUUAAUUAAGUGUUACCUCUCCCUCGAUGUCAGGAGCUGAACCGUGAACAGGUUCGAAGAGUUGCGGUCCCUUUAUCAAAUAUUGCAUGAAUAUUAGGCAUGUAUACAUACAGAUUAAAUAAUAAUAUGUUUUAUUAAGGGGUAAUUUAUGUGUGUGUAUUUUUUUUAUAAAUACCGGGCCUCCGAUGCAGGCGGAGGGAAGCAUUCCAAUGCCGCCGGUGAUCAUAGCUGCAACAUCCGACAAGAUAUCUCCAAAGACAUUCGUUGUCAAGAGUACGUCGAACUGAAAACCGGUUUUACUUAAAUUAAGAUUAUAGUUUUUACACUGUAAAUCGAAUUAAGUUCACUAACUAAAACGUGACGUACUUGUUUGGGGUACCGAAUCAGCUCCAUGCCAGAUGUGUCCACUAGCAUAUGCGACAGAUCAACUUCUGGAUACUCUUCCGACAUAAUCGUCACUCGUUUCCUCCACAACCUCGACGACUAUAUAUUAAUCCAACCCCAAAAAAAAAAAGGAAUUUCUGACGACCUGUUAUUAAAAUAUAUAUUAGUUUGUAUAAAUUGUCGAAAUUACUUCUAAGACGGUAGCUUUGUCGACUGAGCAAACUUUGCCACGUCGUUCCAUUGCCAUGUCAAAUGCAAUUCGAGCGACACGAUCAACCUAAUUAAAGGAACAAUUAACUCUAAGUAAAUAAUUAUUAUUGGCUAAUGCAGAGAAACUUUGAAUUUUAGUGUUAUAUGAUUAGCUAAUUAAGUUCUAUUUUCUUGAGCAACAGCUAAUUAAGUAUACCUCGCUACUGGAAUAAAUCUCGGUGCAGAAACCGGUCUCCUCGCCCUUUUCGUUGAUUCCAAAGCCUCUUGGCUUUCCAUAAUACAAACCUAGCGUUUUAAAUUUCAUAUCAUUCAGUUAAUAUAACUAUUUCUAUUGAGACAAGUAGUAAUUAAAAACAGUUUGUAUUGUCAUAAACAAACCUCCAGCGAGCUCUCUUAUGAUCAUAAAGUCAACCUCUUCCGUCACACUCCUUUUCAAAGAGGAAGCUUCCAAUAACUUUUUAGCACAAUUAACCACAAUAUUAAUUAUAUAUAUAUGAGUUGUUAUAGUAUUUAGUUAAUUACAUUUAUACAUGUGUAUAUCAACUGAUUUACCUGAGGAAAGACGGUGAUGGGUCUGAGAUUAGCAUAUACUCCGAGAGCUCUUCGGAUACGCAUCAGGCCAACUUCAGGCCUUAGAUGUUUCGGUAGAUGAUCCGACGACGGCCUUUAAUUACGCAUACACAUCUUAAUAUAUCUCAUCAUAAAUAUAUAUAUGUGUGUGUGUAACUUGUACUUACAUCUUUUUGGUGAUGCCAACUGCUCCUAGGUAAACAGCGUCGGACUCAAGAAACGCUUUUAGGGUUUCUUCCGGGAACGGAACUCCGGUGGCCUCGUAAGCGGCACCACCGACCAACAUCUCCUUAAACUCGAAAUCAAUUCCUAUAAAAACCAAGGAAAAUCACUUUAAACACAUUACUUCCGAAGCAAGGAAACUCUUGAAUUGAUUAUAUUAACAAAACUUAUUGUAAUAUAAUUAAUUAUAGUAACCUUCGAGAGAGCCAGCGAGGCGGAGAGCUUCGACGGCAACUGGAGUGACUUCAGUGCCGAUGCCAUCACCGGGGAGGACGGCAAUGGUGUACUUUUUAUUUGGUGUGGUGGCGGAGCAUCUGAUCCUACCAACACGUUUACUAGCCCUAGAGAUUUGUUUGGUAGUACUAGGAAUAAGUGAGACCGGUAAUUUGAUUCCGCUUGCGUGGAUCUGAAGUGCUGUCGACAUUUUGAGUUAGAAGAAACUAAGAUAGAGAUGUAUCACUAAAAUUGUGAUUCUUGAUUGGAUGCUUUUGACCGACGUGGGAUUUUGCCUUCCGCCAGAUACUUCAAUUUAUAAGAGAACUUUUUCUUUUAACCCAAUCUUCAUUUUUACCAUUGUAUUUUACGGAUUUAUUUUCACCUGUUCACAUUUUUUAGUUAGUACUUAUUUUCGCCACGUUUUUAAGAGCAUGGGCAUUGGUGAACCCCCUUGGGGUUCACAUGAUUUUUUUAAUAUUUUUUUGUGGAUCCAUGAAUAGUUAUGAACCUGUAUUUGUCUUUUUCUGCAUCGGUGAACCUGGAGAAAGAGUUCUUAAGACUAAAAUAAUAAUAUUUUUUUUUUUAAAUUCAAAUUAUUCAGAAUACAUGAAUAAAAUAUUAAAAAUAUUAUUAAAUUUGUGAAAACUAUUUAUUCAAUACAUUAAAAGAGUAGAUUACAUAAAUUGAGAAAUUGAAAAAUAUACAAACUUAUUCAUCUUCAUCACCAAACUGUUGCCAAAUAUUUUCCAUUAAAUCAGCUUUCAAACGAACAUGCUUUUCUUGAUCUCGAACUUUUCUGCGCAUGCCUAACAUAUCACCAGCUUGAAUACUUUCUCUGCUUGUCACCUUUGAACUUCUGCUUGACUCUCCUGAUUCGAACUCAGAAGUAUUUAUUUGAGCGUAUCCGUGUCGUUCGUUCUCUACUAUCAUAUUGUGCAAUAUGACACAAGUUCUCAUUAUCUUACCUAUCUUUUCCUUGUCCCAUUGUAGAGCUGGGUUUUUAACAAUUGCAAACCUCGACUGUAAUACUCUAAAAGCCCGUUCGACAUCUUUUCUGGCGGAUUCUUGCUUUUGUGCAAAUUUCUCGGCUUUAGGACCUUGAGGAAGUGGGAUGGAUUGGAUAAAUGUUGACCAGUUUGGAUAAAUUCCGUCAGUAAGAUAGUAGGCCAUACGAUAAGUGUGGUUGUUGACCUUGAACUUAACUUUAGGCGCUCGACCAUGUAAGAUGUCAUCAAAAACAGGUGACCGAUCAAGAACAUUGAUAUCGCUGAGUGUACCUGGUAAGCCGAAAAAGCGGCUAUAAUCUCUUUCUAAUUUUCAUAAACCAUAUUUUCUUACCAAUCUUUUUUUUUACUUCUUCCAUAUUUUAUUUUAACUAUAAUCUCUUUCUAAUUUUCAUAAUCCAUUUUUCCUAACAAUAAUUUUUUUUACUUCUUACCUUGAUGACUUUUUCUUGUAUGUUGUUUGUUGUUGAAGGUAGUUGCUCUUGUUUGUUGUUGAAGGUAGUUGCUCUUGUAUGUUGUUUGUUGGUCACGGACUUCACUCUAUCAAGAACAUCCUAGUUGAAUUUAGUUGUUGUAGUUUGUUGUAUGUUGUUGAAUGUUCGUUUUGUAGUGAGAAAAGAAACAAAAACAAGACAAACAAGUGCAAGAGAAACAAGAGCAAGAGAAGAAAUGGAAGAUAACUUUGAUUAAAAAGCAGAGAGUAGAGACUUCAUUUAUAUAGAGAGACAUAGAGUUAUAACAUAGUACACCCGUGAACUGGUUUAGUACAUCCGUGAAUCAAGUUCAGAGUUACAACAAAAGCAUAAUACAUAGAGAGACAUAGUACAUGAGUGACCUGCAGUGUAGAAAGAAACAAAACCUACACUUUCCCGUAGUUUACCUCGUAGUUUCUGCAGGUGAAGAACCGCUUCCCAGGAAGAGUGUCGUAGUCCUCCUUCCCGCGCACCUCGUUAAUGAGUCUCCCACCACAUGGACACCUUUUAGGAAUACCGUACUCAGAAUCCGCCACGAAACUUAACAUGUUGAUGUGUUCGUGUUGCUUCUUUGAAUGUCUUCUAUCUUCUUCCGGAUCCAUCUGUCAAAUAAAUUAUGAUUUUGUCAAAUAAUUACUCGUAAACCACAAUCACGAUCUACAACCCUAAACCCAUCACUCGAUUUAACCCAUAAAACGAAACCCAUCACUCAAUUUAUAAACCCAUCACUCACCCAUAAAACGAAACCCUAAUUGGAUUUCAAAUCUCAGAAAAAAGAACCCUAAAUCAAAAAACAAUCACGAUCUACAACCCUUGAUCGAACCCCAUAUAUCGAUUUAGAUCCCUUACUCGAAACCCCCAAUUUUUUUUCGAAAUCGAAUAAUUGCUUCCCACCCCAAUUUCGACCCAAUAAAGCUAUAAACCUACAAGGUACUCACCUACGCUCGUGGAUAGAAGAGCUCGUCGUCGAUUACGUGGAGAAAAUCGCCUGGGAAUCGUCGUCGCACGAAAAGUCGCCUCUCACGGUGAAACCCUAGUUUUUUCAGAGAAAGGGGAAAAUGAGAAGAAACACGACGUGGCCCGACUUUCCUCCUCCUCAACGCGGAAUGCUUGACCAACCAGCGUACGCCGCGUGGCAAAAUCCGCCCCUUACGGGUUCAUGCGCAAGGCCCGGUUCAUCAAACUAAUCGCAUUUUUCUUUUUUUUUAGAUCCACCGGGCCUAAGAUUUCGAACCCACGAACCUGUUAUAAACCGCUAAUGCGGAUGGUCUAAGUGUUUUUGGUUGUUUUGAUGACGACAAAUAAAGUGAGACAGUUAGUGUUCGUACGUGUAUGGAGACUGAUAACCGUCUAUGUUCCCGUCUCCUUGGGAUUAUGAUUGUCAUGCACAACCAAAAGAGUGAAAUAGUUAUUACACGUGACAAAGCUACUCACAUGAUUUUUAGAUUUUGUAAUAAAUCAAAAUUGGUUAUAGUAUUUGAUAAAAAUUUCUUCUUUCUGUGUGAUCAAGGUUCCCUAAUUGGGACUGUGUAGUAUUCUACACGUCUCUUAUAUAGCGACACUUAUUUUCGCCACGUUUUUAGGUGUUUUUUGGUUGUUUUUUGGUUGAUUAAUUAUACGGAUUUAUUUUCACCUGUUCACAUUGUUGUUGUUGUUUCAUUUUACAUGUGUGACAAAUUUCAUAGCGGGAAUCGACCACAGAUAAUAGUAAAUGAUACAGAGAAAAUGGCUUUUGCUGACCGUCUUUCAGGAAUCAAAUACAGUACAAGGUGAUAUGAAUAUUUUACUUUAUUUAUGUUGCAAGUUAUUUUCACAUGGGUGCUGGAGAAACGACUCGAUGAACUUUCUUUUUUUUCUGUAAAUACCGUUUAUAAAAUAUUCCUCCUCCCUUGAAAGAGACAUCAGUCUUACAGAUAAAAUAAAGAAAACGAAGCUUACAAAAUACACACAUGUAAAAAAAAGAAGAAGAUAGAAAACCUUUACACGCGCCUCACGCGCUCGAAGAAAUUCUCUCAACUUGAGAUCCACUUCCUUUCUCCUCCUCCGUCGCUCUCAGCGGCGACGGCCCCUCCCUGCCGCCAUGGCGAAAAAGAAACCUCCCAAAAAGCGUCCACCAAACCGCAACAGUCCCAGAUCUAACCCUCCAUCGCAGCAAAAGUCCCCUUUCCCUUCGAUUGAGAAAUCGGUGCCUGAGUCAACCCCAACCACUGUCAUCGCGCAUUGUAGCGAUUCUCCAAGGAAAGGUGACCAUGCUACUGUAAUUUCUCCGUCUCCAACUUGUGACUCUGCUUCCAAAGCAAAUCCAACAAAAGACGUGGACUCCCCAAUCCAUGAAACCCUAGCUACAGUGACUCAGAAUGUUCCUGCAGCUACUGCGAAUCCUACGGCCUUGCCUCGUUAGGAAGCCCGGUUACAAAACAGAAGGAAUCGGUCCCCUCUUUGGAGCAGACUCGUUCUUCAGCAGAGUUUUGGAAAGGAUUUGUAAAACCUUCACAAGUUAAGCUCCAGCCCAAAGAAACCCCCUUCCUCUUGGAAUCAGGAGAAGCGUGUGUCACCAUCCCGAAUGCCGUGGUGGAAAAGAACAAGAAGGCUUGGGAAUGUUUCAUUCUGGGUCAGUUCUAUGAAGAACCUCCGGCACGUGGAGCUGUUCAUGCCAUUGCUAAUGGUAUUUGGAGCAGGCAAAGGAGAGAUAUUCCAGUAUUUAAAAUGGAAGGAAAUGCCUACCUAUUUCGAGUACCUUGUCCUAAUGCCAGGCGCAGAAUCCGUAGCCAAAGUAUAUGGCAGUUUGAUGGACAAACUAUGUUUGUUGCAAAGUGGGCUCCAGGUAUCCAGCAAAUGAAACCUGAACUCGAGAUGGUGCCCGUAUGGCUUGAGCUCACUGGUGUUCCUCUACAAUUUUUCAACUCUGACGCUCUCCAAGAGAUUGUGGGAAUCGUGGGCCACCCGGUCUGUUUGCAUCCUUCAACGGAGAACCUUACAAAUAUAGAGGUUGCAAAGGUCUAUACAGUAAUUGACCCGAGGAAAGAGUUGCCUAAAUUUGUAAAUGCAAGAUUUGAAUAUGGAGUGACAAGAAGAAUUGGUGUCUCCAGGCCCUGGCUUCCCUCGCAAUGUUCUUUGUGCAAGAAAUUGGGUCACACCAUAACUCGUUGCAAGUCUGCUCCUCGUACCUGUACUGCGUGCAACUCAGUCAGGCACACAACAGAAAAUUGUCCAAGAGGCCUAAGAAUCCCCUCGAAAGACAAGAUUAAAGAUAAAGGAAAGGCGCCAAUCAAAAGCCUUCUCCCUAUUGUCACUCAGCCAAAGCGAGUUUCACAGCCAAAACGAGGUUUUCAUACGACACCAAUUUAUAGGGAAGUGCGUAAGAUUGCAGCGCCUCCUCUGGCUUCAUCAGCGCUUCAAACAGCUUCUGUUGAGGCUACUCUACUUGCCUCCCCCGUGACCCCUGAUCUGGGCACUGUUACUACAGUUUAUGAUCUAAAUAGAGGGAAGCUUUAUGUAGAUUUCACAGGACUGGCUGAUGCUCAAUUGGCCUCUCCCGCUGCUUCAGGUGAGUCCUCCUCAGAUAUGGAGAUUACUUCUGAGGAUGAAGACGAUCCGGAUGAUCAUCAUGAUCAGUUCAUUGAUGUUAUUUCUAAGUUCUCCAAGAAGCAGGCUAAAGAAAAAGAAAAAUCGAAGGCUAGGGUUAGAGGCCCUUUAAUCCUCUAAUUUUUCUCCUCUUAUAUGGAUAUUUUUUUGUUGGAACAUAAGAGGUUUUAAUGAUUAUGUAAAGCGGUGUGGUUUUAGAAAAUGGUUCAAAAAACAUAAACCUAUAUUCGGAGGUCUCAUUGAGACACAUGUACAGCCGGUUAAAGCUGCGACUAUAGUAUCUCGUACGCUUCCGGGUUGGUCUUUUGAAAAUAACUACGGGUUCUAUGAUCUUGGGAAAAUCUGGCUUCUUUGGCACCCUUCUGUUCAAGUUACUGUCCUCUUUAAAUCCCUUCAGAUGAUCACUUCCCGUGUCAAGUUACCGAUUGUUUCCUCGGAGUUUAUUCUCUCGAUCGUAUAUGGCUCCAACUGUUGCUAUGAAGACGUUCACUCUGGUCUGAGAUAGAGAUGGUGGCUUCUAGUUCUCAUACGAUUUCUACUCCUUGGCUGAUCCUUGGAGAUUUUAAUAAAACUAUUGCAGUGUCCGAGCACUCUAAUGGUGACUGUAUUGGCUCGUCUUGAGGCAUGCAUGAAUUUAAAGAUUGUCUGGAUCGUUGUGAGUUGUCGGAUCUCCAGUAUAGAGGUAAUACCUUCACUUGGACAAUUAGGCGAGUAUCUAAGAAGCUAGACAUGAUCUUGGUUAAUGACGUCUGGUUGCAAUCAUUCCCUGAGUCACUAGGUAUAUUUGGGGUGCUUGGUAUAUCUGAUCAUGCUCCAGCCUGUUUGUUUAUGGAUCAACAUAGGCCUAAGCAGAAGUUGACUUUCAAAUUCUUUGCGCACUUAAACUGCCAUCCUGAGUUCAUGGAAAUUAUCAGAGGCUGUUGGCAUGGUUUUUCCUUUGAAGGCUCCCGUCAAUUAUCAAUUUCCAGGAAGCUAAAAGAACUCAAACCGAUCAUCAGAUCCUUCAGUAAGGAGAAUUUUUCUAACCUGGAGAAAAGAGUUGAAGAGGCCUUUGCUGCCCUCACACAAUGCCAGGAAGUCUCUCUCACAAAUCCCUCAAGCUCUGCUGCUGUGCCUGAGGAGGAAGCUCAUCAUAAAUGGCUAGUUCUAGCGUCUGCUGAGGACUCUUUUCUAAGGCAGCGCUCGAGGAUUCAGUGGACCUCUUUAGGUGAUGCUAACACAGCUUUCUACCACAGGUCUAUCAAAUCCAGAAGGGACAUUAACCAGAUCGAUUUCUUCAUUGGUGAUGAUGACUCCAUUAUUGACUCUCUGGAUGAGAUUAAGGCUCACGCUGUCUCUUACUACAGCAAUGUCUUGGGUGGUCCAGUGACCCCAACUACCUCUUCGCCCCAACUGAUCCCAGACCUUGUAGAAUUCAGGUGUUCUCAUGAAUCUAUUGCAGUUCUAGAGUCUCCCUUUUCUGGGUUGGACAUUCAGAAAGCUUUCUUCUCCUUGCCGUCGAGUAAGGCCCCAGGGCCUGACGGAUACCCCGGAUAAUUUUUUAAAGCUCAUUGGUCUACUCUGGGUAAAGAUAUGAUUGAUGGGGUCCAAGAGUUCUUCUCCUCGGGUCGUAUUUUACAGCAAUUGAACUCCACUAUUAUAUCUCUUGUGCCCAAGAAAACAAACGCCUCCCAUAUCUCCGAUUUCAGACCAAUAUCCUGCUGCAACUCUGUCUACAAGGUCAUCUCAAAGCUUUUAGCGAACAGACUUAAGACAGUUUUGCCUCAAAUUGUUUCAAACGCCCAAUCUGCGUUUAUUCCCAGAAGGUUGCUUGUUGAGAAUGUGCUUUCUUGCAACUGAGCUGGUACAAGGUUACAAUUGGAAAUCAAUCUCCAAACGAUGUAUGCAAAAGGUUGAUCUGAAGAAAGCUUUUGAUACAGUGAAUUGGGGAUUUAUUUUGAACACUCUUGAGGCUUUGGGCUUCCCUCCUGCCUUUAGAAACCUGAUUGAGCAGUGCAUCACUACAACAAGGUUCUCUGUCGCAAUCAAUGGGGAGCUGUGUGCUUAUUUCAAAGGUUUGAAAGGGUUAAGGUAAGGUGACCCUCUUUCUCCUUAUCUCUUCGUGUUGUGCAUUGAAGUCUUCUCUCAGCUGUUGAAUUCAAAGUACAUGGAUGGUUCAAUUGGACAUCACCCGAAUGCAUUGAACCCGAGCAUCACUCACCUAGAUUUUGCUGACGACAUUAUGAUUUCUUUGAUGGUGAAAGAUCCUCCUUAGACUGUAUUUCAGACACUUUCGACUUUUUCUCUGGAUGGUCGGGUCUCACUCUGAACAUGAUGAAGACUGAAUUAUACACAGCAGGUGUGACCCAGGCUGAAACGACUGAUCUUGCAAGCCUUGGCUUCACCCUUGGGUCACUCCCUGUCCGCUAUCUUGGCCUCCCUCUAAUGCACCGUAAACUUCGCCUCUCUGAUUAUAGGCCACUCAUUGAUAAGCUGACUGGUUGUUUCACAAACUGGGCAAACAGAACACUAUCCUAUGCAGGGAGGAAGUAGUUGAUCUCAUCAGUCAUAUAUGGAACAGUCAACUUUUGGACUUCAGCUUUUAUACUUCCUAAAGGAUGUCUUAAGCGUAUACAAAGUCUUUGUUCAAGGUUUCUCUGGAGUGGUAACAUUACAGGACCUGUUCAGUACAAAGUUGCCUGGAACACUUUUUGUCUUCCAAAGAAAGAGGGAGGGCUGGGGCUGAGAGAUUUCGACAGAUGGAACAAGACUUUAUGCCUAAAAUUGAUCUAGUUAUUGUUUGCUGAUAGCACCUCUUUAUGGGCUGCUUGGAUAAAAUCUAAUAGGAUCAAGGAGGAAAGUCUUUGGAGCUGUGACGUAGAGAAAGCAAAAUUAUGGACUUGGCGUUCACUUCUUCACUUGCGGCCACUGGCUUCUCGGUUCUUGCGGGCUAAGUUGGGUGAUGGGAAAAGAAUCAGUUUCUGGUGGGAUAUAUGGACUCCUCUGGGCAGGUUAAUUGAGAUCUUUGGUGAUGAAGGACUGAGAGAGUUAUCUAUCCCUUCUUAUGCUUCUGUUUCAGACGCCUGCAACUCCAAUGGUUGGCGACUGAGAGGAGCUAGAUCACCUUCAGCUGAAGCACUUCAAAUCUACUUAACGACAAUACCGUUGCCCAAUUCUAAUACCACACCGGACACUUUCUAUUGGCUGGUUGAUGACAAGCCUCUAAACAAAUUCUCCACUAAGCUUACAUGGGAAGUACUUAGGCAAAGGUUCACACACCAACCUUGGUCUUCUCAUGUCUGGUUCAGAGGUGCUAUACUGAAGCACUCGUUCCUUAUGUGGCUGGCUCAACUGGACAGGUUGCCCACAAGAUCUCGCCUCUUUAGUUGGGGUCUCAAUAUCCCAACUUCAUGUUUUCUUUGUGAUGCCUUCAUUAAAAUCGUGAUCAUCUGUUUUUGCGAUGCAAAUGGAGCAGUGAACUUUGGAACAUCUGUCUUCGAAGAUUGGGAUAUCUCCACUCGGGAUUUCACACUUGGACGUCUUUCUCUGAAUAGCUAAAUCUGGAAGACUUCACAGCCCCAAUUCUUCUCAAGCGUCUCGUCUCUCUGGCAACCAUCUACGCUAUUUGGUCUGAAAGAAACAAGCGCUUACAUGACAACAUCUCUACACCUUCGGUUAUAGUUUUCAAGCAGCUAGACCGUUACAUCAGAGACACAAUUAUGUCUAAGCGAAAUCAGAAGCAGAGUCGUGGCCUCAUGCAGCAUUGGCUCCUUAAGGAUUAGCGUCCUUGGAUCCAUCUAUUAAUCUUAAUGCUUUACCUUGUUUUUAUUCUUUUUGGCAAGGUAGAUCAUUCUCUGUUUUAACUUUUUGUAAAAUUACAAACUCUUUCCACUUAUAAUGGUAUUCACAUAUUUGGCAAAAAAAAAAUACACACAUGUGAAAGAUGCAUAAGUGAGAUAAAUCUAGCUAAGGCUGGAAAUACUUAAACCAAGUAGUAAGAUAGUAUUCUUGAGUGAUGAUGGAUUGGGGUCUAUGAGCUGGAAGACUCGAUGAAUUUUCACUUGAAUAUAUCAUUUUCAUUUUUUUACUAAAUCAUUUUCAUUUCGUGGCCAAUAUUUUUUCACAAAGAUCGUUAACAUUAGUAUUGGAGGUUUGUGCAACAGUUUUCCAACAUUAAAAAGGUUUUUUUUUCGGUGCACAAAUUCAUUAAACUUAGACGAGGCCUCAGUCCAAGGUCUGGCCCAAACGUUGGGUCCAUUACACUAGAAUUUCCUAAAGUGGGUUUUGCCAAACGAUCGGUAUCAACAUUAUAACAACGAAAAAAAUGAAGAAAUGAGAUAUCGAGAAAACCAUAAGAGAACUGUUGGAUAUCUUUCACAAUACCAUAGAUCUCUUUGUUCUAGAUGUUGUUGUUAAUAGCUCUAACGAGAGUUGAGUUGUAAGAGAGCAUCUUGAGUGUUGAUAACUCAAGGUUCACUGCGGUGAGAAGAGCGGAUCGAAGCGCUAGAGCAGUGUCCUGCGUGGUCGAUCCUCCCUCGGGUGUUGCUUGAUCCGGAUUGUCUUGUGAAGAUCCAAGCUUUGGCUAUGCUCAUUGAAAAGCUUGAUUUGGCCAUGCAGUCCAUUAAAUAACCCUGAUCAACUUCAAUACUGACGAUGAUACUCCGGGAGACUAGGUGAAUCUCAAAUGUGCCGGAGAACAUAUUGUUCAACUAGAAAGACGGUUGCAUACUUGUGACUGAGGCUAUAAGAUGAUGAGCUAUUUAUGCUGGCUUGGUUUGAGAGCGGGGAUGGAAACUCCACUAAGGUGUCUUGGAAAAAGAGAGAUGUGCCAUGAACUCCGGUUCUAGAGAACUCGUUGGUAAGAACAAAUGCUACAAUUACCAAACAAAUAAAGAGUCUCAUUGUGACAGUUGUUGGCGUGAACAUGAAGUGUGGGGUCAAACCAUAAAGGAGACGAUUAGGUGAGUCGGAGAUAGACAGAGGAUUAAGGGUGAGUGUGCAGCACCGGUUACAGCUCACAGAUAAUACAGACUUCAAGAAUCCAAUUUCACUUCUCGGAGCUACCAAAAGAAACUGCCUUCUGUUUAGAUAUGUAGGGUCAGCAUCAAGGUCUUCAUAGCAGUCGUAUCGGAGCCAAGAAGCUUUAACGGGACCGAGGCUGAGCCGCUGGUCAUCAAGAUCGGUUAUGCUAUAUAUGAAGCACACAACGACUGUAUGGAGUACAAUAAUGCACUUGUGAGGCAAAGGAUCCAAGAAUCACAAAGGAGGAGCUGGUGAGACAUAGAUGGUGUAAGUCUGAUGGAGUCCGUACGUAGAGGUACAAAGGGUAAACAGACGGAUACGACGAAGACGAAAUCAGCCUUACAGGUGCCAUAACCUGUGACAGGGGCGGAAACAAGGCGGAGAGAGCACUAGCCGGGGGAGACAAAGGCGGGGAUACAGAUUAUGUCAGAGUCUUUGGAGACCAGACCAGAUAUUUGAAGAACAAUGAGCACUUUCGAAGAAAAACGGUUGGAGAACUUAGCGUAUACAGCUCUGUGCUUUCGGUGCAAGGCGAAGGAGGAUGUGGAGUUGCAGGGGUCGAUCCAGUGAUGCUUCUGUAGAGAAGAUACGUCGUAGCAAAGUGUUGGAACUCAAUUUUAAUACAUGUGUUAAAAUUAGAGUUUGUUUGAAUGAGAAAUGUUUGUCCUAAGAUUGUUGCUUUAAUAGCACAAAAUGGAUAAUGUGGAGAAGUCUAACAAGGUUGCUAACCUUAGGCAAUUAUAGAGAAAUGUGAAUCAAUACCAAACCAAGCGCCCACACCAAGUUGAGUUAAUGUAACCUCGGACUUGAGUUCGGUUUAGAUAACGGUUCGGGUAUAUAGAUCAUGAUCCAACAACCGAUAUUUUUAUGUCAAAGUUUUAUUUUAUGUAAUUGAUCACUACAUAAACAAAAUUUUGAGUAUAAAAAUAAACAAAUCUUUUUGAGAAUAACCUUGGUCAAAAGUCAUUAAUUUUUGUUAAGAAUGAGACUUGGUCACCAAGCUAAAAAAUCUCUUUAAUUUCUGAUUAAUUUUGUGGUUAAUGCCAAAAAUUAAUUCAAUAUUUAUCUCCACUAAGACCAAAAACGUUUUUGGCAUCUUUCCUAAGCCAUAUAAUGCUUCCUCUCAUUCUACUAACAUAAACGGUGAAAAAAGUGAACAACAAGAAUCUCUUCCACUCUUCUCUUUAUUUAUUUUUCAUUUUUUGAUGAGAGUACACAUAGAAUAAAGAUUUGCUAGACUUUUUAUUCAAGUGAUGUGAAUAGAUGAUGCAGUUUUAUCAUGGGACUCUAAUCGCCAUACAACUGUCACACUACGGGGCCUUUUUUGAGUUAAGGAAAGAGAUUCCUAAGUCUCGACUCUGCAAAAACUCAUUGUCCAUUAAUCCAUGAUAUUUUUGUAUUUAUUCAAUGUUCUUUAUAAUCUAUCUCACAAUUAUUCAGAUUGUGCCCCCUUGUAAAUUAAGGUCCUACACAAAGCUGUGUUCCGAAACUUUGGGCACAUGUCGGAGCCUUGGAGAGACUCCGGAGUUCUUCAGAUCUAAACGAAGUUUACGACAGGAACCGGCACCGAUUGAGAGAAACUGAACACCACACUGAGGAUGGCUGGGCUCACUUCUUCCCAGAGUUGGAGAGCACGAGUUCAUCAAGUGAGGAGAACCGGUCGAGGAAGCAGAUUGAUGAUAACCAAAGGCGGAUCAGUUUUAUAUUACUCAUGUGCAUUAAUAUUUAAAAUUUUGAAAAUAGUAAUUAUUAUGAUAUAAACGGACUACUUGUUUUUCAUAGGAAAAAAAUGAUUUGUUUUAAUAUUUACGAAAUGGUAAAAAUGAUUUUAUACUGUUUUAUAUCAUAUUAUUUGUAUUAAUUUAUAUAUAUACAAUAAAUUAUGGAUAAAAUUAAUUAAGUGUUUAGUUUAAGAAAUAAUUUAUUAAGAUAUAUUGUCAUUUGAAACAAUCAUUAAUGUUGACAAUAAAAAAAUUAAUUGAUUGUAUUUUUAAGGAAGUUUUUGUUAAAAAUAAUUAAUGCUAAAAAUUAGGAUUAGUUAGUUUCUAACGGCAUUAGGUGUAAUUAAAAAGUUAUUUCAAGGAUUAGUUCAUAUUGGCACGUAAACUUUAAUAAGAUUGAAGAGUUAUUAAUAUUUAAUUUGAACUUACCAUUUUAAUAGAUUAAUAUAUGGGUUGAUUGGAAAUUGUUUUAGGUGUUUUGGAUAAUUAUUUUGUUCUUGUUAAUCAAUCACGCUUUAUCUUUAAAAAUAAGUUAGAGUUUGACCCGCGCAACCGCACAUGUAUUUGUUUUCAGUUUAAAUUUUUGUGAUGUUACUAUAUGUUAUAAGAUAAACAUGUAAAUUUAGACGUAUUGCAUAAUUGUUAAUAAGUCCAAAUAUUAAUUACAUUGGGUAAUUUUACUUUGUGUGAUUUAACCAAUAUUGAGUAUCAUAUAAACAAACCUAACAUAUAUAUAUAUAGAAAAUCACAUAAACAAAAUAACAUAUAUACAUAUAUAUAUAUAUAUAUAUAUAUAUAUAUAUGUAUAAAUACCCGUGACCGUGAGGAUGUGAUUUUAUAUAUGAACACCAAGUACUUGGUGCUUGCAGGAUAUAUUUUUUUCAAAAGGAUUAACUAACAUAUGUAUAUGUUUUGUAUACAUGUGUUUUAUAUAACUGGAAUCAAAAAUAUUGUAAAGAUACUUUACUCACCUUCCACCACUCAUUUGUUUGUGUUGACGUAAACAUUUUUAACUAUAUUUUCAAUGUUUAUUUUCUUGGCAUGAUAUCGCACAUCAUCAAGAAACAAUAUACUCCUAAUGGACUAAAAAGUCUGACAUUAUUCAAGGUGAACAUCAAAAACAAAAAGAAGGUCAGUAAUAUACUUAUUGAAUACUUUAAAGAAUAUCUAAUUGACUAGAUGAUUAUCCGCGCACAUGCGCCGUGACUUUUUUAUGUUAAUGUUUGUUCAUUAAAUAGUUUUAACAUUUUGCAACUACAAUUUUAUCGAUUGUAAUAUGACGAAUACAAAUGUUGGUCUCUUAAAUGUAUAAUCGUUGUUAAAGAGUUAACGUAUUACAACUCAUUUUAAUUAUUUUUAACACUUCAUAUGCACAAAAAGAAAACAGAUUGUGGAGCAUGUGGUCAGAAUGGUUUUGCGGUUGACACAAAUCACAAAAACCAGAUAGGAAAUAUCGGUUGUAAAAUGACAAAAGUGGAUUAGGUUUUCUGCUCUCGUUUUGUUUACUAUUGACUCUCCAUAAGUGAUUUAAUUUUCUACCUCUAGAAAAUUGUGCUUUCACUUUUUUUUUGUUUCACUGAUAUAAGUUUUGUUUCUUUUUUAACUUCUUCUGUGAAUUUGGUGAAUUACAUAAGUGUCAAUUUAAAAACAUGGACAUCUAUAAAAAUUAGUUUCACUUCAGAUACAUAUCUAAUAAUCAAUUUUUUGAAGAAAAUCACCAGAAAACUCUAUUCACAAGUUAGUGUUCAAAUCUAAUAUAUCAAGCUGUUAUAGAUUUUAUAAAUACAUACUCAAAAUAUAAAUGUUUGUCAAGUAUAUAUUCACCAAUUCUGUCUAAAAUUCAUCUAAUUUUAGAACAACAAAACAAGUUACUUACUUGGUUAACCUACUCUUUUGAGGUUUAGUUACUUAAGAGUAUACCGAUAAAAAUAAUAAUUUACCAUUCUAGUAUAUGUAAACUAUGUAUAAACUACGAAUUUUUUUACUUAAACCAGAAAACUUAUAAUAAAUAGCCAAAUAGAUAUUACGGAGAAACAAACAUUAGACGAAUGAUCAAAUCUUUCAUUCUUCGAAAAAAACUCAAAAGGAGGUGACUGAAAUCUUAUCAUGAUAUUUCAUUAAAAUCUUUUUAAGAAUAAAAAUUAAGACUAAAUUAUUUAAUCUGAAUGAAAUAAUAUAUAUAUAUAUAUAUAUAUAUAUAUAGUGCUUCUAAUAUUAAAAAAUCACUUCGACUUGAAGAAGUGUAUUUUUAGAUUGUCAAGAUCAAACAACAUAUUAGAAACCACCUUUUUUUGUCAUCAACUUAAAAACAGACUCAUACUGACUCUGUGAACCAUAUCGGUAACUCCGCAUCCAUGUGAAUGACGAAAGACGGUUGCGUCCGGACACUUCGUGCUAGACUAUCCGCCUUCAAAUUCUUCGUUCGUGAUACAUGAAUGAUCUAUGAGCUGAGGAAACUUUUUUACAGGGUCUUGAUAUCUUCCAAAUAACUUGCAAAAGCGGGUCAUUCUUCUGGUUCUGAAACUAUCUUCACCAAUUGAGAACAAUCCGUUGCAAACAUAACUCGGAAUUGACGCAAAUUCCUCAUACACUCCAUUGCCCAAAGUAGCGCUUCCACCUCCGCGUGAAGAGGGGAAAAACUAGCUCUGAUAUUCCUUGCCCCCAUCAAACCAUCAAAACCUUCCAUGAUACUAAACCAACCUUGUCCUGAGAACCAAUCAUUAUCUUUCCAAGAACCAUUUGUAAAACACCAACGCCCUGGAAUCGACGGUAAAUUUGAUACCUCUACAUGUUGUGCUGCUCUCUGUGUGUUUAAUACUUGUGCAUUAGCCCAAAGUAUUGCUUCUGUUUCCGCAUAUUUGAGCGUUUCUCUCGGGUCAACGUCUAUAUUACUAAAAACCUUGUUGUUCCUUCCUUUCCAAAUGUACCAUAGAAUCCAUGCAAACUGAUGAUCGUCCAUGUUCGGUCGAACUCUCCAAAAUAGAUGAUCCAUAUUUGUGAAGAGAGCACUAGUGGAAAAAUAGCUGGAUUUGAAGGUAUUUGUGACAUGUCCCAAACCUUACGAGCUGGAGGACAUUCGAAAAACACAUGGUUUAUCGAUUCCUCUGAAGCUUCACAUCUGGCACAACAUACAUCCCCUUGUAGUCCUCUCGCUUGCAGAUUCUUCUUAACUGUUAUACAUCUCGACACCAAUUGCCAUAAAAAAAUGCUUAAUCUUUGGAGGGCACCGUACUUUCCAGCAGAACGCUUUCAGUAUAUCAAAUAUGGGUCCAUACACUGCUGUUGGUUUUUCCCUAUCUGGGUAAACCCGUUCUACUUGGUAGCCUGAUUUGACCGUAUAUUUGUCGUUCUUAGUGAAAUGUCAUCCAUAUCUAUCCACCAUAUGAGUCAUGCUUAAAGGUAUGCUUUCCAUUAUUUUUGCAUCCUUAGGAUCCACUAAAGCCUGAAUUACCUGCGAGUUCCAAGUUCGCGAGGCUGAAUCAAUGAGAGAGCCAACUAAUACCUUUUGUAUACAUAAAAGUAUAUACAUUAGAGUAAACACAUAAAUCAAAACCAAAACAGUUUGUUUAUUUACAAUCAUGUUUUUGUUAAAUAAAUAAAAAUAAUCAUUUUAUUUAUUUUGUAUGGUAUAUAAUUAAACUUUAGUGAUAUUGACACCGAUAUAUAUACACACUACAAAAAAAGAUCAAUUUAAACCAUUUAAUUUUAAUAUUUGCAUUAGUUAUAAAUGAUGUAAAAGAAUUUUGCAUUAUUUAAAAUAGUGACUCUGAAAGUGGUGAUGCAAAUAAUUUAUAUCAUUUUAUUAAUAAUUGAUGUAAAAAAUAAUAAUAUUUUCAUCAUUUAGUUUUUUUUUUGUUUUUUUGGUAGCAAACACCUAUUAUAUUACUCAAACUUGUGGUGGUCUGGGUAACCAGACCGGAAUAGAACAACCAACAUAACAUAAAUGUCUAUGAAAAGAACGUGCAUUCCGAGCUAACGAAUCAGCAAUCGCAUUUUGUGUCCUUGGGAGGUAACUGAUCUUGAAGUCCGAAAAACACAACCGAAGAGUUUGAAUGACUUCCAGCUCAGUUGAGAAGUUAGGCCAAGCUUGUGGCUGCUCUAUCAUUGCAAUCAGGUCCUCGCAGUCUGUCCUAAAUCUCUGACAGUCGAGUGUUGUAUCAUGCUCUCCAUUGCCCAACGUAGCGCUUCCAGUUCCGAGUGUAAAGGUGUCUCACGCCUCCUUAGAUUCCUUGUUCCCAUGAGCUGAACCUUUCCCAAGCUAUCCUUUCAAACCCAUCCCAUUCCACUAAACUGAGCUGUGGAGGUCCAUGGACCUUCCACCAUACAAAUAUUACCCAAUCUUAAGGCAUGUAUAUCUUCAGCAAUCUGUAAUUGUGGAGUGACAUGUGUAGUUUUCCUUGCAUUGUACCAAGCUUGGCACUCACUCUCAGCAUACUUGACUAGCUCCAAAGGGUCUCUUCAAUGCCUCUAAACAACUUGUCAUUUCUAGCUUUCCAGAUAUACCAAAUUAUCCAAGAAUAAGGAUCUCUAUCAUCCUCUGGCUUCAUAAUAUUAUUCUUCCUCCAAAAAAGGUAAUCCAUAUUAGCAUAGAUACUUAAUACCGGGAAGAUUUGAGAACUCGAUGGUGUUGAUGAUAAUGCCUAAACUUGUACAGCCGGUGGGCAUUCAAAGAUCGCAUGAGUAACAGUUUCUUCUGGCUCUCCACAUCUCGGGCAAUAAUUAUCACAUCGCAUAUUGCGGCGUACCAGGUUCCUUGUACCGCUACCUGUCCUGAUAUUAAUUGCCAUAUAAGAUGACAGAUCUUCUGUGGCGCGUUCACUAACCAAGCAAAGGCUUGGAGUUUGGUUAUGCUAGGUUGAAGAACUUCAGUAUCCUCAUUUUCCCUCAUCAAAUUUGUAGCAACCCAAUAUCCAGACUUGACAGUAUAUUGUCCAUUUUUAGUGUAGCUCCAGCAAAAUGUAUCUCGUCUAUGAGUAGGGCUUAUGGCCAAACUCUGAAUCAUCUGUAUAUCCUCUUGAUCUAAAUACUGUUCCAAUAAUCGGGCAUCCCACUCCUUUGAUUCAAAAUUAAUGAGACUGUCCUGACAGACAUCUUUGGGUUAACUACUGGAACCCGAGAACGAGCCGGUCUUGCUGGCGUCAAAGGAAUCCAAGGAUCCUCCCUGACAUUAAUUUCAUAUCCUGAAUGCACUUUGCUUCUGAUACCCAAGAGCAAUAACUUCCUCGCAGCUAUAAUGCUCGUCCAUACAUACGAUGGAGAAUCCACUGUGCCUGCUCGCAAAGGCGAACUCAGACGAUAGUACUUCCCCCGAAGAACUCUCGCUACUAAAGAUUCUGGAAACUGAACAAGACGCCAAAGCUGCUUAGCUAAGAGAGCUAGAUUGAAUUCAUGGAUCAUGCGGAACCCAAUUCUUCCCUCCUCUCGAGGAGCACACAUCUUUUCCCACUUUGCCGAGUGAAUACCUCUUUUUGGCGGAUUCGAGCUCCACCAGAAUUGUGCAAUGGCACUUGCUAGAUUCUCACAUAUCUCCAAAGAGAGCAGGAAACUGGACAUGACAUAAGUCGGAAGAGCUAAUAGGAUAGAUUUAAUUAAGACUUCCUUUCCUCCCUUAGACAACCAUCUACCAGUCCAACCAUUCACUCUGUGUAAUAAUUUCUCCUUUAAGAAAGCAAAAAGUUUACGUUUUGAUCUACUAAUUUCUUCUGGGAUUCCUAAGUAGGAUCCCAUUCCACCUUCAUUUUGGAUACCAAGUGUAUCUUUAAUAUGUUGCCGAUCAUUCGCUGGAAUCCUUUUACCAAAGAGCAAUGAGGAUUUAUCAAAUUUGAUACAUUGACCUGAUAUUUUCCCAUAUUUCCUGACUAGUUUCAUAACUUCUUCACAUUCACGGGGCUCCGCCUUACAUCAUUUAGUUUAAGUGAUGUUAAAAUGUAACGGUUAUAAAAAUGAUGUUAAUUAACUACAUAAAAUAUGAGUAGUAAUAGCGGACGAAAAACGCUAUGAAUUCGAUAUAAUAGCGCUCCCUAAAACGCUCUGACAGCGCCCGUUAUAAUAGGUCCGACACUUUUGAUAGCAGAUAUGUCGUAUGCUAUAGUUAAAUAAACAACAAUAGCAUUAAUUUCUAUGCAAUUGUUAAUAUUUAUAAUAAUGAAUUGAUUUUAUUUUUUAAAAUGUAAUAUUUAUUUCGAAUUUUUGUAAUAAAAACAAUUAAUCAUAUUAUAAAAACUAAAAAAUAUUUAAAUGAUUAAAAACAAUAAUUAAAAAUUAAAUUUUAUUUAUUAAUUAAAUUUUGUUUACAAAUAAAAUCAGUUUAUACAUUAACCAAAAAAUUAAACCAAAACCUAAUUAACCAAACCUAAAUAAACCAAAACAAAAAUUGAACCAAGCCUAAUAAACCAAAACUUAAAGCUCUAAGCUGCGGUCUCCCUCCCAUCGCAGUUCCGUAGUCUCCUUCUUCCUGUCUCUUUCUUCUCUUCUUCUUCUUCUUCUUGUUUGGAUGAGAUUUAAGCCGAUGGACAGAGAUAGUGACGUGGUUAAGUGCAUAGCCAUUGGCAAGUGUCCAUGCCGCGUAUUCACUUUCCCUGUAAGAUUAAUUUAAACCCAACACACCAACAUUCAUGAGUCAAUACUCUGAAAAUUCAAUAGCAAACAAGGAGAAAGUAAACCAUGUACCUAGCCAAUUGCUCAAAUUCAGAAGAUUGAGGCUUUUCCCAAGGUAAAGUACCCAAAGCACUGGAGAGAGCAGCAUACUUUCUUCCAUUAGGCCUACACCACCACCGCUAGCUUUCUCUGCCAUCUCCGACUUAAGCCUCUGUUCUCAUACAUCAUCUGAGAUGUCAUAGAGGAGGUCCACACUUGCUGGCAUUGCUUUCCUAGAAACAAGGUCUGAAGAAGGUGUUCAAAGUAAAUUAGCUUAGAUAAAGAAACACCCAAAGGUCAAAAGAGUUCAUAGCUUAGAUAAGUAUGAUGCAUCCUACACUGAAUUUUAGAAUGAAGAAGGAGAGUUCACCUUGUCAUAUCUGGCACAUAUCACAUUCCCACAAUCAAAACCAGAGUCGAUCAUUUCAAUCAUCUUCUCCACAAUCUGGGAAAAAAAGAAUUGUAUUGAAAUCAACAACACCAUUCAAAAAUAUAGAGCCAUCAACGUUCUCACAAGUAGCUAUGUCUUAUAAUUCCUCAAAUCAAGAACUCAAAGCAAUACAUAGUACAAUACAACUGCAGAACCCUACCUCUCUCUGUGACCACCAAGACGUCGGCGAGAAACUCAGCAGGUUUACUCUCUCCGAGAGAAAGAGGGAAGAGACGAGCGUGAAGGUUGUGGUGACGACUCCGGUGAAGACGGAUCUUAGAAGCCAUGGUGGUGGUGACGAGCGAUUGGGGCUGGGAAAGAUGGCGAUGGUGGUGAUAGUAACGAACGAUGGUAGUUGUGGUGGUGUUGACGUCGCGUCUUCUCCUUUGUCGCGUCUUCUCGUUUCUCUACCAUCUACGAACUCCAUCUCUUCUCUCUCUUUCUUAUCUGAAUCGUAGAUCUCAGAAACAAUAAUUAAAACAGAAAAAAUACAGUUAAUCUCAAGCGUUAGAUUCAAUAUCAUCCAACGGUGCAGAUGGUGAUCCUUGUCAUAAUUAAAAACAAGUAAACCAAUAGGAAGAAAGGGUGAGGAUAGACACAAGAGUGAUUUUGGGUCUUUGAUCAAAAUCAAUCAAUGGUUCAAAACAAAACAAUACAUAUUGUCUUUUUAUUUAUCUUGAACUAUUAUAAAAAUUAUCUUAGCUUUAAAUACUUUGAUAUCAUAAUUUAAAAUUUGAAAUAUAAAUUUUGUAUUUGAAAUUUAAAUUUUUUUACGGAAUUAUAAUUUAUUUAAAAGUUAAGAUUUAAUGUUUUAAUGAUACAUGCUAAAAUAAGAUAUGUAGUUUAGGGGUUAGGGUUAAUAUUUAGGAUUAAGUAUAUGAUUUGAGUUUUAGAAUAUACUCGUAGUUUAAAUUAAAGUUUCUAUUAUAAGUUUGUAAAGAUUAGAAUUAUGAUUUUGUAUGUAGAAUUUAAGUUUGGGGUAUACGGUAUUAGAUAUAGGGUGUAUACUUAAGAUUUAAUGUUUGAGUUUUAGAAUUUAAAUUUAAAAUUAGAUUUUUAAAAUGAUUAAAUUUUGAGUUUUGAUUAAGAAUUAAGUUUCUAAUUUAAAUUUUGUAUUCAAAGUUUAGGGUUUGAAGUAUGAUAUAAGGUUUGGGAUUAAGUUUUAGGGUUUAAGGUUUGAAAUACUCUUUUGCAGGGUUUAUGUCAUCGAAUGGAAGCUCAUGUAGUUUUCUUGAUAUAUCGUGUCAUUACAUAUUUUAUUGAUCAAUAAUUUUUUGUCUAAGAAUUAUUCAAGAUUUCUUUUCAAGAAAAACACUUACCAUAAACAUAUUUGAAAACUCAAACCACAUCGAUUCAAUCAUCAAAUCAAAACAUUAAAAGUGGAAAAAGCAAAUAAGCUAAGAAUGCUUCAAGUCGCAGCUCUCACAUACGUAUAUAUAAGCUACAUUCUCUCAAACCUAAAGUUCUCUUGAUGAUCUUUUAAGUACUUCAGGAACUCAUCAUCAUGGAGAAUGAUAUUCGUAUUGGCAACACCUGUUAGAUAUUCAUAAUACAGGAAACAAUAGCGGCUCACCCAUGAAAACCUCCGCACCACGAUGUCGCAUCUCCACCCCACGACCACGCCUUGCCUCCUUUGUCGUCAAGAUUCAUAUUUUCUGAUUGUGGAAAAGGGAAAACCCUGCAUCUGGCUGACCUCUCAGAAUAUACCUAAAAUUUUAAAAGCAUAUUCUUUUGCUCGCCAUAGCCAUGAAAGAAUGAAAUUUUUGUUGAGAGGAAGAAAGGACUUGCAAAGAGAGAAAAAAAAUACCAAAAACUAAAAAACGCGGCAAAAAAAAUUUAUUUUCCCGCGAUAACAAAUAUAGCGUUUUAAAUCGACAAACGCUAUUAAAAAAAAUAAGUAUUGAUAUACAAUAGCAGAAUUGUCAUAAACGCUAUAAUCUGAUGCUAUUAAUACCCACAUUUCUUGUAGUGAUAACUUUUAUAUCAAUUGCAUUAAGUGAUGUUAAUAUUAGUAUAAAUUAAAAUAAUCGACUUAAAAUAUUUAAAUCACUAGUAUAUCUCCCGUGCUAUGCACGGCUUUUAUUUAUUUGUAUGUAUAUAUAAACUAAAUAUAGUAAAUAUAAAUUUAACAAUGUUAAUUUGCAUUUUUUAAAGUGAUAUUUAUAACUUACAAUUGCAUAAUAUAAAGAGCCCUAAUAUAAAUCAUGAAGUAAAAUAUUGAUCUUCUUUCAAAACCAAAUAAAAAUUUAUUACAUAUGAAACACAAAUUGAAGAAAAACAUGUGUUUUCCAUAAGUACUAUUAACAUAUCAACCUUAUUUUGUAGAUAAACUCCAUUAGUGUCUUUUGUCGUGUUUAUCCAUUUUUUUUCCUAUGGAUGCUUUUGUUAUCUUUCACUGUAACUUUUACAUUUCUUCGUUUUCAAUGCUAUACAUGCUUUGACAUUUUGUUUCCAAAAAAAUCAGACAAAUUUGGUUAAGCUUAGAAGAAAAGUAAAGGUGAAAAAGUAUAUAUAGACCAAAAGUAAACAAAAUAAACACAUAAAUAAAAAAAAUAAGGAAGACCAACCUGAUCACUGAUCAGAUUAGUAGGUGAUAUAUGAGUCUUUUUCAUUUCUCCUAUCACCUGAAUUUCUCCAGCUCCAUUUGUUGUCUUCUAAUGAUCAUCAUUUUUUCUCUUGUGGCACUUCUCAAAUUUCUGAAAGAUUUUGUACCUGUGCUUUACGGCGAGUCUCUAUUAUUCUCCUUCUCUUUUUUUGUGUGCACAUUAUUCUCCUUCUCUAAAUUACCACCACCACCACACAAAAUAAGAACUUCCAACAAAUCCAGAAUUGAUUUAAUCUUUGAAAAUGAUAUUGACUUCGUUUACUUGCAUUUUCACUUUCACCAAGCAUGUAGCAAAAAAGCUAUCAGUAGAUUAGAAAAGAAAAGGUCGAUGAAAAAAAAAUUUCAACAUGGCGCAAUUUAGGAUUUGAGCAGGAAGAGUUUGAGUGUUUUUAGAGUUAAUAACCUGGACACUACUAAUUUUGGAGUACGAUUGGCCUACCCGUUUGAAGCCUAUUGUUGUACCACCGUGGGUUUGCCAGAGAUUUCGUUGAUAUUGAUCCACCAUUCGAUACUAUGGAUACGGUUGAUAAAAUUUUCAAUCUAUCUGUUUAAAAUUGCAAUUUCACACUUUAGACAGAGAGUUAGAAGCUGUUACAAAGAAUUUAGGAAUUUAAGCAAGUAGAGAUGAAUUUGAGUUAAAGCUCUGUGAGUUAAAUUUUUAUCUAAAAAAAGAUUACCGUUUCCAAAGAUCGUGAGAUGAUGGUGCAGUGUGAGGAAUAUUAGGAACUUUUAAUUUUUUAUAGAAAAGAUUAGUUGAGAUAAGCACACGAAACUGUUUUGUAUUUUUUUUUGCAUUUAUGUUAUUAAAAUUUGUAAAACAUAUGCCAUGUGUCAGAUUUCUAAAUGAUGUUAAUAUUAGUAUAAAUUAAAAUAAUCGACUUAAACUAUUUAAAUCACUAGUAUAUCUCCCGUGCUAUGCACGGCUUUUAUUUAUUUGUAUGUAUAUAUACACUAAAUAUAGUAAAUAUAAAUUUAACAAUUUUAAUUUGCAUUUUUUUUAAAUUGAUAUAUAUAACUUACAAUUGCAUAAAAUAAAGAGCCCUAAUAUAAAUCCUGAAAGUAAAAUAUUGAUCUUCUUUCAAAACCAAAUAAAAAUUUAUUACAUAUGAAACACAAAUUGAAGAAAAACAUGUGUUUUCCAUAAGUACUAUUAACAUAUCAAUCUUAUUUUGUAGAUAAACUCCAUUAGUGUCUUUUGUCGUGUUUAUCUCUCUUUUUUUCCUAUGGAUGCUUUUGUUAUCUUUCACUGUAACUUUUACAUUUCUUCAUUUUCAAUGCUAUACAUGCUUUGACAUUUUGUUUCCAAAAAAAUCAGACAAAUUUGGUUAAGCUUAGAAGAAAAGUAAAAGUGAAAAAGUAUAUAUAGAUCAAAAGUAAACAAAAUAAACACAUAAAUAAAAAAAAUAAGGAAGACCAACCUGAUCACUGAUCAGAUUAGUAGGUGAUAUAUGAGUCUUUUUCAUUUCUCCUAUCACCUGAAUUUCUCCAGCUCCAUUUGUUGUCUUCUAAUGAUCAUCAUUUUUUCUCUUGUGGCACUUCUCAAAUUUCUGAAAGAUUUUGUAUGUGUGCUUUACGGCGAGUCUCUAUUAUUCUCCUUCUCUUUUUUUUUGUGCACAUUAUUCUCCUUCUCUAAAUUACCACCACCACCACACAAAAUAAGAACUUCCAACAAAUCCAGAAUUGAUUUAAUCUAUUUUGAAAAUGAUAUUGACUUCGUUUACUUGCGUUAUCACUUUCACCCAGCAUGUAGCAAAAAAGCUAUCAGUAUAUUAGAAAAGAAAAGGUCGAUGAAAAAAAAAUUUCAACAUGGCGCAAUUUAGAAUUUGAGCAGGAAGAGUUUGAGUGUUUUUAGAGUUAAUAACCUGGACACUACUAAUUUUGGAGUACGAUUGGCCUACCUGUUUGAAGCCUAUUGUUGUGCCACCAUGGGUUUGCCAGAGAUUUCGUUGAUAUUGAUCCACCAUUCGAUACUAUGGAUACGGUUAGUAAAAUUUUCAAUCUAUCUGUUUAAAAUUGCAAUUUCACACUUUAGACAGAGAGUUAGAAGCUGUUACAAAGAAUUUAGGAAUUUAUGCAAGUAGAGAUGAAUUUGAGUUAAAGCUCUGUGAGUUAAAUUUUUAUCUUAAAAAAGAUUACCGUUUCCAAAGAUCAUGAGAUGAUGGUGCAGUGUGAGGAAUAUUAGGAAAUUUUAAUUUUUUAUAGAAAAGAUUAGUUGAGAUAAGCAAACGAAACUGUUUUGUAUUUUUUUUUUGCAUUUAUGUUAUUAAAAUUUGUAAAACAUAUGCCAUGUGUCAGAUUUCUAUUUGUUAGCGACUUGCGCUUUAGUAUAUAAGGGAUUAUUAACAACUGAUGUGACAAAUUUUCAACGGUUAAAAUAAUUUAUUACAAUUAUUAUAUUAUUUAUUAAUAAUAAAAUAAUGAUAUUAAAAAAUUAAAUGGAUUAGCUGUUAUCCCAUUUAUAAUUAUCUAUUUAAAAUACUGCCAUCGUUUGUACAAUGUUUAAAUUUAUGUCAAUAAAAAAAAUAUUUUAAUCAAGCAUUUCUUAUUUUUUGUUCCUGUGAAAAUUGAAGGAAGAAGAAAAGGAGAAGCCUCACAAAUAAGACUGGAAAAUGAAUUCAAAGAAAGAAAACAACUUGUUAAUAUAGUUAAAAGAAUUGGCCAUAGCAGUUUCUUCAAUAAAUUCUUCUUCUUCUUCUUCAUUUUGUCUUCAAUUGGCCAUGGAAAAUGAUGAAAUGGCGUGGAGCUUGUUACUCCUAAGUAGCAGACAACAAAGAAACAUGAUCAAAUCCAAUUGCUGCUGAAACCUGACAGAACAACAGUGCCAAUCUUUAGGACAUAGAGUUAAGUGAUUCAUUCCAAAGUUAAAAUCUUUAUAUAAUACCUUCAAUAUACCAAGAACCCUAGAAAUUUCCUGUCUCAUCAUCAUUUCCUUCAGAUCCCUGCAGUACAUUAGCAUCAGCGUGUCUGUCUAUAUAUAUACACUUAGACGUCGUCACAAUCUGAGAUCCUGACAAUGUAUGGAGAAAAAGGAAAUAAUACCUCUCAAGAAUUUUUCAUCAGAUUUUUAUGAAAAGCAAAAUCUUCCUUUCAAAUCUUCUAUAAACAGAAACACAAACAUAAUCAUCAUGAUUCAUAUAAGAAUACUUGAUUCAUGUUGAGAAAAUGCUUUUAAUCAAAUAACAGAGAACAAAAAAAAACUGAUGAAAGAGAUUUGAGAGAGUGUGACGAAUAAGAAGAUCUUCACAGAAAAGAAUAAUAACUACUUCUCGUAAUCACAUUGGGUUUAAGUGGUUUACUGUAUUUGAACUUGUAAUGGUGGUUCCUAUUUUUGAGGGACUGUAACAAAUCACAUUUGCUACUUUUUAAUAAUUAUGUGUUUAAUCUAUGAUAAUAUUGUAAUUUUACAAAUUUUGUUCUGGAUAUAAAUUAAUUUUUUUACUAGCUCAAAUAUUUUAAACAAAUUAAAAUAAAAUAACAUCAUUUAUUAAAUUGAUGUUAAAGAAAAGGAUUAUUAUAAAUUUUUGUUAGCAUCAUUUUUCUAAUUGAUGUAAAUUAUGUAUCAUGUUAAUAACUGAUGUUAACUAAAAUAAUAAAUGCAUCAGUUAUUUAAUCGAUAUAAAUUUAUAUUAUAGCAUCACUUUCGUUUAAGUGAUACACAUUAACAAAAAAAUAUAUCAUUUUACUGAAAUGAUGUUAAAUUAAUUAAUAAAAAAUCAGUUAUUAUAAUUGAUUUAAAAAUAGAUAUACUCACAUCAUUUGUAAAUAAGUAAUUUAAAAUAGCAUCAUUUAUUUUUGUGAUGUAAUUCACACUUUUUUGUAGUGAUAUAUAUAGUAUAUUUUAAUAUAAAGAUUUAUUAUUGACACUUCCUACUCAUAUGAUUUUAUUAACAUUUAUAUAUUUGUUGUAACAAAAAUUAAACUGUUAAUCACAAAACUUUUAAUGUGAGAUUUUUCAACAUAAAUUUCGAAAUUAAAAUAUUAAGAUCUCAAUAAUUCUUCAAUGCAAAUUUUGAAAUUAACAUAUUUAUAUAUUUUAUAUAGUAUAUAAUUUAAUUCAAAUGAUAUUAAUAUAUAUAUAUAUAUAAUAUGAGACUUCAUUAUCAUAUGAUUUAUAAUCAUUUGUAUCUUGGUUGAACAAAAUAAGUUAAACCAUUGAUCAAUAAAUUUUCAAUGUGAGAUUUUUACCAUUUUUAGUAAUUUAUAGUCGAUUUACAAAAUUCAAAAUAUAAAAUAUAUGAAAAGAUCUAAUUUUUUUAUUAUAUGCUUAAUGUGAUUGUUUAAUUUCUUUUAAUAAUAUAAAAUUAAACAAAAAGAGAGACAGUAUACAAUUUUUUUAUCAAAUAUGUAUUAUUCAUAAUCAUUAAUUGUCAUAUAUAUGUUAAUCAUAUUAGCUAAUUCCGUAACUUUUAUUUAAAGAAAAAAUCGAGAAUAUUUUUUUGUACACUACUAAUCAAUUUGAUAAUUAGUUUAAUAAAAAGUAUGAUAUAUAUUUAUAUGGACCAACUUACUUUUCUAAUGAUUCUUAGAAUCAUGAUAGUGAUGACAUGUGGCUAAGAAAAACAUUUUGUAAUGCUCUAAGAUUAAUAUAUACUAGAUUUUGACCCGCGCUUUCAAAGCGCGGGUUUAUUUUCCUUUUUUUUUUCAAUUGACAAAUAUUUAGUAAAUGUCAUAUUUCAUAUAUUUGUGUUUUAUUUUAUAAAAGACUUAAACUUUUUAUCUUUCUUUAUCGUGUUUCAUUUUAAAUGACUAUUUAUGUUUAAAAAUUAAACUUUAUUUUUAAUGAAUUAAGUUGGUAUAACUCUGAUAAAUUAAUUUUAUUAUGUGGUUAAUAUUUUUAAUAAAAAUAAUUAUAUACUUUUAAUAAAUAUUUAUACUUUUCAAUGAAAAAAUCAAUUUUUUUAUGAAUGCUUAAAUUAUAUUAAGAAAAGAAAAAAAAAUAAUUAUUAAGAAUGGUUGAAAAAAAAUUAUUUGAACUUGGACUCAAUGGCCCAAAGGAAAAAAAAAUGUGAGAAUUGUAUCUGAUUUCUUAAUCGGCCCAAAUGGCCCAGAGAGAUCUGAUGUGGAAAGUGGGCUGGAUCCGGAAAAAAAUGCCUCAAUAUAGAUGUGUUAUUAAUAUUACUUAAUUGUCCUUAAUGAAACAUGCAAUGUUAGUAAAGAAAGGGUAUGCUAAGGUAAAAAAGACAAUAGGAUCCUGCUUUAAUAGUAUAGAUUUUCAUAUAUUUGUGUUUUAUUUUAUAAAAGACUUAAAUUUUAUCUUUAUUUAUCGUAUUUCAUUUUAAAUGACUAUUUAUGUUAAAAAAAUUAAACUUUAUUUUUUAAUGAAUUAAGUUGGUAUAACUCUGAUAAAUUAAUUUUAUUAUGGGGUUAAUAUUUUAAUAAAAAAAUUAUAUACUUUUAAUAAAGAUUUAUACUUUUCAAUAAAAAAAUUCAAUUAUUUUUAUGAAUGCUUAAAUUAUAUUAAGAAAAGAAAAAAAUAAUAAUUAAGAAUAGUUGAAAAAAAAUUAUUUGAACUUGGACUCAAUGGUCCAAAGGAAAAAAAAAGGUGAGAAUUGAAUCUGAUUUUUUAAUAGUCCCAAAUGGCCCAAGAGAGAUUUGAUUUGGGCUGGAUCCAAAAAUAAUGACCCAAUAUUGAUUUGUUAUUAAUAUUACUUAAUUGCCCUUAAUGAAACAUGCAAUGUUAGUGAAGGAAACAUGCCCCUAAGGUAAUUAUGACAAUAGGAUCCUGCUUUAAUAGUAUAGAUGAGAUUGAAAUACGAUUAUCUGAUCAAAAUGAAGCAAUUUAUAAUCAUAUAAGAAUAGAUGUGAAGAGUCAUGUAGGAAGAUGUGUACGCAAUAUCUAGUUGAUUGAAAUAUGAAAUAUGAUUGAAAUAUGUUCUGUGUAGAUUUUCUAACGAUGAAGUAGGAAAUCAACACGAUUUUAGGCAAUACUUUGGACCCUAAUUAAAAAAAUAAUAUUUGAUAUAGAUUUUCUUAAAUUAUUGUUGCCGUGUUUUUAGUUAAAAAUCGAUUUAGGAAAAAUCAUUAGAAAACUGAAAAAGACAAAGACUAUUUAUUUUUAAGUUUAUUAAAUACUUUAGUGACAUUUUAUUGUAAAUAAGUGGUAAUUUUUAAGGUGAUUUACUUUUUGUAAUUCUAUUUUAAUAGAUUAGAUAUACCACCGAAAAGUUAGAAAAAUAAAUAUGUUAUUUUUCAAAAUCAAUUUUCACUGUUUUAUAGUGAUCUGAAAAUAAAAUUACAGCAAGAAUAAAAAUAAAACCAAAGUAAGCAAACUCACCUCUUAAUUUCUAAAGUAAAACUAUAGCAUCAACAAGGGCCGUCUAACAUCACGUGCAAAUGGAACGGUCGAACAAGACUCCCAAAUAUAAAAAUAUAAAAAUAUAAAAAUAAGAAUUUUUAAAAAUAUAUAGAUAAAUUAUGGUAAGAAACUUUAAAAUUUUAGAUAUAAUGCUAAAUUUAGAGUUUAUAAUUUAAAAAAAAAAAGAUCAAACAAAGUUAUUAAUUUUUAAAAUUACUUCAUAAAAUCAUCAAAUUUACAAUUAAUAAUUUUCUAAACAGUGUCUAAAAUUAAUUUGAGACGGCCCAACUUUCACGCACAAAAGCCUAAUUAAUAUCGACUAGGGAUCGUUCCACGUGCCAAGGCGCGAUUUUUUUUGCAUUUUAAUCUAUUUUUGCCUUUUGCUUACUAAUCUAGCAUUCAGUUUUUCAAUGUAUUUUAUCUUCACCCUCUCUUCUUAUCUUGUUUACAUUUGUUUUCACGUUAUGUCGUUUGAUUUGUCGUAGUUUUGGCUUGUGUAAUAACUUAACCUUGCUCAUUCUUCUUUCAUUCUUUAUUGAUAGAUAUUUUUAUCUCGCUUAGCUCUGUGUUGCCACUAAUUUGCUUGAAUCAUUCUGCUUUGUAUUCUUUUCAUAUUCAUUAACUAUUGUCUCCAAUCUCUUUAAAUACUAAAAAUCCUACGUGUUCUUUUGUUUAUUAGAUCACAUAUUAAAUAUUGUUCAAACUGUUUAUUUACUCUAAUAAAUCCUUACGUUUAUAACUAAGAUGAUAUGGAUAAAAGACUAAUUAUAAUUUAGUUGAAAUUAAAGUCUAAAGUAGAAAUUAUUAAACUUUCAAUCCUUCUUUUUGUCAUCUAAGAUAGCUUUAGUCAAAUCAAUUAUAUUGAUUUAGAAAACCCAUAAGCUAUUUCAAUCCCAAACAACCAAAAAACAGGCGCAUUUGUUAUUGACGCUGCGAUGGAUUUCCUUUACUAUAAACAUAAUUGCUUGUCACAACUGUUAAUAAACCCAAAUGUGUUUACAAAAGCUACCCAUAUAAGAGAUUCAUACGCAUUUCUCUUUCUCUAGUCAUCUCCUAUGUUAGUAGCUAUCAUAAUACAAUCAUCAUACAAAGGAUAUAUCUUUUGGUUCCAUAUAGAACAUGCAAAAUGACUGUUUUCUGUAGACUCCAUGAUCACUGAGUAUUAUAAAUAUCAAACUCUGUCAAUGGUCUAUUUAUAUGUUGAGGAAAUUCCUCGAAAUGUAGCUUCCAAUUAAUGAUUUCCAGGUCAACACAUUGCAUGUUAACCUCCACAAUGGGAUCAGCGGAUCUGCAGAUACCGCUACAUGUCGAGUCGAACGCAGCUACACAUAUGUUACCUGCUUGUGCUUUUCAUUCACAAUCUGCAAUUCUCCCAAGAACCAUAAUCAAUGUUAAAUGAGGUAAAAGUUUUAGAGUCACAACAGACUUUGUAUAGCCAAGCCCAAUAAAAAGCACCCAACGUAACAUCCCCACUUGCCUAUUUGUGCAGAAAAUGACUUGAUCAUUAUAUAGUAGCACCGAGAAGUUAGAUGGAGAAUAAGGUAUGAAUGCAAAGUAGACAAAAUAGUUAAAAUCUUACUGAUUAUGGGAAAUAUAAGAAAUCAAUUCUCUUGAAAUGGCGUAUAACUGUCCAAUAGCGUGACAGAAGUACUUGUUCAUGUUCUCACCAAACUUCCAAUUCUAAAUGUAUAUAUAAAUCUAUUAGAGUUAUUGCCAGCACUCUGUUGCGAUAUAUGGUAGCUAAAAUAAUACAUCCAACAUAAUAGGAAAAAGAAACCAACGAAAUUGUAAAGCUAACCAUCAACUGAGAUGCUUUUUCUGUCCUGACACAUUGCAAGCUUAGUGAUUUCACUGUCAAAAUCAACAAACUCAGCUGUCAUAUACAUCCUAGACAUUUAUUUACAAACGGUUCCUAGCACAGAAAAAACAUAUUAUUAUGUUACGGAUGAUAAGUUUGAUGCAUAAAUACAGUUUAGAAUUUUUUUCAACUGAACAUUUGUGCCUACUGAAUUACCUUACAACACCCACUGCAUUGUGAUUUUGGCAUGUUAAAGCUGAGAAUCAACAUUGGAGCUUGCGUUAGCAUUUGGAACAUGAAAUAUAGCACCAUCAAUUUCAAGUGUUAAUUCUAUUGACAAUAGCUGUGCAAAAGAACUCUGCUAGUAAGGUAAUCGUGAUUAGUAAUUCUUUAGAUCUUAGUGCCGUGUAACUUCAAAACGAUAGACACUUACAAUCGACGGCUCUCAAAGAUGGACCGCAAACCAUCUAAUGAUAUGCUUACCUCGUCGUAUAACUAAUCCAUGUCACUUCCAUCCCACGGGUAACGUUGCUGGUGCAGAUCAAUUCCCUCCACCUCUUCCUCGUCAUUACGAUGCUCUCCUCUGUAAGGUUCAAAUUUAUGUCGUUAGAAUUAUCAGAGAAAGAAAUAUAAAGUACCCUCCAAAUCUUCUGGAGAAUCGACAUUUUCUUUAUUCAAUGAUCUUCAUUCAACGUAACAACCAUCAAAAUAAAAAGAAUGUGAGACACAUAAUCUUCAAAAUCCAAGUUUAAUGAAUGGAAAAAAAACUCAGGAAGACAGAACAUGUCAAACACUCACUGGCUUCUUCUUCUUUUACUUCUUGGCUCCCGUAAAUGAACUGUCAAAGUCAUCAUUAUUUGCAGGAAAAAAGAUUAAACAAAGCAUCCUUUAGAUUAGUGUUAUAAAUGUUGGUGUUUACGACUUAAUAACUCGAGUUCGAGCCACAGACUUGACACUUUUUCCACAUUUUUUAAAAGUGGAACCCACUUACUUGCUGACGUGUCGGCUCAGAUAUCAUAGAUUGUUUGUUUUGAAUGUACUUGGAUACUGCGAGGUUCCAUCUCUAUUGUGGUCGGUAUGGAAAAAUACUAAAAUAUAAAAUAUUCAAUUAACUUGAAAACGAAAAAAAUGAAUUUAGAUAGUAAAACGUACAUUACGCUAAAUCUUUGUGGUCCGAACAAGAUAGUCCUUGACAUGAUUCUGAUUAGUACUGAAGUCUGUAAUUGAUAAUAUGUUAUAAUAAGUUAAUUCUAAACUUGAAUUACAAUAAAAGUUAUGAUUUGAUGUAAUUUACAAUCAGUUUCGUCCCAAAUUUUUAUUGGGCCAUGUGCAGUUUAUAAAAAUACACAUGUAAUCUGUAAAAAUAGGUUUUAAUACAUACAAGUGUACUCCAACACAACUCUAUUUUUUCCUGUAAAAUAGAAAUUGUUAUUUUUUCUUCUAUAAAUAGGAGAAGAAAUAUUACUUUUCUAUUUUUAAUUUAUAAUUAGAAAUUACUACUUCAAAUGAAUAUAUUGGAGUAAACUUCACCACUAUUAUAUAGUUCUUUCUUUUAGAAGCAAAAAAUACCAAAACACAUUGAAAACGGUCUUCCAAUAUACAAAGUCUAGGCCAAGAUUCAACAUGGUCUUCUUGUUCAGCCAGUGACUUGAAACAAAUAAAUGCAAAUGUAGUCAAUGCUGGUUGAUUACUUUUGGGUGAUUUCUUCAGCCAAAGGAGACUUCUUGAUAUCAAUCAAGACAGGACGCAGAGAAAGAACCUUCUUGCAUAGCUUCACUAAAUUGGUUGUCCGUUUUUAACAGAUAAGGCAAAACAUUUUCUUCCAUUAGACUUUGGAUUUCUAAGAUUCUGAUGGUUGGAUUGAUUUUACAUCCUUUAGAGCUUCUCCAUAGGGAGUAUGAGACAGAUAUCGAAUAAAAAAAAUAAAAAUAAAAAUAAAUAAGAAAUAAGAGAGAGAAAUGCAAAAAGUUCUUAAGAUGAUGUUCUUUAAAACCGGUUGUGAACUUAUGGAACCACCUAUCUUUAGUUCAAUGCUAGACUUUUAUGUAAUAUAAACUAAUAUAAAUUAAUAAUUAAUAUGCAGUAAAAUAACAAUUUUUCAGUGUUAAGAACUCUAAUGAACAUACCCAAAAAAAAAAAAAAUGAACAUACCCACUGUUGGUGAUGUUCUAAGAGCACAUAGUUAUCACAGUUUAGUAGUUUACAGUAUAAAAAAAUAGAUAAAAGAUUCACCAAUGAGUUCGCCCUAGCCGUCAUCCUCCCAGACACAACUCCCGAGACAGCUCAGAUCUAUGGCUUCCGACGCCGGCGGCGUGUUUUCUCGCCGGCGUCGGGACUCCUCGUCGGCUUUCCUUCUCUACAUCAUCUAUUUUCUCUGUUCACAACCUGUUUCUGAGUUUGCUUUUAUCUUUUCUGCAACCGCUACCUCGUCCCUUCCGGUGACGCGGACGUCUCCGCCUCUGCUUGAGGAGGUUCUCUUUGAGCCCAACGAACCUACUUGCUUCUCUGGGACUUAUCAGAAUCUUGACUCAAGUAACCUUUCCUCUCUCCGUGAUACAUACUCCCUCCAGCGAUGGCUCCGCCUUGGAUUCCCGAGCGCUCCUUACUCCAUAUCUGCUAGCCACGGCCAUCUUGUAUCCAUUAAGAUGAAGCUCUCCGUCAGAAACCCCCACCCGCUGCAAGCAACUCUCCCUUCGUUAAAGCUCGUAGACAGAGCUUUGAGUGGGAUCGACGAGAUCCGUUCUUCAAACGCCAAACCCGACUCAUCUUCGAACUACUGCACCGGAGUCUAUGACCACUCCGAAGAGACUCGCACCUCACCAUCGCCAACUCGUGAUACCCUCUGUCUCUCAGUCGUCGACAUCUACUCCGGUGAGAAUGGGGUCCGUGAUACUUGUCUCCCUCCGCGUGCCAUAGCUCCUAGACCCGCUCUCACACAAAUGAUUGGCCUAGAACAGAGUUGGACUUCUAAAGGCCCAUCUUCUAAAUCUUCCAAGCCUGCUCACACAUCAUGGCCUAGGUGCAAAUGUCGACCAGUUCGGGAAGCAGUACAAACGUAUAUCCAAGGUCCUCUUACCGGCUCUCACUUGAUGGUCAAACCUUCUCCGACGCCGCAAGCCACCACCACAUCCCUCCUUGCAGUUGUGAUGUUCUUCACUCUUCAGCAGNNNNNNNNNNNNNNNNNNNNNNNNNNNNNNNNNNUCAGCAGGAGAUGGUUUCCACUAUCUCUGGGGAAUCUUUUGCGUCCGCUCCGCGACUGUUUUUCGUCACACUUCGUCAACUCAGCAAUGCCGAUACCACUAUGAUCUAUGUCACCUCCUCCCAGUCAUGCCCCGCUGAGACUCUACAGGGCUCCGACCAUUCUUUGAGCUUUGGUUUGUUUGCAGAAUCUUCCAUUGUGAUGUUUUCGAUUAAAGCGACGACCCCUCCAAAGAUUUGGUUCAGAUUUGACAUUGUUCUAUUCAACUGCCGCAGCGUCUCUAUGAUUUACUGUGCAAGAGUGUGGACUCGCCAGAUUUGCUCGCUACUAUGUCACUGCUGCGCCUCCAUCACAUUACGCCGUCUCAAGCAUCAACGGUUCUUCACAGAGUCAGCUUUCCGAUCCCCCACCUAUUUCCUCGUCGCAGGAACUACGGUGCAAGAGUAUGGACUCACCAGAUUUACUCGCUACUACGUUACCGUUGCGUCUCCAUUACACUAUGUCGUCUCAAGCAUCGACGUUUCUUCACAGAGUCGACACUGCGACCCUGUCACUGGAUCUGUUAUACUCUACGGAGGUUCACAGACUUAUUGCUCUCAAAACUCAUUGGUUGGGUUCCUCAACGUCGAUUUCGACUUCUUUGCGUUUCUUCGAACGCGGGCUUUAGGACUACAAGUGAAGCUUCUCUAUGGGUCUCUUCUCUCCUUAGCCACAUCUAUCUUUCGUCAUGUCUUAGUUUUUUUUGCGUUUAUCAGUUUACCAUCGAAGAUCUCUGCGGUUGUAACCGACUUAGCCUAUUAGGCUUUUAAUUUUAAUAUAAGCAUUGUGUGUUCAAAAAAAAGUAGUUUACAGUCUAAACGUGUUCUGUGUUCAGACGGGAACUGAUCAGUUUUUCAAAUUUAUGUAGACUGGUGCAGUACCGUCCAAAACCAACAUUUAAUCUAUAAAGAUUUACUAAUGUGUUACGGUCUCGAAUAGGAUUUUAGUACAACAUGUGUGUAUGAUAUGCUUUUAAAUUUCAGGAUUAUUAUAUAGUAAAGAGUUAUUAUAUUAAAUUGGAAUACUAAUGUUAUUAAACUGGUACUUGUUAAUGUAAAUUGAACCGGAAUAGAUUGAAAUAUAAAUAUCUUAGAUGUAUAUUUGACUGAAUGAAUUUUUCAAUCUUCAUCGGGCUCAAGCUUCGAAUAUAUAGAUGUAAUAAUAUACCGAUAUAACUUUUACAUAUCCUGCCUAAUAGUAAGCUAACUUUCUCGUCUUAUUUACAACAUUGAAAUUCAUAAUCAACUAAUUAACAAGGACGUCCAAAUCAAAUACAUUAUUGUCUUUGUGACCAAAAUACAACACAAAAUAGAAUGUGUUUCAUGAACAGACAAUAUAUGUUUCUGAUUUUUCAAAUAAAAUUAGUAUUGGGAUAUGGGCUUUGAUUGGUAACAUGCAUUACAUUUGAUUUAGUUUGAAUUAGGCAUAUAACUCACAAAUAUUACCAAUGAUGAAUAAAUUUUAACAUUUUGAAGUUUUGAAGUUUUGUUUGAGUUAUUAAGUAUUACUAGGGGCAUUGCCCCUGUGCAAGCACGAAGUUAUAAACAUAGUUCUUGUUUCAUCUCAAUAUUUGUUAGAUUUAUUGUACCUCUGAAUUUUGCGUUUUGGGUUGAUCAUUGUUUUUCAAAUUUUUUUAUUGUUAUAGGGUUAGAGUUGAGAUGAUGAACUAUGUAUGCACUGUUCUCCACUUAUGAAAGACUAAAUUGUGUUAGUAAUGUGUCACUAAGACUUAUUGUUUGUUUGUCUUUUUAAUUUGUUACUUGUACAGUUGAGACUACAUAAAUUAUAUUAAGGUUGUUGAGAGUACCUUUUGUUUCUGGAUAUUUUUUCUCCAGUUUAGUUGUAUAAGUUGUGUGUAUUAAGUAAUAAUUUUUUUAUUCUUAUUAUGUUGGUUAUAUGUUUUUUUUUUAAUUUUUAAACUUGUUGCUUUUACAGGACUUUUAAAACAAAUACAUGAAGACUUGUAGAAAUAACUACAAAAUGAGUGACAAUUAGUAUUUUGGCCUUAAUGGAUUUUAGACGAAUAUAUGUAUUUCUCAUAAGAAGACAAUAGCAUUGGCCUGUUGACAUUGAACAUGUAAGCUAUUUUCAUAAGACAAGAGGAGUGAGCAGGUGGAGAUGUUGUUGCCGCAUUUGUGUCUGUUGAGAUUGUCUCUUGUAUCACCUGGUGUGGCUGUGUCUGUUUCUCUUUUAUUUGAUGGGUAAUAUGUAAACAAAAAUCAUUGUUAGUUGUAUUUAUCAGAGUUUGUAACUUACUCUGCUUUUUUGUUUAGAUAAUUUCACUGAUCUUGGUUGUCGUCUUCGUUUUCUUCGUAAGCAUUUGUGAAAGUAAGUUUGUAAAUUGUUAAAUAGCUGGUCGUGUAGUUUGUACUUGUUUAGUUGGCUCAAUGUAUGUGUCGUUGAGUUUUAGUUGAGUUGAUUGGUUUGAUAUAUUUGUUUUGAAAUUUAUUUGUAAGAUUAGACAAAAAGAGAGUUAAUCAUUAAUGAUUCGUCUUUUUUGGGAUUCUAGUUUUUGGUGUUUUGAUUGUUUGAGUUAUUGUAGUUUCUUUUAAGCUGUAAAAUAAAGUUUAUGUAAAAUUAGAUUGAUAAGUAAGGGAGAUAAAUAGACGACCACAAAUCUUGGGAAGAAAAUAUUUUUGAUUAUUGAUGUUAACACAAUAUAGACAGUAAUAUAAAUGGAAUUAUGUGUUGAUUGUUUCUUAAGGAUCAAAGAGAAGACGGAUAACGACUGGAGUUGUUUAUUUGGUGAGGUCAGAGCCCUGGACAAAACGGAUUUGCCCAACCACAUCUGCGAGUUUAAAUAUCAGUUAUGAUAUCGAAACAUAAUAUAAACCCAGAUGCAAUAUGAUAAUAUACCUGGGAGUUCUAGGUUUGUGUUCGCAAUCACUUGGAGAUUGUCGAACAGUCUAAUUUUGACUGGAGAUUGAUCUCAGGAGCAACUGUGAUGUCUUCAUCAAUAAUAGUUAGUGAGAUGAAACGAAUGAGAAAUGGAUGAUCAAUUAUCUUGUACAUGCUUGAUCACCUAGCAACCUCAAAACGAUCGACUUUCACAAUGGAACCUGCUUUCAAAGAUGGCAUGUAAUGAUUAGCCCGUCCGACGGGAGUAAACCUAUGAAUCACGAAAUCUGCAAAUAAUAUUAUUCAACAAAUAAUCAGGAAAUCAAUUAAAACAAUUAUGUUAAAUAAGUGUAAUAGAUCGAAGAUUAACUUACCUUUUCAUCAAGGAAGAGAAUUGUGAUUUUCCUCAAACUCCUUGUCUUUCUUGAAGUUCAGGGAAUCCCAGAAGCGAGGAAGCCAGAGGCUAUGCUUUGACUACUACGACCAAGACGGAGAGACUUGAAGGUUGAGUGACGGACGCCGGGACGCCGGUAUGACGAACUGGAGAGGCAGAGAGAAACAUUUUCUAUGAGAUGGUUAAAUCUAAGAGGAAUCAAUGGGUUUUGUGGAGAUGCAGAUUAGGUUCAUGAAAGAUGAAAAUCAUAAAUAUAAGGUUUACAUAGGAGCUACAAAUCAGGAACAUUUAUGAUCAAUCUAUUUAAGAUGUGGACAUGAAGAGUUCACCGGUGAAAAAAUAGAUUAUGAACAGACACACGGCACAACUCUGUAACUCACACUUGUUUGAGAUUAUGAUGAAAAGAACUCAAACUCAUGUUACACGACAACAGUUUACAAUAUGGGAAAACUAUAAUUGUUGCAGAUUUGAGCUUUUUUUUCCAUAUAACGUGAUGAAUCCCAUUUAAAAAUGAAACCCAUAACACACUUGUAGGCCCCACCAUCAGAGGAAGGCGAAGAAGUAAGGGCUUUCGACCUUCAUGAAUAUAUAUUAGGUUCGGCCAUCAAUGUACAAAGUAUCAUUUAGCUUAGUGGUAUAAAUGUUGGUGUUUAUAUCUCAAUAACCUGGGUUCGAGCCAUGGACUUGACGCUUUUUCACACUUUUUAAAAGUGGAGUCCACAGACGUGGCGCGCUGAAGAGUGAGCAAAAACUCAACUAUUAUAAUAUAGAUUGUUGAGUUACAAUUUUGAGUUAUACCUUUUGUAAAAGUGAUAACUCAAAUCAAAAAUCUACAUCAACAAAAAUCUCAUGUAUUAAGACUUGACUCGGAAAACAAUUUUGAGUUAUCUAUUAGCUGCCAUGUUCACUUUUUGAAUUUCAAUAAAUUUUGCAAUUUACAACCAACGUAAACCACUAGUCGACUAGGUCUAAUACAAUCAAUAUAUAUACAAUACUAAAAGGCAUAUAUAAGUCAUGGAGAGAGUAUCCACGUAGGAUAGAAAAAUCAACCAAUCAGAGAACCCGAAGUUAACAAGUCAUCUCAUUUAUUUUUUCGUAAAAAAUGAAAAAAGAAUGCAAAGGAAAUGAUCGAACCCGGGUUAGUAUGACAUAAAUAUAUGGCAUUUACCACUAAGCCAUUAAAACUUUCUUGGACACAUAUACAAGAAUCACUAAGUAUUUAAUCACAAACUCUUAUGUACAAUUACAAUAAUAUGAAUUCAACUUUCAAGACUCUCAUACUUUGUUUUGUAAGAAAAAAAAGUAAGUGACUAAGCUAAUAUAUUCUUUGAAAGUGUGAGAACAUUGACAAAUAUGAAAAAUCAUAGAUUUUUGUUUUCGUGACAAAGUUAAGAAUUUUGUAAAAAUAAGUUUAAAAUAUAAAUUUUCGUGACAAAUAUGAAAAAUCUUAGAUUUUUGUACAAUUUUGACAAAACAACUCAAAACAUAGUUCGAUAAUGUCUUAAUAAAAUAUUAUUUAAGGAUGCAAUAAUUAAAUAUAUCAAUUCAAUAAAUUUUGUAAUUUAUAGAUAAAACAAUAACACAACAAAUUUUGAAACAGUUGUUUAACCUAUCGAUUUCUUUUCAUGAGAAUCCAACUAAACAAGAUAAAAAGCCAAUUAAAUUUACAAAUAUUUAAUUACCAUUUUAUUAAAUUUUGAUUAAUUUUAAAUUGUAAUAAUGUAUCUUUUUGAAGUUACAAAAAAAUAUUGUUCUUUCUUUAUUACACUAGCAUUAUAUAUAGAUUCUAUAUACACAAACAAAUAUAAUAUAACAACAUAAGCUUGCUUUCCCCGAUUCAUAUGAAAACUUUUUAAGUUAUCCACCAAAGCAAAUUAAUUAAAUCAAUCAAAUUGUUAGAAUACAGCAAAUUAAUAUAUAAUUUUAUUUUAAAUUAAAUUAUUUAAAAAGUGUAUUUUCAUUAAAAACAAAAUAAUGAAUAAGUAAAACUGAUUUGAUGGUAAUUUUUAUGACAUAUAUAUAUAUAUAUCAAUUCUGUGAAAGAAAUAGAAGCUUAAUAUGGAAAAAAAAUCUUAAAUACAAAAAACUCUAAAAAUUAACAAAAAAAAAACUAAUAAAAAUUAAACUAUGAUAUCACUUGAAAGCUAGACUAUAUUAAUAAAAUAUUUAAGCGAUAAUUAGACAAAUUUGAUUUUUUUUUGCCAGCCAACAGUUUAUUAUUAAUUAGCAUCAGUUAUUUCAAGAUGUUUAAGAAAAGGAUGGACAAAAAAAAUAGGAUGGACAUAAUGAUAUAUGAACUAUGAAUAGUACUUUGUAAAGCUGACUUAGAUAACAUAUUUGCACAUCCAUUUCCAGUCAUUUUUGAUGCAUAAAUUCAAUUUCUUCAGAGCAAUUAUUCCACAAAGAGAUCGUAUGAGAUAUUGUUUUGAUAUUCAGAUUUGUUUCUUGAUUGUUAAGAAGAUUGAUAACUGUAAAAAUGUCUCCUUCGAAUAUGAUAUGUCUAUAACCGAGUCCCCAACAUGAGACAAGUUUGUUUAAAAAAUAAAUAAUUUCAUUUUUCUUAUAUUAUAUAAUAAAUAUAUAUUAUUUACUGAUAAUAAAAAUAUAGUUAUUCAUCUAUCACAAAUAUCUAUGCACUACAAGAAAACAUAUUUUUUACGAGGGCGGUAUUCGUUGUAAAUUCGUCGUAAUAGGGGCUUUACGACGAAUUAACAUCGAUACACGUUUCGUUGUUAAACGCUCGUCGUAACGGAGGUUUCGUCGUAAAGUCCUAGUUACGUUUACGAGGAAGUCAAUUCCUCGUAAAGCAGAAGGAAACUAUUCGUCGUAAUGCCCUCGUAAAUGACGAUGUAAAUACCUCGUAAUAGUUCGUUGUAAAAGCCACGUAAGGCUUCCACGUAAAGUCGAUGUAAAUUUUACGAGGACUUUACAACGACUUCAUGUAAAUUCCUCGUAAACGUUACGAGGACUUAACGUGGAAUUUUACAACGAAUUUACAUCUCCAUAUUUAAAAUAUUAAUUAAUUAUAAUAGUUAUAUAAAUUUUAUAAAACAAUAAUUUUAAAAUUUAAAAUAUUUGAAAUAAAAUUAAAUAUGAAACCAAAUAAUUUUCUUAAAAAAACUAUAAAUUCAUUAAUUAAAUAGAAUUUAAAUUUUUUAUACAAAACAAAAGAAAUUAAAAAAGGAAACUAAAGGCCAACAUCAUGGUCAUCGAAGUAGUUGGCUGAGGGGUUCGGUCUGUAGACGUUCCUGCUUCGGGAUCCGGCUGGCUCAUCCCGAGAGCUGCUCGUCUCUCCGCCAAAGCUCUCUGCAAAGUUGGAUUUCCCACUGCCAUCACAUCCAGCAAACCCUCGAGAGAGUCCAAACGCUGCUGCUGGGUAUCCAUGCGAGCCUGCAUCCGGUCGUUGUCCUGGUCCCGUCUCGAAUAGUAUGACGAAGUCGCCCUUGCAACUUCGUUAACGGAACCUAUUCCAACCGUCCUUCCCUUCUUUCUAGGAGCCACCUAUAUGUAUAUAUAAUACCGUAUUUAGAGUUAAUAAUAAAAUAAAGAAAAAAAAUUAAAAUUAUUAAAUUUUACCUCCUCGAAGAUCCGGUCGACCUCUACGGUUGACAACUUGACGGGUAAUCCAUCUGUAGACUGUUGGGUAAGUUGCGUCUCUUGCUCUUCAACCCGAGACACCACAGCGUUGAAGAGUUUCUCGGAUGCAGGAUCCACAAAAACCCCAUCUGGUGAGGCGUGAGUCAUCUUGAAUAAGUCCGAGAGAGAUGGCAAAACUCCCGUCUUCUCCAACUAAUAAACAACAAUAAUAAAUAAAUUAAAUAUAAUUAAUAAAUACAAGUUUAAAAUAAUGAAAAUUAUAAAUUUAAAUAAAACUUACAGCUUCGAGACGAAUUCCGGCAUGGGGUUUUUGGCCGGAUCUAUGAACCAUGGGCAAAUGGCCAUCUUUAUCCCUCGUUCUUCGGGAAGCGGAGCAGGAGUUGGCUUUGCGGAUGGAGCUGGGUUCGUUCCAAUAGGUGAUGAGGCCAUCCCAUGCUUCCUUUGUGACCCCGCUCGGCUUCCCCUCAUAGCCGUAAAUCUCCCACUUGUCCUUCCAAUCGGAGACGGUGUUGCAAAGACGAGUUUUUGCCUUUGCAAUAAAUUCGCUCUUCACCCUCUCGGUGAUUCCUACGGACCAGUUCCACCUUUGCUGAAAAAUCAAACAUUUUAAAAGAUUAGAAAAAAAAAAUAAUAAUUAUUUAAUUAACAAUAUAAAUAUUAAUAAUAUGUAAAUAUAAUUACCGCAAAACAUUUAAACCACGUCGUCUUGACGUGAUCGGGAGUCAUGGUCCAGUUGGGAUAAGGGCCGUCAUAAUAUCCCUUCAUCGUCUCUGAAACGCUCCGGCUAACACGGUUGUUAGCCCCAAACCUGCAAAUAUAACAAAUUUGUUAAAAAAAUUGAUCAGAGAUUUUAAAUUUAAAAUUAAUAAUUUUAUGUACUUACCAAUAAGUACCCGGGGGUCUAUCGGGGUCCAGAACGUGUAAACCCUCUCGUCCGGGCUGGGCAAGCAAAUCCUCGACGGUGUAUCUUGCGAAUGGUGCAUGAGCUGGCACCCGCAAAUCGGGAUGAACUGCAGCCGGUGGGGCUGGCUGAUCCGGGGCGACAGGUGGAGCUCGUGGGGGAGGCAUCUGAGAUGGAAGAGGAGGAGGGGUCGAAGGAACUCUCCGAGAUGUGUGAGAGUCUGGAACUGUCCCGGAAGAAGACGAUGGACCGCUAGAGGAAGAUCCAUCGCCAAACAAAUCCGCAUACGUAGGUGCAGGAGCUGCUGGUCUCGGUCUAGGAGCCAUCUAGAAAAUUUAAAAAAAUUAAAUUAAUAUAUAUCCUAAACGAAUUGUUUAAAAUAAUUUUCUAAACUAAUCAUCUAAACUAAUUCCGUUAACUAAUCACCUAAACUAAUUCCCUAAACUAAUCACCUAAACUAACAACCUAAACUAUAAAAAAAAAAAAAAAGAUAGAGAGAGAAAGUUACCUUAGAGGGGGAGAGGAGUUAGGGAGGAAGAUACGAGCACUGCUCGUCUGAAAGACUUCUCCCAUAUAUAUAAAAACGGUUUCCUCGUAACUUCCUCGUAACAUUACGACGAAGUUACCAGGCCCGUGUUUUUUAAUUUACGACGAAGUUACCAGGCCCGUGUUUUUCGAUUUACGACGAAAUUACGUCGAAACAUUGGUUUACGACGAAUUUACAAGGCCCACGUUUACGACGAAGUUACCAGGCCCGCGUUUUUCCAUUUACGACGAAAUUACGUCGAAAAAUCGGUUUACGACGAUUUUACAACGCUUAACCCUAAACACCGAGAAUGAAAUCCCUAAACCCCAAAGUCACAUAUCAUCUAACAUCAUAUCUCUUCUUCUCUACUACUUUGUGCUCUUUCUCCAACUUAAACUCUAAAACCCUAAAACUCCAAAUAAUUUUUUUAAAAUUAACACAAAUACAUAUUAUAUAAAACAACAUUUGUUACACAUACAUUAGGAUGGUAAAAAAACAAUAUUUCUUUAAACAUACGUUACAAUAGAGAAAUACAACAUCAGAGACAUAUAUUACAUCACUCUAAAUCGUUUUCGUUCUCAUCAAUAUUACAUCACUCUAAAUCGUUUUCGUUCUCAUCACUAUCAUUACAAUCAUCAUCGUCGCUUCUCUCGAACUCGUCUUCACGUGCUUCAUCUGUCGCAUCUUCGGGAAUAUCUUCAUAUUGAAAGUUUUGCGGGUCGAUCAAAAGGAUUUCAUCAGUUGGUUGUUCUGGUACCUCAACUUCAUUGAUAGCGUCUUCUUCUUGCAAGGGCGGUUCUUCUCCAGCGACAAUGCGUCCACGAGGUGUGAUUUUGAUAGCAGCUAACCAAUUUAUCCCGGAAGUUCGAAGCCGAGGAUAAGGAAGGAAGCUUACUUGCUCGGCUUGUGAAGCUAAAAUGAAAGGCUCAAAUUUGUUGUAUCUUCUCCCAAAAUUGACAUCCACAACACCAAAUUUGUUAUACCGAAUCCCUCGGUUCACAACAGGAUCGAACCAUUCACAUUUGAAGAGGACGCAUUUUAGCUUCAAUAACCCCGGAAAUUCCACUUCAAUAAUCUCCUGCAAGAUCCCGUAAAAGUCCGUUUCACCUUUCACACAUAUUCCGUAGUUACUCAUUGCCCGAUGUCUCCCAUACUCGUAUGUGUGAAAGGUAAAUCCUCGUGUGAAAUACAUAGGUGAUGUGGUGACCUUUGCAACUGGACCUUGAACCAAUUCGUGAAACCAUACGGGAUAAUAAGGAUCGUCGUAAUCAACCUGCAAAAAGCAGUUAUUCUUAAUUAAUAUUGAAGUAUCAAAACACUUACUUAAUUAAUCAAUGUAUGAGAUAUAUUACGUACCUGUGAUUUUAACCACUUGACAAAGUGCUUAUCUUUACGUGUCUCCACAUCAGUUGCAGAUAUUCCUGGUAUUGCUUCUUCAACUUGAGAUACAAACAUGCUGCAAAUUAAACAAAUAAUCAAGUCAUACAUAAUUAACUGCAAUUCAUAUAAUUAACAUUCACAAAAAUAUUUACCUUUCAAAGUAACGGGUCAUUGCAUCCUCGCAGUUGAGCAGAAUAUAAGUGUGGGCACUAUGUUUAUCCUCUUCACAUGACCACCAUACUUCUUUCGUUUUACCACCAAACCUUGCAAUUUCGCAGAAAAUGUCAGGAACACCAUCAAUUGGAUAUGAUGUCGGUACUCCACCAUCAUCAUAUCUUCUAGGAACUCUUUUCCUCGUACGAACAGUUGGAGCAAAGUAGUAUGAUGUGAAGUUAGAUGUUUCGGCUGUCAAACUUCCCGCAACUAUUGAACCUUCCACCUUUGCAAGAUUUCUUGCUUUCCCCUUCAAAUGUUUCAUCUGUCGCUCAUACGGAUACAUCCAUCCGUUGUGAACAGGUCCACGAAGCAAUGCUUCAUAUGGUAGGUGGACAACUAGAUGCUCCAUGACGUCAAAAAAUGAAGGAGGAAAUAUCUUCUCCAGGUUGCACAAUAUGAUCGGAAUGUUAUGAUGAAGUUGUUCGAUGACUUCUUCCUUGAACGUACGUGUGCUGAGAUCUCUGAAAAAAGCGCCGAUGGCUGUAUAUUGCAAAAGUAAUCAAAUUAAUAACAUUUCAUAACAUAUGUAUAUAUAUUAACGUUUUAUAAUUACCUGCAAGUGCUUCAUGGACAUUUGCUGGAAGGAGCUCGGCAAAAGCAAAUGGAAGAAGUCGUUGCAUAAACACAUGACAAUCAUGACUCUUCAUUCCGGAGAACUUUUGACCUCGUUCAACACAUUUUGACAGAUUUGAAACAUAACCAUCAGGAAACUUAACUUCUGAUGCAACCCAGUCAAACAAGGUUGUUUUGGCUUCUGAUGACAACCGGAAGAUGGGAACAGGAACGUUUCCAUUGCUCUUGAUAUGUAACUCACUUCUUGAGCAAAUAUCAGGUAAGUCCAUCCUUGACUUUUUGUUAUCUUUUGUCUUCCCAGGGACGUUAAGUAAUGUAUUCAUGAAUCAUGAUGUUCUCAAAAAAGUUCUUCUCAAUAUGCAUGACAUCCAGAUUGUGGCGUAAGAGAAGAUCCUUCCAAUAGGGUAGCUCCCAAAAUAUACUCUUCUUAUGCCAAUUGUGAGACACACCAUAUCCAUCAGGCAUAUUUCCAGGAACAUGCCAAUUUCCUCCAACUUUAACUGUUUCCUGAGCUCCGUAAUAAUCAAUGUCUGCUUCGAUCUGCUGGCCGGUGAGAUAUGGAGGAGGACCGUCUCUGACAAUUUUUUUGUGCCGAAACAAUGUCUUAUUUCUUCUGUACGGAUGGGCAAGUGGAAGAAAGCGACGAUGACAGUCAAACCAACAACUCUUCCUACCAUUCUUCAGUUGAAAAGCAUCCGUCGAUCCAAGACAAUAUGGACAAGAUAAUCUUCCAUGUGUUGUCCAGCCAGACAACAUCCCAUAAGCAGGGAAAUCACUUAUCAUCCACAGCAGAACUGCUCGCAUCGUAAAAUUGUUUUUCAAGGAACAAUCGUACGUCCACACCCCUUCUGACCACAAUUGCUUUAGCUCUUCUAUCAACGGUUGAAGAAAAACAUCAAGAGACCGUUUUGGAUGCUUCGGCCCAGGGAUUAAUAUGGUCAAAAAUAGAAAUUCUUGUUCCAUGCACAUAUCCGGCGGUAAAUUGUACGGCGUAAGAAUGACUGGCCACAAAGAAUAUUGUCUACCAGACAUUCCAAAUGGAGAAAAUCCAUCGAUGCAUAACCCAAGAUAGACAUUCCGAAUAUUUGUAGCAAAAUCUGCGUGUACCUUGUUGAAAUGUUUCCACGCUCUUGCGUCUGAUGGAUGUGCAACCUCACCAUCUCUCUGGACAUGUUCCGCAUGCCACCUCAUCGAUGCAGCAGUCCUCUCAGAUUGAUAUAAUCUUUUCAAUCUGUCUGUAAUUGGUAGGUACCACAUCCUUUGGUACGGUACCCUAUUCCUCCCACGGCCUUGCGGUUUGAAUCGUGGUUUUUUGCAGAAUCGACACUCUUCUAACUUGUCAUCUUCUUUCCAGUAGAUCAUGCAGUUGUCGAUGCAAACAUCAAUCAUCUCCGAAGGCAACCCAAGACUAUAAACCAAUUUCUGAAUCUCAAAAUAAGAUUCAGCAGACACGUUGUCUUCUGGCAAAUACUCUUUAAACAACUCCGCCCAUGCAUCCAUGCAAUUCUCAGGUAAAUUAUGAUCCGUUUUAAUAUUCAUCAUCCUAGCUGCUAGAGGCAAUUUAGAGAGACCUUCUCUACAACCAGUGUAGAUUGGUUGAUUUGCAGCAUCUAGCAUUUCAUAAAACCUUUUUGCAUCCAAAUUAGGUUCUUCUACAUUUCCAGUUCCAUCAGCUAUUGUUGUAGUUGUUUCUAAAAAUGCAUCACUAAUCAUAUCUUGAACCCUAUCAUGAUCUACCAUCUGCUCAUGAUCUUGAUGAUAAUUAUAUUCAUUAUGCAAAUGAUUCGGUUCUUCACUAUGAUGACCAUCCUCAAAAUUAUUAUUACUACUACUAGCUUCAUUUCCCCCAUAACCCUCUCCAUGUUGAUACCAAAUGUAGUACUGUGGUGUAAAUCCUCUGUUUACUAAAUGCUUCCAUACAGUUUCACUACGUGCAAAUUUUGAAUUCUUGCAUUUCCGACAGGGGCAGAACAUCUUACCGCUUUCCUGUGUGAUCGGUGUACAGCCCGCCUGGUGUAUGAAUGUCUCUAGCCCGAUCAGAAAUGCGUUUGUCACCCUCCCGUCGGAAUCUUUGUGCAAAUACAUCCAACUCCGUAACUCGUAAAUACUACCGCCACCGGCCAUUUUUUCUUAGAUUUUUUUUUCAAAUCUUUUUUUUUCUGAUUUUUUCGGAUUUUUUUUCUCCCGUUUGUGUGUUGUGAGGAAGAGAGUUAUGGGAAAUGACAUAUAUAUAGAGAAAUUUUCGAGUUGGGUAGUUGAAAAAUAACAACGAUUUUACAAGGAAUAUUUUACAUGGAUUUUACAUGGUUUUAACAUAUUAUUUACAACGAAUUUAAUACGAAAUUAGGUAAGUUAAAGCACAUUGAAUACACGUUUUCACCUAAAUAUAACGGUAACAUGAUUCGUUGUAAUGUCGAUGUAAAGUUUACUUUUCGACGUACUUGCGUCGUAAUAUUACAUGGCGUUUACGACGAAAUUUGGUUUCGUUGGUUUCGUCGUAAUUGCGUUGUUAAGCCACCAGAUAUUUCUAAGACGACGAUAAGGAACCUGUGUCGUUCGUCUGUCUGCCAAUUCAGUGUAAUGACAAGGAGAAAGUGGACGGAAGUGCAGCUGGUUUGUACUUGAGAGGAACCUUUGACGAUGGUUGGAGGUUCCUUUCAAGUAUAAACCAACUGCACUUCCGUCCACUUCUCCUUGUCGCUCCACUGAAUUGGCAGACAGACGAAUGACUCAUGUUCCUUAUCGUCAUCUUCGAAAUAGUAAUUGGUGGCUGAAUGAGAAACAUAGUCUAAACGCCAUCAGGUUCGAGAGGAAGAGAGUUGUGUGUUGUGAAGAAGAGAGUUGUGGGAAAUGACAUAUAUAUAUAGAGAAAUAUAACAAUGAUUUUACAAGAAAAGUUUUACAUGGAUUUUACAUGGAACAUUUACAACGACUUUACAACGAAUUUAGGUAAGUUAAAGCACAUUGAAUGCACGUUUUCACCUUUAUAUAAGGGUAACAUGAUUCGUUGUAAUGUCGAUGUAACGUUUACAACUAUUUCGCAUUCCACGUACUUUCGUCGUAAACUUACAUUGACUUUACGACGAAAUCCUUUCGUCGUAAAUUACCAUGGAGUUUACGACGAAAUAAUGUCUCGUCGUAAUUGCGUUGUAAAGCCCAUGUAAAGUUACGAGGAAAUAAUUUCGUCGUAAACCGCCGUUGUUACUGCUACGUUUUUAUAUUCUUUAAAUAAUGUAAUACAACAUUAUACAUUAUUUUUUUAGAAUUGAGAAAUACAUAUAUCAGUUAGACAAAUUAAGCGAUAAUUAGACAAAUUUGAUUUUUUUUUGCCAGCCAAAAGUUUAUUAUUAAUUAGCAUCAGUUAUUUCAAGAUGUUUAAGAAAGGAUGGACAAAAAGUAGGAUGAACAUAAAUGAUAUAUGAAUUAUGAAUAGUACUUUGUAAAGCUGACUUAGAUAACAUAUAUGCACAUCAAUUUCCAGUCCUUUUUGAUGCCUACAUUCAAUUUCUUCAGAGCAGUUAUUCCAUAAAGAGAUCGUAUGAGAUAUUAUUUUGAUAUUCAGAUUUGUUUCUUGACUGUUAAGAAGAUUGAUAUCGAAUAUGAUAUGUCUAUAACCGAAUCCCCAACAUGAGACAAGUUUGUUUAAAAAGUAAAUAAUUUCAUUUUUCUUAUAUUAUAUAAUAAAUAUAUAUUAUUUACGGAUAAGAAAAAUAUAGUUAUUCAUCUAUCACAAAUAUCUAUACAAAUAUGUGAAUCAAGUACAACAAUCAAACAACAUAAUGAUUUCCACAAAGAAAAUUUUAAAAAUAUAUUUAUGUUAUGUAGUCUUAUUUUAUAUUUUUUAAAUAAUGUAAUACAAUAUUAUACAUUAUUUUAUUAGAAUUGAGAAAUACAUAUAAUAUCUUAUCCGCGGUUAAAAAAUCUAGUAUAUUUAAUAAUUGAAUAUCUACUAUAAUUUAAUUACUAUGCGCGGGUGUUUUUUAAUUUUGUGAAUUCAAUUUAUAAUUGAUCAUGUUUUUAAUUGUUUGUAUGUUAUGUCGGUCUUGGAUUUUGAAACAACAAAUUGAUAUGUUAGAUAAGUCUAAAGACCAACAUUGUUUUUGGGGUGCUAUAGAAAAGGCAUAUUGGAAUGUAGAGUAAUUGAGAUGAACCGGAUGCUGGGUGCUUAUAUAGAGAAGGUCACAAUAUUUUUUGGUUAAUUAUAAUGAAAAAAAUCUCACUUAAUAGUGGAAAUGAAAAAAAAUCAACUAAUAGUGAAAAUUUAACAUUGAUAGCAAGUUGAUGGUGAUGGAAUAUCUCUACCCGAUUUGGUAUAUUAUUAACCUAGCAUUAGAAUUUGCUUGUUAUCUGUUUAAACAUUAUAAAAAUUUUGAAAUAAAUUGCUUCAGUUUGUUUGGACGCUAUACUUAUGGAAUCUUAAAGAUACAUAUAUAUUAGUUUGAAUCCGUUUAUAUGUAAUAGUGUAUUUAUUAAUAAGAACAAUGUUAUGAAUUUUAAGUUAUGGUCCAUUGUAAAAUAUAACACACGAAAAAAUCAUGAUUUCUAUUUUAAAAGAUAAGAUUUAAUACAAUACUAGAUUUUGAUCCGCGCUUAGAAAGCGCAGAUUUAUUUUUGAAAUUAAAUUAAAUAUUUCUAUAUAAGAUAAUGUAUAUGUUUGGACACAUUUACCGUGGUGAACUGAACAAUAUCAAACUGAAAAAAAUAAAACCAAAAUUAUGUUGAAUUUCAUAACUAACUGAGCAUAUUCUAUAUUUUUGAAACCGAAAAACAAAAAACAAACCGAGAAUCAAAUGAGUACUUAAAAUUUUAAAGUACAAAUUAUAUACCUACAAAUAUUAAUUAUAUUUAAUUUCUAAAUAACCAAAUAUCUUAAAAUAUUAUUUAUAAACCAAAUUACGUAAUAAAUGAAUUAUCUGAAUAUUUUUAUUCAAAAUAUUAAAAAUUAUUCGAAUUAUUUUAUAUUUUUUUCAAAUUACCCAAGUUAAUCAUUGGGCUAAGACUUUUAGGACUCCCAAGCAUCUAGUUGAUCUCUAUCAAGAGAGCUUGAAAGGGAAGAAUCCUGAACCCCAUAUGACUUACCAAGAUGAUGAAAACGACUUCAAUCAUGAGAAGGACGAUCUUAUGGAUUAUGAAACUUCAGAUUGUCUUAAGAAAAAAACUGAAGAUUGAUUUCGAUAUUUGUAAUCUAAAUUCUAUGUUCUUUGUUUUGAUAUUUUUCAUUUCUAUGUUUUUUAAAUCUCAAACCCAUUUAGACCCAUUUUAUAUUUUUAUGAUAAGAUUAAUCAUUUAUAGUUUAUAUAAAAGAAUGUAAUAUUAGAUCUUAAUAAUUGAUUGCAUGUAAUUAAUUAAAUCAAUGUUUAAUAGUUGAAUAGUUAACAUUAAGGCUUUUAGCUUUCAGUUCACGUAAAUAUGUAAAAAUUGUUAUACACCAGAGGAUUCUCCAUUAGAACUUAUAUUAAACAUAACUAAACCAUUGAAACUUUUAUAGUAUUAAUAGAACUAUAUAUAUGGUAAGGAUCACGUCAUGUUAAACACGUUUGAGUCAUAUGUCCUAUAUUUAUGGGGUUAUUGUUAUUUUGGAAUAAUAAAUGAGUUCAUUUGAAUUAUCUAGGAUAUUUCUAUAGUUAGAGAAAUAAAACGUAAGACCAAAUAAUAAUUUAUUAGCUAAUGAAAAGGUACUACAAACUUUUUUAAGUAUAUUUUUUUAAGAAUCAUUUUCUUUUAUUAGUAUAGAUAUUUUAAUAAUUUAAUAAUUUUAAUAAUGGCUAUCUACUUGUUAUCCCAAAAAUUUCUCAAAAUUCAACAAUAAAAAGGUUCUCAAAUAAAUCACUAUAACUAGUUAAGAAAAAAAUGCUUCUAUAAUUUAUUUUGGUAAUUAAAAAUGUUAUGUAAAUAUUAUUUGUAUAUUUUCACUUUAAUUAGUCAAUCAAAACUGUUCAUGUUAUAAAAGUAAUGGAAAAGUCUAUCUUUAUUCAUAACAUAUAUGUUAUUUAUAUAUGAGAUUACACCAUCAUAGAUAAAUGGAAAGAUUACAAAUUAUAAUCUCUUGGUUAUGAGCCAUCUACAAUCUGGUUCAUAACACUCCCCCUUGGAUGCCAUAACCAUUUAGAGCUUGUAAUGUGCUUUAAUGUUGCCUCAUUAAAACCUUACGGGAAAACCCAAUUGGGACAAAACCAUAGUGAAGGAAAAAGAGUACAACACACAUUACUCCCCCUGAUUUGGACAUUACUGAAGGUCCCUUGGACCUCUCCAAUUUUCUGCAAUCCGUGGGUGAUGAAGAUCUUGGGCAGAAUAUGUUUCGUCCUCGAACAUGAUAGUUGGUUCUUCUUUACCAUUGACCAUGCCACAAUCUGAUCGAACAUAUUGAGUCAUCGACCUCAAAUACACACACACGAAAUCUUGGAUGAUGUUGUUGUGAUAUGCGUGUACCACCAUGUGUAAAACAUAACAUGUCUGAAAACAAAUCAACAAAACCAAAUAACCCCUCUUUGGGCUGGUUAGUAUAUGAUAAACCAAAAUCAAAGACUUCUUCAUCGUCCUUCUUAUGGACCAAUCAGAUCAGUGUCUAAAACAAGACUUCUGCAUCGUCCAUCUCAGGAGUAAAUGGACUUCUUUAUCGUCCACCUUUGGACUGAAUGGAUCAGUGUCCAAAACAAGUGAUCUCACGCCCAUGUACUAGAUAAUGGGUGAGACUGGUCCAUAUUAAAUCUCUUGAGUACCCUUUUCUGUAUAUACUAUUUGAUGCACAAGGAUUUCAUUGUUAAUGUACUCAAGAUGUAAUCCCAAACAAAACUUUAUUUUCCAAGAUCUUUCAUCUCAAACUCUUUCUUGAGAUAUUCAACUGUUUGGGAAAUUGUAUCCAGAGGUUCCUAGGAUAUUCAGAUCAUAUACUUUGAUGAUUAUCAAUAUUGUUCUUGAGAACUUGCUGUACUUUCAGCUCAAUACCCUCUAGUACUUUCAUUAUCCAGUGGACCAUAUAAAAUAUGCAGUCACUACAUCAACUUGCUGCAAGUCUAAUUUUCUGCAAGUCUAAUUUUCUCUCUUAUAUAGCCAGACUUAUGAGAAAUCUAAAAUUAGUUGCAUCCACCACAUGGGAGUAUGUCUCCUCGUAAUCUAUUACUGGUCUUUGUGAGAAUCCUUAUGCAACACCAGCUUUAUAUCUCACGAUUUCUAUUCCUCACAAGACCCAUUUAUAUCCACUGGUUUUAACAUCAUAUGGCGUCUUAAUCAUAUGGCCAAAUACGCAUUUCUUCCUUAAACUAUUUAACCCCACGUUUCCAUUCAAUCUGUUCUACGAGUGCGCAUUCUUAUAUUGACGUGGUUUCAUGAUCCUCGCUUAUAUUCAUAAAUUCAAGUGCUACCUUGUAUCAUUUUAUGUCGCCAUUCCUUAUUGUGUUCCAUUAUGUUCCAGACAUGAUAUAAUCGAUUGAGAUUCAUUAUUAUCAGGACCUUUAAUACUUCGCAGCUUGGCGUACUAAGCUACAUUGUUUGGUACCUGUAUCUUAGAGCCGGCCGGCCUUAUCUCUAUGUCUGGGAUGGUUUCCUUGACUUCGGAUUUGUUUUAUCAUUCUAUGCACCUUUCUCUUUUGUUUCCGAGGAUUCUUAUCUUUUGGAAAUUAUUGGUCUUAUAUUGUAUAGACUCUGUAACAACUUGACUGUGUCUCUCUUGGACAUCAAUUUAGUUGGUGCUUUACAAGCUGGUUUAUAUAUGACUUAGUCAUUCUUUUUCGGGUCAGCAAAUGUGUCUGGCAUUUGAUUAGCUAGCUUUGUAAAUGUAUAAUCUUUGGACGUCUAUUUCACAUUAUUUAGUCCGAGGAUCUUGCCAAGACAAUGAUGGUCGAUGCCAUUCUAUUUCUCUUACCAGCUUAUUAUUUUCUCCCCCUAAUGUUGGAUAGUCGGAUCCAUUAAACUUUGCAAUCCGUGUUCUUGGCCACUAAAUAGAUCACUCAUAUUUGGCUCAAGGUACUUCAUUAUUUGUGGGAGAUUCAUAUCCAACAUAUAUCCCCAUUCUCAUCCUCUUCUAAGGAUCCAUCUUAGACGGCACAUAUAUUUGUGGUGGCUUAUCCAAAUAUCUUAAGAUGUUAUAUGUCUGGCUCAUGACCCGUAAUAAAUUUGAGAUGAGAAUAUCUAUGCUCAUUUAAUGGUCUGAUGCUUAUUAGUUAAGAUGCAUGUAAAUUCGUGUGUCCCUAAGCCUUGGACUGAGAGUUUGGACCUAUGGGUAGUGGCCAAUACAGAUUUAUAAAAGGAUUCAGCCAAGCUAUAUAUAGUAUGGACAUGUGCGGAUUUGUCCUCACUGCCCCCUCAUGGACAUACUAUAAUCUUUAAGUGCUUUGGGACAUCAUGGCCUAGCGAGUUUCCCUUACACACGUGAGAUUCUAUGAGAUAACUCUUUGUGCCCUUUCUAAUAUCAAUUUCGCAUCAUGUUUUGGACCAGGAUGGCCAAUCCGGUCAUACCAUAAAGUGUAUAAUUUCGUGGGUGAACCAUUCUGGUUACCAUGACUAUUGCCUAUAUCAUACUGAUCUUGGCAUAGUCUAGAUCAAUAGAGAAUGUAGGUAUAGUUUUUUAGGACUCAUUAUGGCCUUGGGCGAUUUUUUACAUAUAUCUGAAGGAACUCUUUGUUUCCUUCGCCCAUUGUUUCAAUAUGGAAACCAUUCAUUUUAUAUCUCUAUAUAAUCUCAAUGGGUUUUUCUGGGUGAAUAUAAAGCAUCUAAAUGCAUGCCCUUAUACAUAUAUGGCCAUAGCCCUUAAUGUGUACCAUACCCGCAAAUCAUAUUGGCGUUUUCAAAAAUCAUUCAUUCCUUUUAUUAAGUUUUAAUAAAACAAGUUCAUAGAAAUAAAAAACAUAGAAAUGAAAAACAUCAAAACAAAAAACAUAGAAUUUAGAUUAAAAAUGUCGAAAUCAAUCUUCAGUUUUUUUUCUUAAGACAAUCUGAAGUUUCAUAAUCCAUAAGAUCGUCCUUCUCAUGAUUGAAGUCGUUUUCAUCAUCUUGGUAAGUCAUAUGGGCUUCAGGAUUCUUCCCUUUCAAGCUCUCUUGAUAGAGGUCAACUAGAUGCUUGGGAGUCCUACAAGUCUUAGCCCAAUGAUUGCUUGUUCCACAUCUAUGGCACACGUAUUUCUCUGAUUUAGUCGAGUGUUGGGGUUUGAAAGAAGAUCCACGGCCACGACCAUGUCCUCGUCCAAAUGAGCCACGGUCCCGUCCAUGGUCUCGACUAUUUCCUCGCCCGCAGCCAAAGGAUCUUCGACCGCGGCCACGUCCGUUCGAUUUGUCUCGACCACGGCCAUGCUGGCCGUUUCCUUGGACGUGGUUGGACUCUUUAUUGUCCUCUGUAGCGUGUGCAUCAGGUCGUGGAGCUGAUCCAAGUGGUCUCAUCUGACUGUUUCUCAUUAGUAAUUCAUUGUUCUGCUCAACGAGCAAGAGACAAGAAAUAAGAUUAGCAUAGGUUUUGAAACCUUUCUCUCGGUAUUGUUGUUGUAGCAACACAUUGCUUGCAUGGAAAGUGGAAAAGGUUUUCUCAAGCAUAUCCUGUUCCGUAAUACUUUCACCACACAGUUUCAUUUUAGAAACAAUCUUAAAUAGUGCAGAGUUAUAUUCGUCCACAGAAUUAUAGUCUUGGAUCCUCAGAUUCGUCCAAUCAAACCGAUCUUUUGGUAAGAUCACCGUUCUCUGGUGAUCAUAUCUCGAUUUCAAUUCAUUCCAAAUAUCUAGUGGAUUCUCAAUGGUUAGGUAUUGAUCCUUGAGACUCUCAGCUAGAUGAUGACAAAUGAUCAAGAUGGCUCUGUAACGAUCCUUUUCAUUAGCAUUAUUGUUCUCGGUGAUACACUCACCGAGUCCCUUGGAUUUCAGGAUGAUCUUAGCAUCGAGCGCCCACUGAAGGUAAUUGUCUCCAGAUAGAUUUAGGGCAACAAAAUCAAGGUUGUUGAUUUUCGACAUCUGAAGUUAUAGAUUAAUAUUUUUAGAUCUUUUAGGAAUAGUUUUUAAUGUUUAAACGAUUAUGGUUUUAUGUUCAAACAAUCAAACAAGCCUUCACAGCCAAGAUCUAUGCCUCACAGCUAAUGAGCAAGCCGCACGGCCAUGGAUGCAAACUAGUUCCUUUUUAUGCAUUUAGUUUGUCGUGUAAUUGCAAUCCUAACAUGGUUUGUUUCUAUCAGUUCAUGAUGCAAUCAAAACAAUCAAACCUAUCGGCCAAGCAAAGAUCAAGCCACACGGCUAUUUGAUUCAAUUCAACACCAUUCCUAGAAUAAGUUCUAAGUGUAAUUGCAAUCAAUCAAUGUGAUUAAGUUAUGGUAUGAAUGCAACAAGGCCACACGACCAAUGAUCAAGUCUAGAACAGUUUAACCUAAUAUGUAGUUUCAGAUUUCGAUUUUAAAAUAAUAUAAACUAGGUCAUUAGGGUUUUAGUUUAAACAAGCCAAACAAUCAGAUUCGAGUUUGAACAAUCCUAACAAUAGUUCUAGGUGAUCAAAUCAACCAAUCAAUGUUCAAUUUCAAACAAUCAAAAUCGAUUUUCAGAAUUAGGGUUUUAGAGUUUCGAUUUUAUUAACAACCAAUUUCAAUUUCAGGAUGAUCAAAUUCAAUAUCAAUCAAUCAAUCAAUCAGUUUAAUUAAUCAAUAGUUUUCGAAUUAGGGUUUAGGGAUUUCGAAAAUUUGAUCAUAGAUCAAAGGGAUUUGAUUUGAGAUUCAAAACCUUUAAGGUUCUGAUUUUAAUUGAUCAAUGGAUCAAUCUCGAUUUUUAGGGUUUGGGGAUCGAACUUAUAGAGCUUCGAUUUACUCGCUUAGGGAUUGAUCUAUUAUCCUAUGGCUUUCAUCUUAGAGAUUAUAUUUUAGGGUUUCAUUCUUUACAAUCAACCAAAUUCGAUUCAUUAUGUUCUUAGAAUUCGAAAUACCUUUAGUUUAGUUGUUUGUAGAAAUCGGACCACCAAGAAUGAACCUCGAGCUUAGACACGAUUGGGACGCGAGCUGGCUGGGACGCGAGCUGGCCUGGAACGCGAAUGGAUUGAGGUUGGAGACGCGAGCUGCUUCUAUCGGAUCGCGAGCUGUCCUUGAUGUAGGAUGGAGCUGAGUUCGUCUAGGAUCAGGAACACCUUGGGGCUGGAUCUGAUCAGGUGGACACGAGCUGGAACGGAGUCUCGAACGGAUUAGGGUUCGUCGGUAUCGUCAGGUUCGGAUUAGAGUUUCAAAGCAAAUCGGUGCGCACUGUAUAUGUGCGUGAGGGCGCGUCGGUAGUCAGAUCGACAAGCGGUUUGCACUGACUGAUUCGUCUCUGCUAGGGCUUCGAUUUGAUAUCUUGAUCAUUUUCUGGGUCCUCACGGUUUGGGAGAACAGCCUCUUCGAAGUUCCGAGGCANNNNNNNNNNNNNNNNNNNNNNNNNNNNNNNNNNNNNNNNNNNNNNNNNNNNNNNNNNNNNNNNNNNNNNNNNNNNNNNNNNNNNNNNNNNNNNNNNNNNAUGUAUGUAUGUAUAUGAAUUGAAGAAUUGAAGAUGCUCUUAGUUUCUAAAUGAAUCAUCCUUCCAUCUAUUUUUGAAUUUUACAUAUAAGCAGAAGUGAGAUCUUUUAUUUGUUAAUCACUCAUUAAUAUUUGUAUUAAGUUGAUCAUUUUCUAUAGUAUAUUUCUAGUUGUUUUCUUUUCUUUUUGAGAAACUACUUUAAAGCAUCCAGGGGAAGGAAAAAAGUGUAGAGCCGCAUAAUUUAAUCACAGAAACUAGUUAUUUUGUUUAAUAUGAAUGACAAUUAGUAUUGGUUUGAGAUGCUUUUUCCGUAUAUUUUGAUGAGUAACUCAUGUUUGAGUUAAGAAUGUUCGCUGGAAUAUUUAGGAGCGUAGGUUAGAAGUUUUUUUUCUUUUCUAGAGAAUAUGAUUAGAAGUUUUGAUGAGUAACUCAUGUUUGAGUUAAGAAUGUUCGCUGGAAUAUUUAGGAGCGUAGGUUAGAAGUUUUUUUUCUUUUCUAGAGAAUAUGAUUAGAAGUUUAUUGUAGAUGUAUUGAUUUUCUUGUAUUGAUUCAGAAAAUCAAUUUUGUUCAGAAAAAAAAGCAAAACAAUUCAUAUAUGCAAUGGAUUGGAUCUUGAGGUAACUUGAAGACAACGAGUAUUACGUGGAAACGUCAACAACUUUACCUUAUCUUUACAUAUAUAAGAUAUGACCAUCUCUUAUGGAACCUUUGGAAGUCUCGGAAUAAGUUGUGCUUCGAAAACAUAACUUUCUCGGAGUGGGAAGUGGUGAACAAAAGCGUUAGACCAUGUACAUCAAGAGAUUAAAAGAGGUUCAUGGGCUGGGUUUCACAGGGUUUUAAUCAAAAAAGAAAAUGAAAAAUAGGUUAUUUUAAGUGAACCGGGCCGCUGGAGUGAUCUCGUGUGAAGCGAGUUCAGUACACGUGUCGGCACGGGAUAAACUUGACGUUUUAGGGUUGUCGACGCGGAAAAGACACGCCUCGCGUGUUUCUCCUCAUUUCCUCUUCUCUUCCAAAAGCUAGGGUUUUCGAGUUCUGAGGCGAUUUUUGUAGCGACGACGAUCGAGAGGUCGUUUUUCCAUCAAAUCGACGAGGGAGAGUUUUCUGAUCGACUUCACCGUCCUUUGUAAUCCUCUCUCUUCUCAGUCUCUUUUUUUGUUAGGGUUGAAAAGCGUCGAUACGAAUUCGAAUUGGGGGUUUCUCCUCCAAUAGAGUCUGGAGGAGAAAUCGAUUAGGGGGUUUGUUUGUUACGGUUCUAAAUCGAUCUGUAGGGGAAAUAAAUUAGGAGAUUUCUUCGUUAGGGUUCUAAAUCGAGUCUGAGAGAUUUCUAUUAGCUGAAAUCGAUUAGAGGGUUUCUUUUUUAGGGUUUAAUAGAGUCGAUAUGAAUUUGAAAAGGGGGUUUCUUUGUUAGGAUUCGUUUGUUCUAAUAGAGUCGAGAUUUGUGUUUGGGUAAUCAAAAUUUUUCAUUAGUUUGUUCUAAUCAAUUCGUUUUCUGGUGCAGAUGGAUCCCUCAGAAGAACGAAGACAUUCAAAGAAACAAAAGGAGUACUGCGACAUGUUAGGCUUAGUGGAGGAUUCACAGUACGGUAUUCCAAGACGGUGUGCUUGCGGUGGGAGAAUCAUUGACGAGGUACGGGGGAAGGAAGACUACGACAGUCAUCCUGGAAAGCGCUACUUCACGUGCAUAAACUAUGAAGUUAGUAUAUUUUCCUUAAUCUAUGUCAUAAAAAUUUAUGAAACUCGAACUGUCUCUAAUAUUUUGUUUUCUGUUGUCAACAAGGAUAAUGGGUUGCAUUAUAGUCAUCCUUGGGUGGUUGGUGUCCAGGAGGAGAUGGAAAGGCUGAGGAAGCGUCUGGAAGAGGCUGAGGAGGUUAUCAAGGGGGUGUGGAGUCUCAAUUACCAGAUUGAGAGCCUGGAGGUAAAUACCAGAUUGAGAGCCUGGAGCUUGCUUUAUUUAUGUUACCAGAUUGAGAGCCUGGAGCUUGCUUUAUUUCUGUCUUAAUAUGUAUGUCCUCUAUUAAUAUUAAUGAGUAACACUGUAUUCUUGUUGUUUCCAUGUCCAGGAACAGGUUCGAAGCCUCACAGUCCAGGUCGGUACCCUAGAGAAGGUGUGCUUCGACUGAAAUAGAGAGGUAAAUGUUCUAACCCAUCUCUAGCUGUGAUGUAGACUGGAAUGUGUUUGCGUGAAUUGAUAACUAGAACUAUAAAUAUUUUUUUGGAAGCAAACUAAACUGAACUAGAAGUAUUUAUUAGUAAGACUAGCCUUGCUCAGCAAAGUACAGUGGAAUUAAAUCUGUGUUUAAGUAGUUGAUAGUAUUAAGUUGUUGAUUUGAUGUGUAUUAACUUCUCUGUGUGGAGUAGUUGUUAUCUAUUAGGUUUUAUAUUCAAUGCUUGGCUGGUUGAAUUUAAUUUAACUCAACUACCUGCGUGAAAACUAGUUUAAAUAGAGAACCAAAACCCCAUUAUCUUAAAAAAUAAACCAACGUCUGAAGCAGCUGCGCAGGAGGUGGGUAAUCACUCACAGACGGCCCAGAUCGGCGGUUGGGAAGAGGCGGAGGCGCUGUAGACCUCGGAAAGGGGUGAUGGUGUCUUCGCCGCUGACUUCCCGGUUUUCUUUCGUCGCUUCGUUCCAGCCAUCAUCGAUACUGGCGGUGGUUUCAGAGAGAUGAAAUUGAGAGGUCUAGGGUACUUGAUGAUUUUUUUUUAUCCAGUCCCGACACUUGACGAUAUUUAGUAAAUAAGAGAAGAUUUUCGGCUUUUGCGGGUUAGUUUUGGUUGGGGGGUAAUAAUUG